RNAcentral lists this long non-coding RNA (190154 nucleotides) under Sorghum bicolor (sorghum). RNAcentral's name for it is "long non-coding RNA (SBIC_LNC017998)". The stretch from base 140720 to 140826 matches the Rfam family "Plant small nucleolar RNA R71". Lineage: Eukaryota; Viridiplantae; Streptophyta; Magnoliopsida; Poales; Poaceae. The record is from RNAcentral.
CAUGGUAGACGUCCCAGAAGCACUCUGCGACUUUGGCUCUAGCGUCAACAUUAUACCCAGGGUACUCUAUGAAAAAUUCUUUACAUAUCCUUUAUUAGAAACAACCAUGUGUUUGCAGUUUGCAGAUCAAGCAUUAAGUUUCCCCAAGGGAAUAUUGAAGAACCUUUGUGUCCGAGUUGGUACCUUAUAUGCCCUAGCAGACUUCGUGGUGAUAGAGACCGGUAAUGAUGAGAGAGCACCCAUCAUCUUAGAGAGGCCAUUCUUAAACACCGCGGGAGCUUUCAUCUAUGCUAGUGCUGCCAAGAUCAGUUUCUACAUCAAAGGGAGGAAGGAGACAUUUUUCUUCAAGAACAAGACUACACAAAUCCCAGAUCAAUCCAGACGUCAAUCAAGGAAGAGGACCAACAGGAGGAACAGGAACAAGCAAGUGUGGACCGAAUCAGCUAAGAUGGUUACUGCAGUUCAUGGAGGUCAAGAUCAUCAACUUAAGUCACCGUUUCUGACCAAGAAGGACAACCCAGGAAUGCCAAGCAUCUAUUGCUCCAUAAAUGGAUACAACUUCUAUAAGACGACUUGCGACACCGGAUCGGGCGUCAACAUAAUGGCCGCAGUCACCUAUCGGCUCUUGUUCGGAACCAUGCCCUUAAAACCAACAUACAUUCAACUCCAGAUGGCAGAUCAGACGUUUCAAGAAGUUAAAGGAAUAGUAAUUGAUGUCCCAGUCAAAAUAGACGAUCAUUUUGUCUACACAGACUUUCAUGUUAUUGACAUGGGAGAAGACGAGUACGAUCCACCCAUCAUCCUUGGAAGACCGUUCCUCAGCACCGUUAAAGCAAUCAUCUACAUUGGAACAGGAGAAGUCCAUAUGCACUUCCCCUCAGAGAAGGUACGCCGCUAUUUUACUGACUCUAACUACAUCUUUGAAGAAUCUAAGCAGGUCAGAAAGCGACGCAACCGCAACCAGAGGAUUCAAAUCAUUAAGGACGGAUGGGCAGACUAUGAAGGAGAAGUAGUAAGGUCAGAAGACAUACAGUUUAAACAGAAUUAUCCUGAGGAGACUGAAGCACCAAGUCAGGUGUGGAGAGAGAAGAUAACCAUACAUAAAGAGGAGGCGCCGCCGGAAGUACCGACUCCGCCACCCAACGAAUCCCAGGACAAUUAAGAAAGAGGAGAGUCCCGUUCGGAGGACUUAAAAAUACCGAACGUCUUGCCAAGAGGUAAACUUAGUAGUUAUCCUUUCCCUUUCAAUUAUUUAAAAUAGUUUACUUAGUUAAUUAUGUUCACACUAUCCUAAAAAGAAAAUAAAAAUGUUAAAAAUAGUAAGCCCCAUGUGAGUAUACGAGUGGCAUGAAAACCAUAAGUACAUUCACUGUGGUGGCAUAAAAAUAAAAUAAAUAUUUCUUUUCUGCUUUAUAAAAUGAAAAUAUAAAAACAGGGAGUAACAUUUAUUUAGGAGUCUCAACAUGAUAAAGGCUAGAUAUUUAUGCUAACACUUAAUCAGUUCCAGAAAGCUUUGUUGUCUAUUUGAGCUCCACAGAAUUUAAGAAUCAAGAAGACUAGCAGACGGAGGACAUUCUAAUCGCUGUCAGAAUGCUGCUGACUUUCAAAUACAGCUCUGCCACUUGCUAGCUACAUCAUGAGAAAUUACGUCAAAAUUCAGCUUGGGGUAGAGCACCCCCAUUUAUCCCAAUAAGUAUUUCUGUCUAUCUUUAUACUUAUAUUAGAAUAUAAAUAUACAUAAACUAGGAAAAACCAAAUAAAUAUUUUGUGCCUAUAUAAAUAUAUAUGUCUUUUUGCUUAGUGUGUUUAAUAAAUAAAUAAAGUGGCUAUGCUAAUCUAUAUCUAAAUAAAACUCUAGCAUGGAUAUGAUGAAUAGUUGCUCUGCCUAAUUUGCAAAUUUGAAGUUCUCUCAAGUUUAGACAUAACUGUUAUAAUUUAAAGCUUGCUCUAAACCUAAACUUGUGGGAUGAAAACUUGAUCUGAAGUCUAAGUUGUUAACGGAUACGAUAUGGGAAGGUUGAGCUGCUGUUUAUCUGUUCCUAGAGAUGCUAGAAUUCUGGAGAAUUUUAACUUUUAAAAAUCUUUAAAAUAUUGCAUGAUGAGUUCCUGCAUGAUGAGAGUUUAAAUUCCUACCACAGCCAUAUAUAUACAUGCUUGCUAGAUUUUGAGCCACACAUUUACUUUUUACUGCUUAUGAGCAUUGAGUGUGGUCAAGCUGUGUAGACCCUUAGGAGCUUGUCAUGUGGUUAAAUCAAGAUUCACUUGCACGUUCACUCAUAUAUGCUGCUUCUACUCCGGAAGUACCAUCCACAUAUAUCCACUCAUUCCUAUCUCCAGAACCACCCAAAAAAAAUAUUCUACUCCUAAUCCGGGAGAGAAUAACCAAAAAUAUUUCUAUUUUUUCCCUUGUGAAAUAAAUGCUCAAGUUAUCUUGGUUACUACCACUUGCUAUAUUAUCUCAUGAGAUGAGUGCUCUAAAAAAGAGAAAAAAAAGAUACGAGGAAAUAAAAAGGGGCAAGUGCCUGGAACCUCGAAAGAAAAGAAAGAGUGAGACGAGAGGUAAAAAUGGACAAGUGUCCGACACUAGAAUUAGGGGUACAAGAUACCCACCUGAGAGGAAAGAAAAAGAAAAAAAAAGAAGAAGAGCAUCUCAUUCUCCUCACAACAUUUCAAAAAGCAAGGAAGGUAUGUAUCCCCUCAAAGAGCAAAAGUAGAAUUAGACUUUCACCAUUGUUAUCACCAUCAUCACCAUACACCAUUCAUUCGCCACACAUGCACAUCUUGAUUUGACUUAUUGAUUUGUUUGUUUGGAUCCAUGGUUUGACUAUACAAUAAAUGUCUUGUAAGUAUGUAUAUUUUAUCUCCCACCUAUGAGCUCAAGAUAUUAAAGCCUUAUUAGAGUAGGGUGAGAGAGAAGGCAAUGUCACUAUGCCAUAUACCACAAAUACUGCAUAUCUUGAGAGAAGGCAUAUACCAUCACUGCCUUGGUAAGGAUCUAGAAAUACCACAAAAGAGAGAUCAGAGAGAGUCAUACAAGGAAUCUCUGAGUUUUAUUUGAAAAUCUGCAAAAACUCGAGAGCUAUAGGUAAUCGAAGAACAAGAGACAUGGCGCUUGAAUAGACCGUUCUAUCUUUUAACUGCUCAAGACAUAGGUGACGGUUACAAGUCCCAUGGUGAAAGGUAAAAUGAAUAAGUUUUAAGUCUUGACAGUUUACUCUAACUUAAAGAUGAGAUUUUAUUUAAAAGCAUGUGUACCAUCAAUUUUUAAAAGUAUUGCAACAACUUCUAAUCUAUCGUUGCUCAGGGACGAGCAAGAGGUAAGCUUGGGGGAGUUUGUUGACGGUCCUUAAGUAUCAAAUUUAAUUAUCAAAUAAACAAAGAAAAGGAUCCAAAUGAAAUCAAUAUCUAGACUUAGGGUUUUAUCUGACAGAAUUCCACGUGUUUUGGAGUUUGUCUAUUUAUGCAGGGGGUUAUCAGGAAAUAAGAAAGAAAGGCCCACACGUCGGGAUUACAUAGACAUAUCAACAUGCCGCGCAAUUAUCUUACAUCUAGAAGACUCCAGAAGCCACGGGAAGGAAGCGGAGGCCGAACGGGGCCAGCACUGGGCGCCCGCCCAGUUGCCCUGGGCGCCCGCCCCCUGUUGGAGUCCAAACAGGACUCUCUUUCGGGAUCAAUCUCCACCGACCUAAAGGAUCAAUCUAAACCAUACAAUCAAUGUCGGUUUGAUCCAAUGGCCCAUAUUCACUUGAAGGGACUAUAAAACCAGACCCCCUGGCCCCUGGAGGAGAGAGCCUCUCAACCCUAAUUCAUUAUUCCUCAAGGGAGAAGAAGCCCCUGAUCAAGAUUAGAGCCACCACAUCAAUUAGAUAUCUAGAUUAGCAUAGCUACAUAGGAUUAGAACUAGAAGGAGUCAAUCUUCGAUUGGUUUCCGGAUCUGUCAAGAGGAUUCUUGGUAAUUCUCUAAUUGUGCUUCUAAUUGUUCUUCUAAUUAUCUUUGUUCUACAAUAUUAUGAAUAUGACUUUGUUCUACUUCAAUAUAUUGUUUAUGACUUUGCUCUACUUGCUUAUAUUCAAGAUUAUAUUGUUCUUAGUUUAUCAUAGUUAUGUACUUGGCUUAGUUAGAUUGGAUCUAUAUACUGUUGACGGUCCUUAAGUAUCAAAUUUAAUUAUCAAAUAAACAAAGAAAAGGAUCCAAAUGAAAUCAACAUCUAGACUUAGGGUUUUAUCUGUUAAAAUUCCACGAGUUUUGGUGUUUGUCUAUUUCUGUAGGGGGUUAUCAAGAAAUAAGGAAGAAAGGCCCACAUGUCGGGUUUACAUAGAGAUAUUAACGUGCCGCGCAAUUUUCUAUCAUCUAGAAGAGUCCAGAAACCACGGGAACGAACGGGAGGCCGAACGGGCCCGGGGGCAGGGCGCCCGCCCGCUCCCCUUGGGCGCCCGCCCAGGUGUUUCCACCAAUCACAGAAUGGAGUACACCAUUACAAAGAUCUCGUCGAGCUGAUCGAAAUGCAUAUAUUAUUUGCUAUAUUUGGAGUUCGGAAUCAAGAGAUAUUAAUAAAAGAAGGACUCCACAUAAAAGAGCUGCGGGAUUAAUUGGGCCCAAAUCAGAUUUUGGUACAUGAAGGCCUAUGUGUAUUUUAAUGAGAUAUGGUGGAAAGUUUAGUACCACAUCGCCUGCUGAACCAAAAAUACAUAGAGGAGGAGGACUAUAUAAGGAGACCUCCCUGGCCCCUAGAGGAGACAAGAAAUUAUCAUAGAGAUUGAGGGGUGCCCUCGAAGGAAAACCUCUUCUCUAAAUAAUAUUUCUUUUUAGGCUUAGCAACCAAUGUAAGGUAGAAAUAGAUCUUCUAGUUUCUACUAGAUUGAGAGAGAUAGAGUGGAGGUGUGGAUCGGAGGAAGGCCGGCCUGUCGGUGUCUACUCCGAGUUGUACCUGCGGGAUCAAGUCUCCUAACCCGAGGCUUGCUUCUAAGAUUCUUCAGUAAUUCGACUUCUAAUACUAGUAAGUUCUUGUUUUAUUGUUCUUUGGUUUAUGAGUUUACUUUAAUCCUCUUCCGGUUGAGUAUUAGAGUAAUCACUUGUUAGCGCAAACGUGGUGUUUAGGCUAGGGUACUCAUAGAUAUCCCCUGACUAGCUGGACCGUGGUAGUAGCGAGGAACGUGACAUUUCCGAGUUACCUUUGCAGGUCACAUCUCGUUAGCAGGACGGGUAGGUUUAUAGGUGUGGGUCGAACAUCCUUUGUGUUGUCUAGAUUCCGUGAGCCUCCCCAAUAGAACAGUAGAUCAUCCUUACCAAGGUUAGAACGAGACUACGGUUACAGUCUUCUCUAUAUAUCGCUCACAUCGAGAGACAUUCUUUGUAGCCUAAAGGGAUAGUAGCAAUAGAUUUGGUUAGUCAGAUGCACCCUUUCUCCCAGUGGUAAAAAUAUAAAUACGAUAACUCUGGAUAACCUCCCGGGUGAAAUGCUCACCGAUAUCCGUGCGCUUGCGGAUCAUUUUCUAAUUGCGUUACCAAAUAUCAACAAGCAUUUCUGGCGCCGUUGCCGGGGAGAAAGACGGUUUGCUGAGAUAACUUUGAGUCUUGCUAUUAUCUUGUAUUAUACUUUUAUACUUUUAUUCUUUUAUCUUUUUAUCUUUAUGGAUAACUCAAAUUCCAUACCUAUUAUUGAAUUUGUUGCACCUCCGGAGACUAGCCAUAGACCAUGGGAGUCAACACGUCCUGCCCCUAAUUAUGAUCUGUGUCCGGAGUUGAUUGCAAUAGGUCAAAACCAACCCUUUUAUAUAGCCGAGGUCCUAUCUUUUAAUCAAAAAGAUAAUGCACUUUUAGCUACACCUAGGGAAUGUGUUAAUCUUUCUAUAAAUUCUGGUUUAGACCUAGCCCUACAAGACCAUGUUUUUCCUAGAUAUUUUCACAUUGGUCUUAAUCAUAUAAUUUUUGGUAGAGUCUUUCUUUCUUUAUCUAUUAGUAAAGGAAGGUAUGUCUUCAUUUGUGGACAUCCUUCUUGUACUAGUCUUCAUAGAAAAAUCUUAGAAAUAGAGAAGGAAUCAUCUCCUAGACGAGGAAAGGAAGUUUCAGUAGCCGAUUUCCAAACAUUUCAAUCCCAUGAUUCGGCUAUCCAUCCCAUCCUUGAGCUUAAUAAAUUCUACUAUGCUCUUUCUCUUAAACCUUCCGAUAAUCCUAUGAAUUUCUCUAGACAUCCCAUGCAUAAGAAGGAGGAUCGAGAAGAGCAACAUCAAUGGCUAAAGGGCAUUAAAAAUCCAUGUGCUAUCACCAUUAAAUGGAUAGAUAAAACAAACUUGAGAGACAAUCCUAGAGGAAUUUUAAGCAUUCAUGAAGAAUCAUCCUUGGAGUUUGAGAGAAACAACAGAGAGCAUGGAAGUUAUUUCAUAAAUACCUCACCAAGUCCAUGCUCAUAUGCAACAUCUCCCCAAUCAAUUGGUCUCUCCAUCAUCACCACAUUUGAGAUAUCCAACCCCCUCUUCCUUUUUAUUUAUAAAAACUUUAAAAGGGCUGUUGUCGAUGCAUAUGUCUAUAAUAAAUAUUGCAGAUCUCGUUGAGUUGAUCUUGAUAUAGGUCAGCGUUGGAGGGGAAGCCACUUCGCCGACAUAAAUGAAUGGUUUCCCAAGGACAAGCUUAGCGUCCUUAAACAAGCACUUAUCAGAUCGUAACAUGAACUUCUAAUUAUUUGCAACAUUGCCUUGUGUAUUGAGCAUAUUGAGAUAAUUAUAGAAAUAUUCCUUCGGGUAUUCUUGCCACUAACCUUUCUAGGAUUGGAGCAAGAAGAUCGGAUGAAUGACAAGCGCAAGGUAUGCCCAACCAAUCAUCAUGCAACAUUAAAUUAAAUUAAAUUCAUCCAAUCUUGAAUUUUGCAAAAUUCAAGCUUGGGGGAGUACUUUACAUAAAACAUCCUUUGCCAUGAUGCUAUGUUGGUUGUCCUUACCUUUGAGACAUGCUCAAUUUGUUAAAUACACUACUUCAUCUCCACUUGAGUAGAUCUCUAUAAAAGCCAUCAUGCUACCUUUGUUUAUCCUAGUAAGUGUUAGCUUGGAAGUACUGGACAGACUUCCAAUGGCAUUUAAAUUAAGCGUGGUGCUUAGGUUAAAUAGCCUUCCUUAAUCUGAUUAGACAUGGAGUCUAGUUUGGUUACUGAACUAAAAACUGCUUGAGUAGAUAUUGGUAUAUUUUGUGGGACUAACCCCUGCAGGAGAACUUUCAAUAUCAACCUUGGAAGUCCUGAGAUAAACUCACAUUGGAGAUGAAGAAAGUGACACUUGAAGUUUAACAAUUUGCACAAGAAAGACGUAGCUCAUAAGAGAUGAUUCAUGGAGGGUGCCACAAACACGAUGCACAACCCCUAAGAAAGGAAAGCUUCCACAAGGUGAUACUAUACCAUCACUCUUCAAUAACAUCUUAAAGUACUUGAUUAUCACUUUUAUAAGUUCUCCUUGGUUCUGGCAUACACAUGAAUAAAAGAGACAAACAUGUAUGAUUUAUAACUCCAAAUUAACCAACUCAAUGAAUUCAGCAUGUUUAGUCCUUUAAUCUUUGUUCUUAGUACUACCUUCGUGAUCCCACACUCCUAAUCAUAUAAGCUAAAGUAUUGCACAUUCAAUCUUUGGAAGAUAUAAAUAAAACAUAAAUAUAGAUAGAUUAUCUUUCCAUUAGGUUGAGCCAUCUGAUCUAACAAAUGUUUUAAAUGCUACACUCAUGAUCCAUCAACUUUGUCUUGCUCACUAUUUUUAAGGUUAGAGAAGAACAAAUACACUUUUGGUUCUGUUGGUGUUUUCCACCAACAGGGCCCAUGCACUUGAUCUCUGCCUUGUCUCUAUGAAUAGGUACACUUCAAACAAAACAUGGAGGAGUUUUACAACUCCCAGAUUCCAUCAAGUGAAGAACCGGAAUCUACGAGCACAAACACAAUGGAGAUCAGACACUUAGUUUCCCAAAGGAAAUAUUGAAGAAACUCUGUGUCCGAGUUGGUACCUUGUACGCUACAGCAAACUUCGUGGUGAUAGAGACAGGUAGUGAGGAGAGGGCACCCAUCAUCUUAGGGAGGCCAUUCCUAAACACCAGAGCAGUCAUCUACGCUAAUGCUGCCAAGAUCAGUCUCUACAUCAAGGGGAAGAAGGAGACUUUCCUUCAAGAACAAGACUACACAAGCUUCAGAGCAAUCCCGACAUGAACCAAGGAAGAGGACCAACAGGAGGAACAAGAACAAGCAAAUGUGGACCGAGUCAGCUGAGAUGGUCACUGCAGCUCAAGGAGGUCAAGAUCGUCGACUCAAGUCACCUUUCUUGAUCAAGAAGGACGACCCUGGUGUUCCAACAAUUGAGUGCACAAUCAAUGGAUACUCUUUUUAGAAGACACUCUACGACACCGGAUCUGACGACAACAUAAUGGCCGCAGUCACUUAUCAGCUCCUGCAUGGAACCAUGCUCCUACAACCAACAUACAUUCGGCUCCACAUAAUUUUCAGGUCAUUAACAUGGGAGAAGACGAGUAUGAUGCACCCACCAUCCUUGGAAGACCGUUCCUCAACACUAUCAAAGCAAUCAUCUACAUUGGAACCGGAGAUGUCCACAUGCACUUCUCCUCUGAGAAGGUACGCCACUACUUUAAUGAUUCUAACUAUAUAGUUGAAGAUUUUAAGCACGUCAGGACAAGAAGAAGACAACGCAACCGUAACCAGAGGAGGCAAAUCCUCAAGGACGGAUGGGUAGACUACGAAGGAGAAGUGAUAAGGUCUGAAGACAUAUAGCUUGAACCGAACUGUCCUGAGGAGACCGUUAACGCCGAGUCAGGUGUGGAGAGAGAAGAUAGUUAUACACGAAGAGGAGGCGCCGCCGGAAUCACCGACUAUGCCACCUAGCGAAUCCCAGGACGACUGAGAAAACGGAGAGUCCCGUUCGGAGGACUUAAAAACACCGAACGCCUUGCCAAGAGGUAAACUUGGUAGUUAUCCUUUUCCUUUCAAUUAUUCAAUUAUAGUUUGCUUAGUUAAUCAGGUUCAUGCUAUCUUGAAAAGAAAAUAAAAAUGUUAAAAAAAAUAGUAAGCCCCAUGUGAGUAUGCUCAUGGCAUAAAACCCAUAAGUACAUUCACUAUGGUGGCAUAAAAAUAAAAUAAAUAAGUUUUCAUCUUACAACAAAAAUAUAAAAAUAAUAAGUGCAUGAUCCUGCUAAAUAAGUAACAUUUAUUGAGGAGGCUCAACAUGAUAAAGGCUAGAUAUUUAUGCUAACACUUAACCAGUUCCACAAAGCUUUGUUGUCUAUUUGAGCUCCACAUAAUUCAAGGAUCAAAGAAGACUAGCAGACGGAGGACAUUCUAAUAGUUGUCAGAAUGCUGCUGACUUUCAAAUACACCUCCGCCACCUGCUAGCUACAUCAGAAGAAAUUACGUCAAAAUUUAGCUUGGGGGAGAGCACCCCCAUUUAUCCAGCUAAGUGUUUCUACUCGCGUUUAUACUUUACUCAAAUAAUAAAGAGAUGCAUAAUCAUAAAAACCCAAAUAAAGAUUUUGUGCUUUUAUAUAUAUCUUUGCUUAGUUUGCUAAAUAAAUAAAAAAAUAAAGUUUGCUAUAAACCCUCAUGAUAAGCUAUCACAUGGAAAUGAUGAAUAGUUGCUCUGCCAUGACUAGUUCUUAAAAUUGAAAUCUCUCUCAAGUUUAGGCAUGACUGUUAUGAUUUGCUCUAAACCUGAACUUGUGGAAAGAGUACUUGAUCUAAAGUCUAAGUUGUUAACGGAUAUGAUAUGGGAAGGUUGAGCUGCUGUUUAUCUGUUCCUAGAGAUGCUAGAAUUCUGGAGAAUUUUAUCUUUGAAAAAUCUUUAAAAUAACACAUGAUGAGUUCCUAUAUGAUGAGAGUUUAAAUUCCUACCACAGCCAUAUAUACAUGCUUGCUAGACUUUGAGCCACAUAUUUACUUUUUACUGCUUAUGAGCAUUGAGUGUGGUCAAGCUGUGUAGAACCUUAGGAGCUUGUCAUGUGGUUAAAAUCAAGAUUCACUUGCACGUUCACUCAUACAUGCUACUUCUACUCCGGAAGUACCAUCCACAUAUAUCCACUCAUUUCCAUCUCCAGUUUCACCCGAAAUUAUUCUACUCCUAAUCCGGGAGAGAAUAGCCAAAAACAUUUUCCUAUCCCUAUUAUUCCCUGUGAAAUAAAUGCUCCAGUUGUUUUGGUUACUACCACUUGCUACAUUAUUUCAGAAGAUGAGUGCUCUAAAAAAAAGAAAAAAAAGAAAAAAAGAGAGAGAAAGAAUACGAGGAAAUAAAAAGGGGCAAGUGCCCGGAACCUCGAAGAAAAGAAAAAAAGGUGAGACGAGAGGUAAAAAUGGACAAGUGUCCGACAGUAGAAUUAGGGGUACAAGAUACCCGCCUGAGAGGAAAUAAAAUAUAGAGCAUCUCAUUCUCCCCAAAAAGCUUCAAAGUGCAAGAAAUGUAUGUUUCCCCUUAAAAGAGCAAAAGUAGAAUUAGACUUUUACCAUUGUUAUCUCCAUCAUCACCAUACACCAUUCACUCGCCACACAUGCACAUCUUGAUUUGACUUAUUGACUUGUUUAUCUGGAUCCAUGGUUUGACUAUGCAAUAAAUGUCUUGUAAGUAUGUAUUAGCUGUCUCCCACCUAUGAGCUCCAGAUAUCAGAACCUUAUUAGAGUAGGGUGUGAGAGAAGGCAUAUCCCAUUACUGCCUUGGUAAGGAUCCAGAAAUACCACAAAAGAGAGACUAGAGAGAAUUAUACAAGGAAUCUCUGAGUUUUAUUUGAAAAUCUGCAAAAACUCCAGAGCUAUAGCUGAUCAAGAAUAAGAAACAUGGCGCUUGACUUGACCGUUCUAUCUUUUAAUUGCUCAAGACACAAGUGACGGUUACAAGCCCCAUGGUGAAAGGUAAAAUGAGUAAGUUUUAAGUCUUAACAGUUUAUUCUAACUCAGAGAUGAGAUCUUGCUUGAAUGCGUGUGUACUUUUUUAAGGCACGAAACCACUGCAGAAACUCUUGAGUUCAUCCUUGCUCAGAGACGAGCAAGAGGUAAGCUUGGGGGAGUUGUUGACGGUCCUUAAGUAUCAAAUUUAAUUAUCAAAUAAACAAAGAAAAGGAUCCAAAUGAAAUCAACAUCUAGACUUAGGGUUUUAUCUGACAAAAUUCCACGAGUUUUGGUGUUUGUCUAUUUCUGCAGGGUUUUAUCAAGAAAUAAGGAAGAAAGGCCCACAUGUCGGGUUUACAUAGAGAUAUUAACGUGCCGCGCAAUUUUCUAUCAUCUAUAAGAGUCCAGAAACCACGGGAACGAACGGGAGGCCGAACGGGCCCGGGGGCAGGGCGCCCGCCCUCUCCCCUUGGGCGCCCGCCCAGGUGUUUCCACCAAUCACAGAAUGGAGUACACCAUUACAAAGAUCUCGUCGAGCUGAUCGAAAUGCAUAUAUUAUUUACUAUAUUUGGAGUUCGGAAUCAAGAGAUAUUAAUAAAAGAAGGACUCCACAUAAAAGAGCUGCGGGAUUAAUUGGGCCCAAAUCAGAUUUUGGUACAUGAAGGCCUAUGUGUAUUUUAAUGAGAUAUGGUGGAAAGUUUAGUACCACAUCGCCUGCUGAACCAAAAAUGCAUAGAGGAGGAGGACUAUAUAAGGAGACCUCCCUGGCCCCUGGAGGAGACAAGAAAUUAUCAUAGAGAUUGAGGGGUGCCCUCGAAGGAAAACCUCUUCUCUAAAUAAUAUUUCUUUUUAGGCUUAGCAACCAAUGUAAGGUAGAAAUUGAUCUUCUAGUUUCUACUAGAUUGAGAGAGAUAGAGUGGAGGUGUGGAUCGGAGGAAGGCCGGCCUGUCGGUGUCUACUCCGAGUUGUACCUGCGGGAUCAAGUCUCCUAACUCGAGGCUUGCUUCUAAGAUUCUUCAGUAAUUCGACUUCUAAUACUAGUAAGUUCUUGUUUUAUUGUUCUUUGGUUUAUGAGUUUACUUUAAUCCUCUUCCGGUUGAGUAUUAGAGUAAUCACUUGUUAGCGUAAACGUGGUGUUUAGGCUAGGGUACUCAUAGAUAUCCCCUGACUAGCUUGACCGUGGUAGUAGCGAGGAACGUGACAUUUCCGAGUUACCUUUGCAGAUCACAUCUCGUUAGCAGGACGGGUAGGUUUAUAGGUGCGGGUCGAACAUCCUUUGUGUUGUCUAGAUUCCGUGAGCCUCCCCAAUAGAACAGUAGAUCAUCCUUACCAAGGUUAGAACGAGACUACGGUUGCAGUCUUCUCUAUAUAUCGCUCACAUCGAGAGACAUUCUUUGUAGCCUAAAGGGAUAGUAGCAAUAGAUUUGGUUAGUCAGAUGCACCCUUUCUCCCAAUACGAUAACUCUGGAUAACCUCCCGGGUGAAAUGCUCACCGAUAUCCGUACGCUUGCGGAUCAUUUUCUAAUUGCGUUACCAAAUAUCAACAUAUACAUGUUUAGGAUCGUAUAGCGUUUAUCCAUCGGAUCCAUGCGUAAAUGAUAGAUAUUGUGUAGGCGUGGUGCUUAUACCGUAUUUAUCUGCGAUUGUACCCAAUGUAACACCCUAAAUUUUGCUUCUUUGAAAAUAAAGCUAAAAUACUUUAUUUUUUAUUUCUGUGCUCAUGAAAAUAUAGUAAAAUAAAAUUUUCCUUAAAUUAAAAUUCAUCAUAGGGUUUAGCAACGUUGUUGUGCAUACAUGCUGGUAAAUAUGUUUUAUGUGAUGUUUGUUUGUUGCUCCUUUGUGUGUUGAGACUAAGCAAAGUUUUUUUAAAAAAAUACGUUUAGUAGAUCGAUCUUCCUUAACUGGUACAUCUUUAUAUUUUUCUACAAACAAAUUCCUUGUCUCUUAGCUCAAGAUUUCGGUCAGGGUCUCUCAGAAUUUUUUCUUUCAAACCUAAGUCACUCGUUUGAGUUUCUCGUCCAUCAAGCAAUCUCUACAAACUUCUCAGGUAUUUUUGUAGCCUUUUCUAUGAGCAUAAAUCUAAUUUUUAGAUGCCCCAAAUUAUCUCAUCAUGAGCUCCAAAUACUUUAUUUGGAUUCCUCAUGUUCUAUAAUGUCUCUGAAAAUUUUUCCCAAAUUUUCGGAGCUUUCAGAGUAUUUUUCGUGGCUUAACUACUAAUUCUGGACUUUUCUAGAAUUAUUUUAUCUAUGAAAAUAAUUAAUUUCGAAAAUAAUAAAUCCUUCAUUUUACUCUAACCCAACGUCAUCAUUCAAAGGCCAAUUGUUUUUUUACUAAUGGGCUUUAAUAAUUAAUUAGGCCUAUUAGUAAAGAUGAAAGUUGCAAAUCAAUUAGUACCAUAUCGCUAGUUGACGUGGAGGUGGGGAGUUUCUCUCCCUAUAUAUACGUACCGAUCCUUUGGCUAAAGUACACCAAAAAUACAUAAAGAGAGUCUCUAGUUUGGAAAAUCUCUUUGGAAAAUCUCUUAAGUUAGUAAAUAAUAAUAUUUUUUUCUCCGCUCCAGGCUGUCAUCAUCCAUCUUUGGCCAUCAUCUGUCAACGCCCUCUGCAGCUGACUAACUACUGGUGAGCACUUGCAUGUCCUCAUCCCUUUCUCCUAUCGUCUAUCAUGCCCUAGGCCAUGUACACUGGUAUCUAUUUCCUUAACGUGCCCAGCAUCCUGCCGAUCUACAGCUGCGAGCCUCGGACCAUUGUUGACGUAUUGCUCAUCUGAAAUCAUCUAUAUGUUUGUCAACUGGAGCUGUCCUAUAUGUUUGUCAACUAGAGCUGUCGUGCUUGACGCUGCCAUUGGUGACCAGCGGACUAUGGCCAUGAAGACCAUGAUUACUUCCAGACAUCCUGCCGGCUGCCGUGAGACUGCUGAUGGAGGGCCAGUUCGUUCGUAAUCAGCCAUGUUCAAGCAAAGCAAGUAGCGAUCACGUAUCAGACUAGCCCGAGAAACCGUCUAAUAUGACCAAACACAGUACGUAUCUACAUCUCUCGUGAAGUCUCCGGUUCUCCUUUUUAGUAAAAUCCUACAAAAUUUCAAUAGCUUUAACCCUUCGUCGUACGUACGUUUUAGUUAUGCAAGUUUAUUUUUGUUUGAUUAAUAUCAUAUUGACGUGUUUAGCGGGCGACGGUUUUCAUGCUACGAGUUUUUAAUUUGUGUUUACAAUUAAAUAUUAAUUAGAUUAAUGUGCAUGAAAUUAGUUGCUAAAUAAAAAAACAAUAUAGGACAAUAUCGAGCUUUUAUGUUUAACUGUAAAUUUGGAUAUUAGUAACAUAAAUAUGUUUUUAAAUUGAAUCUGGUUAGUUUAAACUUGUUCCACGUACAAAAAUUGAAAUUAGAUGUUGUCACUUGUUUACUUUAACUUGAUAAAUGAACCACACAUUAAUAAUUAUAAAUAAAACAUGAUUAACUUCCACUUUUAAAGUUUAAAUAUAAUUUAUCUAAUCUGAAUUAGUAAAUUUCCUAUGAUUUUUUUUAAUUAAAAUAAAUUAAGCCUGUUGUUCUUUCUUUUAUAUAAUAUAAAUCUUUUUUUUUAUGAACCGGUGAGGGAGUCCCUCACCCAUUUUUUUAAUUAUAAUAGAAUAAAAGAAUCGAUACAGGAGGUGAAUAGAAGGCACCCAGGCCCAAAUCUCUUAAUGGCUGUUUAUUUAUAACAAUAGUUUUGCUAUCAGCUUUUCUUGCGAUCCCGUGACCGCAAAACUAGUUUUCUUACAUUGUUUUCUCUUGUGUGCUGUGCUGUUCUUAGUUGUUUCUAUUUGCUGCUUGUAUGGCAGCCAAUGCGUGGCGCCUGCUAUGAGUAGACGAGGAUCGUUUGUGGGCGCCGAAGAUCAGAAGAUGAUGACUGAAAGCUGAUGGUGUGAGAAUUGAGCAAGUGUUUAAGGCAAGUAUAGCAUUUGGGUUUUAUUUCUGUGACCAUGAUCCUGUGACUAGAUUAAUGUUAAGUAAUAAACAAUAAAAAUAACUUUUUAGCAACUUGAUGAUUUAUCUGUACGUGAUCACCCGGGAUAACAGUGCAACCAUGAGGGCUAUAAUGGCUCUGGCUUUAGCUCAGUAUGAAGACCUUUUCUAGCUUGUUAGAGGUUACCCGAAAGGGCGGAGGGGCUGAACUGUUUUGGGUAUAGUGUGACCUCUGUCUUUAUGUGUAUAGGCUGCACGUCAUUGUGCCAUCGGAAGGGGGGCUCUAUAUCUGCGCGCAAAGGAAACCUUGCGGCCCUAACAGGUUAGACGAACUUUUGAAAGGCUUCAUAGUGAUCCCUGCCGACCUUCCUUGGUAGUGGGUUAAGAGGCUGAUCACCUCGGGCGAAAGGGUAAAUCAUGACUCAUGGGUAAAGAUGUACAACCUCUGUAGAGUGUUAAAAACUAGUAUACUAGCCGUGCUCACGGUCAAGAGCGGCCUUGGGGAUUUUUGCAUCGACGGUGAUGAUUCUUGUGUGUUAAAAUUUUCAUUAUUUAUUGUUUAAUGCUUUACAUUAUUUAUGUCACAUUGAUCAUGAGAUUGUGGGAUCUAUACAAUCUAGUUGCUAUACUUGUGGAGUUCGACAUGGACUCACUCUUGCUAUUUCCCCCCAUACUUCAGGAGGACUUUAGGUUUGUGAUCAACCAGUCAGUUGGAUCUUAAUACCCGAAGUUGGAGUUGUCUAUCCGCUGUUUGCAUUUAAAGGUUAUCUCUUUUAUACUAAGUACGUUAUAUUUAUGCAUUGUCUUUUGAUAUUACCCCUUAUUUGUAGCUAUAUGUGAGGUUUGACUACUAAGACUCACAUAUGGUGCAUAUCUGAUUUUGUCCUUAAAAUCGGGUAUUACAAAGUGGUAUCAAAGCAAUGCUGGCUGUAGAACACAAGCCUAGUUAGAAAUUGGUCGUCUUAAGGUUUUGGAAAUUGUUAUAACACCCUUGCUCUAUAAACCUUGAUAUUUUUUCCUCUAUACUAUAUCUCUACCCUUGCUAUUCCUCUCUACCUUGUUGCUUAUUUUAAAAGUAUACUUGUUCUCAUCUUCACUCCUCGAUUUGAUAAGCUUUUAGAAUCUUCUCUUACCACCUGCUUACGGAUUUGAAAAAGAAUUUUAGGAUUUUUACCCUUACUAUGAAGAGAACGAUAGUAUCGCAAGUUGAGUGAAGUGUGAACCUUCAAUGCUUAAUUGGUUUGUUAUUAUGUUUAUGCUUGAUUUGGAUCUUUGUAAUGAUUGCAAUGAUCUUCUGGAUUUUCUUCACAAUUUCAUUUAGUUUAUAGGUCUAAGACAUAAGGAUUAAUGAAAUACGUAGUUGGGUUUGGCUAUCUCUUAUUUCUAUCCCUUGCUGAUUUUUGGGGCAGUCUGCAAUGAUUCUGGUGUAUCUCAAGUUUUGUUCAUGCAAAGUCUAUCAACUUUUUCUGGGAACAACUAGACUUCAAGAUCUUUCUCUGACCGCAAGAAUCACACUCAUAUCUAUUAUGAUUUGGAAGUUACAAAAAUCACAAGAUGAUACAGAUGGGCUGUCAAGAAUCUGGACCAGUUUCGGUUGCUUACUGUUUAGACAUAUAUAACUAUAGUAUUUGGAAAAGUGUUCUAUAGAAACGUUGUAGAAGAUUUGCUAAGCUUUCCAACGGUAUAAGGUGGAACUUAUUUGGAUAAGUAGAACCUGAGAUAUGAUAUUUACACCUAGAUGUUUCUGUUCUGUUUCAAAAUUUGGACAGAUCUGGUAUUCCCUAUUUUCAGAUACCUUAACGUCAGAAUCUGGGAAAAAGUUGUAUACAAAAGUUGUAGAGGAUUUUCUAAACUUUUCAAAUAUGUAAGGAUCAUCUCCAGAAGAGUUAAGUAGCUCGGGAUAUAACUUCUGGAAGCUGUUGCACCUUUGCUGAGACAUUUUCAGGAUGGAUAUUAAGUUUGGUUGUUUUACCUGAGCUUAAAGAUAGAACCUAAGGAGGUCUUCUACAGGAAAGUUGCUGGGAAUUUCAUAAGUUUUCUAACGGUAUAAGCCACAACUCUAUUGGAUUCACAAAAUAAGAGUUAUGUCCAUUUAACUACGCUGGUGUUUUUCAUAUCGCGAGGAAAUUUCAGGAUACCUCUUUGCUCUAUUGCACAUAAGUUCUUUGGAAUGUCAGAGGUUCUCAAUGUUAGUUAACUUGUCUGUAAAAUAUGCAAGCUAACUUUCUUGUGUCCCCUAGUUGACCCUUUUAAGGGGGGUAGCCCAAUUAAAGGAGUUACAAUGAGACGGAUUGGCUAGUGUUGGAUCAUAUAUCAUCCCAUUUAGGGAAUAUUAAUAGAGAUAUAUGUCAUUGCUGAUACUCAUGGAUUGAGAGUUGUGUUUAUGACGAUCAGAUGACACCAAAGCCUACAAGCUAUAUGUACAAUGUGAGAGUGAAGCAACUUAACCGUGAUAAAGGUAUCGAUAAUUGGAACUUAGUGAUGAAACUAACCUUGGAUCAAGAGACUCGAUACAACUAUUGACGGUCCUUAAGUACUAAAAUUAAUAAUCAAAUAAACAUGAAAAAGGAUCAAUAUGAAACAAACAUCUAGAAUUAGGGUUUUAUCUGACAGAAUUCCACGAGCUUUGGUGUUUAUCUAUUUCUGCAGGGGGUUAUCAGAGAAUAUGGAGAGAAGGCCCACAUGUCAUGUUUACAACGAGAUAAUUACGUGCCGUGCAAUUUUCCUCAAUCUAGAAGAAUCCAGAAGCCACGGGAACGAACGAGAAGAGGAUCAGGCUCGGGGGCAGGGCGGCCGCCCAACCCCCUUGGCGCCCGCCCAGGCCAGGAGUCCAAUCAGGACUCUGCUUCGGGACUACGCUCCACCGACCUAAAGGAUCAAUCUAAACCAUACAAUCUAUGUCGGUUUGAUCCAAUGGCUCAUGUCCACUUGAGGGGACUAUAAAACCAAGGCCAAACCCCCCCCCUGGAGGGAGGAGAAGAGAAGAAAUCAUUAUUCAGAGGUAGCCAUCAAAGUUAGGGUUUAGAGCUUCUCUCCCACAGAGAAUUAGAAUUAGCUACUCCCUAAUCCUUCAAGUUUAGAGGUUUGAUUAGAUAGCAAUUAGAGAAGUAGAGCACUACGCUCUGGAUUCGGAUCUUCGGUAAUAAAGAUUGGUAUUAUUCAUAUCUUUCUCUAAUUCUUUGUUCUAAUUGCAUUAUGUCUCUAAUUAUUAUGUUCUUAGUUUGCUCUAGUUCUAUAUUUGAUAUAGUUCUAAUUGAUAAUGAGUUUAUGUAUAAGUUUGCAAAGCGCUUAGCUGUUGACGUGAGGGAGUUAGGUGAUAGAUCACAUGUGAGCGUGGUGCUUAGAUGUUAUUAAAAUGCAAAUGUAUCCUAUUGGCCGGGUCGUGUGGUAGUUCGCGAUAGUGACAGCUUCGUUGAUUCUUAUAUAGUCUACCCUCCGUUGAUAGGACAGGCAGAACCGGUAUUGUGGAGUAAGUCAUGCGAUGCUCUGAUUUACUUUAUCAAUGUUCCUUAUACAUGAAUGAAGAGUCUUUUAUGCUAUAUAUGAUCUUGUAGAUAACUAGAGUAGAUUAUGACUUAGUAGUUAGUAGAUAACUUAGAAUCCAUUCUCUAGCUAAUCCGACAUCACCUACAUAUAUGAGGAGUAGUCUAUUUUCUAAUCGCUGUGUUAUCUACCCAUGAACUUAUACUUUAUUAUCAUUAUCUUUAUGGUUUACCCCUUGCUAAAGUAGGUGAGUGUGUGACGAGUUUCUCAUUAGUAAUCAUGUUCUUGCGAGUUUAUCUCUAGUCUAUGCCUUGAUAGAUUUUGCCCCUUGAUUUAAUUGCAUCUUCUUUAGAUCACUUGAGCAAAAUUAUAAAUAACGAUACCUGGAAUACUUAUCCUGGUGAAAUGCUACAAUGAGGUGUUUUAUUUGUGCGCUUGCGGAUAGAAUAGAUUAUUUUCUAGAGAGCCUUUACAUUUAUAAAUACCUUUGUACACUCUAGCGCCAUGCUAGGGAUGACAACCUAGUAUCUAAGUGGUGUUAGCUAGUGUCAACAAGCAUUUCUGGCGCCGUUGCCGGGGAUAUUAUACGAGUCUCAGGAAUAAGUCAUAAAGGGGAACAAAAGGAUAAUACUUAGGAACGGUAAGGAAAGCCAGAAAAUCAAUCAAGGUUAUUCAUAUAAAAUAUUAGACUAGACUAUAGAGAAAUAAUUGCAUAAGACAGCUACUAAGUGAGAAAUCAUAACAAGGCACCUCUGCUUUGGCAGGUUCACCCUGUUGUUUUUCUAUGUUUAUAUUUUUAUACAGGGUAUAUCAGGAUUGACUUUGGGUACAUUCAACUCUUCAUCACCAGAACCAAAGCAAUCAAGAGAAGAAGAAGCUAGCUACCAAUUGCUGAAGCUAUGGCACAAAAGACCCUACAAGAAUUCUCUGCUCCAAGUCUUGACAACAUUCCAACUGGUCCAAGAUUUGCAGUAGAAGGAGUACCUGAGUUUGAGCUCAAGUCAAGCCUCAUCAGUUUGGUGCAAGCUAUACAAUUCAGUGGAAAGGCACAUGAAGAUGCUAGUGCACACUUGCAGAAUUUCUUAGAGAUUGGAAGCACAAUCCACAUCAACAGAGUUGACAAAGACGUCAUACUGCUUCGCCUUUUUCCAUUCUCACUAGAAGGGAAAGCGAGGAAGUGGUUCUACAAUCAUCAAGAUAACAUCAACAACUGGACGAACUUGUCAGAUGCCUUUCUAUCGAAGUUUUUCCCUAUAGGCAAAACAACUGCCUUAAGAGGAAAUAUUGUCAGUUUCCAACAGCAGAAGACAGAAGCCAUUUCAGAAGCAUGGGAGCAUUUUCAAGGAUACAUAUCAGAUUGUCCUCACCAUGGAAUGGCCACAUGGUUACUUAUGCAGACCUUCUACCAUGGAUUAACCCAGAAGGCUCGUGAGUGCCUUGAUGCAUCUGCUAAAGGAUCAUUCUUGGAGCUUACAACUGGAAAAGCAGAAAUACUUUUGGAUAAAAUAGCAGAAAAUCAAAGCUGGUUCCUAGAUAAGGCUCAACAUUGUCAUCAAACUGAAGAAAUACCAGAAGAAGUAAAUGCAUUAUCAACUAAGAUGGAAAAUUUGCUCCAUUGGAUUGACCAGAGGGCCAAGUUCAAAGAAGAUCAAAGGGCCAUUGAGACAGCAUACAAAUAUAAACCAACUUCGAGUCAACCCAAUAGCAAAGGUAUGAAUUCAGGUAAUACUUUCAAGCAACUUUUAUUAAAAGAGAUAAUUGCUCAACAAACCAAAAUUAAUGAUGAAAUUAAAUAAAGGCUAGAUACAAAUGAAUCAUCUCUAAAAGAUAUACACAAUAAAAUGGAUUUUCUACUAACUGCCUUUGAUGAGCAAAACACUCUUAAUAAAAGGGUAGAGCUUAAAUUAAUAAAGAUAGCUGCUGCACUGCCUGUUGCUACUAACCUUGAGCAGGUAAAGAAUAUAACUACUAGAGGAGGCAAAGCUACCAGAGAUCCUCCAUACCCAAAAGAGAAACAAAGAACAUCAGCACCAGUGCAACCAGCAGUGAUAGAAGAAGAAAGCCCAGUUGAAGCAGAAGAUAUGCUACAACCACCAAGAACUGGAGAAAUGAGGAAAGAUUUUUACGACACCAACUAUUUGCCAUUUCCCAGAAGAAACAGAGGAUUGCAGUCGGAUGAGCAGUUUGGUAAGUUUGUAGAGGUAAUUCAGAAAUUAUACGUCAACAUACCUCUGCUGGAUGCCAUACAGGUACCUACAUAUGCAAGGUACAUCAGAGAUAUUCUUAACAAGAAGAGACCACUGCCCACCACUGAGGUUAUCAAGCUGACAGAAGAAUGUAGUGCGGCCAUCCUCAACAAACCACCAAAGAAGAAGGAAGAUCCAGGAUGCCCCACUAUUGAUUGCUCGAUCGGAAACCAACACUUCAACAAUGCACUUUGUGAUCUCGGAGCAAGUGUCAGUGUGAUGCCAGCAUAAGUCUACAAAAAGCUUGAGCAUGCAACCCUAGAACCAACAUCAAUGUGCCUACAACUAGCGGAUCAAUCGGUUCGACACCCGUUGGGCAUCGCCGAGAACAUUCCAGUCAAGAUCAGAAAUUUCCUGGUGCCAGUAGACUUCGUAGUACUGGACAUGAGUCCUGACUCAAAAGUGUCCAUCAUCCUUGGAAGGCCAUUUCUGAGCACUGCCAAUGCCCACAUUGAUGUCGGAAAAGGAGAAAUCAAGUUCAACAUAAACGGACAAGAAGAACACUUCGCAUUCAAACCCAGACCAGAGAGAGACUCUACAGUGAAGGAAGUUCAUAAAGAACCACUAGAGACACCAUCUCCAGAGGAAGGUAACUCAGAAGAUUAAAAGAUUUGGAGGUCCAGCUUGAGGGACCAAAAAACCCCAAACCCUCACCGGGAGGUAAAUCGGUAUUUAUCCGCAUUAUUAAUUUUCUCAUAUUUAAAUUCUUGCAUAAUUAAUUCUUGCAUUAGUCAUAUAUAUUCAUAACAUUAUUAUAAUAAUAAAAAGCCCUAUAUAAAUAAUAUUCGUGGUGUGUAACAACCCAUAUUUAUUAAUUAUUGUGGAGGCACAAAAAUAUUUUCCAUUAUCAAUUUAGUUAAGUUUCAAUUCUCAUAGAUUUUCCUGCAUUAUAUUUAAUUAUAUUAACCUUCUAGAAGCAUGACCCACACUCCUUGGGUCUCACAUGUCAUACACCACACCUCACAUACAUCCCAUCACAUAAUUUCAUCCACCAAUAUGUUUCCACCCACCAGACAUUUUUCCACCGACCAACCACCACCAACACAACAUUAUUCUGCGUGAGAUCAAAGCAAGGAAGCAAGUGGAGGAGGCACACCUAGGAUGGACACCAGGAGUGGGCGCCCGCCCACCUACCAAGGGCGCCCGCCCUGCUCCCUCUUGCUCCUAUAAAUAGCCACAUUCUACCUCCAUCUUCUUCACACAAACACUCCAGAAAACCACACAAGUUUCAGUUUCGAGAGAAGGAGCUCUUGUAGUGAAGAGAAGAGAGUAGAAAGAAAGAGGAGAGUGGAAGAGAUGGUUGGGAGUUCUUUUGAGAGAGUGAUUAUCACCUAGUAAGUAGUGAUCCCGUUGUCUAAGCGGAAGUAAAAGUUGUUUAGGGGGAGGCUCUACCAAAAUAGAAACUUGUCUUGAACGAUUAACCCCUGGACUACUGACAUUCCGGACAGCUGACCACUAACAUUUUCUCUCACAUUUUCCACUAGUUGUGUUUUUGCCAACUUUUGUUUGCAGGAUGUUUAAGAAGGUGAAGAAUGCAGGAAAGGCUCUCAAGAACAUUGGUACAAGGAGUUCAGCCCGACACUCCUCACAGCCAUCAGAGAUGAGCGUCGACCCAACACCCACACAAGCUCCAUCAUCUUCAUCAGGUCAGCAAGUUAAGGUCCUUCUCAAGAUAGGAGACAUAGGACUAAAGACCCGAAGAGAGAAGGAAGUCUAUCAGCAGUUGAAGAACAAAGAUUUCAUUCACACCCCUACUAUCAAUCCAAUCUUACUACAAGAAACAGGUAUGGACACUGAAUUUGACUUAAUUUUUCGGAUGAUGGGUUGGACAAAUUUUUGGAAUAUAACUGAGCUGGGUUCUCGUCUUCUCACCCUUGAAUUUCUUUGCACCUUACAAUACUAUGAGGGGGGAUUGUUUUUCGGAUGUUCAAACAGGAGAUUAUGUUAUCUUGGAGAGAGCUGAGUGACCAUCUUGGUUUCUCUUCAAGAUGCAUCCUGAACAUUGACUCCGAUUUACCCAACUUUGAGAGACACCAGUUUUGGAGAGAAAUAUCUAGAGAUAAUUUUUAUAGUCAAGCCCGAACCAGUGACAUGGAACACCCCACUCUUAGGAUGUUCCACAAAUGGCUUGGGUACAAUCUUUUCUAUCGUGACAAUAUUAGGAAAGUAAGAGUAGGAGAUUUACAACUUUUAUAUGCUGCUAUUAGUAAAGUACCCACUUCACCUGUUACACUAUUAGUUUCUCAUUGGCUUAGUAUACCUAGUCUUCAGGGACCAGUAGGAUGUACUUCACUUAUCACUCGUCUAGCCUCUAAUCUUCAUUUACUAGAAAACUCGUCACUGGACUUCAUAAAUGAGUUAAGAAUUUAUCAUGGCUAUGACACAUUUAGACAGGCUCGGAUGUUAAAGAAAGAGGGGAAUAUAAUGUAUAUGCUAUAUGAUGAUAAAGGCAAGAUUCGGUUACCUAACCCGAACCUUGCCUCUACGUUGUUCAAAACUUUUUGAUUGAGAUUACAGCAACACCAGUGAACCAGAGAACUCCACAGCGAGUGGCAUCUGAAAAGAUAACCACUCACCGAGAACGCACCUGGUAUGGAGCUGACCCCGGACCAGAAGAAGCAACGCACCUGCAUUAUUGCGAUUACAACCCCCGAGUCCUUCGAGACCCAUGGGCUCGUCAUGCGCAAUCACAAGAGCCAACAGAGGAGACAUGGCCGGAGAGCCAAGAUCACCAGUGGACAAACCCGCCUUUUCAUAUGGGCAGGUACUCCACUGAUCCAUAUGGAGCUUCAGGAUCCAGACUUCUGCCCCAAUUUGAUGCAGGACGAUACUCCGACGCCUCCUACGCUUUCACGAAUGACUACUAUCAAGAGGCCGGUGCUUUCUUCACUCGUACCGACAACACCCUCCUCGACAUCCAGAACACACAGGCAGAACAUGGACGACUCCUGGAAGAGCAACAAAAAUGGAACCAGGACCAUGCCGCUGCAGUAGAAGAGCUGAGACGAGAUACAACAACAAUGAACGACAACGUCACAACCAUGAUGCGGUUCUGGAACAUCGGGUAAGAGCGACAGCAACAUCCACCUUGGGGGAGUUCCUCCCCAAUUUAUCAAGUAAGUUUUUAUUUGCUCUUCUUAUUUAUUCUUUUCUAUUUUAGUAUUUUAUCUUAAAAGGAAAAACUUAGAAAACCCAAUAAAUAUUUUCUUGCUUUAAUUUACUGCAUUCUAUAAACAUAAAAACAAAAUAAAAAGAGUGUGUAGAUAAGUGUGCUUUAUUUUCUUGCUAAGUGUAAUCUCUAGAAAUAUAAAAGACCAAAAAGAUAUAUGACGGAAAUGAUGAACAGUUGCUCUGUUUGCUUACAUUCAAGUACCUAGCUUUUAUAUUAGAGUUCUUCCAGGAAUUACUAAAACUAAAAUUACUAUUUUUAAAACAUAAAACUAAAGUCUAGGUAAGAGAAAGGCAUGAUAUAAAGUUGAGCUGCUGUUUAUCUUGUUUCUACUACACUAAGUUCUGGAGAUUUAUUUUGGAAACUUGCAAAUCACAUGAUGAGUUCCUAGCAUACAAAACUACCUACCACAGCCAUACUUGCUAUAACAUCUUUUACUAUAUUUACAUUGAGUUUGAUCGAGCUGUGUUGAUCAUUAGGAGCUUUUGAUGCGGUUAAAUUAGGAUAUUCACUUGCACACAUCUACCAUAGCAUUCAUCACCAAUCAUUAAAAUUACUAAAAAUAUUAUCACUCACUGUCCCAAAUAUUGUUAUUCUCUCUCUCUAAAAAGAUUCAAUAUAGAAGAGGCAUGGGUUAUGCAAAAAUAUGCGAGGAAAUAAAAAGGGGCAAGUGCCCGGAAACUCGAAAAAGAAAAAAAAAAGAGAAGUGAGACGAGAGGUAAAAAUGGACAAGUGUCCGAAGUAGAAUUAGGGGUACAAAGAUGCCCACUUGAGCGGAAAAAAUGGACAAGUGUCCGAUAGUAGAAUUAGGGGUAUCUACUACCCACCUAAAAAAAAGAAGAAGAAAAAGAGAUAGCCCAUGUUCUCCCAAAGCAAAGAUCAAAGAGAAGGAGAGAUAGCAAUAUGAGGAGCAAUGAGAAUUAAUUUUUAUUAUCACUUAUGCAUUUUCACCAUCACUAUCAUUUACUCCACCACACAUGCACAUCUUGAUUUAAUUAUAUGUUGAGUUCCUUUGGAUCCAUGGCUCGAUUAGACAACAUAUGUAUGAGCUGUUUUUCACUCCUAUGAGCUCCACUUAAAUAUUUCAUUAGCUAUAGGUAAGUGACAUUAUGGUAAGGAUCCACAAAUACCACAUAUAGAGAGACUUGAGAGAAUCAUUGCUGGGAACUCUGAGUUUUAUUUUGAAAACUUAUGAAAAACUCUGGAACAAAGGUGAAGUAUAAACAGGAGGAAUAGUGCUUGACUUAACUAUUUUGUCUUUCGAUUACUUAAGAUUUAAGUGCAGGUACUAAACUCCAUAACACUUCACUCUAAUCUGGAAGAAUUUUAUGUAAAAGCAUGUGUGCCUGUCAGGAAAGAAAACAUCGAAGCAACUUCUGAUUCGUCUAAGUUUAGCUAUUUGCUCAGGGAAGAGCAAAGGGUAAGCUUGGGGGAGUUUGUUGAUGGUCCUUAAGUACUAAAAUUAAUAAUCAAAUAAACAUGAAAAAGGAUCAAUAUGAAACAAACAUCUAGAAUUAGGGUUUUAUCUGACAGAAUUCCACGAGCUUUGGUGUUUAUCUAUUUCUGCAGGGGGUUAUCAGAGAAUAUGGAGAGAAGGCCCACAUGUCAUGUUUACAACGAGAUAAUUACGUGCCGCGCAAUUUUCCUCAAUCUAGAAGAAUCCAGAAGCCACGGGAACGAACGAGAAGAGGAUCGGGCUCGGGAGCAGGGCGGCCGCCCAACCCCCUUGGGCGCCCGCCCAGGCCAGGAGUCCAAUCAGGACUCUGCUUCGGGACUACGCUCCACCGACCUAAAGGAUCAAUCUAAACCAUACAAUCUAUGUCGGUUUGAUCCAAUGGCUCACGUCCACUUGAGGGGACUAUAAAACCAAGGCCAAACCCCCCCCCUGGAGGGAGGAGAAGAGAAGAAAUCAUUAUUCAGAGGUAGCCAUCAAAGUUAGGGUUUAGAGCUUCUCUCCCACAGAGAAUUAGAAUUAGCUACUCCCUAAUCCUUCAAGUUUAGAGGUUUGAUUAGAUAGCAAUUAGAGAAGUAGAGCACUACGCUCUGGAUUCGGAUCUUCGGUAAUAAAGAUUGGUAUUAUUCAUAUCUUUCUCUAAUUCUUUGUUCUAAUUGCAUUAUGUCUCUAAUUAUUAUGUUCUUAGUUUGCUCUAGUUCUAUAUUUGAUAUAGUUCUAAUUGAUAAUGAGUUUAUGUAUAAGUUUGCAAAGCGCUUAGCUCUUGACGCGAGGGAGUUAGGUGAUAGAUCACAUGUGAGCGUGGUGCUUAGAUGUUAUUUAUCUGCAAAUGUAUCCUAUUGGCCGGCUCGUGUGGUAGUUCGCGAUAGUGACAGCUUCGUUGAUUCUUAUAUAGUCCACCCUCUGUUGAUAGGACAGGCAGAACCAGUAUUGUGGAGUAAGUCAUGCGAUGCUCUGAUUUACUUUAUCAAUGUUCCUUAUACAUGAAUGAAGAGUCUUUUAUGCUAUAUAUGAUCUUGUAGAUAACUAGAGUAGAUUAUGACUUAGUAGUUAGUAGAUAACUUAGAAUCCAUUCUCUAGCUAAUCCGACAUCACCUACAUAUAUGAGGAGUAGUCUAUUUUCUAAUCGCUGUGUUAUCUACCCAUGAACUUAUACUUUAUUAUCAUUAUCUUUAUGGUUUACCCCCUGCUAAAGUAAGUGACUGUGUGACGAGUUUCUCAUUAGUAAUCAUGUUCUUGGAAGUUUAUCUCUAGUCUAUGCCUUGAUAGAUUUUGCCCCUUGAUUUAAUUUCAUCUUCUUUAGAUCACUUGAGCAAAAUUAUAAAUAACGAUACCUGGAAUACUUAUCCUGGUGAAAUGCUACAAUGAGGUGUUUUAUCCGUGCGCUUGCGGAUAGAAUAGAUUAUUUUCUAGAGAGCCUUUACAUUUAUAAAUACCUUUGUACACUCUGGCGCCAUGCUAGGGAUGACAACCUAGUAUCUAAGUGGUGUUAGCUAGUGUCAACAACAACCAAUUUAAAAGACUAUAUGAUGCGUAGCGUCUAAAAAGGGUAUGCAGACAAAGGCAAAGCAUCUACUUCUCUCUCAUAACCAACUUCCGAAUCUCGAGGACGAGAUUCAUCUUAGAUUGGAUCUAUAUACAUGUUUAGGAUCGUAUAGCAUUUAUCCAUCGGAUCCAUGGGUAAAUGAUAGAUAUUGUGUAGGCGUGGUGCUUAUACCGUAUUUAUCUGCGAUUGUACCCAAUAUGCCAGAUCGUGGGGUAGUUCGUGAUAGUGACAGCUUCAUUGAUUCUUAUAUAGUCCCCCUCUAGUGUAUUGGGCUGGCAGAGCAACAUUAUUACAGGGGAGUGAUUGCUAUGUUUCUCAUUUACCUUGAUAAUAUCACUAUGCAUGGGCGUAGUCUUGUCUCACAAUGAUUGCUAAGUAUAAUUGCACUAACUAUGGUAUGCUAGAAUAUAUAGUUAAGAAUAACUUAGGAAAUAUUCUUGUAGUUCAUUCUAAUUCCAUGCUAAUGACUUGCUAGAAUAUCUAAUUGAGGUGCUUAUCAUAUUUAUAUGUGGCAAAGUUAUACUGAUCAAAUUAAUUAUCUUUGUCACUAUUCAUUACUUUAUAUCCUUUAUGUGACACUUAUCCCUGUAUGAAAGAGUUAGAUAAAUGUUCUCAAUUAUACAUGCAAUGAUAGAUACUCAAUCUUAUAUUCCAUUCUAUAAUCAACAUUGAUGAUUACUAAUCCCUUCCUAGUGGUAAAAAUAUAAAUAACGAUACCUGGAGUACUUCCCGGUUAAAAUGCUACAUCGGUAUUAAUCUGUACGCUUGUAGAUCCCAUUCAUUAUUUAUUUAGAUGAGCAAUUGCAUAUUUCAAUACCGCGUCUCUUAUGUCAUGCUGGGGAUGACAACUUGGCUUAAGUGGCAUGAGGGAUAGGUUUGGCAUUUUUGGCACCGUUAUCAGAAUUAGAAAACUAAGUCUACUUUUAGUAAUGAUGUUAAGAAUACCCAACAGGCGCCAUGGACGACAGCAUCGGAGAGGGAGAGGGGAAGGUGGCGCGCUCACCACUGCGAAAAUCGAAGGCAGAGACGGCUUGGUUCGGCCGGACAGCGGGCGGUGGAUCGCGGCGGUGCUCCGGCGGUUGCUGCAAGCUCUGGAACGAGUGUAGAGGUGGGGAAGAGAGCGAAAUGGGAGCGGCAGGGGCGGCUCGGGCUCGUGCACGUCCAAAAGAGCAAAGCGCUGGGGGAGAAGGGAUCGUGGGGGAUGUGAGAGCGGGCGCGGCUCGAUCGGUCGUUGCCGAGAACGAAGAGAGGGGAAAGGAGCGGUUGGAUGGAGGAUGAAGCCUGACCAACGGGCCCCACUUGUCGGCGAGAGAAAGAGAGGGAGAGGGAAGGGGUGACCGGAUGGGCUUUGGCCCAAGAAGAGAGAAAAGAGGGGGGCGCGGGGUUGGGCCCUGCAGGCCGAAAACAAUAGAGGAGGGAAUGAAAAGUUUUCCUUUUUUUUCAUUUUCAAACCAAAUUUUCAAAUGCAUUUCCAAAAUGAAUUUUUGAGCAAAUUGACACUUUGUUUUUAAAAACAUCAUCACAAAUAAAAAAACACCAGCAUGUAUGCAACAAAAUAUUUCCUAAACUUAGAUUAGGUUUUAAUUUCUCAAAAUUUAUUAUUUUCCUAAAUUGCAAUGCUUCACCAAAAUUACUUAAUAAAUUCAAAUUCAUCUAUUUAAAAGAAAACAAAUUUUUGGUUGUUACAAUUCUACCCCCCUUAAAAUGAAUCUCGUCCUCGAGAUUUGGAAGAGGCUCAGAUCCUUUGAUAGAAAUAGGAAAAUAUCUUGAUAAUCCUUUCAUCUUCACAACUUGUAUACCAAACUUAAACACUUGUCUCAAGGUCACAUCUCGUGAACAAUAUUUCCAUUGAAUAACUAUUAUUCAUAAUUGACCAAAGUCCAUCUUGACUACUAAUUUCUUUUAGCUUACAACUCCAAGAGACAUGGAAACUUAAUAUGCAUUUGCCUCCUCACGUAGGAGUGGACCACCAUGAUACUCAAUUCUUUUUCCUGACGGUGCUAUUAAGAGCAUUUUGUACUGGGUACCAUAGAUCACUCUUUUGUGUGCACACAACCAUCCAUUACCAAGGACCAAGGGAAUACCAAGUGACUCUAGCACAAUGAGGUUUACAGUGAAGUUUUCCUUGUUUAUGACCAGAUUGAUAUUUGAGCACACCUGAUCUGCUUGUAUUUCUCCCACUGGGGUUUGAACUAACAAAGGCUUCCUCGUUGGGCACUUCACCCUCUCGAUUGUCUUUACGAGGUCGGUGGAAAUGAAAGAAUGUGAAGCACUCGAGUCAAAUAGAGCAAAAACUAGCACUGAGUCUACUUGAAUAUAGCCACCAACCACUUUGGUAGCUCCAUGAAUGUUAUGCCUAUCCACAGUGCUCAGUCUUCCAUUGAUAUAAUUUCAUUGCAACUUGUUGACGGUCCUUAAGUACUAAAAUUAAUAAUCAAAUAAACAUGAAAAAGGAUCAAUAUGAAACAAACAUCUAGAAUUAGGGUUUUAUCUGACAGAAUUCCACGAGCUUUGGUGUUUAUCUAUUUCUGCAGGGGGUUAUCAGAGAAUAUGGAGAGAAGGCCCACAUGUCAUGUAUACAACGAGAUAAUUAUGUGCCGUGCAAUUUUCCUCAAUCUAGAAGAAUCCAGAAGCCACGGGAACGAACGAGAAGAAGAUCAGGCUCGGGGGCAGGGCGGCCGCCCAACCCCCUUGGGCGCCCGCCCAGGCCAGGAGUCCAAUCAGGACUCUGCUUUGGGACUACGCUCCACCGACCUAAAGGAUCAAUCUAAACCAUACAAUCUAUGUCGGUUUGAUCCAAUGGCUCACGUCCACUUGAGGGGACUAUAAAACCAAGGCCAAACCCCCCCUGGAGAGAGGAGAAGAGAAGAAAUCAUUAUUCAGAGGUAGCCAUCAAUGUUAGGGUUUAGAGCUUCUCUCCCACAGAGAAUUAGAAUUAGCUACUCCCUAAUCCUUCAAGUUUAGAGGUUUGAUUAGAUAGCAAUUAGAGAAGUAGAGCACUACGCUCUAGAUUCGGAUCUUCGGUAAUAAAUAUUGGUAUUAUUCAUAUCUUUCUCUAAUUCUUUGUUCUAAUUGCAUUAUGUCUCUAAUUAUUAUGUUCUUAGUUUGCUCUAGUUCUAUAUUUGAUAUAGUUCUAAUUGAUAAUGAGUUUAUGUAUAAGUUUGCAAAGCGCUUAGCUGUUGACGCGAGGGAGUUAGGUGAUAGAUCACAUGUGAGCGUGGUGCUUAGAUGUUAUUUAUCUGCAAAUAUAUCCUAUUGGCCAGGUCGUGUGGUAGUUCGCGAUAGUGACAGCUUCGUUGAUUCUUAUAUAGUCCACCCUCCGUUGAUAGGACAGGCAGAACCGGUAUUGUGGAGUAAGUCAUGCGAUGCUCUGAUUUACUUUAUCAAUGUUCCUUAUACAUGAAUGAAGAGUCUUUUAUGCUAUAUAUGAUCUUGUAGAUAACUAGAGUAGAUUAUGACUUAGUAGAUAGUAGAUAACUUAGAAUCCAUUCUCUAGCUAAUCUGACAUCACCUACAUAUAUGAGGAGUAGUCUAUUUUCUAAUCGCUGUGUUAUUUAUCCCUUGAACUUAUAAUUCAUUAUCAUUAUCUUUAUGGUUUACCCCCUGCUUAAGUAUGUGACUGUGUGACGAGUUUCUCAUUAGUAAUCAUGUUCUUGCAAGUUUAUCUCUAGUCUAUGCCUUGAUAGAUUUUGCCCUUAAUUUCAUCUCCUUAGUUCUCUCGAGCAAAAUUAUAAAUAACGAUACGUGGAAUACUUAUCCUGGUGAAAUGCUACAAUGAGGUGUUUUAUCUGUGCGCUUGCGGAUAGAAUAGAUUAUUUUCUAGAGAGCCUUUACAUUUAUAAAUACCUUUGUACACUCUGGCACCAUGCUGGGGAUGACAACCUAGUAUCUAAGUGGUGUUAGCUAGUGUCAACAAGCAUUUCUGGCGCCGUUGCCGGGGAAGUCUCAUAAGAAAGUCAUAAAGGGAACAAAAGGGUAAUACUCAGGAACGGUAAGGAAAGCCAGAAAAUCAGUCAAGGUUGUUCAUAUAUAAAAUAUUAGACUAGACUAUAGAGAAAUAAUUGCAUAAAAACAGCUACUAAGUGAGAAAUCAUAACAAGGCACCUCUGCUUUAGCAGGUUCACCCUGUUGUUUUUCUAUGUUUUUAUUUUUAUACAGGGUAUAUCAGGAUUGACUUUGGGUACAUUCAACUCUUCAUCAUCAGAACCAAAGCAAUCAGGAGAAGAAGAAGCUAGCUACCAAUUGCUGAAGCUAUGGCACAGAAGACCCUACAAGAAUUCUCUGCUCCAAGUCUUGACAACAAUCCAACUGGUCCAAGAUUUGUAGUAGAAGAAGGAGUACCCGAGUUUGAGCUCAAGUCAAGCCUCAUCAAUUUGGUGCAAGCUACACAAUUCAGUGGAAAGGCACAUGAAGAUGCUAGUACACACUUGAUAUAUUUCUUAGAGAUUGGAAGCACAAUCCACAUCAAUGGAGUUUACAAAGAUGUCAUACUGCUUCGCCUUUUUCCAUUCUCACUAGAAGGGAAAGCGAGGAAGUGGUUCUACACUCAUCAAUAUAACAUCAACAACUGGACGAACUUGUCAGAUGCCUUUCUAUCAAAGUUUUUCCCUAUAGGCAAAACAACUGCCUUAAGAGGAAAUAUUGUCAGUUUCCAACAACAGAAGACAGAAGCCAUCUCAGAAGCAUGGGAGCGUUUUUAGGGAUACAUAUCAGAUUGUCCUCACCAUGGAAUGGCCACAUGGUUACUAAUGCAGACCUUCUACCAUGGAUUAACCCAGAAGGCUCGUGAGUGCCUAGAUGCAUCUGCUAAAGGAUCAUUCUUGGAGCUUACAAUUGGAAAAGCAGAGAUACUUUUGGAUAAGAUAGCAGAAAAUCAAAGUUGGUUCCAAGAUAAAGCUCAACAAUGUCAUCAAACUGAAGAAAUACCAGAAGAAGUAAAUGCAUUAUCAACCAAGAUGGAAAAUUUGCUCCAUUGGAUUGACCAGAGGGCCAAGUUCAAAGAAGAUCAAAGGGCCAUUGAGACAGCAUACAAAUAUCAACCAACUUCGAGUCAACCCAAUAGCAAAGGUAUGAAUUCAGGUAAUACUUUCAAGCAACUUUCAUUAAAAGAGAUAAUUGCUCAACAAACCAAAAUUAAUGAUGAAGUUAAACAGAGGCUAGAUACAAAUGAAUCAUCUCUAAAAGAUAUACACAAUAAAAUGGAUUCUCUACUAACUGCCUUUGAUGAGCAAAACACUCUUAAUAAAAGGGUAGAGCUUAAAUUAAUAAAGAUAGCUGCUGCACUGCCUGUUGCUACUAACAUUGAGCAGGUAAAGAACAUAACUACUAGAGGAGGCAAAGCCACCAGAGAUCCCCCAUACCCAAAAGAGAAACAAAGAACAUCAGCACCAGUGCAACCAGCAGUGAUAGAAGAAAAAAGCCCAGUUGAAGCAGAAGAUCUGCUACAACCACCAAGAACUGGAGAAAUGAGGAAAGAUUUUUACGACACCAACUAUUUGCCAUUUCCCAGAAGAAAUAGAGGACUGCAGUCAGAUGAGCAGUUUGGUAAGUUUGUAGAGGUCAUUCAGAAAUUAUAUGUCAACAUACCUCUGCUCGAUGCCAUACAGGUACCUACAUAUGCAAAGUACAUCAGAGAUAUUCUUAACAAGAAGAGACCACUGCCCACCACUGAGGUUAUCAAGCUGACAGAAGAAUGUAGUGCGGCCAUCCUCAAUAAGCCACCAAAGAAGAAGGAAGAUCCCGGAUGUCCCACUAUUGACUGCUCGAUCGGAAACCAACACUUCAACAAUGCACUUUGUGAUCUCGGAGCAAGUGUCAGUGUGAUGCCAGCAUCUGUCUACAAAAAGCUUAAGCAUGCGACCUUAGAACCAACAUCAAUGUGCCUACAACUAGCGGAUCAAUCGGUUCGACACCCAUUGGGCAUUGCCGAGAACAUUCCAGUCAAGAUCAGAGAUUUCCUUGUGCCAGUAGACUUCGUAGUACUGGACAUGAGUCCUGACUCAAAAGUGUCCAUCAUUCUUGGAAGGCCAUUUCUGAGCACUGCCAAUGCCCACAUUGAUGUCGGGAAAGGACAAAUCAAGUUCAACAUAAAUGAACGAGAAGAACACUUCACAUUCAAACCCAGACCAGAGAGAGACUCUACAGUAAAGGAAGUUCAUGAAGAACCACUGGAGACACCAUCUCCGGAGGAAGGUAAUUCAGAAGAUUAAACGAUUUGGAGGUCCAACUUGGGGGACCUAAAAAUCCCAAACCCUCGCCAGGAGGUAAAUCGGUAUUUAUCUGCAUCACUAAUUCUUGCAUAAUUAAAUCAUGCAUUAGUCAUAUACAUUCAUAGCAUUAUUAUAAUAAUCAAAAGCCCCGUAUAAAUAAUAUUCAUGGUGUGUAACAACCCAUAUUUAUUAAUUAUUGUGGAGGCACAAAAAAAAUAUAUUUUCCAUUAUCAUUUUAAUUUUCAAUUCUCAUAGAUUUUCCUGCAUUAUAUUUAAUUAUAGUAGCCUUCUAGAAGCAUGACCCACACUCUUUGGGUCCCACAUGUCAUACACUUCACCUCACAUACAUCCCAUCACAUAAUUUCAUCCACCAAUAUGUUUCCACUCACCAGACAUCUUUCCACCGUCCAACCACCACCAACACAAUAAUAUUCUGCGUGAGAUCAAAGCAAGGAAGCAAGUGGAGGAGGCACACCCAGGAUGGACACCAGGGGUGGACGCCCGCCCACCUACCCAGGGCGCCCGCCCUGUCCCCUGCUCAGCUUAUAAAAGGCCACCUCCAGCUCCCCUUCUCUUCACACACACAUUUCAGAAAACCUUGCAAGCUCGGUUUCCAGAGAAUAGCUCUGAGUGUGAGAAAGUUGGGAGUUCGUUUGAGUGAGAGAGUGAGUAUCACCUAGCAAAUAAUGAUCCCGCUGUCUAAGCGGAAGUAAAAGUUGUUUAGGGGGAGGCUCUACCAAAAUAGAAACUUGUCUUGAACGAUUAACCCCUGGACUACUGACAUUCCGGAAAGCUGACCACUAACAUUUUCUCUCACAUUUUCCACUAGUUGUGUUUUUGCCAACUUUUGUUUGCAGGAUGUUUAAGAAGGUGAAGAACGCAGGGAAGGCUCUCAAGAACAUUGGUACAAGGAGUUCAGCCCGACACUCCUCACAGCCAUCAGAAAUGAGCGUCGACCCGACACCCACACAAGCUCCAUCAUCUUCAUCAGGUCAGCAAGUUAAGGUCCUUCUCAAGAUAGGAGACCUUGGACUGAAGACCCGAAGGGAGAAGGAAGUCUAUCAGCAAUUGAAGAACAAAGAUUUCAUUCACACCCCUACUCUCGAUCCAAUCUUACUACAAGAAACAGGUAUGGACACUGAAUUUGACUUAAUUUUCCAGAUGAUAGGUUGGACCAAUUUUUGGAAUAUAACUGAGCUAGGUUCUCGUCUUCUCACCCUCGAAUUUCUUUGCACUUUACAAUACUAUGAGGGGGGAAUUGUUUUUCGGAUGUUCAAACAGGAGAUUAUGUUGUCUUGGAGAGAGCUGAGCGACCAUCUUGGUUUGUCUUCAAGAUGCAUCCUGAACAUUGACUCCGACCUACCUAUCUUUGAGAGACACCAGUUUUGGAGAGAAAUAUCUAGAGAAAAUUUUUAUAGUCAAGCCCGAACCAGUGACAUGGAACACCCCACUCUUAGGAUGUUCCACAAAUGGCUUGGGUACAAUCUUUUCUAUCGUGAUGAUAUUAGAAAAGUAAGAGUAGGAGAUUUACAACUUUUAUAUGCUGCUAUUAAUAAAGUACCCACUUCACCUGUUACACUAUUAGUUUCUCAUUGGCUUAGUAUACCUAGUCUUCAGGGACCAAUAGGAUGUACUUCACUUAUCACUCGUCUAGCCUUUAAUCUUCACUUACUAGAAAACUCAUCGUUGGACUUCAUAGAUGAGUUAAGAAUUUAUCAUGGCUAUGACACAUUUAGGCAAGCUCGGAUGUUAAAGAAAGAGGGGAAUAUAAUAUAUAUGCUAUAUGAUGAUAAAGGCAAGAUUCGGUUACCUAACCCGAACCUUGGCCUCUAUGUUGUUGAAAACUUUUUGAUUUAGAUUGCAGCAACACCAGUGAACCAGAGAACUCCACAGCGAGUGGCAUCUGAAAGGAUGACCACCCACCGAGAACGCACCUGGUAUGGAGCUGACCAUGGACCAGAAGAAGCAGCGCACCUGCAUUAUUGCGAUUACAACCCUCGAGUCCUUCGAGACCCAUGGGUUCGACAUGCGCAACCACAAGAGCCAACAGAGGAGACAUGGCCGGAGAGCCAAGAUCACCAGUGGACAAACCCGCCUUUUCAUACGGGCAGGUACUCCACUGAUCCAUAUGGAGCUUCAGGAUCCAGACCUCCACCCCAAUUUGAUGCAGGACGAUACUCUGACGCCUCCUACGCUUUCACGAAUGACUACUACCAAGAGGCCGGUGCUUUCUUCACUCGUACCGACAAUACCCUCCUUAACAUCUAGAACACGCAAGCAGAACAAGGAAGACUCCUUGAAGAACAAUAAAAAUGGAACCAGGACCAUGCCACUGCAGUAGAAGAGCUGAGACAAGAUACAACAACAAUGAACGACAACAUCACAACUAUGAUGCGGUUCUGGAACAUCGGGUAAGACCGACGACAACAUCCAGCUUGGGGGAGUUCCUCCCCAAUUUAUCAAGUAAGUUUUUAUUUGCUCUUCUUAUUUAUUCUUUUCUGUUUUAGUUUAUUUUAUCUUAAGAGAAAAAACUUAGAAAACCCAAUAAAUAUUUUCUUGCUUUAAUUUACUACAUUCUAUAAACAUGAAAACAAAAUAAAAAGAGUGUGUAGAUAAGUGUGUUUUAUUUUUGUACUAAGUUUAAUCUCUAGAAAAAACAAAAAGACCAAAAAGAUGCAUGAUGGAAAUAAUGAACAGUUGCUCUGUUUACUUACUUUCAAGCACCUAGCUUUUAUAUUAGAGUUCUUCCAGGAAUUACUAAAACUGAAAUUACUAUCUUUGGGAAGCAUAAAACUAAAGUCUAGGUAAGAGAAAGGCAUAAUAUAAAGUUUGAGCUGCUGUUUAUCUUGUUCCUACUACACUAAGUUCUAGAGAUUUAUUUUGAAAACUUGCAAAUCACAUGAUGAGUUCCUAGCAUAACAAACUACCUACCACAGCCAUACUUGCUAUAACAUCUUUUACUAUAUUUACAUUGAGUUUGAUCGAGCUGUGUAGACCCUUAGGAGCUUUUCAUGUGGUUAAAUUAAGAUAUUCACUUGCACACAUCUACCACAGCAUUCAUUACCAUUCAUUAAAAUUGCUAAAAAUAUUAUCACUCACUGUCCCGAAUAUUGUUAUUCUCUCUCUAAAAAGAUUCAAUGCAGAAGAGGCAUGGGUUAUGCAAAAAUAUGCGAGGAAAUAAAAAGGGGCAAGUGCCCGGAACCUCUAUAAAAGAAAAAGAGUGAGACGAGAGGUAAAAAUGGACAAGUGUCCGAAGUAGAAUUAGGGGUACAAAGAUGCCCACUUGAGCGGAAAAAAAUGGACAAGUGUCCGACAGUAGAAUUAGGGGUAUCUACUACCCACCUGAAAAAAAAGAAAAAAAAGAUAGCCCAUGUUCUCCCAAAGCAAAGAUCAAAGAAGAGGAGAGAUAGCAAUAUGAGGAGCAAUAAGAAUUAAGUUUUAUUAUCACUUAUAUAUCUUCACCAUCACUACCAUUUACUCCACCACACAUGCACAUCUUGAUUUAAUUAUAUGCUGAGUUCCUUUGGAUCCAUGGCUCGAUUAGACAACAUAUGUAUGAGCUGUUUUUCACUCCUAUGAGCUCCACUUAAAUAUUCCACUAGCUAUAGGUAAGUGACAUUUUUGGUAAGGAUCCACAAAUACCACAUAUAGAGAGACUUGAGAGAAUCAUUGCUGGGAACUCUGAGUUUUAUUUUGAAAACUUAUGAAAAACUCUAGAACAAAGGUGAAGUAUAGACAGGGGGAAUAGUGCUUGACUUAACUAUUUUGUCUUUCGAUCACUUAAGAUUUAAGUGCAGGUACUAAACUCCAUAACACUUCACUCUAAUCUGGAAGGAUUUUUUAUGCAAAAGCAUGUGUGCCUGUCAGGAAAGAAAACAUCGAAGCAACUCCUGAUCCGUCUGAGUUUAGCUAUUUGCUCAGGGACGAGCAAAAGGGUAAGCUUGGGGGAGUUUGUUGACGGUCCUUAAGUACUAAAAUUAAUAAUCAAAUAAACAUGAAAAAGGAUCAAUAUGAAACAAACAUCUAGAAUUAGGGUUUUAUCUGACAGAAUUCCACGAGCUUUGGUGUUUAUCUAUUUCUGCAGGGGGUUAUCAGAGAAUAUGGAGAGAAGGCCCACAUGUCAUGUUUACAAUGAGAUAAUUACGUGCCGCGCAAUUUUCCUCAAUCUAGAAGAAUCCAGAAGCCACGGGAACGAACGAGAGCACGAUCGGGCUCGGGGGCAGGGCGGCCGCCCACCCCCCUUGGGCGCCUGCCCAGGGUUGGAGACCAAUCGGGACUCUGCUUCGGGGCAAAACUCCACCGACCUAAAGGAUCAAUCUAAACCAUACAAUCUAUGUCGGUUUGAUCCUAUGGCUCACAUUCACUUGAAGGGACUAUAAAACCAAGGCCUCUCCCCCCCUGGAGGAGAGAGGAGAAGAGAAGAAAUCAUUAUUCAGAGGUAGCCAUCAAAGUUAGGGUUUAGAGCUUCUCUCCCACAGAGAAUUAGAAUUAGCUACUCCCUAAUCCUUCAAGUUUAGAGGUUUGAUUAGAUAGCAAUUAGAGAAGUAGAGCACUACGCUCUGGAUUCGGAUCUUUGGUAAUAAAGAUUGGAAUUAUUCAUAUCUUUCUCUAAUUCUUUGUUCUAAUUGCAUUAUGUCUCUAAUUAUUUUGUUCUUAGUUUGCUCUAGUUCUAUAUUUGAUAUAGUUCUAAUUGAUAUGAGUUUAUGUAUAAGUUUGCAAAGCGCUUAGCUCUUGACGCGAGGGAUUUAGGUGAUAGAUCACAUGUGAGUGUGGUGCUUAGAUGUUAUUUAUCUGCAAAUGUAUCCUAUUGGUCGGGUCGUGUGGUAGUUCGCGAUAGUGACAGCUUCGUUGAUUCUUAUAUAGUCCACCCUCCGUUGAUAGGGCAGGCAGAACCGGUAUUUGUUGACGGUCCUUAAGUAUCAAAUUUAAUUAUCAAAUAAAUAAAGAAAAGGAUCCAAAUGAAAUCAAGAUCUAGACUUAGGGUUUUAUCUGACAGAAUUCCACGAGUUUUGGUGUUUGUCUAUUUCUGCAGGGGGUUAUCAGGAAAUAUGGAAGAAAGGCCCACAUGUCAGGAUUACGUAAAGAUAUUAACGUGCUGCGCAAUUAUCUUACAUCUAGAAGACUCUAGAAGCCACGAGACUGAAGCGGAGGCGAAACGGGGCCAGAGGCAGGGCGCCCGCCCUGUCCUACUGGGCGCCCGCCCCCUGUCCAAGUCCAAUCAGGACUCUGCUUUGCGGGAAGUCUCCACCGACCUAAAGGAUGAAUCUAAACCAUACAAUCUAUGUCGGUUUGAUCCAAGGGCCCAUAUUCACUUGAAGGGACUAUAAAACCAGACCCCCUGGCCCCUGGAGGAGAGAGCCUCUCAACCCUAAUUCAUUGUUCCAUCAAGGGAGAAGCUACCUCUGAUCGAGAUUAGAGCCACCACAUCAAUUAGAUAUCUAGAUUAGCAUAGCUACAUAGGAUUAGAACUAGAAGGAAUCUUGGUAAUUCUCUAAUUGUGCUUCUAAUUGCUUUCUAAUUAUCUUUGUUCUUCAAUAUUAUGAAUAUGACUUUGUUCUACUUCAAUAUAUUGCUUAUGACUUUGCUCUAUUUGCUCAUAUUCAAGAUUAUAUUGUUCUUAGUUUAUCAUAGUUAUGUACUUGGCUUAGUUAGAUACGAUCUAUAUACAUGCUUAGGAUCGUAUAGCGUUUAUCCAUCGGAUCCAUGGGUAAAUGAUAGAUAUUGUGUAGGCGUGGUGCUUAUACCGUAUUUAUCUGCGAUUGUACCCAAUAUGCCAGAUCGUGGGGUAGUUCGUGAUAGUGACAGCUUCAUUGAUUCUUAUAUAGUCCCCCUCUCGUGUAUUGGGCUGGCAGAGCAACAUUAUUACAGGGGAGUGAUUGCUAUGUUUCUCAUAUUCCUUGCUAAUAUCACUAUGCAUGGGCGUAGUCUUGUCUCACAAUGAUUGCUAAGUAUGCUUGCACUAACUAUGAUAUGCUAGACUACAUAGUGAAGAAUAACUUAGGGAAUAUUCUUGUAGUUCGUUCUAAUACCAUGCUAAUGACUUUCUAGAGUAUCUAAUUGAGGUGCUUAUCAUAUUUAUUAUGUGGCUAGAUCAGAUUAGUUAUCCUUGUCACUAUUAUUAUUUCAUAUAUCUUUUAUGUGACACUUAUCCCUGUAUGAUGAGUUAGAUAUAAUGUUCUCAAUUAUACAUGCAAUGAUAGAUGCUCAAUCUCAUAUUCUAUUCUGUAAUCAAUAGUGAUGAUUUCUAAUCCCUUCCCAGUGGUAAAAAUAUAAAUAACGAUACCUGGAAUACUUCGCGGUUAAAAUGCUACAUCGGUAUUAAUCUGUGCGCUUGCAGAUCCCAUUCAUUAUUUAUUUAGAAGAGCAAUUGCAUAUUUCAAUACCGCGUCUCUUAUAUCAUGCUGGGGAUGACAACUUGGCUUAAGUGGUGUAAGGGAUAGGUUUGGCAUUUUUGGCACCGUUACUAGAUUUAGAGAACUUAGUCUACUUUUAGUAAUGAUGUUAAGAAUACCCAACAAGCAUUUUUGGUGCCGUUGCCGGGGAAGGUUGAUUACCAAUCAGGAAUAGAAUAAAAGAUUUAGAGUAAUCAUUCGGAUCACUAAUAUGAUUGAGCUUAUCUAUUCUCUCAUACAGUUUUACCCCGAUAUUUUUCUAUUUUAUCUUAUGCAGGGGAAUGUAUGAAUAGAAGACAUCUUCCAGGGAAUUUUGUUGACAAUCCUGAAGCAUUAUUCAAGAAGACGAGAGCCAAGCUAAAGAAAUCAUCAACACUUCACGAAGAAGCUUCAUCCAAUCAAGAAGAUCACCGGAACUUGUCUUCAGAGUUCGAAGCCAUGGCGAACAAAUCAAUCCGCGAGUUCUCAGCUCCCACUAUGGACAACAUCCGCACUGGAACUGCUGCAGAGAUCGAUGGCAACUUUGAGCUCAAUCCUGGACUUAUCAACAUGGUGCAAUCCAACCAGUUCUGUGGGAAGGCACACGAAGAUGCUAGUGCUCAUUUACAACACUUCCUGGAGAUUUGCAACACAUUCACCAUAGCAGGAGUUUCCAAAGACGCUAUACUACUUCGCCUCUUCCCAUUCUCACUGUUAGGAAGAGCGAAGCAGUGGUUCUACGCUACAAAGGAGAAGAAUACUACGUGGGCACUCUACUCAACAAACUUCCUAGCUAAGUUCUUUCCCAUGGGCAAGACCAAUGCUCUCCGUGGGAAGAUUACAAGUUUUCAGCAACAAAAUGAUGAAUCUGUUCCAGAAGCAUGGGAGCGCUUUCAAGACUACAUCCUAGAAUGUCCCCAUCAUGGAAUGGAGAGUUGGCUAUUGAUGCAGACGUUUUAUCAUGGGCUCAGCAACAGUGCCCGAGAGACCAUGGAUGCUGCAGCUGGAGGAGCAUUCUUAUCACUUACUAUACCACAAGCCACAGCUCUUGUGGAGAAGAUGGCGUCCAAUCAAAGCUGGAAUGAAGAGAGGACCCAGACACGCAAGAGAGGUGGAGGUAUGCAUCAGCUGAAGGAGGUAGACAUGCUGUCUACAAAGCUAGACCUGCUCAUGAAGAAGCUCGAUGAUAGAGCUGGAGACAAGAAAGAAGUUAUGCACAUCUACGACUCUCACAUGACUUGUGAGGAGUGUGGAGACACUGGACACUCAGGCAACCACUGCCCUGAGAUACUUGAGGAUGUGAACUACAUCAACAACAACAACUACUACUACAACCGUCCUCAACAAAAUCAAGGUUGGAAUCAACAGAGGCCUAACUACUCAGGUAAUUAUCAAGGUAACAAUUCUUACAACAAUAAUAAUUUUCCACCUUUGAGAGAGUUAGUGUCUAAUCAAGGAAAGCUAAUGGAUAACCUAUCUAAGAAAUUGGCAUCUAAUGAUAAAAUACUAGAAAAUAUAAAUAAUAGAAUGGAUAAUUUCUCUACUGCCAUCAAGAAUCAAAUUAGCUUUAAUAAAAUGAUUGAAUCUCAGUUAAAUCAAAUAGCUGCUGCUGUUCCUACUACUAACCCCGGUAUACCAUCACAACUGGAAGGAUUAGAAUCUGCAAAUCUUGUAGACACGUUUGGUGCAGGUAAUUGGAGUAACCCCGUCACUGAAUUCUCUACUGACCUUCUGCCGGUCAAGAGAGGCGAUCCAGGACGCCCCAUCAUCCCGAUCUCCAUCGGCAUGGUGGACUUCCCAGAAGCACUCUGUGACUUUGGCUCUAGCGUCAACAUUAUACCCAGGGUACUCUAUGAAAAAUUCUUUGCAUAUCCUUUAUUAGAGACAACCAUGUGUUUGCAGUUUGCAGAUCAGACGAUAACUUUUCCAAAAGGAAUAGUGAGGAACCUUUGUGUCCGAGUUGGUACCUUGUAUGCACCAGCAGACUUCGUAGUGGUAGAGACCGGAAAUGAUGAGAGAGCACCUAUCAUCUUAGGGAGGCCAUUCUUGAACACCACGGGAGCUAUCAUCUACGCCAGUGCUACUAAGAUCAGUUUCUACGUCAAAGGGAAGAAGGAACAAGCAAGUGUGGACCGAGUCAGCUAAGAUGGUCACUGUAGUCCAUGGAGGCCAAGAUCACCAACUGAAGUCAACGUUUUUGACCAAGAAGGACGACCCAGGAAUGCCAAGCAUUUACUGCUCCAUAAAUGGAUAUAACUUCUACAAGACGAUUUGCGACACCGGAUCAGGCGUCAACAUAAUGGCCGCAGUCACCUAUCGGCUCUUGUUCGGGACCAUGCCACUAAGACCAACAUACAUUCAGCUCCAGAUGGCAGAUCAGACAUUUCGAGAAGUUCAAGGAAUAGUAUCUGAUGUCCCAGUCAAAAUAGACGAUCACUUUGUCUACACAGACUUUCAAGUUGUUGACAUGGGAGAAGACGAGUAUGAUCCACCCAUCAUCCUUGGAAGGCCGUUCCUCAGCACCGUUAAAGCAAUUAUCUACAUUGGAACCGGAGAAGUCCAUAUGCACUUCCCCUCAGAGAAGGUACGCCGUUAUUUUACUGACCCUAACUAUAUCGUUGAAGAAUCUAAGCAGGUCAGAAAGAGACGCAACCGCAACCAGAGGAGGUAGAUCAUCAAGGACGGAUGGGCAGACUAUGAAGGAGAAGUUGUAAGGUCAGAAGACGUAGAGUUUAAACAGAAUUAUCCAGAGGAGAUUGAAGCACCGAGUCAGGUAUGGAAAAUGAAGAUAACUAUACAAGAAGAGGAGGCGCUGCCGGAAAUACCGACUACGCCACCCAACGAACCUCACGACGAUUAAGAAAUUGGAGAGUCCCGUUCGGAGGACUUAAAAACACCGAACGCCUUGCCAAGAGGUAAACUUGGUAGUUACCCUUUUCCCUUUCAAUUAUUUCAAAUAGUUUACUUAGUUAAUCAUGUUCAUACUAUCUUAAAAAGAAAAUAAAAAUAUGAAAAACAGUAAGCACCAUGUGAGUAUACGAGUGGCAUAAAACCCAUAAGUACAUUCACUGUGGAGGCAUAAAAAUAAAAUAAAUAUUUUUCUGCUUUAUAAAAUGAAAAUAUAAAAACAGGGAGUAAUAAUUAUUAAGGAGUCUCAAGAUGAUGAAGGCUAUAUAUUUAUGCUAACACUUAAUCAGUUCCACAAGCUUUGUUGUCUAUUUGAGCUCCACAGAAUUCAAGAAGACUAGCAGACGGAGGACAUUCUAAUCGCUGUCAGAAUGCUGCUGACUUUCAACUACACCUCUGCCACCUGCUAGCUACAUCGAGAGAAAUUACGUCAAAAUUCAGCUUGGGGGAGAGCACCCCCAUUUAUCCCGAUGAGUAUUUCUAUCUAUCUAUACUUAUAUUAUUAAAUAUAUAAACUAUGAAAAACCAAAUAAAGAUUUUAUGCUUAUAUAUAUGUCUUUUGCUUAGUGUGUUUAAUAAAUAAAUAAAGUGGCUAUGCUAAUCUGUAUCUUAAUAAUAAAACUCUAGCAUGGAUAUGAUGAAUAGUUGCUCUGCCUAAUUUGCACGUUGUAAGUUCUCUCUCAAGUUUAGACAUAACAGUUAUAAUUUAAAGCUUGCUCUAGACCUAAACUUGUGGGAUGAAAACUUGAUCUGAAGUCUAAGUUGUUAACGGAUACGAUAUGGGAAGGCUGAGCUGCUGUUUAUCUGUUCCUAGAGAUGCUAGAAUUCUGGAGAAUUUUAUCUUUGAAAAUCUUUAAAAUGUUGCAUGAUGAGUUCCUGUAUGAUGAGAGCUUAAAUUCCUACCACAGCCAUAUAUACAUGCUUGCUAGACUUUGAGCCACACAUUUAUUAUUUACUGCUUAUGAGCAUUGAGUAUGGUCAAGCUGUGUAGACCCUUAGGAGCUUGUCAUGUGGUUAAAUCAAAAUUUCACUUACACGUUCACUCAUAUAUGCUACUUCUAUUCUGGAAGUACCAUCCACAUAUAUCCACCCAUUCCAUCUCCAGAAUCACCUAAAAAUAUUCUACUCCUAAUCCGGGAGAGAAUAACCAAAAAUAUUUUCUGUUUUCCCUUGUGAAAUAAAUGCUCAAGUUAUCUUGUUACUACCACUUGCUAUAUUAUCUCAAGAGAUGAAUGCUCAAAAAAAAUAAAAAAAAUAAAAUAAAAAAUAAUACGAGGAAAUAAAGAGGAGCAAGUGCUCGGAACCUCGAAAGAAAAGAAAAAGUGAGACGAGAGGUAAAAAUGGACAAGUGUCCGACAGUAGAAUUAGGGGUGCAAGAUACCCACCUGAGAGAAAAGAAAAAGAAGAGCAUCUCAUUCUCCUCAUAAAGUUUCAAAAGGAAGGAAGGUAUGUAUCCCCUCAAAAGAGCAAAGUAGAAUUAGACUUCCACCACCAUUGUUAUCACCAUUGUUAUCACCAUCGUCACCAUAUACCAUACAUUCGCCACACAUGCACAUCUUGAUUAAACUUAUUGACUUGUUACUUUGGAUCCAUGGUUUGACUAUGCAAUAAAUGUCUUGUAAGUAUGUAUAUUUUAUCUCCCACCUAUGAGCUCCAAAUAUUAAAGCCUUAUUAGAGUAGGAUGAGAGAGAAGGCAAUAUCACUAUGCCUCAUACCACAAAUACCACAUAUCUUGAGAGAAGGCAUAUACCAUCAAUGCCUUGGUAAGGAUCCAGAAAUACCACAAAAGAGAGACCUGAGAGAAUCAUACAAGGAAUCUCUGAGUUUUAUUUGAAAAUCUGCAAAAAUCCUAGAGCUAUAGCUGAUCAAGAAUAAGAGACAUGGCACUUGGCUAGACUGUUCUAUCUUUUAACCACUCAAGACAGAAGUGACAGUUACAAGUCCCAUGGUGGAGGUAAAGUAAGUAAGUUUUAAGUCUUGACAGUUUACUCUUACUCAGAGAUAAGAUCUUAUUUAAAAGCAUGUGUACCGUCAAAUUUUUAAAUAUAUUGCAACAACUUAUGAUCCAUAGCUGAGUCUAUCCUUGCUUAGGGACGAGCAAGAGGUAAGCUUGGGGGAGUUUGUUGACGGUCCUUAAGUAUCAAAUUUAAUUAUCAAAUAAAUAAAGAAAAGGAUCCAAAUGAAAUCAAGAUCUAGACUUAGGGUUUUAUCUGACAGAAUUCCAUGAGUUUUGGUGUUUGUCUAUUUCUGUAGGGGUUUAUCAGGAAAUAUGGAAGAAAGGCCCACAGGUCAGGAUUACGUAAAGAUAUUAACGUGCUGCGCAAUUAUCUUACAUUUAGAAGACUCCAGAAGCCACGAGACCGAAGCGGAGGUGAAACGGGGCCAGAGGUAGGGCGCCCGCCCUGUCCUACUGGGCACCCGCCCCCUGUCCGAGUCCAAUCAGGACUCUGCUUUGCGGGAAGUCUCCACCAACCUAAAGGAUGAAUCUAAACCAUACAAUCUAUGUCGGUUUGAUCCAAGGGCCCAUAUUCACUUGAAGGGACUAUAAAACCAGACCCCCGGCCCCUGGAGGAGAGAGCCUCUCAACCCUAAUUCAUUGUUCCAUCAAGGGAGAAGAAGCCUCUGAUCGAGAUUAGAGCCACCACAUCAAUUAGAUAUCUAGAUUAGCAUAGCUACAUAGGAUUAGAACUAGAAGGAGUCAAUCUUUGAUUGGUUUCCGGAUCUGUCAGGAGGAUUCUGGGUAAUUCUCUAAUUGUGUUUCUAAUUGCUUUCUAAUUAUCUUUGUUCUUCAAUAUUAUGAAUAUGACUUUGUUCUACUUCAAUAUAUUGCUUAUGACUUUGCUCUAUUUGCUCAUAUUCAAGAUUAUAUUGUUCUUAGUUUAUCAUAGUUAUGUACUUGGCUUAGUUAGAUACGAUCUAUAUACAUGCUUAGGAUCGUAUAGCGUUUAUCCAUCGGAUCCAUGGGUAAAUGAUAGAUAUUGUGUAGGCGUGGUGCUUAUACCGUAUUUAUCUGCGAUUGUACCCAAUAUGCCAGAUCGUGGGGUAGUUCGUGAUAGUGACAGCUUCAUUGAUUCUUAUAUAGUCCCCCUCUCGUGUAUUGGGCUGGCAGAGCAACAUUAUUACAGGGGAGUGAUUGCUAUGUUUCUCAUAUUCCUUGCUAAUAUCACUAUGCAUGGGCGUAGUCUUGUCUCACAAUGAUUGCUAAGUAUGCUUGCACUAACUAUGAUAUGCUAGACUAUAUAGUUAAGAAUAACUUAGGGAAUAUUCUUGUAGUUCAUUCUAAUACCAUGCUAAUGACUUUCUAGAGUAUCUAAUUGAGGUGCUUAUCAUAUUUAUUAUGUGGCUAGAUCAGAUUAGUUAUCCUUGUCACUAUUAUUAUUUCAUAUAUCUUUUAUGUGACACUUAUCCCUGUAUGAUGAGUUAGAUAUAAUGUUCUCAAUUAUACAUGCAAUGAUAGAUGCUCAAUCUCAUAUUCUAUUCUGUAAUCAAUAGUGAUGAUUUCUAAUCCCUUCCCAGUGGUAAAAAUAUAAAUAACGAUACCUGGAAUACUUCCCGGUUAAAAUGCUACAUCGGUAUUAAUCUGUGCGCUUGCAGAUCCCAUUCAUUAUUUAUUUAGAAGAGUAAUUGCAUAUUUCAAUACCGCGUCUCUUAUAUCAUGCUGGGGAUGACAACUUGGCUUAAGUGGUGUAAGGGAUAGGUUUGGCAUUUUUGGCACCGUUACUAGAUUUAGAGAACUUAGUCUACUUUUAGUAAUGAUGUUAAGAAUACCCAACAGUAUUGUGGAGUAAGUCAUGCGAUGCUCUGAUUUACUUUAUCAAUGUUCCUUAUACAUGAAUGAAGAGUCUUUUAUGCUAUAUAUGAUCUUGUAGAUAACUAGAGUAGAUUAUGACUUAGUAUAUAGUAGAUAACUUAGAAUCCAUUCUCUAGCUAAUCCGACAUCACCUACAUAUAUGAGGAGUAGUCUAUUUUCUAAUCGCUGUGUUAUUUAUCCCUUGAACUUAUAAUUCAUUAUCAUUAUGUUUAUGGUUUACUCCCUGCUUAAGUAUGUGACUGUGUGACGAGUUUCUCAUUAGUAAUCAUGUUCUUGCAAGUUUAUCUCUAGUCUAUGCCUUGAUAGAUUUUGCCCUUAAUUUAAUCUCCUUAGUUCUCUCGAGCAAAAUUAUAAAUAACGAUACCUGGAAUACUUAUCCCGGUGAAAUGCUACAAUGAGGUGUUUUAUCUGUGCGCUUGCGGAUAGAAUAGAUUAUUUUCUAGAGAGCCUUUACAUUUAUAAAUACCUUUGUACACUCUGGCACCAUGCUGGGGAUGACAACCUAGUAUCUAAGUGGUGUUAGCUAGUGUCAACACACCUUACUUCCGUGAGUAGGCUUCUUACGGCUUUUCCUUUUUCUCUUUCGUCGUUGUGGAUUCUGAUUUGAUUCACUUCCAACUUGCUCUUCAGUAUCAUUAUUUUGAUAGUACUCAAUUUCAUCAUACUCAUAACAUCCUUCAAGGGUAGGAUCAUCAUUCUCUUCCCAUGUAUGAGUAAGAUGUAUCAUAUAGGGCUUCUGAUCCAUGGGAUACUACACUCCCUGUCAUCAAGUGACCAACGUCAAUAACACGAGAAGGAGAGAUGAUCAUAAUCAUAGAAUAUCUCAAGAGACAACUCUCUCUUCAAGAUAAGUUGAAAAUGCAUCAACCCGUGAUAUCAAGGUUCUACCCCCCUUAAGAAAGGUCGACUAGGAGUCACAAGGAAGGUAGCUUGGACUUUUUCUUGACAAGUUAUCUUGCAUUGAGACCUUUUGACAUCCCAAGGAACUUAUGUGCAAGGAAGAAUUAAAUAUCCUGAAAUUUCCUCGCGAUAAGAACAUCACCAGCACAGUAAAAUGGACAUAACUCUUGUUCUGUUAAUCCAAUAGGGUUAUAGCUUAUACCAUUAGAAAGCUUGACAACUUAUCUAAAACUUUGCUGUAGAACACCUUUCCAAAAUCUAUAAUUGUAUUUGUCCCAAACAGUAAGCAACCGAAACUGGUCAGAUUCUUGACAACACCACUGUAUCAUCUUGUGAUUUUCAUAACUCCAAUACCAUAAUAGCUAUGGGGGUGCUUCUUGAGGUCAGAGAAAGAUCUUGAAGUCUGUUAUCAUACAGAAUUUUGUCAUGAUUUUCGGUCAUCCAAGAUCAAAGUUAUGAACUGAUAAAGAAGUGAUACUCUAGAAAGGCUUGAUAAGGUAACAAGAGAAAAACCAAAACCCAACUAUUUAUGUUAUUAGUCCUUAUGCCUUAGACAUAUAAACUAAAUGAAAUUGUGAAGAAACUCACAAAAUCAUUACACUCAUUACAAAGAUCCAAAUCAAGCAUAAACAUAAAGACAAUUCAACCACACAGUAAAGGUUCACAAGGCACACAAACUCGACUUUCGCUACUAGCGUUUUUAUUACACAAGGGCACAAACUCCUAUAUCUUAAACUCAGUUUGGCUACUUUCAUGAUGCAUCUAUUGAUUCCUCUGUGGACAAGAGUUUACUUAGUCUCCUUCCUGUCGGCAGUGAUAACACUUUUUCUUAGCUGGAUCAUUCGUGAUAUCAUUUUCCACUGAGGUGUUGCUCGGUGUGUUAUCAGCUCGCUGACUCUGAAGGUUUAUCUCUGGCUGGCUAGCUUUCUUCCUAACUUGGUUGAUCCUUCGAGGUUGAAACUCUUUAUAAGUGAUGGUCCAUCCAUCUAUGCAUACCUCAUGAGCAGUGGGGAUAGCUUGAGAAGUUCCUUCAUCUCCAAGGUUUGGAUUUUCGUGGCUAGAGUUCAAAGCUAAAUGUGACAACUUAGGAUUUUAAUGUUGUUCACUUCCCAAUGCUGGCUCUAGUGAUUUUGCCUUCCUCUUCCUAUCCUCAUUAGUCACACAAUUUGGUUUUGCCUUAACUUCCUUUUUGGAUGACCUAUUCUGAAGACAAGGAAGACCAUAAUGCCUACAACAAUGGCAUUGAUCCUGAUAUCCCGAUGUAUUACCACCAACACCUCCAUAGGUUCUCAUAUUUUUCCAAGCUUCUGCUACUUGUUUCUUCACUGGUCCUGAGAUGCACUGUUGAGAGUUCCCAUUCUGAGUCAUUCCUUCCACUACUUGCUUUUGCAUGGCUAGAAGCUUCUCCUUGUCAAAUGCUUUUAUGGGUGGCUGUUGGGUAUUUUAAACGCAAACAGAAAAAUCCGCAAGCGCACGGAUACCGAUGUAGCUUUCACCCGGGAGUAUUCCAGAGUAUCGAUUUUCCAUAGAGAACAUGAGUGUACUAAUUAAGAUUCAAGAUCGCCCAUGGAUAACUAUUUUUGGUGGGAAGAGAGGAAGUUUCCUGAGAGUUCUCUAGUUGAUCCAAGAAUCAAGAAUUACUUCAAAGAUUAUUUAUUUCGGGACAUCAGAACACUAACCACAGAAAGAGAUGAGAAGGGGGCUAGGAAGCUCUGACUACGGUCCUACAAACACCGAUCCAAACGAGGUGGAAUAUGUCGACCGUUAGGGCUGUCACAACCCUAGGGCUACCACAACAAUCCGUAGGAUUGGGUGUAAUUCCAGGUAAUUGCAAGACUAAACACCACAUCUAAUCUAUUAAUUACUACUCUAGCGUUGCAAAGACUAGAGCACUUGAUGCAAGCGGGAAUCCAAUAAAUAACUUGAAUGUAAAUAAAAGUAAUUAAAGAACUUAGGAAUUAUGAAUUGAAGAACCUAGAGAACGAUGAAGAACGAACCAGUUGCUACAAAAGUACAAUGUUGAGGAAGAUCCGACAGAUCCGGCUCCUCCUCCUCCGCUCUCCUGUUCUCUCUCCCUAUUUUCUAGAUUACAACUAGAACUAACUAGAACUAGAACUAGAACUAGAGGAACUAGAACUAGAACAAGAUGAACUAGAGGAAUCCUCUCUACUGGGAUGAAUAAUUGAAAUCCUAGCUUUGAUUCUUUAGAAGAGAUAUGAUCUCCAGGGGCCAGGGGGCCUUGCUUAUAUAGUCUUUUUAGAUGAAUCUGGGCCGUCGGAUCAAACCAACAUUAAUCGCACGGUUUUCCAUGAUCCUUUAGGUCGGUGGAGCUUGAUCCGCGAAGAGAGUCCUGAUUGGACUCCAGAGGGGGGCGGGCGCCCUGGUCCCUAGGGCGGGCGCCCUGGGCCAGGCUCCGUUUUGCCUCCGCUUCGUUCCCAUGGCUUCUGGAGUCUUCUAGAUGUAAGAUAAUUGCGCGGUACGUAAAUAUCUCUAUGUAAUCCCGACGUGUGGACCUUUCUUCCAUAUUUCCUGAUAACCCCCUACAAAAAUAGACAAACACCAAAACUCAUGGAAUUCUGUCACAUAAAACCCUAAGUCUGGAUGUUGGUUGCAUUUGAAUCCUUUUCUUUGUUUAUUUGAUAAUUAAAUUUGAUACUUAAGGACCGUCAACAGUGGCGUAGCUAGCUCCGUUUGUCCAUUCAUGCCAAAGGUCUCCUCAUUAUGAGCCAUCUAAAUAGACAAGGAGGUUGGAUUUAGAAUAGAGACAAAGUUUUAUAACAGAAUAGGGCAGAGGUAAGCAUAAAUUUUAGCAAUUAUUAAGGUUAAGGUGAAAGCAAAAAGUAAGCAGAGAUAGAAGCAUCCUAAAACAUCCGGUUCUAACUAGGCUUGCGUCCUACAGUCAGCAUUGCUUUGAUACCACUUUGUAACACCCGAUUUUAAGGACAAAACCAGAUAUGCACCAUAUGUGAGUUUUAGAAGACAAACCUCACAUAUAGCUACAAAUAAGGGGUAAUAUCAAAGGACAACACAUAAAUUAUAUAGCGUACAUAAUAAAUCAGAAACAACCUUAGCCAGCAAACCACGGAAGAUAAUUUCAAACUUCGGACGUUAACUUCACUCUACAGGAUCCAACUGACUGGUUGAUCACAAGCCCAAUACUUCUCCUGAGGUGUGGGGGAGAUAGCAAGAGUGAGUCCAAGACGAACUCUGCAAGUAUAACAACUAGAUUGUAUAGAUCCCACAAUCUCAUGAUCAAUGUGACAUAAAUAAUAUAGAGCAUUAAACAAUAAAUAUGAGCAUAUUUACACAACAAGAAUCAUCACCCUUAAUGUAAGAAUCCCCAAGGCCGCUCGUGACCGCGAGCACGACUAGUAUACCAGUUUAUUAAACACUCUGCAGAGGUCAUACAUCUUUACCCAUGAGUCAUGAUUUACCCUUUCGCCCGAGGUAGCUAACCUCUUAACCUCCUUCCUAGGGAGGUCUGCAGGGAUUACUAUGAAGUCUUUCAGAGGUUCGUCUAACAAGUUAGGGCCGCUUGGUUUCGGUAGUCAGUCCGUGUGAUUCUACCCCGCAGGGAAUCCACGGUCUGCUAUCCCCCAUUUGCGCCACACGGGUAACCUCUAACCAGCUAGAAAGUUACUCAUACUUGACUAAAGCUAGAGCCAUCAUAGCCCUCAUGGUUGCACUUUCAUCCCGGUUAUCACUUACGAAUAAAUCCUCGAGUUGCUAAAAAGUCAUUAUUAUCAUUUGUUGCUUUAUAUUAAUCUAGUCACAAGAUCAUGGUCAUAGAAUUAAAACCCAAAUGCUAUACUUGCCUUAAUCCAAUUGCUCCGGCUGGUUCUGUUGAUCUUACUUGCUUCCAAGGCUCUGAUCUUGAUCACCGAAGUAAUGCCCACUGUCUAACCUCAAUCAUUGAUCAUCAACACACAAACAAUCGGAGACAGACAUACACGAAGUAAACCAGAUUACAAUUAGAAUAGUACACCAGCAGUAAAUAAAUGUAAAUAAAAGUUUUCCAAAAUCAUCUACUCGCUGCUACGAUCACGGCAACGAGAAAUUUACAGAAAACGGAGUUACGACGCGAAAUCUACGCAUUAAACGGGACUGCAAAGGCUAUCUAUGGACUUGUAAUUAUCUAGGAAACCUAACAGUGGUGAACCUAGACAACAAUGGUACCAACAUGAACCUUAUGAAUUUAUGAAACUAACGCAACUUGAACGGAUCGGAUCGGAGCUAAAACGGCGAAGAUAUGAAUUUUUCUAAGAUUUUCUUUAGAAAAGUAAUUAAUUAAAUAGGGUUACGAAAUUAAAAAGAUUUAAAUUGGUAAAACAGUUAGACUAACAUUUAGAUCUCGCAAAUACGAACCUAACGCAAGUUGAACCGGUCAAAUCGGAGUUAAAACGAAUAUUUUAUGAGCUAAAGAAAAUCAGUGGCAAUUUUGUAAAUACUGAAAACAUAUUUUGAAUUAACCCAAUGAGAAAUACGUCUCCAAAAUAGUAAAGCGUAUUUUUCCCUAUGCGUUUUGUACCGCGGGUUGUUUUCAAGAAAACCUAGGGACUCUUUAGCUACUUUCACCCGCGAAGGGGUAAGGAGCAUCCUGGGCCAUCGGAAUAGAAACCAACGGCCGAGAUCAGAUGGGGGAAAAGGAAGGUGGCGCUGGCCGGCCGGAACAGGCCUGCACGGCGGCGCACCAUGGACGGCGGUGAGGAGGUCGUCGGCGUGACCCGCUAGAGCGCUAGAGUGCACGGUUUUCCAAACUAAGAGCACCGGGAGAGAGAGGAGAGCAAGACGAACUCGCCAGAACCCUUUGCGCGGCCUAGGAAGGCGAGAAACGCAGUGACUCCCGGUGGCGCCAUGGACGGCAGCCUCGGAGCACGCGGGGAAGGGUCUAGAGGCCACAUUUUCGCAUGGGAGAAAGCCGGAGAGGGAGAGGGGAAGGCGGCGCGCUCACCACUGCAAAAAUCGAAGGCGGAGACGGCUUGGUUCGGCCGGACAUCGGGCGGUGGAUCGCGGCGGCGCUCCGGCGGUUGCUGCGAGUUGUGGAACGAGAGUAGAAGUGGGGAAGAGAGCGAAAUGGGAGCGGCAGGGGUGGCUCGGGCUCACGCGCGUCCAAAAGAGCAAAGUGCUGGGGGAGAAGGGAUCGUGGGCGAAGUGGGAGCAGGCACGGCUCGAUCGGUCGUUGCCGAGAACGAAUAGAGGGGAAAGGAGCGGUUGGAUGGAGGAUGAAGCUGACCAGCGGGCCCCACUUGUCGGCGAGAGAGAGAGAGGGAGAGGGAAAGGGUGGCCGGAUGGGCUUCGUCCCAAGAAGAGAGAAAAGAGGGGCGCGGGGUUGGGCCUUGCAGUCCGAAAACAAGAGAGGAGGGAAUGAAAAGUUUUCCUUUUUUUUCAUUUUCAAACCAAAUUUUCAAAUACAUUUCCAAAUUGAAUUUUUGAGCAAAUUGACACUUUGUUUUUAAAACCAUCAUCACAAAUAAAAAAACAACAGCAUGUAUGCAACAAAAUAUUUCCUAAACUUAGAUUAGGUUUUAAUUUCUCAAAAUCUAUUAUUUUCCUAAAUUGCAAUGCUUCACCAAAAUUACUUAAUAAAUUCAAAUUCAUCUAUUUAAAAGAAAACAAAUUUUUGGGUGUUACAGUGCCGAUGACCGAUGAUCGCCGAUACCGAUGAAGAAGGGUAUGGAAAUUGCUAAGGAGGAUACAAGGAUGCGACAAAAUAUGCCGAUGAAGGAGAGCCGAUAAAAAGUGUCAUCGUAAUUGAAGCCGGUGCUGGAAUAGAUAGGUGGUAGUUUUCCAUAUUUGUUAGAGUUUGCCUUAUGUAAAUGUCUUGUUUUGUUUAGAAUUAAAGUCCUAGCCGUAUACGGUUGUAACUCUUUAGGUCAGGAUAUAAAUAUAGAUCUAGUAGCAAUGUAAGAAAACAAUCAAUCAAUAUCAUACACAAGUUUUACAUCUACUAUUACAUCUACUUUUUUCGAUGACUUCGUCAACUCGCAUAUUUUUUUAUUUACGGGUUCUUAAGGGUUCAUCGAGCAAUACUCAGUGAAUUCUCGAGUUCCGUGUGAGUACCUCUUGGCCGUGACAUCCGAGCGCAUCGCUGUUGUCGGGACCAAAGUAUUCAAGUUAUCACCUUUGUCGAUUGUUAGGUUAAAUCGACUAGCAUGCCUCAACAUUUGAAUAGGGUAUUAGCCCUUUCUGUUUCCAGAUCUAUUUUUGCAUCAACACCUGCUUCAUAAGGGAUAUUUUAGUGCUUAUAGUUUGAAUCUUCUAAAGAGACUUCUUAGGAAGCUUUUCAAAUCCAAUCCCUUCGAAGGACAAUUAGAAAGACUCAAGGAUGGAAUUUCAAGUGAUGCCAUAGAAGGAGAGCAAAGCCAUCUAGAAGCCACUGUUAUCCUCUCCCCUUCUAUGCCCACAUUAGAUAUAGAAUACAAACCCAUGUCUAAACCCAUCCUUGAUCAGUAUGGUUUGUUCUAUGCUCUUUCUCCAAAACCACCUGAUGAUUCUAGAAAUCCAUCUAGAUAUCCCAUGCAUAGGAAUCAUCAGGACCAUAUGGAAGAUCGAGGAGAGCAACAUCCAUGGCUAGAGAGCAUUAAAAACUUAUGUGCUAUUGCCAUUGAAUGGAUGAACAAGGCCUUAGAUAAGAUCAAUUCAAUAAAUGACCCAAAGAAAUAUUUGGACAUACAUGUCGAGUCACUCUUGGAAGUAGAAAACGAUGGAGACUUCAAUGAGCAAGGAAGCUACUUCAUCAUCAUCUCAUCUGACCCUUGCUCAUAUGAAAAAUCUCCUGAUUCACUUAGUCUCUCUAACAUUGCCCCGCAUGAGAUCUUCAACCCCCUCAUGCUCCCUAUUCCUAAAAUUUUUGAAAGGGUGGUUGCAAACACAUUUGUUUAUCAUAAAUAUUGUAGAUCUCAUUGUUGUAGCGCACUUAGAUUGGUGUUGGAUGGGAAACUACUUCACCAAACCACAUCUUGAAGGUUUCCCAAGGACAAGCUUAGUGUCCUAAAACAAGCACUAGUUAGACCAUGACAUGAGUGUUCAACUUUCUAGUGUGCUACCCUUGGUAAUUAAGCAUAGAAUUAUAAGAAGAAAUGUAACACCCUAAAAAUUUCACUUUUCCAAAUAGGGCAAUUUGAUUUAAUUAAUUGUUGUGAGCACUGAGAAAUAGUAAGAAAUGAAUUUUUGUUGAAUUAAAAUUCACUAUAAAUCCUAGACACAUGCUUGUGCAUUCAUGCUGUUGCAUAGAUUAUAUUGAGUGGAGUUUCUUUUAAUUUAAAAUGAUUUUAAAAAUCCUUUUCAAAAGAAUUGAGCAAAAGAUGAAUUUAGAAAAUGGAAAAGGUUUUCCUCUCCCCCCCUUUUCUUUCUCGCAGCGGCCCAGCGCCAGCAUGCGGCCCACUCAGCGCAAGCCCAGCAGCCGCGCGCCUCCUCCUUCCUCGCUUCAGCGGCUGACAGCGUGGUCCCGCGCCCCCGUGUCACUGCCAGGCGGGGUCCACUUGUCGGACCCGUCUCCCACCUCGAGUCCGAGCAGGACACGAGCCGAGCGAAACCACCACCCGUCUCCGCCCGACUCUGCCCCUUUAAAUACAUGCCCUGCUGCCCCGCAAUCCCCUAACUCCACCCAGCGCCAGCCGCCGCGUCAAAGCUCGCCAAAAUCGCCGCCGAGAUCCAAGCCGCAGCCAUCUCGCCACCGCAGCGCGUUUCAACCUCCGUGAGCGUCUGGCCAGGCUUCGUCUUCGUCGUGCGAAGUCGCAGAGACCUUCCUUUCGCGCUCUACUGUUUUGUAUGCAUCGCUAACGCUCGCCGAACUUAUUCCAGGGCCGCCGUCCGCCGAUCAUCGCCGCAAGCCCUAGUCAGCCUCCCUUUGUUCUGCUUCUUGCCUCAGGUGAGCUCGCGUCAAGCUUCUAAGCGUCCCGGUGUGCUUGGUUUGCUCUCUACCGCUCUCUAGCACCAGAUUACCCAACUCCGACCAAGUUCGGCCAUGGAGCCGCCGCGGCCGACCCAACUCCGGCCGACUCGUUUCCCCCUCCUGCGAUCUAAUCUUGGCCUUUGAUUCGAGAUCUAACGGCCACGAUGGAAGGAUACCCCUUCAGCCGUGAAUUUUAGAGACAACCCCCUGAACUUUUUAAUGUAUAAACCCGCCGUCCUUUGCGCUUUCGCCGAAUACGUUUUCCAAAUUCGAAGGCGUAUUUUUGACUGCGCAGUUCAAAAACCAUUUUCUCAGAUUUACAGUUUUGCCAUUGAUCUUAUUUAACUCAUAAAAACUCCGUUUUAACUCCGAUUUGAUCCGUUCAAAUUGCGUUAGAUUCGUUUUCACGUAAUCUAUAGAUUAGUGGUACUGUUAUACAAGUUUUCAACUUUUAAAGUCUGAGUUUAGAUUUAAUCUAUUAUUUUAGUAAAGGCAAUCUUAUUUAGGUCAUAACUUCCGGAUGGAUAAUAACGGGACACUAUGGUUUGGGAAAAGGCUAUGUGUGCCUGAGGAUCGAUCUAUUAGAGAGGCAAUUCUGCGAGAGGCACACGAGUCCGCUUAUUCUAUACACCCUGCAGCACUAAGAUGUACCUAGACCUAAAAGAGAAAUAUUGGUGGUAUGGCUUGAAGAGAGAUGUUGCUGAGUAAGUCGCUUUAUGUGAUACUUGCCAGAGAGUCGAAGCAGAACAUCAGAGACUGGCAGGAUUGUUGCAACCAAUGAAGAUCCCUGAGUGGAAGUGGGAGGAAGUUGGUAUGGACUUCAUAGUGGGAUUACCCCGCACUCAGAAAGGUUAUGACUCUAUAUGGGUAAUAGUAGAUCGGUUAACAAAGGUCGCUCAUUUUAUUCCUGUUAAGACCAAAUACAGUGGACCAAAAUUGGCUGAGUUUGUACAUGGAAAGAAUAGUGUGCUUGCAUGGGGUCCCCAAAAAGAUAGUUUCUGAUCGAGGUACCCAGUUUACGUUUCACUUUUGGCAGAAAGUGCAUGAGUCCCUCGGGACUAAGCUGAAUUUUAGUACAGCAUACCAUCCCCAGACCGAUGGGCAGACUGAGAGGACUAAUCAAAUUUUGGAAGAUAUGCUGAGGGCAUGUGCUUUGCAGUAUGGAACGAGUUGGGAUAAGAGUUUGCCAUAUGUAGAGUUUUCAUACAACAACAGCUACCAGAAAAGUCUCCAGCCGUUUGAAGCCUUGUAUGGGCGGAAGUGUAGUACCCCGUUGUUAUGGAAUCAAGCGGGAGAAACACAAGUGUUUGGACCAGAUGUGUUACGGGAUGCAGAACAGCAAGUGAGAGUAAUUAGGGAAAACUUGAGAGCAGCACAGUCCCAACAGAAGAGUUAUGCUGAUACAAGAUGAAGUGAAUUGGCUUUUGAGGUAGGAGACUAUGUGUAUUUGAAGGUGUCUCCUAUGCGAAGUGUGAGAAGGUUUAACAUGAAAGGAAAGUUAGCACCAAGGUACAUUGGGCCUUUCAAAGUGUUGGAAAGACGAGGGGAAGUAGCAUACCAGUUGGAACUGCCCGAAAGUUUAAAAGGAGUGCAUGACGUCUUCCACGUGUCACAGCUUAUGAAGUGCUUGCGGGUGCCAGAAGAACAGAUACCGAUAGAGGAAUUAACUGUUAAAGAGGAUCUUACUUAUGAAGAGUAUCCGGUACGAAUUUUGGAAACAGCAGAAAGAGUCACUAGGAGUCGGGUCAUCAGAAUGUGCAGAGUACAGUGGAAUAGAUAUACCGAGGAAGAGGCUACCUGGGAAAGGGAAGAAGAUUUAAGAAAAUCAUAUCCUCAGUUGUUUGAGUAAGCACCAACCGAAUCUCGAGGACGAGAUUCAUCUUAAGGGGGAUAGAAUUGUAACACCCUAAAAAUUUCACUUUUCCAAAUAGGGCAAUUUGAUUUAAUUAAUUGUUGUGUGCACUGAGAAAUAGUAAGAAAUGAAUUUUUGUUGAAUUAAAAUUCACUAUAAGGCCUAGACACAUGCUCGUGCAUUCAUGCUGCUGCAUAGAUUUUAUUGAGUGGAGUUUCUUUUAAUUUAAAAUGAUUUUAAAAAUCCUUUUCAUAAGAAUUGAGCAAAAGAUGAAUUUAGAAAAUAGAAAAGGUUUUCCUCUCCCCCCCUUUUCUUUCUCGCAGCGGCCCAGCGCCAGCAUGCGGCCCACUCAGCGCAAGCCCAGCAGCCGCGCGCCUCCUCCCUCCUCGCUUCAGCGGCUGACAGCAUGGUCCCACGCCCCCGUGUCACUGCCAGGCGGGGUCCACUUGUCGGACCCGUCUCCCACCUCGAGUCCGAGCAGGACACGAGCCGAGCGCAACCACCGCGCGCGUUUUCGCGCGAGCAAUCCCCUCUCCGCCCGACUCUGCCCCUUUAAAUACUCGCCCCGCUGCCCCGCAAUCCCCUAACUCCACCCAGCGCCAGCCACCGCGUCAAAGCUCGCCAAAAUCGCCGCCGAGAUCCAAGCCGCAGCCAUCUCGCCACCGCAGCGCGUUUCAACCUCCGUGAGUGUCUUGCCGGGCUUUGUCUUCGUCGUGCGAAGUCACAGAGACCUUCCUUUCGCACUCUACUAUUUUGUACGCAUCGCUAACGCUCGCUGAACUUGUUCUAGGGCCGCCGUCCGCCGAUCAUCUCCGCAAGCCCUAGCCGGCCUCCCUUUGUUCCGCUUCUUGCCUCAGGUGAGCUCGCGUCAGGCUUCUAAGCGUCCCGGUGUGCUUGGUUUGCUCUCUACCGCUCUCUAGAACCAGAUUACCCAACUCCGGCCAUGUUCGGCCAUGGAGCCGCCGUGGCCGACCCAACUCCGGCCGGCCGACUCGUUUCCCCCUCCUGCGAUCUAAUCUUGGCCUUUGAUUCGAGAUCUAACGGCCACGAUGGAAGGACACCCCUUCGGCCGUGAAUUUUGCAGACAACCCCCGAACUUUUUAAUGUAUAAACCCACCGUCCUUUGCGCAUUCGCCGAAUACGUUUUCCAAAUUCGAAGGCGUAUUUUCGACUGCGCAGUUAAAAACCGUUUUCUCAGAUUUACAGUUUUGCCAUUGAUCUUAUUUAACUCAUAAAAACUCCGUUUUAACUCCGAUUUGAUCCGUUCAAAUUGCGUUAGAUUCAUUUUCACGUAAUCAAUAGAUUAGUGGUACUGUUAUACCAGUUUUCAACUUUUAAACUCUGAGUUUAGAUUUAAUCUAUUAUUUUAGUAAAGGCAAUCUUAUUUAGGUCAUAACUUCUUCGUUUUAGAUCCGAUUUUUGUGAACUUUAAGUCUGUGUGAUCGUAGAGCGAUGUAGAUUCGUUUUAUAAACGUUUUAUCUUUAUUUAUUACUGUUGGUGUACUGUUCUAAUAGUAGGCUUGUUUGCUUUGUAUGAUUGUCUUUGGAUGAUUGUUGUUGAUGUAUUGAUUACGUAUAGACGGUGAGCACUUCGUGGGUGAUCAAGAGUACUACUACGAGCAGGAUCAGCAGGACCAGUGUGAUCAAGGCAAGUAUAGCAUGGGAUCAUCCUUGUUUCCUAAUAACUUUAAUCACACAAUUCAUAUUGCAUGUGUCUUCUUGCUAAGGAUUUCCUAGUAUUGAUCUUGUACCUUGUCACCUAUGGUUUUGCAUUGGGUAGCUUAUGCUAGUGCUCCACUAAACCAUGAUCUUGUAAUUUGAUUUAUGGAAUAUGCAAUAAACAUUAAAAGAGGACUUCUAGCAACUUUGGAUAAGAGGGCUGGAGCAUUGGGCUAUCUUAUGGUGCUCUAGUUUCUCUCCAUAAGGACUUAUCUGUAUCUGACCAUCCGGGACAUACAGUACAACUUUGAAGGCUACAUGGCUCAGGCUUUAGCUCAGUAUGAGGACCUUUUCUAGCUUGUUAGUGGUUACCCUUGUGGCGCAAGUGGGGGAUAGCAGACUGUGGAUUCCUGUGGCUGAGUCACACGGACUGACUAACGAAACCUAGGGGGCCUAACUUGUUAGACGAACCUUUGAAAGGCUUCAUAGUGAACCCUGCCGGUCUUCCUUGGGAGUGGGCUAAGGGGCUGAUCACCUCGGGCGAAAGGGUAAAUCACGACUCACAGUGAAAGUGUACAACCUCUGCAGAGUGUAAAACUGAUAUAUCAGCCGUGCUCACGGUCACGAGCGGCCUUGGACCAAUACAGAAUAAAUAAUCACUAAUGGCAAAUCAUUAAAUGUUAUUAUUGUUAAUAUGUUGUUUAUGCUAUUAUUUAUUCACUUUACCAGAUCAUGAGUUUAUUAUGGGUCUUGACCACUUGAUGCUACUCAUAUGCUAAAAUUGUGACAACUAAAAGCUACAUGCAGUUGAACUAGUGUCUAACCUUUGAGCCUCAUGAACCCCCUGUUAUACUUGUUAAGUACGAGGUGUACUUACACUUAUUUAUUUUCUUUAUUUGGAUAAAAAUCCCAGAUGUGUAACAGAUGGCAUGGGUAAUGACUACUACCAGUACUUUUCUGAGGAUUUCUAGUCUUGUGGUCAACCAGUUGACGUGCCUGUGUGAUGGAGCUUCCAUGCAAGAGUUAUCUUUUGUUUUCCGCUUUAUUUGUGUAAAGACUCUGAGUUAUAUCGUUAUGUAAUAAACACUUGUGAUGAUACUCCCUAUAAUUUGUCGGCUUAUGUGUGAUUGAUCUCUGGGCGCACAUAAGGUUUUGCAUUCAAUUUUAUCCUUAAAUUUGGGUGUGACAAGAAGUUCCUUCGGGUAUUCUUGACACUAGCCUGCCAGGUUUGGAGCAUAAUAUCGAAGGAGUACCAAAUGCAAGGUAUGUCCAACCAAUCAUUAUGCAACAUUGAAUUACUUUCAUUCAAUCUUGACUUUUGCAAAAGUCAAGCUUGGGGGAUAUGCUUUGAAAGAUACAUCUCUUUCCAUGUUGCUACAUUAUUUUGGUUUGCCUACCUUUAAAAUAUGCCCAAUUUGCUAAACAAUAAUCUUGCUCUUUCAUCACAGUUUAAGUAAACAUCUAUAAUGCUCUCAUGCUACCUUUGUGUGCUAUAGUAUGUGUAGGUUUUGAAGUCUUUUCACACAACUUUUUAAAUUAGGCAAGGUGUUUAGUUUAAUUGUUCUGACUUAAAUUAGACAAGGUGUCUAGUUUAAUUCUUAGACCAAAAGGUGAGCUGAUCUUGCUUCUAAAAAGCUUUUAAAUUAAGCAUGGUGCUUAGGUUGAAAUGCCUUCCUGAAUCAAAUUAGACAUGGUGUCUAGGUUGAUUUUUGAGCUAAUAGUAUGCUAUAGUAGAUACUGGAUAUUUUGUUGGACGAACCCCUGUAGAAAAACUUUUAAUACCAAAAAGGGAAUGUCCUAAGAUGAACUCACAUUGGAGAUGAAGAGAGACACAACUCACUCAUAGCCAAAAAGAAAGAAGGGUGCCACAAAAUAUGAACCACAAUCUCCAUGGAGUUACGUUCUCUUGUCAACCACUAAUUAUCAGGAAUCAAGAAAAGAUUGACAAGAGAAGAGCAUGCGACAUUCUGUACUCUCACCUCUGAGGUCGAGAAGCUAAGACAUGAGGAAGGAAGGCCAACUCCUCUAGAUGAUCCAACCAAGUUCUUCCCCAUCUCAUGCUUCCAUCGCUCCACAUGCUAGUUUUCAAUCUCUAAAUUCACUAUUGCUUUAUUUCUGUAAGUAUGAAUUGAUUCAUAAUGCCUAUAUUUGAAAAUCAAAAUAUAAGAUGGGAAAAUAAAAUCAAUCCUUUAGAAAGAAAUAAUUGUGAAUAAUAAAUGCGCUAUGCUAUGUAUGCUCAAGCAAGUUCUUUGUAGCAUAGAAAGUGACCCUUAGGUGUGUUACAACAAUGUCCUUGUCAUUACUUGUAUAUUCCUUCGGGUAUGUAUUGUCCACUAAUGAUUUGCAGGAAUAAAAAAAUAAGAAGCGCUAAAUGUCAAAGCACAAAUUAGACAUAAAACAAAUAAGGAGUGCAACAAAGGAGACAAGCUGUUCAUGAACAAGACACGUGACUAGCCAAGCAAGGAAAGCUUCCACAAGAUGUUGUGGCUUCAACAUGCUUCAAUACUAAAGGUAACAUCUCUAUGUAAGUGAUCUUUACUUCCAUAAUAACCUCCUUGAUUCUGGCAUGCGCAUAAGUAGAGAGCCAAACAUGCUUUGAGUUACAACCUCAUUUGAUCCAAUCUAAUUAACUCAACAUGUUCAGUUCUUUAUGCUUGUUCCUAACGUCACUUGCAUGUUUAGUUUUUAAUCCAAUGACCGGAAAUGUUGUGCAUCAUAUCUUUGGAAGAUGGUAGUCAUAAUCAUAAAGUUAUAUGCAUAGGUAGACUAUCCUUCCUUAAAGAUUGAGUAAUCUGCUUAGCUAAAUGUUUUAAUGCCACAUUCGUGCUCAUUGUUUGAUGCUAUCACCCAUGUUUAGAUAGAGCAAAACACAUAUAUUGACUCUGUCUCGUUCAAUGUGCCUAAGGGUAGAGAAUAAUGAACAAAACUUUUUGGAUCUGUUGGUGUUUUCCCACCAGCAGAACUCAUGCACUUGAUCUCUGCUUUGUCUGUAUGAGCAGGACACACUUUAGUUAACUCCUCAAGAAUCCAACAAGUGAAGAUCCUAGACCUAUGGACAUGCACACUGAGCGAAGAUGCUGCUAGCUCCCACAACUAGUACUUCACACUUCAAACUGCUGGAAGAGCAAUAAACAUUGGUGACACCAUCUCAAGAGGUGCUACUAUCAUGGUCUCCAUCUUUGGGGCUAGAUAAAGCACCUAAGGAGUUAACAUGGUAAGAGGUUCUGUUCAGAGGACCUAAAACAUCGAACACUGUGCCAAGAGGUAACUUGGUAGUUAUCAAUAUUUCCCUUUUUAGUAUUGUAUCUAGAAAAUGUUGAGCCCCAUGUGGAUAAUUUUGUGGUGUGGCAGCCCACAAAGAUAUCCAUGGUGGUGCCAUAAAAAUAAGUUUUCAUCUUACUGCAUUUUUUGCAUACCAUAAAAAGACCAAAAAUACAUCUUAUGAUCUUGCUAAAAGUUAAAUAUAUUAAGAAGGUUCUAGAGAACCAAAGGCUUAGGGGUUUUACCACUAACACUUAAUUAGUUCAACAAGCUUUGUUGUCUAUUUGAGCUCCAUAGAAUUUAAAGGAUCAAGAAGAGCUAACAGGCAGAAGGACGUUGUAUCCCCUGUCGGAGUGCUGUUUUCAACAGCCGAGUGCUGUCUGCACAACAACCAUCCCUGACACUCCAACCAGUACACCUCACUGCCAGUCAGCAACACCAACAGACUAUGUCAACAUGUAGCUUGGGGGAGGACACCCCCAUAUAUCCAGCUAAGUAUCACUUACUUAUCUAUUUAUUAAGUGUGCUAUGUUAAUCUAAAACAAAUAAAAAGAUGCACAACCAUAGAAACCCAAAUAAAGAUUUUCAUAUUUAUUUAUAUCUAUAUCUAUCUUUCUAUUUGAUAUUAAGUUUGCUAAAUAAAAUUUAGGAGAGUAUUGGAAAAAAUUGCCUGCUAAAAUAAACCCUAUAGAAUAAUCUCUUAUAUGGAAAUGAUGAAUAGUUGCUCUGCCAUAGUUCCUUUCAAGUACCUAGUUUUCAACCUUGAACUCUCCCAUGUUUUGGACACAACUGUUUUGAUUUGAGGUCUGCUCUGAAUCUAAAACUUGUGGGUAGCGAAUGCUUGAUCUAUGUCUAGGUAGUUGACGGAUAUGAUAUGGGAAGGUUUUGAGCUGCUAUCAAGAUACUAGAGUUCUGGAGAAUUUAUCUUUGAAAAUCUUAAAUUGCUACAUGAUGAGUUCCUGUAUGACUAGAGUUUAAAUUCCUACCACAGCCAAAUAUACAUGCUUAGUAGAUUAGGAAAGCCGUCCAGUUUAAUAUACUGCUUGUAGGCAUUGCGUGUAGUUAAGCUGUGUUGACCCUUAGGAAUUAAUCAUGCAGUUAAAGUCAAAAUUAUGUGCUCUCCAUCUAUUGAUCUAUGCUACUUCUAUCCUCAGGAGUGUGCCCCCAUUUACUCUGUGCUACUUCUGUUCCUGGAAGUACCACCCACAUUUAUACACACUCCAUGCACCUGUGCUGCUCCUACCCUGGGAGUACGCAUUCCUCUAUUCAUAUGCAUUCACUUCAUUCAUUUAGAAAAUGUUAUCCUCCUACACUGGGAGUGAACACCAAAAAUAUAUGUUGCCAGCCUAUCCUUUUUUCGUCAUCCAAUAAAGCGCCAGUUAUCACUCCCUAUUAAUAUAUUUCUAGUAAGAGGCUUAGUUGCUCUCAGAAAAAACGAAGAGAAAGAAAAGAAAGAAAGAGGACAAUUGUCCCAAGAAAGAAAAGUAAUAGAGCAAGCCAAGUUCCUCCAAGGUCUUUAGUUUCAAAAUAAGGGAGGUAUGUUAUCUCCAAGGAGCAAAUAUAGAAUUAGAUCUCCACCAUCAUCAUCACUAUUUAUAUCACUUACUUCACUUCUCUUAUCCACAUGCACAUAUGAUUUGAUUGUAUGAUUUUUUUGACACGAAAAACUGUGGGGGAGGUCCCCAUAGUGCCAAAAUUUUUAAUUAAAAAAAAGGGAGUUACAGAGUCUUACAUACAGGGUUUAACAGAAAGCAUCUAACCAUACACAGAAAGAAGACUUUAAGUCUUCCUUAAAUCUAACAGAGUGAGACACACAUUGAUUCUUAAAAUUACAAAACCAUAAAUGUAACGAAGGGCUUCUUCUGUUGAAAAUCUUGUCAUUUCGUAGCUUCCAUACCUCCCAAGCUGCAAUCAUAGAUACCUAAGCAAGGAAUAGAACAUAUGUUUGCAAGUAUGUUUGAGCUGUCUCCCCACCUAUGAGCUCCAUAUAAGCCUAUUAGAUGUAGGGUGAGGGAGAGCGCAUAAUGCCACUAUGCCUUAAUUCCACAAAUACAACAUAUUCUGAGAGUAGAGAGAAGGCAUAUACCAUUCAUGCCUUCGUAAGGAUCCAGAAAUACCAUAAACGAGAGACUUCAAAGGGUCAUACAAUUAUUUGAAAAUCUUACAAAAACUCUAGAAUAAUAGUUGAUCAAAGAGCGAGAAAUAUAGCGCUUGACUUGACCAUUCUGUCUUUCAACUGCUCAAGACCCAAGUGAUGGUUACAAGCCCCAUGGUGGAAGGUAAUAUGAGUAAGUUUCAAGUUAGAAUAGUUUAUUUUAUUUCGGAGGAGAGUUCUUGUUUGAAUGCUUGUGUACUUUUGAGGCGUGAAAGUAUUGUAGCAACUCCUGAUCCAUCACUGAGUUUGUCUUUGCUCAGGGACGAGCAAAGGGUAAGCUUGGGGGAGUUGUUGACGGUAGAUAACUCAUAAUUUUAACCAUCAACUAGACAUGAAAAUGGAUCUAUAUGCAAAACACCUAGUAGAUAUAGGGUUAUCACUCAUAGGAUUCCACAAGUUUUUGUGAUUAUCUAUUUCUACAAGGGGUUAUUAGAAUAAGAACAAAAGGAGGCCCACAUGUUAGAUUUACAUAGAGAGAAUACGUGAAAUGUCAACUUAGGAAUACUCUAGAAGACACGAGAAGGCGACAUUGCAAAGUGGGGCCUCCCUAGCAGCCAGCCAGGGGUGGGCGCCCCACCUAGCAGGGGCACCCGCCCGGGGGUAGAGGCCAAUCAGAUUCAUUCUCGCGGAUCAGCCUCCACCGACUUUGAGGAUUAAUCUUAAGCGCGCGUUUUAAGUCGGUUUGAUCCAAGGGCUAUGGUUAUUCCUAGGGGGUGGAAAGAUUAGUACCACAUCGCUAGUUCAUGGUAGAGGAGGGGUUGGAUGUCCCUAUAAAUACAAGCCUGACCCCCCUGGGGAGUAGCUAAUUCUAAAGCUUUAAUUCAUAUUUUCCAGAGAGGGGUCCCUCGAAUGGUCCUAUCUCUUUAGGGUUUUAGCAACAAGAGAGGUUGAGAGAGUAUAGGGUGGAGAUAGAAGUGGAGGAAGCCCAUUCUGUCAGUGUCUUCUUCCUUGUAUCUGCAGGAUCAAGUCUCCUAACCCGAGGCUUGGUUCUAGAAUCAUUCGACAAUUGAACUUAUAAUACUAGUAAGUUAUUAUUCUUAUUGUUCUUUGGUUUAUGAGUUUACUUUAUUCGCUUGCGCUUGGGAAUAGAGUAAUUGUUCAUAGUGUAAGGGUGGUGCUUGUGCUAGGAACACUCGUAGAUACUCCCUAUCUAGCUGGAUUUGUGGUAGCCUUUUUGGGGAAGUGACAAUCCUCUAGGGUCUGAGUAAUCCACGUCCCAUCAGGAGGUAAGGUAGGGUAUAUGGUACUAGGGUUAAGCACUCUCUGAGGUGUCUCUUUUCUCUAGUUACUCCCCUUAUAACAAGAUCUACACAGCUUAGCAUAGGUUAGAAGAAGAUUGACAAAGGAGUUCUCUCUAUAUCACUCAUAUCUCGCUAUCUUGUCUUGCAAGCCCACGGGUUAAGUAUAAAUUUGGGUUAGUCUGAUGCACUCUUUCUCCUAGUGGUAAAAAUAUAAAUAACAAAACUCUAGAAUAUCUCUCGGGUGAAGUGCUCACCGAUAUCCAUGCGCUUGCGGAUUUCUCUAUGUUCGUUCAACAUUUCUGUUGGUGCAAAAGCUGAUCUGCAAACACAAAGGGCUAAUACCCGAUUCAAACGUUAAGGCAUGCCAGCCGAUUUGACCUUACAAUCGACAAAGGUGGUAACUCAAACACUUUAGUCCCGACAACAGCGAUGCGCCCAGAUGUCACGGCCAAGAGGUGCUCACGCGGAACUUGAGAACACGUCGAGUUUGACCUGAUGAAUUCCUAAGAACUCGUAAUGAAAAGAAAAAUAUGACGAAGUCGUCGAAAAGUAGAUGCUGGAAUAUGAGUAAAAACUUGUGUUUGAUUGAUUGAUAGAUUCAUUGAUUACAUGGCCCUAGGGUCUACAUUUAUACCCUGUCCGAAGAGCUACGAUCAGACACAACAAGGAUUCGAAUUCCAAAUUAACCGGAACCUGUACACAAAACGAAUUCUAAUAACUAAGAAAAACAUUAAACUAUCCUCCGUAACUGAUCGGGACACUAUCAUGAAUCAAUCGGCAAUCUCCACGUUUUCCUCCAGAGUCAUCGGCAGACUUACUUGUUACAGCCAUCGGCAAACACCGGCAUCGGUCAUCAGUACAAAUAUGCCAUCACCUCUGGACUUAGUCAUAUUCGGUCAUUACCCCAUCGGCAACCACCUUCAUCGGCAACUUCCCUGCAGACCAGUCACCAUUGCUCCAUCUGCCGAUCCGUAUUCCAGGCACGUGUUAAAAGACAUACGUCCAAAAAUGGUGUCAACAAUUUCCAAAGGACAAACUUAGUGUCCUAAAACAAGCACUGUUUAGAACAUGACACGAGUGUUCACCUUCCUAUUGCGCUACCCUUGUUAAUUGAGCAUAAAAUUAUAAUUGUGAAAAUAGUCCUUCGGGUAUUCUUGUCACUAACCUUAUUAGGCUUGGAGCAAAAGAUCAAUGGAGUGGCAAAUGUAAGGUAUAUCUAACCAAUCAUUAUGCAACAUUGAAUUACAUUCAACCAAUCUUGAUUUUUGCAAAAGUUAAGCUUUGGGGAUAUGCUUCCAUAGAUGCAUCUCUUGCCAUGUUGCUACAUCAUCUUGGUUGUCCCUACAUUUAAGAUAUGCUCAAUUUGCUAAAUAAUAAUCAUGCUCUAUCAUCACUGUUUGAGUAAACAUCUAUAAUGCUCUCAUGCUACAAUUGUUUGCUAUAGUAUAUGUUUAGGUUUGGAGUAGUUUCAUACGUCUCUUAAAUUAAGCAUGGUGCCUAGUUUAGGAGUGGUGAUCUUACUCUCAAAGGCUUUUGAUUACAUAUGGUUAAAAUGCCUUCUUGAAUCAAAUUAGACAUGGUGUCUAGGUUGAUUUUUGAGCUGAUAGUAUGCUAUAGUAGAUAUUGGAAUAUUUUUGUUGGACUAACCCCUGCAGGAAAACUAGCAAAUCCAAAAUGGGAAAGUCCUGAGAUGAAUUCACACUAGAGAUGAAGAGAGACACAAUAAUUUUACACAAGGGAGACACAACUCACUAGUAGCCAAAAAGAAAGAAGGGUGCCAAAAAUAUGAUCCAUGAUCAAAGCACUCACUUCAUGGAGUUGCAUUCUCUAAUCAACCAUUAAUUAUGAGGAAUCAAGAAAAGGUUGAUAAGAGAAGAGCAAUACACUCUCACUUCUGAGGUCAAGAAGCUGAGACAUAAGGAAGAAAGGCCAACUCCUCUAGGUGACCCAACCAAGUUCUUCAUCACUCUACACGCUGGUUUGCAAUCUCUAAAUUCACUAUUGCUUUAUAUCUAUAAGUAUGAGUUGAUUCCUAAUGCCUAUAUUUAAGAAUCAAAUGUAAGAUGGGAAAAUAAAAUCAAUCCUUUAGAAAGAAGUAAUCGUGAAUAAUAAAUGUUCUUUGCUAAGUAUGAUCUAGCAAGUUCUUUGUAGCAUAGAAAGUGACCCUUAGCUGUGUUACAACAAUGCCCUUGUCAUUACUUGUAUAUUCCUUUGGGUAUGUGUUGUCCACUAAUGAUUUUCAGGGAUAAAAUAGUAAGAAGAGCUAAAGGUCCAAGCACAAAUUAGAUAGAAAACAACUAAGGGCAUAAGGUAAAAAAAGAGUACAACAAAGGAGACAAGCUGUCCAUGAACAAGACAGGUGACUAGCCAAGCAAGGAAAGCCUCCGCAAGAUGUUAUGACUUCAACAUGCUUCAAUACAAAAGGUAACAUCUCUUGGUAAGCGAUCAUUACUUCCAAAAUAUCCUCCUUGAUUCUGGCAUGCACAUAAGUAGAGAUCCAACCAUGUUUUGAGUUACAACCUCAUUUGAUUCAAUCUAAUUAACUAAACAUGUUCAAUUUUUUAUGCUUGUUCCUGGUGUCAAUUUCUGGGUCUCAUAGCUUUUAAUUCAAUGAUCUGAAAUGUUGCACAUCCUAUCUUUAGAAGAUGAUAGUCAUAAUCGUGAAGUUAUAUGGAUAGGUAGACUAUCCUUCCAUAAGAUUGAGUAAUCUGAUCUGCCCAAUGUAUUUAAUGCCACAUUUCUUCCAUAAUGUUGAGUAAUCUGAUCUGCCAAAUGUAUUUAAUGCCACAUUUCUGCUCAUUGCUUGAUGCUAUUGCCCAUGUUUAUAUAGAGCAUAACACAUGAAUAACAACUUUAUCUCAUUCAAUGUGCCUAAGGUUAGGGAAUAAUGAACAAACCUUUUGGUUUUGUUGGUGUUUUCCAACCAACAGAGCCCAUGCACUUGAUCUCUGCCUUGUCUCUAUGAGCAGGACAUACUUUAGUCAACUCUCCGAGAAUCCUAUGAGUGAAGAUCCUAGACUUAUGAACAUGCACAAUGAGCGAAGAUGCUACCAGUUCCCAGAACUAGUACUUGACUCCAACCUGCAUGAAGAGCAAUAAACAUGGGUGACAUCAUCUUAAGAGGUGCAACUAUCAUGGUCUCUACCUUUGGGACCAAAUAAAGAACCUAAGGAAUUAACAUGGUAAGAGGUCCUAUUCGGAGGACUUAAAAUCACCGAACACCGUGCCAAGAGGUAACUUGGUAUUUAUCAGCAUUUUCCUUUAGCAUAUUUAUUUUCUUUAACCCCAUUAGUAGUUGCAUCUUAUUUAUUUAUUUAUGCAUUAGAAAAUAAAAAUAUGUAUUGCAUUGCAUGUAGAAAAUGCUAAGCCCCAUGUAUUUAAUGUGUGAUGCAAUAGCCCACAAACUCAUCUACUGUGGUGGUAUAAAAAUAAAUUUAUGCAUAUUUGUUUUCUUGUCUGCAUACUAUAAAAAGUAUAAAAAUACUGCUAAAAUAUAAAUAGGUAUAAUAAAGUUCUAGACUCCCAAAGCUUAGAGGUUUAUUACUAAUGCUUAAUUAGUUUAACAAGCUAUGUUGUCUAUUUAAGAUUUACAGGCUUUAAAGGAUCAAGAAAAAUUAACUGGCCGAAGGAUGACUUGUCCCCUGUCGGAGUACUGUCCACAUUAGGCAAGUGUUGUUUCUGAUAGCAAGGACCCAUGACAGUCUAGGAGGAUCAAUACGCCUUCGCUGCCCGUUAGCAACUUUAGCAGACUAUGUCAACAUCCAGCUAGAGGGAGAGCAACCCCCGUAUACCGAGCUAAGUAUCCCUUACUCAUCUAUUUAUUCCUAGUGCGUUAUAACAAGAUAAAAAAUGAAUAAUCUUAGAAACCUAAUAAAUAUUUUAUCUUUUAUAACUAAUCUUGCUAGGAGAGCUCUUGAUGAAUCUGUUAAAAUGAACCUCUAGAAUAAAUCUUACAUGGAGAUGAUGAAUAGUUUCUCUGCCGUAAUUCCUUGCAAGUACCUAGUUUUCAACCUUGUACUCUCUUGAGUUUUAGACACAACUAUUUAGACUUAAGAUUUUGCUCUGAGCCUGAAACUUGUGGGUAGCAAAUGAUUGAUCUAAGUCUAGGUAGUUGACGGAUAUGAUAUGGGGAGGUUUUGAGCUGCUAUCAGUCUUGCUCCUAGAGAUGCUAGAGUUCUAGAGAAUUUUAUUUUGAAAAUCUUAAAUGGCUACAUGAUGAGUUCCUUUAUGACAAGGUUUUAAAAUUCCUACCACAACCAAAUACUCAUGCUUACUAGAUUAGAAAAGCCUCCCACAUAUAUUUCAACCUAUAAGUAUUGAGGGUAGUUAAGCUGUGUUGACCAUAAGGAACUAAUCAUGUAGUUAAAGUCGAUAUUAUGUGCUCUCCAUCCUUUGACCUUAGCUACUUCUAUCCCUAGAAGUAUGCAACCACUUACUUCCACCAUAUUCACUAUGUGCUACUUCUGUUCCUGGAAGUACCACCCACAUAUACGCACUACACUCUAUGUUGUUUCUAUCCUGGAGACAUGCACCUAUGUUGCUCCUACCCUCAGAGUACGCAUUCAUUCACUCAUUCAUAUUACACAUCCACUUAGAAAAUAUUCUACUCCUACACUAGGAGAAGACACCCAACAAUAUUCAUUAUGUCUUUUUCCAUUAAAGCUCUAGUUAUUUCAGUUGAUACUUCCUACUGUUAUCAGUGCAUUAAAAGGGUUGGCUGAUCUUAAAAAAAGAAAAAUAAAAGAAAGAAGAAAAAAGUCCCAAAAAGAAAAGAAAGACAACCAAGUCCUUAUUAGGGAGGUAUGUUAUCCCCAAGGAGCAAAUGUAGGAUUAGAUAUUCACCAUCAAUCAUCACCCCUCAUUUUUUAUCAUUCUUAUCAUCACUUCAUUCACUGCACUCACAAGCACAUAUGAUUGAUUGUAUAAUUAGUUCUAUGGAUCCAUGGUUUAACUAUGCAAUACAUGCAAGUAGGUUUGAAUUGUCUUUCCCUAUGAGCUCCACAUAAGCCAAAUAGAAGUAGGGUGAGAGAGAGAAGGCAGUUAUGUCGUAGUGAUAUAAAUACCAUAUUCUGAGAGAAGGCAUACUCACUUGCCUUAGAGAGGAUCCAAAAAUUCCACAUAUGAAAGAUUAGAAAGGGUCAUACAAGGAAUCUCUGAGUUUUAUUGAAAAUCUUACAAAACUCCAGAAUAAUAGUUGAUCAAAGAGUGAGUAAUAUAGCGCUUGACUUAACCGUCCUAUCUUUAAAUCGCUAAGUGAUAGCUCUAAGCCUCAUGGUGAAAGGUAAUAUGGGUGAGUCUUGAGUUAGAAUAGUUCACUCUAAUCCGGAGGAGAGUCCUUGUUUGAACACAUGUGUAGUUGUGAGGCGUGAAAGCAUUGUAGCAACUCCUAAUUCAUCAUUGAGUCUAUCUUUGUUCAGGGAGGAGCAAAAGGUAAUAUUGGAGGAGUUUGUUGACGGUAGAUAAGUACUCUUUUUAACCAUCAACAUAGCAUGAGAAAGGACUAAAAUCAGAAUACCAUCUAGCUAUAGGGGUUAUUACUAACAUAAUUCCACAAGUUUUGGUGAAUGUCUAUUUAUGCAGGAUGUCAGCUGAAAAUAACGAAAGAUGGUCCACAUGUCAGGUUUACACAGAGAGAAUACCGUGAACGUCAACUUUUAUGUAAUCUAGAAGGUUCUAGGAGGCUCCAAAUCAAACGGAAAGCGAAUCGGGUCCAGUAGCCAGGCGGCUGCCCAAAGGGCUUGGGUGCCCGCCUGGAGAUCUCCACCAAUCAGAGUCAACCUCAUGGAUCCUGCCUCCACCGACUUUGAGGAGUAAUCUUGAGCAUAUGUUUAAGUCGGUUUGAUCCAGGGGCUAUGAUGCUUCCUAAGGGGCUAUAAAUAGAAGCCUGACCCCCCCUUAGAGGUAUCUCCUUCGUCUCCUUCAUUAGCUACAUCUAGAGCAAAAACUAGGGUUUCAUCAAGUAGAGAAGUAGAGGUCCCUCUAGAUCUUCUAGUUCUUCUAGUUCUAGUUCUAGUUGUAUCUAGAUAAAAGGGAGAGAGAAGAGGAUAGAGCCAAGGAGGAGCUCGAUCUGUCGGAUCUUCCUCAGCAUUGUAUAUUUGCAGCAACCAGUUCAUCUUUGGUUAAUCUCUAGGUACUUCAAUUCUAUAAUUCUUGAGUUAUUUAUUUAAUCUCUUUGUUUACUUUCUAAGUUAUUUAUUGGAUUCCCGCUUGUAUCGAGUGCUCUAGUUCUUAGUGCUCUAGAGUAGUAAUUAAUAGGUUAAGCGUGGUGCUUAGUACAUCAUGCAAUUACCUAGAAUUACACCCAAUCCAGCGUAUUGUUGUGGUUGCCCUAGGAUCGUGACAGUCCUGACGGCCGAUGUAUUCCACCAUGUUCAGAUUGGUGUUGUGGGACCAUAGUUAGAGCUUCCUAACCGCCAUCUCAUCCCUUUCUGUGGUUAGUGUUCUAAUGUCCCAAGAUAAGUAACCUUAGUAAAUCCUGAUUCCUAGAUCAACCUAUAGAACACUUAGAAAAUUCCUCUCUACCCUACAAAAUUAUAAAUAUUGUUAUCCUUGGGCGAUCUAAAUCUUGACUAGUACACUUUGCGUUCCUCAUGGAAAAUCGAUACCUUGGAAUACUCUCGGGUGAAAGCUACAUCGCUAUCCAUGCGCUUGCGGAUUUUUCUAUGUGCGUUUAAAAUACCCAACAAUCCCAUGUAGUAUUAUUUUCAUUAUUGGAAUAGAACCACUGCUUAGCCUCCUCUAGGAGUGAAAUGAAAAAAGACAAAGUAAAAUAGCAUCUUUUGUUACUCCCUUUAUUGUGAAGGUGCUGUAAAUUUCCAAAAAGUGUUGCAGACGUGUACUUACAUCUUCAUUACCUUUCCAACUAAACUGACUUGCUUGCACCAUGUUAAUGAGAGCUGGCUUGAGCUCAGAAGCAUUGUCCCCGAUGUCUACAGGUGGUCCAGUACGGAUGUUGGCAGUGGUUGAAACAGAGAAUUCAUAAAGUGUCUUGUUAGCCAUAGCUUCAAAAACUGGUGUGAGACUUCUUCUUAGGUUGUUGUCCUCUGACACUAAAAUUGACACUCUCUUAAGUUUUUCUCUUGUUUUUCUAGAGUGGCUUGCACCAUGUUAACGAGAGCUAGCUUGAGCUCAAAAGCAUUGUCCCCGAUGUCUACAGGUGGUCUAGUAUGGAAGUUGGCAGUGGUUGGAACAAAGAAUUCACAAAAUGUCUUGUUAGCCAUAGCUUCAAAAACUGGUGUGAGACUCCUGCUUCGACUGUUGUCCUCUAACACUAAAAUUGACACUCUCUUAAGUUUUUCUCUUGUUUUUCUGGUUGGAUUAUCAAUGAAAUUUGUUGAAAGUCCAAAACCUUACAUAUAUUACCCUGCAAAUAAUAUAUAUAGAUGGACAAUACCAACAGUAGUACAAAAAAGCUCUAAGCUAGCGGUGGAACUUUUUUACAGGUGGUUUCAAUUAAAAAACGCAUGUGAAGAGAAAUCAGCGGAACUGCGACUAGAAAACUAUUUUCACUGGCAGUCUGUUUUCUUAAGAAAACCGCCAGUGGAAAUGGUGCAUUUUCAUAGGCAGUUCUCUUAAGAAAAUCGCCACAGAAAAUCCAUCUCCACUUGCGGUUAUUCUAAGAAAACCACUAUAGAAAUCAUGUAUUUUUACAGGCGGUUUUCGUAAGGAACUGCCACUAAAAAUAGGAUUUCUAGUGGCGGUUUUUUAAGAAAACCGCCUAUUGAAAUAAUUUGAAUUGAUUUUUUUGAGUUUUUCAAAUGACCCUAUAUGAAAAAACCACCAAAAUAAAGUUAUGAAACUUUGUAGUUGAUAAUUUUUUAAUUUGAAAUCAUCUUGUCAUCGAAAACUACAUUCGAAUUUGUCAAAUUUGAAAUUCGAAUUUUGUAAAUUACCUCGGAUGGAGAAACUACCAAUAUAAAAGUUGUAGAUCUUAAAAAGUUAAGAAACUUUAUAGUUGACAACUUUUUCAUUUGAAUCUGUUUAGGGCCUCAAACAAUCAAUGUUUGCUCAAGUUAGGAUAAUAUGUGGGGAACCAAACUCCUAGUAUAAACACAAAUGAGUAAUGGGUGGAGUGGUAGAGGAGGCUAUAUGCGACGGAGGUUGUGGGUUCGAAUCCUACCACUCGUGUAGCGCAUGAUUUUAUUUUAAAAAAUGUAUGACUUGUAGGCGACUACCUAGUACCUAGUGGGCCUUGCCCAUAAUUAAAAUCUUUUUUUUUAUAUUUUCUGGACAAGCCUUUCCACAUACGGUUGACAUAACAUAACCUCUAGUGGAAAUCAAUUUCCACAGGCAAUUAUCUUAACUCAACCGCCUAUGGAAAUUAAUUUCCACUAGCGGUUCUCAAUUAACCACUAGUGGAAAUGGUGCAUUUCCACCGGCCCCCAGUGUUGGCGGGUCUGAGAAACGCCUAUAGAAAUAGAUUUAGAACUGCUUGUACAGAACUCCAUUCUGCUAGUGCAAGGGUAAGUGUAACACCCUAAAUUUUAUUCUUUUGGAAAUAGAGGGAAAAUAAUUUAAUUUUUGUAUUUUGUGCUCAUGAAAAUAUAGGAAAAAUAAUAUUUUUCAUUAAAAUAAAAAUUGUCAUAGGAGUUAGCAAUGUGUUUGAGCAUGCAUGCCUUUGCAUUUUAUUUGUUGUGAUGGGUGAGUUGACAAAAGUCAAGAUAUUUCAAACUGUUUUAUUUAAAAGGAUUUGAAAAUGGGUUUAAGAUAAAAGAAAGAGAAAAGAAAAGGAAAAACUUUCCCCCCGCUUGCUUCUGGCCCAAAGGCCCAGCUAAACCCUUCCCUGCUCUUCCCCUCUUUCCACUCGGCCCAGCGCUGGGCAGCCAGCAGUCGAGGCCCAAGCUUCCCCUCUCCCCCUCGCCUCGGCCCAGCCAGCCCAUGACCCCGAGCGGCGCGCCCCCCUCCUUUCGUUCUUUCACUGACACGCAGGUCCAACACCGAGUCGCUGAUGCCUCGGGCCCGCUCGUCAGUCGCCCUUCUUCAACCCCGAGUCGGGUGCGACAUGGACUGUGUUCUGGAGCCGGCCACCAAAUCCCAGCUUUCACGGGAACUUCCAAACCAAGCCCCAAUCCGACCCCUAUAAAGCCUCUGGGCAUAUUCCACGGCUUCUCUUUCUCCCCUACGUGUUUAGAAGUUAUCCCCAGCCGAUGUGACGCCCCGGUGGAUCUUGCCGAAGCUUGGGCACUCCCACCGUCGUGGUUUCCGCGUUUCGUUGCCGUUCCACAAAAUUUGAGCGCUUGCCGAGCACCGCAACAGGAUCACGAAGCCGUAGGUGCACUUUUCCCUCUGUUUCCCGGUCUCUGGGUAGCCCUAAACGCCGUCGAACUCGUGCAGGGAAGCACCGCCACCGUCUCGUGCCACACUCCAUCCCCGAGACCUCCCCAAGCUACGGAAACCCCCUAGGUGAGAUCCCCUUGAGCUCCUCUUGCUCCAUGUGCGUUUAGUUUCUCAAAUCGUGCCCGAAAACGCCUUUUCACCGAACUCCGGCGAGCUCAUGGACCUCCGACCAUGGUGCCACCGCGGCUGGCCCUGUAGCCGGCCGGCGACCUCCCUCUCUCUCCCCUCGAAUCUAAUCAGAGCCACUGGAACACGAUCCAACGGCCACGGAUGACUCAUACCCUUUCGGCUGCGCGUUUUAUUAAAGAGCCCCUCAAUUUAUUAUAUAUAGAACCCGCGGUCCUAAAGCGUAUUUCUAGAGUACGUUUUCUUUUUUCUGAAAAAGCAAACAGUUAGGUUUAGAUUAAAAAUACGUUUUCAGCAAAUUACAAAUUUGCCACUGAUUUUCUUUUGCUCAUAAAAUAUUCAUCUUAACUCUGUUUUGACCCAUUCAAAUUCCGUUGGAUUCGUAUUAAUGAGCUCUACAUGUUAGUAAACUUAAAUCACCAAUUUGAAACUUUUUAAUUUCAUGACCUUAAUUAAUUAAUUAUUUUUCUAUAUAAAAUCUUAGAAAAUUCAUUUCUUCCACGUUUUAGCUCCGAUUAUUGUGAUCUUUACGUCUGUGAGAUCGUAGCGAUGCGUAGAAUCAUUUUAUAAACUUUUCAUACUAUUUUUAUAUGUUUGGUGUACUGUUCUAAUUGUAGCCUUGUUUGCUUCGUGUAUGUUUGUCUCCAUAUGUUUGUGUUGGUGAUCGAUGAUCGAGUUUAGAUGGAUAGCAGUUUUUGGUGAUCAAGAUUAGAGCUUUGGCAACAAGUAAGACCAGCAGGACUAAAAGGAUCAACAAGAGCAUUUGGAUUAAGGCAAGUAUAGCAUUUGGAUUUUAUUUCUGUGACUAUGAUUCUGUUACUAGAUUAAUGUUAAGUAAUAAAUAAUAAAAAUGACUUUUUAGCAACUUGAUGAUUUAUCUAUACGUGAUCACCCGGGAUAAUAGUGCAAUCAUGAGGGCUAUAAUGGCUCUGGCUUUAGUCAAGUAUGAGUAACUCUUCUAGCUUGUUAGCUGUUACCUGUGUGUUGCAAUUGGGGAAUAGCAGACCAUGGAUUCCUGCGGGUGGAUCACAUGGACUGACUAAUGAAACCAAGCGGCCCUAACUUGUUAGACGAACCUUUGAAAGACUUCAUAGUGAUCCCUGCCGACCUUCCUUGGUAGUGGGUUAAGAGGCUGAUCACCUCGGGCGAAAGGGUAAAUCAUGACUCAUGGGUAAAGAUGUACAACCUCUGCAGAGUGUUUAAAACUAGUAUACUAGACGAGCUCACGGUCAGGAGCGGCCUUGGGGACAUCUACAUUAAGGGUGAUGAAUCUUGUGUGUUAAAUAUGCUCAUUGUUUAUUGUUUAAUGCUCUACAAUAUUUAUGUCACAUUGAUCAUGAGAUUGUGGGAUCUAGACAAUCUAGUUGCUAUACUUGUGGAGUUCGACAUGGACUCACUCUUGCUAUUUUCCCCAUUCUUCAGGAGGAGUGUUAGGCUUGUAAUCAACCAGUCAGUUGGAUCCUGUAGAGAGAAGUUAAUACCCAAAGUUUGGAGUGGUCUAUCCGCUGUUUGCUAUUAAUGGUUAUAUCUUUUAUACUAAGUACGUUAUAUAUUUAUGUAUUGUCUUUUGAUAUUACCCCUUAUUUGUAGCUAUAUGUGGUAUUUGACUUCUAAAAACUCACAUAUGGUGUAUAUCUGAUUUUGUCCUUAAAAUCGGGUAUUAUAGUAAGCCUGUUUGAGUAGAGAUAAAUGGCUUCCUCAAUCACAUCAGUGUUGAAGUGAUAUCAUAUGUCUUUUUCAUAGCCAUUCAACCUUCCUUGGCAAUGGUGCCAAAAACACUUACUGACUUUUCUUAGUGUCACUAAGAAUAAAGUUUUAAGUCUAUCCCCAAUAAUGGUACUAGAAAUGCUUAUGGUGUUUAUUAAUGCAACACUUAUUUUAACUAGUCACUUAUUAACUACCUACACCUCUAGCUUAGGGAACUAGGUUGUCAUCCUAGGUGAUUGAUCUUAAGAUGUUUGUUGGCAUCACCUAGCAUUACUACUAAGUAGUUUAUUAUUUCAUCCGACUAAAUAGAAUAUAAAGAUAUGAAAGAAAUGUUAUCCGCUAGCAUACAAAUUAAAUAUACCAUUAUAGUAUUUACCUCGAGUAUACCAGGUUGUUGAUUUAUACUUUACCACUAGGAAGGGAUGCCUAAGAAAUAUGAUUAUUCACUUAUCACUUGCACAUGCAAUGGAGAGUUAAGCAUGUCUAAUCAAUCUACUUAUAAUAGGGAUAAGUGUCACAAGUCACAAGAUAAAUAUAUAAUAAAUGAUGAAUAACCAAGUCAUAAUGAAUAAGAAUAAAUGCACCUACAUCAGUCCAUAAUUUGACAAGGCAGAGUAAAAAAGUAUUCCUAAGUCAUUCUAACUAUAUGUCAAAGAAUACUAUGAUUAGUGCAAUUACACUUAGCGGAUCAUUUUUAUAAUAUUCAUUAUAUCCAUACAUAAGGAACAUUGCUAAAAGAAGAGCCAUUACACAACAACACUUUUCCCCUACAACCGCAUUCUACUAGUUCUACAUAUGGAGGGUGGACUCCAUAGGGACUCAAUGGGACUGUCACUGCCGUGAUCUACUACACAACUCGGUAUAUAUAGUGCAUACACAGAUAAAUACUAUCUAAGGACCAUUCUUAGAUGACAUCUACCACUCACCACGUGUACAUUAGGAUGAGCGCUAUAUGAACAUAUGCAUAAACAUGAUAAUAAUCCAACUAUACUAAGUAUAUAAUCAAAGUAGAUGAUGAAGAAUAUAAUCGAGAACAAAAAUAUUAAAUAGAGCAAAGUGAUAUCUAUAGUAUCUAGCAAAUAUAUAAAUAGAAAAAUACAAAUAGAGAGAUUAUAAGGAAUUACCGAGUAAUACUCUCGACAAGACUCGAAAUCGAAGCGAAGCUUGACUCCGUCUACUUACAACCUAUGUAGCUAUGAUCUAGAAUUGGUGGAUCUCUAAGGAGACUAGGGCUUCUAGCUCUAAUGACUUGAUCAAAUGACUUGGUUUCCUUAUUCCUAGGGGAUAGGGAUCUCCUUAUAUAGGCUGGUGGAAUGAAGUAGAGCCCAUUGUUUGCGUAAACAACCAUUUAGAUCAUUUAAACACUUUACAAUGGUACAUUGUUUCUAUUUAAUCAUCCAUUUAACCCAUUUAAUUGACCGUUUAGCUCGUUUAAUGAACUAUUUAGCCCGAAUAAUGGCUAAAUGGCAUGUGACUGACUGUUUACCGUUUAGCGUUUUGGAAAACAUUGGAGCCCUCAGAUCAAACUGACUUCAAUCAAUGGCGUAGAUAGAAACCCUAAGGCAAUGGAGAACCAACGUGAGAAGGCAGUUGAUAGGUGGGACCAAGCCAGGUUGGCUGACCUAUAGGUAGUAUCAGCCAACAUUGCCUUGUGGAAAGUGGGCCCCACCUUCGGUGAUGUGUCUUCUCGUGCCUUAUUGAUCCUUCCCAAAUUGGUUUUUGCGAUGGAAGAUGCCUUUUUGCCUAACAUGCUUCAUUUCUUUUCCCUUUUCCUGAUAAACCCCUGCAAAAAUAAUGAUUCACCAAAAUUGUGGAUUUCUACAGUAUAGCCCCUACUUUAUGUAGAUAUUUCAUUAUAUGCUCUUUGCCAUGUUUGGUUGAUGGAUUAUAAUUGUUGUUAAGGACCGUCAACAAAUACUUGGGACACAUUAUUUUUGACAAAGGUGUGGCCACAGAUCCAACAAAAAUUGCCAUUAUGCUCAAAUGGCGAACACCAACAUCUAUGGCAAAACUUCAUGCUUUCCUUGGCCUAAUUGGUUACCAUAGGAAGUUCGUGAGUAAGUAUGGUGUCCUAGCUAAACCACUAACCAAUGUUUUGAGGUUGAAGACCUUCCAAUGGUCACCUAAAGCUUAGCAGGCUUUUGAUGCUAUCAAGCACACCAUGACAAAGACACUAGUUUUAGCAUUGGCAAAUUUUAACCUUCCUUUCACAUUUGAGACCACUGCAUGGGGGAAGUUAAUGGUGUAGUGUUAAUGCAAUAGGGCUAACCAAUAGCAUACUUGAGUAAAUCACCAGCAAAAAAGCAGAAGAAUCUAUAUAAUAUGAGAAAUAAUUUUUGUCACUAAUUAUGGCAGGCAAGAAGUGGAGACCAUAUCUGCAAUAGCAGGAAUUUGUCAUAUUUACUGACCAUAGAUCACUCUCAUAUCUGAAUGAGCAAACACUACAUUCUAAUCUCUAGAGAAAAGCAAUGACUAGACUCAUGGGACUAUAGUUCAAAAUUUUGUACAAGCCAAGCAAAAAAACUUGACUGCUAAUGCAUUGUCCAGAGUAGAUCAUCUCUAUGCACUCCUAGAAGUGGUAGUGGUGCAACCACAUCAGGAUGUUUUGAAUACAUAUGCCAUAGAUCCCAUAGCACAACAACUCCUAAAUAAAUUAGCAAUUGUCAAUCCUAAUGCCAAAGGCAUCAAUUUACAUCAAGGACUCAUCUAAAAAGACAAUCUAAUAUGGAUAGCUUAGAAUUCAGCACUAUAGACAAAGUUAAUAUCAACAUGCCAUGCGAGUGCUAUUGUAGGACACUAUGGAAUCAUGGCUACAUAUCAUAGGUUGAAAAAGGCAUUUUCAUUGGAAAGACACGAAGAAAGAUGUGGAUAAUUUUAUACAACAAUGUUAUGUGUGUUAGCAAGCUAAGCAUACUAAUACACCUCUAGCUGGUUUAUUACAACCCCCUCCAUAAUCCUAUGGGUGUGUGGCAAGAUGUUUCUAUGGACUUCAAGAAGGAUUACCUAAAUCAGAUGGCUAUUCUAUGAUUCUAGUGGUGGUGGAUAGAUUAAGUAAGAUUGCCCAUUUCCUGCCAGUGAAACAUCCAUACACUACACUCUCAAUUGCUAAAUUGUUCUUAUCCACCAUAGUCAAAUUCCAUGGAUUUCCCAAGUCAAUUAUGUCUUAUAGAGACCCAAUUUUUUGAGUAACUUUUGGAAAGAACUAUUCAAGUUGUACAAGGUAGAUCUAAACUUGACAACUGCUUACCACCCACAGUCUGAUGGGCAAACAGAGAGAGUAAACCAAUGCAUGGAAAUGUACUUGAAAUGUUCAGUACAAGACUCUCUAAAGAAUUGGAAAGCCUAGCUUCCACUAGCACAGUUAUGGUAUAACUCAUCAUUCCACAGUGCACUAGGUUGUUUGCCUUUCAAAGCGUUAUAUGGAUAUGAACCAAAUCUAGGAAUUUGUCCAACAAUUCUAGCAGAACUCUCCAACAGUAACUGACAUCAUCAAGAAUCGAGAACAUCACUAGGAGGCACUCAAGCAACGAUGAUGAUAGCCUAGAAUAGAAUCAAGACGUAGGCUGACAAGAAUUGUCCAAACAAAGAAUUCUCUAUGGGUGACAAGGUACUGCUUAAACUUCAACUAUACAUUUAGUCAUGUGUAGCUAACAGGCCAUUCCCUAACCUAGCAUACAAAUACUUUGGUCCACACACCAUUUUGGAGCGCAUUGGGUCAGUUACAUACAAGUUGGAACUGCGUGAAGAUAGUCCAAUCCACCAUAUCUUUCAUAUCUCUCAACUCAAAUCAUAUCAUCAAUAUCACUCACCUCUCUUUUCCAAUCUGCCAAUGCUCACUGUUACUCAAGCUAGCACGGCACAACCACUAAAGGUGCUCAACACGUGUCUUGGAAAGAAAGGUAAUACUGCCAUGCCAUAGGUGUUGUUAUCUUGGAUAGGUUUACCUACAUCGUCCACAACAUGGGAGGGUUACUACGUGGUGAAGAAGAGGUUCCUUAACGCACCGACUUAGGGUCAAGCCAGUUCUUCGGUGGGGGAGUUGUCAUAGUCCAAGUCUAAUGGCCCAGACAGCAAGUGUCAAGUGAUGAAGACACGUCCAAGACAAGGAGUAUUUCCCAUUAAUGUAAUAAAGUAGACAUUGGCAUGUGGGUCCAUGGGACCAGUUGUUGGAUGCCUUAAGUACUCGAACUAUUGUUGUAAAGAUAUCAUUGGAGUUUACUAUAGUCAAUAGACUCACGAGAGCCAGGGGUUUCCCCUUUGCUUCCUCUCGUUGGCCAAACUCCAGCAAGUCUAAUUGCCUCUCACAUCGACGGUGUCCUCACCGGUGGCCACAGGUGCUACACUCGGAGGCUCCAUAACCUGAGUUGGAUUAUGAACUUGGCUGCAUCAUUCCAAGCAAAUUAACAUAUAUAUAUAUAAGCAAUGGUAAUGCAAUGCUAUUUUUUACCACAACCAUACUUCAGAUGUGGAUCAUAUCAAUUGACUGAACGAAAAGCAAAGCAGUAGGUAGUGGGUUCCAAACCUUAUAUCUCCUUGGGCCCUUGAAUGCAUGUUUUGGGGCUCAUGUUUGUCUCUCUCCCAUAUGCACAUCUGAACCACCCUCGGUAUGCAGUCUGGCGUGCCGCCUCCAUCGAUCAAACGGAAAAGCAAAGCAGUAGGGAGGGGGUUCCAAACCUUAUAUCUCCUUGGCGCCCUUGAAUGCAUGUUUCGGGGCUCGUAUUUGUCUCUCUCCCAUAUGCACAUCUGAACCACCCUCAGUAUGGACUCUGGCGUGCCACCACCGAUGGUGGCGGCCCUGCCUGACUUCAUGGCUCGCUAGGCAAGGGCACCCCGCCCACCACGCGUGUUUUUUUUUGAGGAGAGGAGAGGAGUCACAAGUGUGGGACCAUGGGUGUCGAGGGGACAGUCACACAGGGGUGGGAGAGGAGUCACACGUGUGGGAGCGCGUGUGUCUAGGAGGACGUGCGUCACAUGGGGAGAGAGUCGUGUGGGGGUCGGCACGGGAUCAGAUGAGUGAUGAGGACUGGUGAGUAAGGCCAGUCUCAAUGUAUAGUAUCAUGGUACAGUUACCAAGACUAUAAACUAGGUAACCGAGCAACAUGAGUUUCAUGGGGAUGAAACUCCUCUCUCAUCUGAUGAAACUCCUUCAUUUAAUGACCCUGCCAAGUCAGCAAUUUUGCUUAUGUGACACCCUAUUUAAUGUGCAUGACACUCUCAUGAAACAUGCAUUGAGACUGGCCUAAGAGAAACGAGAUAGCAGAGUGAAUCUCAUCCUUUGAUUUGAAAGGUUAUUUGCUGUUAGGUGUAUUUUUUGGGUAUACGUAGGAGAGAUUAUGACUAUGGUGGAUAGUUUGUGGGGUGGCUCUAUGGAGGUUUACGAGAUUAUGACUAUGGUGGAUAGUUUGUGGGGUGGCUUUAUGGAGGUUUACGAGCGGUGGCUUUAUGGAGGUUUACGAGCGGUGUACUAGUAGUAGUAGAGAUUUAUAUUACUGGCUCAUCAUGUAAUAAUUGCAUUUUGCGAAGAUGAAUAUGUAGUUGUACUAUAUAAAUAGGCAAUUUCAGUAGUCGAUAGUAUUGUUAGUUUUUUUAUUACCAACUUGGAUUAUUGUUUAUUGGUUUGCAUUCCUUUGUAUCUUUUUAAAUUGUUAAUUUUAUAUCUUCUUCCUGUUGCCAUCUCAUUUCCAAUUUUAGUUUUCCUCCUACGUGAACUAGGGCCUAGGGUGGUUCCAGCACUUAUAUAAUAUAUUAAGCGGUUUGCCUUGUUGUAAGUUAUUUUUUUUGGUUUAUAAUGAGAGCAUAUUUUGCUCAGCCAGUUAUUUUUUUAGUUUCAUAGCUGUUCGCUUCAACUUGUCGGCACUACUUUUCACUAUAAAAUAAUAUUUUUCUCUCAUAACAAAUUUGCAUCAGCAGCAGCCGAAAAAUCAGUUAGCCGAAUAGGUAAUUUCAUUGCUUGUGGUGUUUGUUUUAUUUACUCUUUUUUCAGGUUCAUGUUAAGGGUUUGUGCUCAGUGCUUUUAGUAUUUGACCAUUGCUACCAUUCUCCAAACAGUUACCGAACAAAAAAAAACUUUCUCCAAACAGUUAGCUGAUAGGCCACACGCUGCAGCAUGCAGGAUGUACCCUGCAGAUGCUUACACCAGCAUAUAAGUUUUUUGCAGAUCGCGCGCUCAAUCAUUCACAAUAAUGAAAAUAAGCCCAAUGAUUAAUUGACUAGAAUGUACAAACACAGUGAGGAGCUUUAAUUACUGGCUUGAGUUUGUGCAGAAUAUUGAAGACAUCAUCAGUGGCGGAUCAAAAAAACCAGGCAAGAGGUGGAGUCCUCGGAUCAUGGAUGUGGCAGUGUCCAUUUGGUACCAGAGGGGGUCGGGGCGGCGCCUGGUGACUUUGCUCCCUCGUGGCACUUGCCACGUGAGAUGCUCGGGGAUGCCUGUUUUUGCUAUUUUUCACCUGUUCUACCUGUUUUGUGCUUGCACUUAAAAUUUUCCAUGUUCAUGUGGAACCAAGUAAAAUUUAAACAAUAAAUACCACUUUUUAGUUGAUUUUGUCACUUUUGGCUCGCUAUGUUGAUGGCUUUUCUGGGUGUUAAUAGCCAUCGAACAAAGUAAAAUUUAAACAAUAAAUACCACUUUUAGUUGAUUUUGUCACUUUUGUCUUGCUAUGUUGAUGGCUUUUCUGGGUGUUAAUAGCCAUCGAACAAAGUAAAAUUUAAACAUUAAAUACCACUUUUAGUUGAUUUUGUCACUUUUGGGGUGUUAACAGCCAUCAACAGGCGGUGGGGGGGCGGAGAUGGCCAACGGCAAGUGGGGGUUGGGCUGUGAAACGGUACUCCCUGAGAAAUCAGCCCAUGUGUGUGUCACGGGGCAGGGGCAUUUGCCCUUAACAUCAUGAUUGAUAACACCAUGAGCACAGUGCUAUCAAACUUGGCGGAGAGACGAUUGGCUGCGGGAACCAGUAGCCAAGUGUCUAGCUCUAGCCCCAACACUAUCAGUAGCAUUAUGAAUGGUGUCAUCAAGAGAAAACUGAAUGUCAGCACAAAGGACCUCAUGUGAUACAUCCACAAAAUCUAGAAAAUACAUCUGAAUGAUAUAUUUCGAUUCGGGCAUGCAGCUGGCAAGAUGCAUCUCAGCAAAUCUUUGACGCACUGUCCAAUGAAUUUAUGAAGACAACAAUCUACGAUGCAAGUGAAAAUAUAUGUAUCUAAUUUUUGCUAGGAUGAACCUUUAGUUUAUUGAACCGCGACACAUGGUUGUUGACUAAAUUAUUGUAAUUACUAUGCAUAUCAGCAAAUCCAUGAUUGUUGAUUAAAUUAUUGUAAUUAUUGUGCAUGCUUAUAGCAACUGUCAUAUGGCGUGACUAUAUGACGAUGUAUAGUGGACAGGUAAGUGUGAAUGCUACUUUUAAUAUAUAUGACCUAUUUAUUGGGUAUGUUAGAGAAUGUUAAAUUACAGCGGAUGCAUAAUAAAUUUCAUAUAAGAAAGAGCAUAUAUAUUGCACACAUGAUGACUAAUAUUUUCUCUUCUGUAGGUCGACAUCAUCUGCUCCAGAGGCAGAACCAGGGGGGCCAUGCCCCCCUCCCCCAAAUGGCAAAAAUCUUUUAGUUGCCCACUAAUCUGCCCAGCUUAGCAACUAAAGCAAAAAUGUCGCAAUCAUUUUGUUAUUCUAGAAUAAGAAGAUGCAUCCUCCCUUUCCUUUUAGUUUGUUGGCUAAUUUAACUUGUCACAACAAACAUUAUGAUUUAUGUUUAUAUGAAUAUUUAUUUUAUAUAUACAUAUAAAUUUUGCUCGUUCUCGUAUCUGUUUAGCCAGACUGCACCCCCAUCCCCUUUUAUCAUUUUGUUGGUUCUGACACUAAUCUGAGGUUUCUUCAUCAGCCUGUUUUUGCUAGUUCUAGUGUUAUUCUGUUUUUUUGUCCCAACAUUCUUGCACAUAUUCCUGAGCCUGCCGAGGAAGACCUUGCAUUAUUGCCACCCUUACUUUCUCACCAAUGCCUUCGUCGGGUCAUACAAGAAUCUGAACUUCUAUUGAAUCCUUGGGGCAGGACACAUAGUAAAUGUCCCUAUGCACAUACUGAUGGUAUAUUUGGUUCAAAUUCUGAAGCGUUUGCUUCUGUCCGUUCUUUGAAGGUGCACUUAUAAUUUUCCAUGUUCAUGUGGAACCAAGUAAAAUUUAAACAAUAAAUAUCACUUUUUAGUUGAUUUUGUCACUUUUAGCUCGCUGUGCUGAUGGCAUUUCGAGGUGUUAAUAGCCAUCGAACAAAGUAAAAUUUAAACAUUAAAUACCACUUUUUAGUUGAUUUUGUCACUUUUGGCUUGCUAUGUUGAUGGCAUUUCGGGGUGUUAAUAGCCAUCAACAGCGGGGGAGGGAGAUGCCCAACGGCAUGUGGCGUCUGGGCUGUGAAAUAGUAGUCCUUGAGAAAUCAGCCCAUGUGUGUGUCAGGGGGCAGGGGCAUCUGCCCCUAAUCAUCAUGAUUGAUAACACCAUGAGCACAGUGCUAUCAAACAUGGCGGAGAGACAAUUGGCUGCGGCAAUUAGUAGCCAAGUGACUAGCUCUAGCCCCAACACUAUCACUAGCAUUAUGAAUGGUGUCAUCAAGCGAAAACUGAAUGUCAUCACAAAGGACCUCAUGUGAGUGUCUCUACUUUAACAUACCACAACCACAAAAUCUAUAAAAAACAUUUGAAUGAUAUAUUUCGAUUCGGGCAUGCAGCUGGCAAGAUGCAUCUCAGCAAAUCUUUAACGCACUGUCCAAUGAAUUUAUGAAGACAACAAUCUACGAUGCAAGUGAAAAUAUAUGUAUCUAAUUUUUGCUAGGAUGAACCUUUAGUUUAUUGAACCGCGACACAUGGUUGUUGACUAAAUUAUUGUAAUUACUAUGCACCUCAGCAAAUCCAUGAUUGUUGAUUAAAUUAUUGUAAUUAUUGUGCCUGUUUAUAGCAACUGUCAUGUGGCGUGACUAUAUGACGAUGUAUAGUGGACAGGUAAGUGUGAAUGCUACUUUUAAUAUAUAUGACCUAUUUAUUAGGUAUGUUAGAGAAUGUUAAAUUACACCGGAUGCAUAAUAAAUUUCAUAUAAGAAAGAGCAUAUAUAUUGCACACAUGAUGACUAAUAUUUUCUCUUCUGUAGAUCGACAUCAUCUGCUCGAGAGGCAGAACCAGGGGGCCAUGCCCCCCUCCCCCAAAUGGCAAAAAUCUUUUAGAUGCCCACUAAUUUGCCCAGCUUAGCAACUAAAGCAAAAAUGUCGCAAUCAUUUUGUUAUUCUAGAAUAAGAAGAUGCAUCCUCCCUUUCCUUUUAGUUUGUUGGCUAAUUUAACUUGUCACAACAAACAUUAUGAUUUAUGUUUAUAUGAAUAUUUAUUUUAUAUAUACAUAUAAAUUUUGCUCGUUCUCGUAUCUGUUUAGCCAGACUGCACCCCCAUCCCCUUUUAUCAUUUUGUUGGUUCUGGCACUAAUCUGAGGUUUCUUCAUCAGCCUGUUUUUGCUAGUUCUAGUGUUAUUCUGUUUUUUUGUCCCAACAUUCUUGCACAGAUUCCUGAGCCUGCCGAGGAAGACCUUGCAUUAUUGCCACCCUUACUUUCUCACCAAUGCCUUCGUCGGGUCAUACAAGAAUCUGAACUUCUAUUGAAUCCUUGGGGCAGGACACAUAGUAAAUGUCCCUAUGCACAUACUGAUGGUAUAUUUGGUUCAAAUUCUGAAGCGUUUGCUUCUGUCCGUUCUUUGAAGGUGCACUUAUAAUUUUCCAUGUUCAUGUGGAACCAAGUAAAAUUUAAACAAUAAAUACCACUUUUUAGUUGAUUUUGUCACUUUUAGCUCGCUAUGCUGAUGGCAUUUCGAGGUGUUAAUAGCCAUCGAACAAAGUAAAAUUUAAACAUUAAAUACCACUUUUUAGUUGAUUUUGUCACUUUUGGCUUGCUAUGUUGAUGGCAUUUCGGGGUGUUAAUAGCCAUCAACAGCGGGGGGAGGGAGAUGCCCAACGGCAUGUGGCGGCUGGGCUGUGAAACAGUACUCCUUGAGAAAUCAGCCCAAGUGUGUGUCAGGGGGCAGGGGCAUCUGCCCCUAAUCAUCAUGAUUGAUAACACCAUGAGCACAGUGCUAUCAAACAUGGCGGAGAGACAAUUGGCUGCGGCAAUUAGUAGCCAAGUGACUAGCUCUAGCCCCAACACUAUCACUAGCAUUAUGAAUGGUGUCAUCAAGCGAAAACUGAAUGUCAUCACAAAGGACCUCAUGUGAGUGUCUCUACUUUAACAUACCACAACCACAAAAUCUAUAAAAAACAUUUGAAUGAUAUAUUUCGAUUCGGGCAUGCAGCUGGCAAGAUGCAUCUUAGCAAAUCUUUGACGCACUGUCCAAUGAAUUUAUGAAGACAACAAUCUACGAUGCAAGUGAAAAUAUAUGUAUCUAAUUUUUGCUAGGAUGAACCUUUAGUUUAUUGAACCGCGACACAUGGUUGGUGACUAAAUUAUUGUAAUAACUAUGCAUCUCAGCAAAUCCAUGAUUGUUGAUUAAAUUAUUGUAAUUAUUGUGCAUGUUUAUAGCAACUGUCAUAUGGCGUGACUAUAUGACGAUGUAUAGUGGACAGGUAAGUGUGAAUGCUACUUUUAAUAUAUAUGACCUAUUUAUUGGGUAUGUUAGAGAAUGUUAAAUUACACCGGAUGCAUAAUAAAUUUCAUAUAAGAAAGAGCAUAUAUAUUGCACACAUGAUGACUAAUAUUUUCUCUUCUGUAGGUCGACAUCAUCUGCUCCAGAGGCAGAACCAGGGGGCCAUGCCCCCCUCCCCCAAAUGGCAAAAAUCUUUUAGAUGCCCACUAAUCUGCCCAGCUUAGCAACUAAAGCCAAAAUGUCGCAAUCAUUUUGUUAUUCUAGAAUAAGAAGAUGCAUCCUCCCUUUCCUUUUAGUUUGUUGGCUAAUUUAACUUGUCACAACAAACAUUAUGAUUUAUGUUUAUAUGAAUAUUUAUUUUAUAUAUACAUAUAAAUUUUGCUCGUUCUCGUAUCUGUUUAGCCAGACUGCACCCCCAUCCCCUUUUAUCAUUUUGUUGGUUCUGGCACUAAUCUGAGGUUUCUUCAUCAGCCUGUUUUUGCUAGUUCUAGUGUUAUUCUGUUUUUUUGUCCCAACAUUCUUGCACAGAUUCCUGAGCCUGCCGAGGAAGACCUUGCAUUAUUGCCACCCUUACUUUCUCACCAUUGCCUUCGUCGGGUCAUACAAGAAUCUGAACUUCUAUUGAAUCCUUGGGGCAGGACACAUAGUAAAUGUCCCUAUGCACAUACCGAUGGUAUAUUUGGUUCAAAUUCUGAAGCGUUUGCUUCUGUCCGUUCUUUGAAGGUGCACUUAUAAUUUUCCAUGUUCAUGUGGAACCAAGUAAAAUUUAAACAAUAAAUACCACUUUUUAGUUGAUUUUGUCACUUUUAGCUCGCUAUGCUGAUGGCAUUUCGAGGUGUUAAUAGCCAUCGAACAAAGUAAAAUUUAAACAUUAAAUACCACUUUUUAGUUGAUUUUGUCACUUUUGGCUUGCUAUGUUGAUGGCAUUUCGGGGUGUUAAUAGCCAUCAACAGCGGGGGGAGGGAGAUGCCCAACGGCAUGUGGCGGCUGGGCUGUGAAACAGUACUCCUUGAGAAAUCAGCCCAUGUGUGUCAGGGGACAGGGGCAUCUGCCCCUAAUCAUCAUGAUUGAUAACACCAUGAGCACAGUGCUAUCAAACAUGGCGGAGAGACAAUUGGCUGCGGCAAUUAGUAGCCAAGUGACUAGCUCUAGCCCCAACACUAUCACUAGCAUUAUGAAUGGUGUCAUCAAGCGAAAACUGUGGUAGAACCUCCUGAAUUAAGUGUCCCACAUGCACCCAUCAUUGUCUCAAAGACUUCUGAUCGACGUGCACGAGUUCCAAAUGACUCAAGAAGUCUGUCGGGUGUCCUCGGGAAACCCGAAUCAUCCACGUUAUAUUCUUUCCAGGAAUUUCCCUCAUUAAGCAUUACAGUAUUACAACAUUUUCAUAGAUAAGGUAAAUCAGAGUAAAAGCGGAAAGGUUACAUAACAUAGAUUGAAACUUAAGUCCAACGGUUACAAACCAUAAGUAUUUAGUACAUAAGAAGUUCGGAACUUUAUAUUACAUAAACCAUAGAUCACACAACAAGUUUUACUUGCCCAAGGUCACACAUCAGAUUCAUCAUCAUCACUCUCCUCCACAAGAGUAAAGUAACAACGAUCAUCAAAAGGAUUAUCAAAGGGUUCACCUGCAAUAGGGGUUAAUAAACCCUGAGUACAAAAGUACUCAACAAGACUUAACCGACUAUAAAAGAGGUGAAGACUCAAGUAUGCAGGCUGUAGGGAUUCAAGGUAAAGCUUUAGCAAGAUCAAGCAUUUCUUUUGCAUAAAAGCUUACUAAGAGUAAAACCUACUUUCAAGUUUUAACUCAAGAUCAUCAUUGAUGCCUAACCAAAACUAUUAUCAAACUUUCAUAAGCAAACCAUAUCUUUCUUAUGCCAAAGAUUUACUUGUUACUACGAUGAUGGGGUGAGGAUUGAGACUCCAUAUCCGAGGAAACACGGCGAUUCGAAUCGAUUAAACCCAGCUGGGGAUUCAGUACCACACGACAUAUGUAGAACUUAAUCUUGCAUAUGUCAACCUGUUUCUAUAGAUCCUCCCAUACAAGAACGGGUCCAGCGUCACCCGAGAGUACAGUACACCACCAUCCUAUAGCCAAUCUAGAUGUUUCCCGGUCAUCUCAGAUCCGUAAGGUGGGUACACGCUACUCUCGCCAUCUCUCCACUCCCAGUACGCGGUUAGCCGUUCUCAAGUAUCAGAAUAGCUAUAGGUAAGGCUUACCACCGCAUGUGGGCUGUACUCAAAGGUCUCAAUCACAACAGGCCAACAACGGAACGGUCCUUAAUCGACACAGUUGGAGACACUACUUUAAGACUCCAUUCUUAAAGCAAGUCCACCGACCGGUCUCAAGUUCGAAUAUUAUUGACCAUAAAAGUAUUCCACAACAACCCUUCAAACUUUCUCAUUUGAAAACCUAUCUAAUAAGCAGGGCUAAGCAUACUAAGUAUUUUCAUAAAACAGAUAUCAAGGUUAAUAUUGAAAUCAUCAAGGUAGAUAAUGCAGCAAAUAGGAUUCACUCAACUCCUAUUCACCUAAUGCAUCAUAUUAACUCAAGUGAUAUAAAUAACUUUAUGAAAAUACAAGGAUAGGGUUUAAUGUCCGGGGCUUGCCUUGGUCGGAAGGGAAGUUCGACAACUCAGCAAAACCCGAAGGUUCCACAAACUCGGAAGCAACCCACUGUGGCUCAGAUUCUUCCGGAGCGUAUUCUAUACGUAAAAGUGCAUAUGCAUGAUUAUGAUAUACUCAUGGCAUGAUAAAGACAGGUUACAUGUUCUUGGAUGAUAAUAACAAACAUGACUACCUCGAGUACAACUUACCUUCAUGGUAAAGAAACAAACUAAGCUAGCUAUCAAAGCAUAGAUUACUACUAAACAAACUUUAUCAUUUUUAUUAAGCAACAUUGGGUAUCUAUCAAAUAAUAAAGAUCAUAUAUAUAAAACAAAUCAUAACCAGGGAGCAUAUUAUGCUAAGUGACCACUGGUUGUCAAUCAAUCCAAAAUACCACUCAAAUCCUAAAAGGAUUAAUUAUUUCUAUUUCUUUUAUAAUCAUUUUAAAUAGUUUUAUUAAGAAAUAGAGCAUACUUUAUCAAAAAGAGCUGAAAUUAUUCCUGAAGCUAGAUAACAGUAACACAAGUUCACAUAUUAAAUUUCAUGAUUUUUGGAUAUACCCAUAAAUUAUUAAAAUUCAUGGAAGAUUUAUUUAUUUAUUAAAAGAGGUAAUUUUUACAUACAUGCAAACUACCAGAAAAUAGAACCAAAUAUUUUUCAUGUAUUCUACUCAUUUCAAGGAAGCUAUACAAGAAGUUUCACUAUUUUUGGAUUACUACAUAAUUUAAUACACAAAUUCAAACAUCAACCAUUUUUAAACAAAAAGAAAAAGAAAAGCAUCACUGUGCCACUGCGGCCAAGGAGCUCGGCCCAAGCUCGCGCGAAACUUGGCCCAGCCGGCCUCUCCCCGCGCGCGCUGAUGGUUUUGCAGAAAAGCCCUUGGAUUUCCUAGAAACCAACCCGCAGACCAGCCAACUAUUCACAUGAGUCUACGGCUUCGCAACCAAUCCCCUCCCCUUUCUCAUCUUUAGAAACACGAGGUCCCCGACGCCCCGGCUGACCAGAGCGCGGCAGAACGCGGUGGCGUGGGUUACGCCGGGCAACUCCGGCCACCCCGAACCAACUGAGGCGAGCACGAGCAUCAGCANNNNNNNNNNNNNNNNNNNNNNNNNNNNNNNNNNNNNNNNNNNNNNNNNNNNNNNNNNNNNNNNNNNNNNNNNNNNNNNNNNNNNNNNNNNNNNNNNNNNAUCGGCAUCUCACCCUAGGUGUGCUGACGCACAUUUUAGGAGCGGAGAACAACCGGGUGAUACUCGUCCACGCGACUAGUGACUCCGGCGGCGCGCUCCGACGAAGAAGACGAUGUUCCGGCGACAGCUCUGAAGCAAUGGAGAAAAGAGCGAGGCGAUGAGCAUCACAGGAUCAUGCCGAAGCAAAGACAAGAGAAAGAGAGAGCAGAGAGUCGCCCAGAUGAGCCAACCACGGGAGACUCGAGCUCGGCUGCGACUUACUCCGGCGAAGAUGAAAAUGAGGAACUCCGGUGCUCUGAUGCGAAAGAGAAUAGAAGGACGGGUUCUGGAGAUGCGCAAGGAGGUAACGAAGAUAUGCCCACGGUGAAACUGGAUAUGGAUCAACCGUUGCGGUGAAUUUUGGAUUUGAGUGAUAAGCUGUCCGUCGGUGCUCCGGUGGCAAUCGGCGUCGGUGAGCGCAAGAGGAAGGGACACGUCGCGCUCCACUUCGCCAGCAGCUGCUUCACCUUGCCACGGACGCGAGCACGUGCUUGGACGAGGUGAAACGGUGGCUCAUGCGCUGGCAACGCCGAUCCAAGCUCGGUGGUCCACCGCCAUGAACAGAAGCCAAAGCUUAUCCCCCUCUUCCCCAUUUACCCCUUUCUGUCUUUUUGCGAAAAUUGACCAAAAUUUGAACAGAAGUCAUAUUUCUGCCAAAAUAAAACUUGUUCAGAAUUUUGAAUACUAUAAAACAUCUUUUAGGGUCCAAGGCUGAUUUCAAAUGGAAAGGGAUGAAUUUGAGCCAAACAGUUUGAAAUUCAAAUCUCAAAUUGGGAAAAAUUCCAAUUUUGAAUUGGGGCAGAUUAGAAUUUCCAAAAUUACUUUUGAUUUUCCGAAACAACUUGAAAAACUCCCAACAUGAAAGUUGUUCAACUUUUCAAGCCCUACAACUUUCAUGUUGACCAUUUUUCAAAAUUCCAAAUAGAUUUUGAAUUGGAUAUUCAAAUUGGAAAAGGGGACAAUUUCUGGAAAAUUGUAUUUUCAAAAUUACUUUGAAUUUUGUAUUGAAACUCCAAAAACUCAAAACACCAAAGUUGUACAUCUUGACAAGACCUACAACUUUGCUUUUGAACUCAACUUCAAAUUUUUCUUGGUUUUUGAAUUGCACAAAAAGGGGCAAAUCUAGGGUUUCCCCCUUAAGCUCUCGGAAAACUUUCACCCAAGGUCUUUAAACUCCAACACAAGCAUCCAAUACACAAAAUAAGCACACUUUAAAUUCCUAAACACAUUCAUCCAAAUUAAACUUAUUUUAAGUUAAUGCAUCAGGGUUUACUUAACAAAUAAACUAUGCAAUGCUCAUGAUGACAUGUCAUGUUUUAGUUCGCUUAACACCAGAGUGUUACAGCUCUUUCCCCCUUAAAGAAAUCUCGUCCCGAGAUUUAACUUGAAGGCUAACUAAUGGAAAAGGAAGUUUGUCAAGCACUCCCAAAACCAACUUUUACAAAAAUAGGGAUAGGUCAUUACACUACAGAUUACAAGGAUAGAACAGAAGAAAGAAACUCAGGAAAACUUUCUAAGAGAAACUCUUCGGACUCCCACGUGGCUUCAUCUUCGGUAUGUUGAUUCCAUUGCACCUUGUAAAAUUUGAUAGUUCUUCUACGAGUGACUCGAUCUUUUUGAUCCAGAAUCUUGAUAGGAUAUUCUGAAUAUGUCAGAUCAGGCUCUAACUUAAUUUCUUCAACAUGAAUGAUAUGAUCAGGCACUUGAAGACAUUUCUUCAACUGAGAGACAUGGAACACAUUGUGAACCGAUGAUAACUGUGGUGGUAAAUCUAGACGAUAUGCCACCUUUCCACAUCUUUCAAGGAUUUGAUAUGGACCUAUAUAUCGAGGUGCCAACUUUCCUUUUACUCCAAAUCGAGUGACCCCUUUCAUAGGUGACACUUUGAGGUAUACAUAAUCACCAACCUCAAAGGUAAGAGAGCGACGUCUCUUAUCAGCAUAACUCUUCUGCCUGGACUGUGCUAUCUUCAUGUUCUCUCAGAUGAGCCUGACUUUCUCUUCAGUUUCUCUGACUAAGUCAACCCCGAAGAGACUAUGUUCUCCAGGUUCGGACCAAUUCAAAGGUGUUCUGCACCUUCUGCCAUAUAGAGCUUCGAAUGGUGCCAUCUUAAUGCUCUCUUGAUAACUAUUAUUGUAAGAGAAUUCUGCUAAAGGCAAACAUUCACCCCAUUUCUCUGAAUAACUAAGCACACAAGAUCUUAACAUAUCUUCUAAGAUCUGAUUGACUCUUUCAGUCUGACCUCCAGUCUGUGGAUGAUAAGUUGUACUAUGCAGAAGUUUUGUACCCAAGGACUUAUGCAAGUGCUUCCAGAAAGCAUUUACAAAUUGUGUCCCUCUAUCAGAUACGAUAGUCUUUGGAAUACCAUGUAAACUCACAAUUCUGUUAAAGUAUAUCUUAGCAUAGAUGGAAGCCCGAUACUUCUUUCUUACAGGAAUGAAAUGAGCUGAUUUGGUCAGACGAUCAACAAUGACCCAUACGGAAUCAAACCCUUUCAUUGUUCUGGGUAGACCCACUAUGAAGUCCUUACUGAUGUCAUCCCACUUCCAAGAUGGAAUUGACAAUGGUUGCAAUUCUCCAACAGACCUAAGAUGAACUGCUUUCACUUUUUGACAAGUAUCACAUCUAGCCACAUAACUCGCAAUUUCAAGCUUCAUCUUAGUCCACCAGAAUCCUUGUUUCAGAUCAUGAUACAUCUUAUUACUACCUGGAUGGAUUGAAAAUUUUGUUGCAUGAGCUUCAUCAAGAAUUUGUUUUCUGAGUUCAGGGACUUUUGGAUCUACUAAACGAUCCUUGAACCAAAUCACUCCAGCUUCAUCUAUUCUGAACUUGGAAUUCUGCUCAGACUGGAUCUUUUCUUUCAAAAAGGUCAUACCCUUAUUUUCUUUCUGAGCUGUAAUAAUCUGAUCUUUGAUAGAUGAUUGAACUAUCACAUUUGCAAGACUUCCUUGUGGAAUCAUUUCAAGGUUUAACUUUUCAAAUUCAUAACACAGGGUAAGGUCUAUAGGCUUGACUUCCAGACAAUUGCAAUGACUCUUUCGACUGAGUGCAUCUGCCACUACAUUGGCUUUGCCUGGGUGAUAGUGUACCUCAAUAUCAUAAUCUUUUAUCAGUUCUAACCACCUUCUCUGACGCAUAUUCAAUUCUGACUGAGUGAAAAUGUAUUUCAAACUCUUAUGAUCAGUGUAUAUGUGACAAGUAUUACCUAGCAGAUAAUGUCGCCAGAUCUUUAGAGCAUGGACUACUGCUGCCAACUCUAGAUCAUGUGUUGGAUAAUGCUCUUCGUGACGCUUAAGUUGUCGUGAAGCAUAGGCAAUGACUCUGCCUUCUUGCAUCAGUACACAUCCAAUGCCCUUGCCUGAAGCAUCACAAUACACAUCAAAAGAUUUUUCAAUAUCAGGUUGAGCUAGCACUGGUGCAGUGGUCAACAACUUUUUCAAGGUCUGAAAAGCUUCUUCACACUCGGAUGACCACACAAACUUGGUAUCAUUCUUUAGCAGUGUUGUCAUUGGUUUAGAGAUCUUGGAGAAGUCAGGGAUAAACCUGCGAUAAUACCCUGCCAAUCCUAAGAAACUCCGAACUUGAUGUACUGAAGUUGGUGACUUCCAGUCCAGAACUUCCUGAACUUUGCUUGGAUCUACUGCAACACCUUCAGCUGACAGGACAUGACCCAAAAAUUGAACUUCAUCUAUCCAGAAUUCACACUUGCUAAACUUAGCAUAUAACUGAUGUUCUCUCAAGCGAGUUAACACUAUCCUGAGAUGCUCCUCAUGCUCUUCUUUAGUUUUGGAAUAGAUGAGAAUGUCAUCAAUGAAUACCACCACGAACUUAUCUAACUCUGGCAUGAAUACUGAAUUCAUCAAGUACAUAAAAUGUGCUGGGGCAUUUGUCAGACCAAAAGACAUGACCAGAUAUUCAUACAGACCAUAUCGGGUAGUGAAUGCUGUUUUCGGAACAUCUUUUGGUUUGAUCUUAAUUUGAUGAUACCUAGAUCUCAAGUCUAUCUUCGAAAAUACCUUAGCACCAGUUAGUUGAUCAAAGAGAAGAUCAAUACGGGGCAAAGGAUACUUAUUCUUGAUUGUUACUUCAUUCAAAGGACGAUAAUCCACACAUAACCUCAAGGUAUUGUCCUUUUUCUUCACAAAGAUUGCCGGGCAACCCCAUGGUGACGAACUAGGUCGAAUGAAACCUUUAUCCAUCAAUUCUUGCAACUGAGUUUUUAGUUCUGCUAAUUCUUUUGGUGGCAUUCUAUAAGCUCUUCUGGAUAUUGGUGAUGUCCCUGGCUUGAGCUCUAUUUCAAACUCCACAUCACGAUCAGGUGGCAGACCAAGUAAAUCUUCUGGAAACACAUCCGGAAACUCACAGACCACUGGAAUGUCCUUGAUUUCCUUGACAGAGAUAGCACAUACUUGCUCAACUGCUCUCUUAAGGGUAGGAAGAUGGAUAAGAAGUUGAGACUUGCUAUUAGGUAAGUUGACCUUGAUUGUUCUAUUUAAGGUGUCUAUAACUGCACCUCUCUGGCUCAUCCAGUUCAUACCCAAGAUCACAUCUAUACUUGGAUCUUUUAACACUAUCAUGGAUGUUGGAAAUAUAUAUCCACCCAAGUCUAUUGGUACCUGAUGUACCAUUUCCUUAGUGCAUAGUCGACCCCCAGGUGACUGUAUAAAGAACUCAUCUUUGGUUGCACCAAUAGGUAUAUUAUGCUUUUUCGCAAAUGUUCUAUUCAUGAAAGUAUGUGAUGCACCAGAAUCAAAAAGUUUAAGCGCUGAGUGUUGGGCAACAGGGAACAUACCAAGCAUCACUGGUUCUCCUUCAGGUAUAGCUUCAACUUGAGUGUGGAAAACCCUUCCUGUUUUCUGAGUACCCUUACCCUUCUGCUGAUUCUGGGCAUUAACUUUGUUUUGAUUUGCUUGCUGAUUUCCAACUGGCCUUGGUGCAUUGACAUUUGGAACAUUUUGCCUUGGGUAUGGACAUUCACGAGCAAAAUGUCCACUCUUCCCACAAUUGUAACAAGGAUUGUUUGCAGCUUGUGGCACUGGCGGACGAAUGGCAGGAACAUUUGGCUGACGUUGAACAUUGAACGGCAUUGUCGGCCUUGCAAAACUCCUUUGCAUAUUCUGCUGCUGAGGCGGCUGAUAAGAAGGACGAUAAGCUGGGCGGAACUGCUGAGCUGGAUGAUAUAUGAGCCUCUGACGCUUCUUGUUGCCGCCAGAUGAUCCAGAUCCUGAGACAAACCCCUUCUUCUUCUUAGCCUCCUUAUGUUUGCGAUUCUUUUCUUCACUGGAGAUAGCGAUGUUCACUGCCUCAUGAUAAGAUAUAUUGCCACAUGAUGCCAUCAUUAGUUGAAGCUUUGUAUUCAAGCCUCUCAUGAAACAUUCCUUCUUCUUUUCAUCAGUGUUGACUUGCUCAAUUGCAUAUUGGGACAGAUGAUUAAACUUUCCAAUAUACUGCAUGACUGGUUCAUCCCCCUGACGGAGAGCUAAGAACUCUUCGAGCUUCAUUUUCAUAACUCCCUUGGGAAUGUAAUGAGCCCUGAAGGCUUCCUUGAAUUCUCCCCAAGUGAUUCGGUGGUGGGCUGGUUGAACAGCCAGUAAGUUUUCCCACCAAACCCCUGCUGCUCCUCUUAGCUGCUGAGCUGCAAAAGCUGGCUUCUGGGUUUCAGUACAGUUGAUGAGACUAAACUUUUGCUCCAUGGUGCGAAGCCAAUCCUCAGCUUCAAGAGGUUCAUCAGCCUUUGUAAAUACUGGGGGACGAGUAUCUGUGAAGUCAACAUAUGUGGUUUCUUCUCGGUUAUUGCGACCACGGCCACGCUGACCAACAUUCUGGUUCUGUGCUAACAGAGUUGUUGCAUUGACCAAUGCUGCAAUUGCAUCAGCCAAAGAGGGUGGAACUGGUGGUGCAUUAGGAAAAUCAUCCCCACCCUAGGAAGAACUAGCUCCAUGGUUGUUAACAGGCAUCUGUUUAAAAACACAUCACACUUUGAUUAACAUUCUUACUUAACCAUCAUACAUCAUGACAUACAUAACACAAGCACGUUCAUCUUAUUUAUCAUACAAGUCCGCUCUCAGGCAGGACUACUGAAACCACUAUUUUACAUAACUUCCCAUACUAGAGGUUUUCUGACUAACUAAGUUACAAAGUCAGAAGAUCACACUAGGUCAUACUUCUUGCCUACUCAACACCUAGUCAUCAUCCAUAUCCGAUCCACUUUCGUUGUCAUCCUCAGCUGGAGUUGGAAUUUCCGGCUCCUCUGCUUCAUCCUCAGAAGUAUCACUAUCCACUUGGAUGACAACUGGUCCUUCCUCUACUGCUUCCGGAGCCUCGGGUGGGUUGAGAGCAUUAUGCAGCUGGUGCACCUCCUCAUGGAGGAUGUUGGUAUAGGCCUCAAGAUUGACCACAUACCCCGCCAUAUGGUACAGCUGAACUUCCAUGUUGAUGUUGUCAGUGAGCAUCAAGCGCAGAUCAUUCUUCAUAAGCCUGUAGGUCCUUGGCGAAGGAGGACCUCCGCUAGUGUCACUCCCGUUUCCGUCACUGGAGUUAUCAGUGCUGCUGUCGCUGCUGUCGGAGGGUGGCGGAUCCCUUGAUGCCAACUGGUGCCUUGGGACACGACCUCCGGUGGACUUGCGAGCGGUUAGGCGGGUACGAGCCAUCUACCAAAAUAUUUUUAUUUUGAAUAUUAGAACUAUAUAUGUUCCAAGGUUAAAGGGUAGAGUUUUAUAACUAGAUAGACAUAUUACCUCUAAUUAUUAACAACUUUAAGGAGGAAAGUUAAUUACAUGUUAUCAAUAAUGAUGCAUGAAACGUACUUACGAACAAAGCAUACAUCAAACAAUUAAUUAACUUUAAAUUAGUCACUUGAUAUAAAAGUGCAUAAACUUUCCUUUCAUAAAUAGGGCAUUAUUAUAAUAUUAUAAGCAUCGUUCCUUGUAUAUAAUUAUCACCAUAAUCAUACUAAGAACAUAUCCAUUUAGAUAGAAGGAUAAGUCUAAAGAAUGAAUUGAGAAAAGUUCGAAGCAUAAGACAAGCUUAGAAGCAAUUUGGACCCAAACUAAUUUGAAAUUUAGUUUGACUCAAAAGCUUUUGAAGUUUUCAAAAUGAAUACUGUUAUACUUUCUAAAGGAAACCUGCUCUGAUACCAGCUGUGGCAGAACCUCCUGAAUUAAGUGGCCCACAUGCACCCAUCAUUGUCUCAAAGACUUCUGAUCGACGUGCACGAGUUUCAAAUGACUCAAGAAGUCUGUCGGGUGUCCUCGGGAAACCCGAAUCAUCCACGUUAUAUUCUUUCCAGGAAUUUCCCUCAUUAAGCAUUACAGUAUUACAACAUUUUCAUAGAUAAGGUAAAUCAGAGUAAAAGCGGAAAGGUUACAUAACAUAGAUUGAAACUUAAGUCCAACGGUUACAAACCAUAAGGAUUUAGUACAUAAGAAGUUCGGAACUUUAUAUUACAUAAACCAUAGAUCACACAACAAGUUUUACUUGCCCAAGGUCACACAUCAGAUUCAUCAUCAUCACUCUCCUCCACAAGAGUAAAGUAACAACGACCAUCAAAAGGAUUAUCAAAGGGUUCACCUGCAACAGGGGUUAAUAAACCCUGAGUACAAAAGUACUCAACAAGACUUAACCGACUAUAAAAGAGGUGAAGACUCAAGUAUGCAGGCUAUAGGGAUUCAAGGUAAAGCUUUAGCAAGAUCAAGCAUUUUUUUGCAUAAAAGCUUACUAAGAGUAAAACCUACUUUCAAGUUUUAACUCAAGAUCAUCAUUGAUGCCUAACCAAAACUAUUAUCAAACAUUCAUAAGCAAACCAUAUCUUUCUUAUGCCAAAGAUUUACUUGUUACUACGAUGAUGGGGUGAGGAUUGAGACUCCAUAUCCGAGGAAACAUGGCGAUUCGAAUCGAUUAAACCCAGCUGGGGAUUCAGUACCACACGACAUAUGUAGAACUUAAUCUUGCAUAUGUCAACCUGUUUCUAUAGAUCCUCCCAUACAAGAAUGGGUCCAGCGUCACCCGAGAGUACAGUACACCACCAUCCUACAGCCAAUCUAGAUGUUUCCCGGUCAUCUCAGAUCCGUAAGGUGGGUACACGCUACUCUCGCCAUCUCUCCACUCCCAGUACGCGGUUAGCCGUUCUCAAGUAUCGGAAUAGCUAUAGGUAAGGCUUACCACCGCAUGUGGGCUGUACUCAAAGGUCUCAAUCACAACAGGCCAACAACGGAACGGUCCUUAAUCGACACAGUUGGAGACACUACUUUAAGACUCCAUUCUUAAAGCAAGUCCACCGACCGGUCUCAAGUUCGAAUAUUAUUGACCAUAAAAGUAUUCCACAACAACCCUUCAAACUUUCUCAUUUGAAAACCUAUCUAAUAAGCAGGGCUAAGCAUACUAAGUAUUUUCAUAAAACAGGUAUCAAGGUUAAUAUUGAAAUCAUCAAGGUAGAUAAUGCAGCAAAUAGGAUUCACUCAACUCCUAUUCACCUAAUGCAUCAUAUUAACUCAAGUGAUAUAAAUAACUUUAUGAAAAUACAAGGAUAGGGUUUAAUGUCCGGGGCUUGCCUUGGUCGGAAGGGAAGUUCGACAACUCAGCAAAACCCGAAGGUUCCACAAACUCGGAAGCAACCCACUGAGGCUCAUAUUCUUCCGGAGCGUAUUCUAUACGUAAAAGUGCAUAUGCAAGAUUAUGAUAUACUCAUGGCAUGAUAAAGACAGGUUACAUGUUCUUGGAUGAUAAUAACAAACAUGACUACCUCGAGUACAACUUACCUUCAUGGUAAAGAAACAAACUAAGCUAGCUAUCAAAGCAUAGAUUACUACUAAACAAACUUUAUCAUUUUUAUUAAGCAACAUUGGGUAUCUAUCAAAUAAUAAAGAUCAUAUAUAUAAAACAAAUCAUAACCAGGGAGCAUAUUAUGCUAAGUGACCACUGGUUGUCAAUCAAUCCAAAAUACCACUCAAAUCCUAAAAGGAUUAAUUAUUUCUAUUUCUUUUAUAAUCAUUUUAAAUAGUUUUAUUAAGAAACAGAGCAUACUUUAUCAAAAAGAGCUGAAAUUAUUCCUGAAGCUAGAUAACAGUAACACAAGUUCACAUAUUAAAUUUCAUGAUUUUUGGAUAUACCCAUAAAUUAUUAAAAUUCAUGGAAGAUUUAUUUAUUUAUUAAAAGAGGUAAUUUUUACAUACAUGCAAACUACCAGAAAAUAGAACCAAAUAUUUUUCAUGUAUUCUACUCAUUUUAAGGAAGCUAUACAAGAAGUUUCACUAUUUUUGGAUUACUACAUAAUUUAAUACACAAAUUUAAACAUCAACCAUUUUUAAACAAAAAGAAAAAGAAAAGCAUCACUGUGCCACUGCGGCCCAGGAGCUCGGCCCAAGCUCGCGCGAAACUUGGCCCAGCCGGCCUCCCCCCGCGCGCGCUGAUGGUUUUGCAGAAAAGCCCUUGGAUUUCCUAGAAACCAACCCGCAGACCAGCCAACUAUUCACAUGAGUCUACGGCUUCGCAACCAACCCCCUCCCCUUUCUCAUCUUUACAAACACGAGGUCCCCGACGCCCCGGCUGACCAGAGCGCGGCAGAACGCGGUGGCGUGGGUUACGCCGGGCAACUCCGGCCACCCCGAACCAAACUGAGGCGAGCACGAGCAUCAGCAAACAACCCGCAACCGAACGAGCUAGAAAACCUGAACUCUACUGCUCUAGCGAGCUCUGGCCACGAGUGGCGGCGGACAUGGCCGCGGCGGUGCUUACGCCGGCGACCCUGGACCGGUAGAGAUAGGAAGAAGAGGUCAGGAAGCAUCGGCAUCUCACCCUGGGUGUGCUGACGCAGAGAGAAGGAGCGGAGAACAACCGGGUGAUACUCGUCCACGCGACCAGUGACUCCGGCGGCGAGCUCCGACGAAGAAGACGAUGUUCCGGUGACAGCUGUGAAGCAAUGGAGAAAAGAGCGAGCCGAUGAGCAUCACAGGAUCAUGCCGAAGCAAAGACAAGAGAAAGAGAGAGCAGAGAGUCGCCCAGAUGAGCCAACCACGGGAGACUCGAGCUCGGCUGCGACUUACUCCGGCGAAGAUGAAAAUGAGCAACUCCGGUGCUCUGGUGCGAAAGAGAACAGAAGGACGGGUUCUGGAGAUGCGCAAGGAGGUAACGAAGAUAUGCCCACGGUGAAACUGGAUAUGGAUCAACCGUUGCGGUGAAUUUUGGAUUUGAGUGAUAAGCUGUCCGUCGGUGCUCCGGUGGCAAUCGGCGUCGGUGAGCGCAAGAGGAAGGGACACGUCGCGCUCCACUUCGCCAGCAGCUGCUUCACCUUGCCACGGACGCGAGCACGUGCUUGGAUGAGGUGAAACGGUGGCUCACGCGCUGGCAACGCCGAUCCAAGCUCGGCGGUCCACCGCCAUGAACAGAAGCCAAAGCUUAUCCCCCUCUUCCCCAUUUACCCCUUUCUGUCUUUUUGCGAAAAUUGACCAAAAUUUGAAAAGAAGUCAGAUUUCUGCCAAAAUAAAACUUGUUCAGAAUUUUGAAUACUAUAAAACAUCUUUUAGGGUCCAAGGCUGAUUUCAAAUGGAAAGGGAUGAAUUUGAGCCAAACAGUUUGAAAUUCAAAUCUCAAAUUGGGAAAAAUUCCAAUUUUGAAUUGGGGCAGAUUAGAAUUUCCAAAAUUACUUUUGAUUUUCCAAAACAACUUGAAAAACUCCCAACAUGAAAGUUGUUCAACUUUUCAAGCCCUACAACUUUCAUGUUGACCAUUUUUCAAAAUUCCAAAUAGAUUUUGAAUUGGAUAUUCAAAUUGGAAAAGGGGACAAUUUCUGGAAAAUUGUAUUUUCAAAAUUACUUUGAAUUUUGUAUUGAAACUCCAAAAACUCAAAACACCAAAGUUGUACAUCUUGACAAGACCUACAACUUUGCUUUUGAACUCAACUUCAAAUUUUGCUUGGUUUUUGAAUUGCACAAAAAGGGGCAAAUCUAGGGUUUUUAAAAUUAGGGUUUCCCCCUUAAGCUCUCGGAAAACUUUCACCCAAGGUCUUUAAACUCCAACACAAGCAUCCAAUACACAAAAUAAGCACACUCUAAAUUCCUAAACACAUUCAUCCAAAUUAAACUUAUUUUAAGUUAAUGCAUCAGGGUUUACUUAACAAAUAAACUAUGCAAUGCUCAUGAUGACAUGUCAUGUUUUAGUUCGCUUAACACUAGAGUGUUACAAAAACUGAAUGUCAUCACAAAGGACCUCAUGUGAGUGUCUCUACUUUAACAUACCACAACCACAAAAUCUAUAAAAAACAUUUGAAUGAUAUAUUUCGAUUCGGGCAUGCAGCUGGCAAGAUGCAUCUCAGCAAAUCUUUGACGCACUGUCCAAUGAAUUUAUGAAGACAACAAUCUACGAUGCAAGUGAAAAUAUAUGUAUCUAAUUUUUGCUAGGAUGAACCUUUAGUUUAUUAAACCGCGACACAUUUUUGUUGACUAAAUUAUUGUAAUUACUAUGCAUCUCAGCAAAUCCAUGAUUGUUGAUUAAAUUAUUGUAAUUAUUGUGCAUGUUUAUAGCAACUGUCAUAUGGCGUGACUAUAUGACGAUGUAUAGUGGACAGGUAAGUGUGAAUGCUACUUUUAAUAUAUAUGACCUAUUUAUUGGGUAUGUUAGAGAAUGUUAAAUUACACCGGAUGCAUAAUAAAUUUCAUAUAAGAAAGAGCAUAUAUAUUGCACACAUGAUGACUAAUAUUUUCUCUUCCGUAGGUCGACAUCAUCUGCUCCAGAGGCAGAACCAGGGGGGCCAUGCCCCCCUCCCCCAAAUGGCAAAAAUCUUUUAGAUGCCCAUUAAUCUGCCCAGCUUAGCAACUAAAGCAAAAAUGUCGCAAUCAUUUUGUUAUUCUAGAAUAAGAAGAUGCAUCCUCCCUUUCCUUUUAGUUUGUUGGCUAAUUUAACUUGUCACAACAAACAUUAUGAUUUAUGUUUAUAUGAAUAUUUAUUUUAUAUAUACAUAUAAAUUUUGCUCGUUCUCGUAUCUGUUUAGCCAGACUGCACCCCCAUCCCCUUUUAUCAUUUUGUUGGUUCUGGCACUAAUCUGAGGUUUCUUCAUCAGCCUGUUUUUGCUAUUUCUAGUGUUAUUCUGUUUUUUUGUCCCAACAUUCUUGCACAGAUUCCUGAGCCUGCCGAGGAAGACCUUGCAUUAUUGCCACCCUUACUUUCUCACCAAUGCCUUGGUCGGGUCAUACAAGAAUCUGAACUUCUAUUGAAUCCUUGGGGCAGGACACAUAGUAAAUGUCCCUAUGCACAUACUGAUGGUAUAUUUGGUUCAAAUUCUGAAGCGUUUGCUUAUGUCCGUUCUUUGAAGGUGCACUUAUAAUUUUCCAUGUUCAUGUGGAACCAAGUAAAAUUUAAACAAUAAAUACCACUUUUUAGUUGAUUUUGUCACUUUUAGCUCGCUAUGCUGUUGGCACUUCGAGGUGUUAAUAGCCAUCGAACAAAGUAAAAUUUAAACAUUAAAUACCACUUUUUAGUUGAUUUUGUCACUUUUGGCUUGCUAUGUUGAUGGCAUUUCGGGGUGUUAAUAGCCAUCAACAGCGGGGGGAGGGAGAUGCCCAACGGCAUGUGGCGGCUGGGCUAUGAAACAGUACUCCUUGAGAAAUCAGCCCAUGUGUGUGUCAGGGGGCAGGGGCAUCUGCCCCUAAUCAUCAUGAUUGAUAACACCAUGAGCACAGUGCUAUCAAACAUGGCGAAGAGACAAUUGGCUGCGGCAAUUAGUAGCCAAGUGACUAGCUCUAGCCCCAACACUAUCACUAGCAUUAUGAAUGGUGUCAUCAAGCAAAAACUGAAUGUCAUCACAAAGGACCUCAUGUGAGUGUCUCUACUUUAACAUACCACAACCACAAAAUCUAUAAAAAACAUUUGAAUGAUAUAUUUCGAUUCGGGCAUGCAGCUGGCAAGAUGCAUCUCAGCAAAUCUUUGACGCACUGUCCAAUGAAUUUAUGAAGACAACAAUCUACGAUGCAAGUGAAAAUAUAUGUAUCUAAUUUUUGCUAGGAUGAACCUUUAGUUUAUUAAACUGUGACACAUGGUUGUUGACUAAAUUAUUGUAAUUAUUGUGCAUCUCAACAAAUCUAUGAUUGUUGAUUGAAUUAUUGUAAUUAUUGUGCAUGUUGAUAGCAACUGUCGUAUGAUGUGACUAUAUGACGAUGUAUAGUGGACCGGUAAGUGUGAAUGCUACUUUUAAUAUAUAUGACCUAUUUGUUGGGUAUAUCAAAGAAUGUUAAAUUAUACUAGAUUCAUACCAAAUUUCAUAUAAGAAAGAGCAUAUAUAUUGCACACAUGAUGGCUAAUAUUUUCUCUUCUGUAGCUCAACAUCAUCUGCUCUAGAGGCAGAACCAGGGGGCCAUGCCCCCCUCCCUGUAAUACCUGAUUUUAUGGACAAAACCAGAUAUGCACCAUAUGUGAGUUUUAGAAGCCAAAUCUCACAUAUAGCUACUAAUAAGGGGUAAUAUCAAAAGAGAAUGCAUAAAUUAUAUAACAUACUUAGUAUAAAAGAGAUAACCUUUAAUAGCAAACAGCGGAUAGACAACUCCAAACAUCGGGUAUUAACUCCUCUCCACAGGAUCAAACUAACUGGUUGAUCACAAGCCCAAAACUUCUCCUGAGGUGAGAGGGAAAUUGCAAGAGUGAGCACAUAUUGUACUCAACAUGUAUAACCAGGGGUUCAUGAGGCUCAAAUAGCUGACACUGGUUUGACUGCAUUUAGCUUUUAUAUGUGGAUAGCAUAUUUAUAUUUAUAUUUAGAUAGCAAAUGUCAAGGUAGCAUAGUAAAUCCCAUAACCACAUGAUCAAUGUAUACAAGAAUUAAGAAUAACACAUAUAAACAACAUAAUAAACCAUCAUUUAUUAUCAGUAAUCAUGUUCAUCACUGUCCAUCUAUUCCGUCAGUUUUCCGGGCCACGCGUAUCCGUGGGCACAGCUAGUAUACCAGAUUUAACACUCUGCAGAGGUUGUACAUCUUUACCUAUGAGUCAUGAUUUACCCUUUCGCCCGAGGUCGCGAGUCUCUUAACCCCCUUCCGAGGGAGGUCGGCAGGGAUCACUAUGAAGCCUUUCAAAAGUUCGUCUAACAUGUUAGGGCCGCAAGGUUUCCUUUGCGCGCAGAUAUAGAGCCCCCCUUCCGAUGGCACAAUGACUCGCAGCCUAUACACAUACAGACAGAGGCCACACUAUACCCAAAACGGUUCAGCCCCUCCGCCCUUUCGGGUAACCUCUAACAAGCUAGAAAAGGUCUUCAUACUGAGCUAAAGCCAGAGCCAUAUGGCCCUCAUGGUUGUACGAGUUGUCCCAGCUUUUGCCAAGGGAUAAGUCCUUAUGGAGGGUCAAGAUCAAUCUAGCAAAAGCUAGAGUUCUUUCCACCCUUUAUGUUCAAGUUGCUAGAAAGCUUAUUUUAUUGUUUAUUGUAUAUUCAAAUAUUCAUGUUACAAGAUCAUGGAUUAUAAUCAAGCACUAGCAAGAACUACCCAAAUGCAUAUCAAAUAGGUAACAAGGAAUUCAGGAUAACAAUCAUCUAUGAUUUUGCUAAGGUCAUCAAGGUGGACACAUGCAUAUGAUAUAUAUUGUAUUAAUUGUGUAUAGGUAACAAGGAUAGUCCCAAGUUAUACUUGCCUUAAUCCAAAUGCUCUUUGCUGAUCUUUUUAGUUCUGCUGGUCUUACUUGUUGUCCAAACUCUGAUCUUGAUCACCAAAAACUGCUCUCCGACUAAGCUCGAUCAUUGAUCAUCAACACACAAACAAUCGGAGAAAACAUACACGAAGCAAACAAGGCUACAAUUAGAACAGUACACCAAACAUAUAAAAACAGUAUGAAAAGUUUAUAAAAUGAUUCUACGCCUCGCUACGAUCACACGAACGUAAAGAUCACAAAAAACGGAGCUAAAACGGAGAAGAUAUGAUUUUUCUAAGAUUUUCUAUAGAUAAAUAAUUAAUUAAAUAAGGUCAUGAAAUUAAAAAGUUUUAAACUGAGUAAACAAUUUUACUAACAUUUAGAGCUCAUUAAUACGAACCUGACGCAAUUUGAAUGGGUCAAAACGGAGUUAAAAUGAAGAGAUACGGCCUAAACAAAUUAGUGUAUUUUCUUUGUAUUUCUAGGUUUGUUUUUCUAAAGAAAAACGGCCACAAAAUAUAUGUAUGUCAUCAUGUGGUCAUCGUGAUGUCAUCAAAGCUAGCUAGGUAACGUACUCGGGCUGCUUUGCUAGCUCUACUCGCUCGCUAGCGUUUGUGCGCGUGCGUGCUUACCGGCCGGGAGACGGGCGCAGGGUGCUGCCGGUUCAGCAAACUUGGGAUGCUGCUGCCCUGGACACGAGCUCAGCACCUUGCCGGAGCUCAGCAAAAACGACGUAGGAACCUCAGACUUUGACAUACGGAAAGAGAACAGAGAGAAAUAAAAGGAAACGAUGGCCUCACCAGGGGUUCCUCGAUGGCCGAAGACAAGAGGCGACGCCGUACAACCCUAGGCCGGCUUUGUCGGUGAGAUUCAAGAGCUGUUGCGCAAGCUAGCUAGGGCUUGGAACGACGACUCAGAUGUAAAGAGACGAUACACAGACGAGGCCUCGACUUCCAUGGAGACGCUUGUUAACCUGCAUCCUGUGGUCGACGUAGAAACAGCAGGAUGCUAUGGUGGCUUCAGUUGGCAGGCUCUGGUUGACGAAUAAACUUCAAACGGCAGCCACGAUGGCAGCAGAUGGAGCUGGGGCUUCGCGACGGCGCUGCGAGCUCAAGCAGAGGCGGCGGCGGCGGCUUGUGCUAGGGUUAACACAGCUGUGGCACGUAGAUGAAAAGCACAGCACGGUUUGGGACCGGCCGAGUUUUAUAGAGCCAGGUGCACGAAUUCAAGCCGUAUCGUGCGAGAUCAAGCGACGGUGCCAGGGGAUGCCAUCAGGCUAGAGUCCAUGAGCUGCACGGGAGGUAAGCUGGACUCCGGAGUUCCUGCCGAGGGCGCCUAGCUGGGCCAGCUACCUACGCUCAGGCCAAAAACAAGGGAUGGGAGAGAAACGAGUGUGUUUUUCCUUUUUAUUUUCUCUUUUCCUCUUUUUUCAAAGCCAUUUGAAAUCAUUUAAAAUUCAAUUUGAAUUCAUUUUGAGUUCUUAGUCAAAACCACCCAUCUCAAAAAUAAAAAUGCACCAGCAUGAAUGCACACACAUGUUGCUAAACUUUAGGGUAAAUUUUAAUUUAAUGAAAAAAAAAUUAUUUUACUAUGUUUUCAUGAGCACAAAAAUACAAAAUUAAAUCAUUUUCACUCUAUUCCUAGAAAACAAUUUUUUAGGGUGGUACACUCCCCAAAUGGCAAAAAUCUUUUAGAUGCCCACUAAUAAGCCCAGCUUAGCAACGGAAGCAAAAAUGUUGCAAUCAUUUUGUUAUUCUAGAAUAAGAAGAUGCAUCCUCCCUUUCUUUUUAGUUUGUUGGCUAAUUUAACUUGUCACAACAAACAUUAUGAUUUAUGUUUAUAUGAAUAUUUAUUUUAUAUAUACAUAUCAAUUUUGCUGGUUCUCGUAUCUGUUUAGCCAGACUGCACCCCAUCCCCUUUUGUCAUUUCGCUGGUUCUGUCACUAAUCUGAGGUUUCUUCACCAGCAUGUUUUUGCUAGUUCUAGUGUUAUUCUGUUUUUUUGUCCCAACAUUCUUGCAUAGAUUCCUGAGCCUGCCGAGGAAGACCUUGCGUUACUGCCACCCUUACUUUCUCACCAAUGCCUUCGUCGGGUCAUACAAGAAUCUGAACUUCUAUUGAAUCCUUGGUGCAGGACACAUGUUAAAUGUCCCUAAGCACAUACUGAUGGUAUAUUUGUUUCAAAUUCUGAAGCGUUUGCUUUUGUCCGUUCUUUGCAGGUGCACUUAUAAUUUUCCAUGUUCAUGUGAAACCAAGUAAAAUUUAAAAUACCACUUUUUAGUUGAUUUUGUCACUUUUGGCUCGCUAUGUUGAUGGCAUUUCGGGGUGUUAAUAGCCAUCGAACAAAGUAAAAUUUAAACAUUAAAUACCACUUUUUAGUUGAUUUUGUCACUUUUGGCUUGCUAUGUUGAUGGCAUUUCGGGGUGUUAACAGCCAUCAACAGCGGGGGGAGAUGGCCAACGGCAAGUGGGGGCUGGGCUGUGAAACGAUACUCCUUGAGAAAUCAGCCCAUGUGUGUGUCAGGGGGCAGGGGCAUCUGCCCCUAAACAUCAUGAUUGAUAACACCAUGAGCACAGUGCUAUCAAACUUGGCGGAGAGACAAAUGGCUGCGGCAACUAGUAGCCAAGUGACUAGCUCUAGCCCCAACACUAUCAGUAGCAUUAUGAAUGGUGUCAGCAAGCGAAAACUGAAUGUCAGCACAAAGGACCUCAUGUGAGUGUCUCAACUUUAACAUACCACAAACACAAAAUCUGUAAAAUACAUCUGAAUGGUAUAUUUCGAUUCGGGCAUGCAGCUGGCAAGAUGCAUCUCAGCAAAUCUUUGACGCACUGUCCCAUGAAUUUAUGAAGACAACAAUCUACGAUGCAAGUGAAAAUAUAUGUAUCUAAUUUUUGCUAGGAUGAACCUUUAGUUUAUUAAACUGCGACACAUGGUUGUUGACUAAAUUAUUGUAAUUAUUGUGAAUCUCAGCAAAUCUAUGAUUGUUGAUUGAAUUAUUAUAAUUAUUGUGCAUGUUCAUAGCCACUGUCAUAUGGUGUGACUAUAUGACGAUGUAUAGUGGACAAGUAAGUGUGAAUGCUACUUUUAAUAUAUAUGACCUAUUUAUUGGGUACGUUAGAGAAUGUUAAAUUAUACCAGAUGCAUAACAAAUUUCAUAUAAGAAAGAGCAUAUAUAUUGCACACAUGAUGGCUAAUAUUUUCUCUUCUGUAGCUCGACAUCAUCUGCUCCAGAGGCAGAACCAGGGGGCCAUGCCCCCCUCCCCCAAAUGGCAAAAAUCUGUUAGAUGCCCACUAAUCAGCCCAGCUUAGCAACUGAAGCAAAAAUGUCGCAAUCAUUUUGUUAUUCUAGAAUAAGAAGAUGCAUCCUCCCUUUCCUUUUAGUUUGUUGGCUAAUUUGAUUUGUCACAACAAACAUUAUGAUUUAUGUUUAUAUGAAUAUUUCUUUUAUAUAUACAUAUAAAGUUUGCUGGUUCUCGUAUCUGUUUAGCCAGACCGCACCCCCAUCCCCUUUUAUCAUUUCGCUGGUUCUAGCACUAAUAUGAUGUUUUUUCACCAGCCUGUUUUUGCUAGUUCUAGUGUUAUUUUUUUUUUGUCCCAACAUUAUUGCACAAAUUUCUGAGCCUGCCGAUGAAGACCUUGCAUUACUGCCACCCUUACUAUCUCACCAAUGCCUUCGUCGGGUCAUACAAGAAUCUAAACUUCUAUUGAAUCCUUGGGGCAGGACACAUGUUAAAUGUCCCUAUGCACAUACUGAUGGUAUAUUUGCUUCAAAUUCUGAAGCGUUUGCUUCUGUCCGUUCUUUGCAGGUGCACUUGUAAUUUCCAUGUUCAUGUGGAACCAAGUAAAAUUUAAACAAUAAAUAUGACUUUUUAGUUGAUUUUGUCACUUUUGGCUCGCUUUGUUGAUGGCAUUUCGGGGUGUUAAUAGCCAUCGAACAAAGUAAAAUUUAAACAUUAAAUACCACUUUUUAGUUGAUUUUGUCACUUUUGGCUUGCUAUGUUUCUGGCAUUUCGGGGUGUUAACAGCCAUCAACAGCGGGGGAGAUGGCCAACGGCAAGUGGGGGCUGGGCUGUGAAACGAUACUCCUUGAGAAAUCAGCCCAUGUGUGUGUCAGGGGGCAGGGGCAUAUGCCCCUAAACAUCAUGAUUGAUAACACCAUGAGCACAGUGCUAUCAAACUUGGCGGAGAGACAAAUGGCUGCGGCAACUAGUAUCCAAGUGACUAGCUCUAGCCCCAACACUAUCAGUAGCAUUAUGAAUGGUGUCAGCAAGCGAAAACUGAAUGUCACCACAAAGGACCUCAUUUGAGUGUCUCUACUUUAACAUACCACAACCACAAAAUCUGUAAAAUACAUCAGAAUGGUAUAUUUCGAUUCGGGCAUGCAGCUGGCAAGAUGCAUCUCAGCAAAUCUUUGACGCAUUGUCCAAUGAAUUUAUGAAGACAACAAUCUACGAUGCAAGUGAAAAUAUAUGUAUCUAAUUUUUGCUAUUAUGAACCUUUAGUUUAUUAAACUGCGACACAUGGUUGUUGACUAAAUUAUUGUAAUUAUUGUGCAUCUCAUCAAAUCUAUGAUUGUUGAUUGAAUUAUCGUAAUUAUUGUGCAUGUUGAUAGCCACUGUCAUAUGGUGUGACUAUAUGACGAUGUAUAGUGGACAGCUAAGUGUGAAUGCUACUUUUAAUAUAUAUGACCUAUUGAUUGGGUACGUCACAGAAUGUUAAAUUAUACCAGAUGCAUAACAAAUUUCAUAUAAGAAAGAGCAUAUAUAUUGCACACAUGAUGGCUAAUAUUUUCUCUUCUGUAGCUCGACAUCAUCUGCUCCAGAGGCAGAACCACGGGGGCCAUGCCCCCCUCCCCCAAAUGGCAAAAAUCUUUUAGAUGCCCACUAAUCAGCCCAGCUUAGCAACUGAAGCAAAAAUGUCGCAAUCAUUUUGUUAUUCUAGAAUAAGAAGAUGCAUCCUCCCUUUCAUUUUAGUUUGUUGGCUAAUUUGACUUGUCACAACAAACAUUAUGAUUUAUGUUUAUAUGAUUGUUUAUUUUAUAUAUACAUAUAAAGUUUGCUGGUUCUCGUAUCUGUUUAGCCAGACUGCACCCCCAUCCCCUUUUAUCAUUUCGCUAGUUCUAGCACUAAUAUGAUAUUUUUUCACCAGCCUGUUUUUGCUCGUUCUACUGUUAUUCUGUUUUUUUUGUCCCAACAUUAUUGCACAGAUUCCUGAGCCUGCCGAGGAAGACCUUGCAUUACUGCCACCCUUACUAUCUCACCAAUGCCUUCGUCGGGUCAUACAAGAAUCUAAACUUAUAUUGAAUCCUUGGGGCAGGACACAUGUUAAAUGUCCCUAUGCACAUACUGAUGGUAUAUUUGCUUCAAAUUCUGAAGCGUUUGCUUCUGUCCGUUCUUUGCAGGUGCACUUAUAAUUUCCAUGUUCAUGUGGUACCAAGUAAAAUUUAAACAAUAAAUACCACUUUUUAGUUGAUUUUGUCACUUUUGGCUCGCUUUGUUGAUGGCAUUUCGGUGUGUUAAUAGCCAUCGAACAAAGUAAAAUUUAAACAUGAAAUACUACUUUUUAGUUGAUUUUGUCACUUUUGGCUUGCUAUGUUGAUGGCAUUUUGGGGUGUUAACAGCCAUCAACAGCGGGGGAGAUGACCAACGGCAAGUGUAGGCUGGGCUGUGAAACGGUACUCCCUGAGAAAUCAGCCCACGUGUGUUAGGGGGGCAGGGGCAUCUGCUCCUAAACAUCAUGAUUGAUAACACCACAUAGUGCUAUCAAACUUGGCGGAGAGACAAUUGGCUGCGGCAACUAGUAGCCAAGUGACUAGCUCUAGCCCCAACACUAUCAGUAGCAUUAUGAAUGGUGUCGUCAAGCGAAAACUGAAUGUCAUCACAUAGGACCUCAUGUGAGUGUCUCGACUUUAACAUACCACAACCACAAAAUCUGUAAAAUACAUCUGAAUGAUAUAUUUCGAUUUGGGCAUGCUGGCAAGAUGCAUCUCAGCAAAUCUUUCACGCACUGUCCAAUGAAUUUAUGAAGACAACAAUCUACGAUGCAAGUGAAAAUAUAUGUAUCUAAUUUUUGCUAGGAUGAACCUUUAGUUUAUUAAACUGCGACACAUGGUUGUUGACUAAAUUAUUGUAAUUAUUGUGCAUCUCAACAAAUCUAUGAUUGUUGAUUGAAUUAUUGUAAUUAUUGUGCAUGUUGAUAGCAACUGUCGUAUGAUGUGACUAUAUGACGAUGUAUAGUGGACCGGUAAGUGUGAAUGCUACUUUUAAUAUAUAUGACCUAUUUGUUGGGUAUAUCAGAGAAUGUUAAAUUAUACUAGAUUCAUAACAAAUUUCAUAUAAGAAAGAGCAUAUAUAUUGCACACAUGAUGGCUAAUAUUUUCUCUUCUGCAGCUCGACAUCAUCUGCUCUAGAGGUAGAACCAGGGGGGCCAUGCCCCCCUCCCCCAAAUGGCAAAAAUCUUUUAGAUGCCCACUAAUCAGCCCAGCUUAGCAACUGAAGCAAAAAUGUCGCAAUCAUUUUGUUAUUCUAGAAUAAGAAGAUGCAUCCUGCCUUUCCUUUUAGUUUGUUGGCUAAUUUGACUUGUCACAACAAAAAUUAUGAUUUAUGUUUAUAUGAAUAUUUAUUUUAUAUAUACAUAUAAAGUUUGCUGGUUCUCGUAUCUGUUUAGCUAGACUGCACCCCCCAUCCCCUUUUAUCCUUUCGCUGGUUCUGGCACUAAUAUGAGAUUUCUUCAACAGCCUAUUUUUGCUAGUUCUAGUGUUAUUCUGUUUUUUUUGUUCCAGCAUUAUUGCACAGAUUCCUGAGCGUGCCGAGCAAGACCUUGCAUUACUUCCACCCUUACUUUCUCACCAAUGCCUUCGUCGGGUCAUACAAGAAUCUAAACUUCUAUUGAAUCCUUGGGGCAGGACACAUGUUAAAUGUCCCUAUGCACAUACUGAUGGUAUAUUUGGUUCAAAUUCUAAAGCGUUUACUUCUGUCCGUUCUUUGCAGGUGCCCAUGGAUCAGCCUUGCACAGCAGUCCACAUGAUCCGUAGCGUGGUGAAUUCUCCAGCUAACUAUAUCCAUUAGUAUCCUAUGGUAUAAUAUAAGUAAAGCCUUUGAACUUUCUAGCCGUGGAGCUAGGUGUAGGUUGAACUUCUUUAUGGCUAUUUGAUGAAAAUCAGUAUACCGAUUGGUUUGUGCAAACAUUAUGCUAGACUGUGUGAGCUAGCUGUUCCACGACAAUAAAAAAUAAAUAGAGGUUUGAACGAGGCCAAUCUAUGCACUUAUCAUGUACUAGCAAUGUUUAGUGGUUAACAAUUAAGUAUAAAGCUCUAUGUCUAUGCACUGUGCUCAUCCUCGUCUCUCUAGUUGGUUAACUGGUGACUGAUGAAUAGAGGAUAAAAUAAUAUUUGUAGGAAAUAAGAAUUGAAAUCUGUUGAUGCAAAAGUGGAUCUGCAAACACAAAGGGCUAAUACCCAAUUCAACGUUAAGGCGUGCCAGCCGAUUUGCCCUUACAACCGACAAAGGUGAUAACUCGAAUACUUUGGUCCCGACAACAGCGAUGCGCCCGGAUGCCACGGCCAAGAGGUAUUCACGCGGAACUUGAGAACCCGUCGAGUUUGACUCGAUGAAUUCCUAAGAACUCGUAAGUAAAAAGAAAAUAUGCAAAUUGACGAAGUCGUCGAAAGUAGAUGUGAGAAUUGAUGUAAAAACUUUGUGUAUGAUUGAUUGGAUUGUUUCUUACAUCGCUACUAGGUCUAUAUUUAUACCCUGUCCUAAAGAGUUACAAUCAGGUACGACUAGGAUUCUAAUUCCAACCUAAACGGAAUCUGUAUACAAAACAAACUCUAAUAAUUAUGGAAAACAAUAAUUUAUCUAUCCUAGGUGAUCGGCACACCAUCAUCAUCUUCCCGAUGAUUCCCACGCCUUCCUCCACCAUCAUCGGCAUAUCAUUCUCCAUCGGCAUCGGCAACCGUCAAUAUCAACCAUCGGCAAAAGAUCAACCACCAUCCCUAGACUUGGUCAUAUCCUGCUGCUUUAUCAUCGACAUCAUAAUCCAUCGGCAAUUCCUCUAUCACCUCUCAUUACUUUUUCGCCUGCCGAUCCAAGUUCCAUUAACUUUCCAGAUACGUGUCCAAAAACGGUGUCAACACAUGCCCCCAAUUCCGGAGUAUAAAAUCAUUAAUGCUUUGAAAUUCUCUCCUAAUAAUGACACCCUUUUGGCAGUUAUUCCCUUCUAACAGCAAUUAAUUACCAAAUCCAAACAACCUUAACCCGGAUCUUCAGUAUGCACCUCGAAUUUCUCAACCCCCCGAACCAAAUCUCCUAAACAUCCACUCAUCAGCAACUGUUCCGUUAGAGUGGACUGCCGAUGAGCCGACCAGGAGAUCCUGUACAGCAAAAUAUCUCCUAAAAUCAUGACCGCUUGCUGUCAAAUCACCUGCACAAUCCCUUGAUCAUCGUGCGAACAGUUACCAUAUCUACCUGAACACCCUCAAAUUUUACAGAUACAGCAAAGAGAUAAGUCAGAAAUGCUCCUGCUUAUUUUACCCUAUAAAUACUUCCUUCCUUGGUACCCUUUCUCUACCUUGCCAUCCUUCAUCCCCCAAACUCAUCUAUCUGGCGGCAGCAUUGUUGAAAAGCUCAAGAACUUCAGCAAAAUCUCCCCCAACGGUUUCUCAAGUCUUUGAUCUUCUUCUUCUCCAGGAAGAAAUGGCCGUCAACUUCAUCUUCCCCGAGUUUAAUCUAUUCCCAUGUUUCCUCUCUUUACCGCACCUUUUUACCUUUUGCAAGUAUACUUAAUUAGCAUUUUUCUUUCUUCUUUCUUUUUCUCUGUUCUUCCAAUAUUCAAACCUUAGCAACUGAGCGAGAAAAUCGUUAUUCCUACCGAGCAACCUCACCUUUAAUGCCUUGGUCCACUGGGUAAUCCGGAUCCUACCGAUCUGAUUAAUGCAGAGACAAAUAGAAUUCCCUUUAGAGCCGAGAACUUUUCUUUAGAUCUGUGGAAAGAUACCUUCCGAUCCUGGCCAAGUUCCACCAAAGGAUGGAAGGAUUGGUUUUUGAGGGUUAGCAACACAAAUAAAGUAUACUGGGUUGAACCCAAACUAGAUCAGUGCAUUAGGCAGUCUAUUGCCGAUAGGUAGAGAAAUGAAUCACUGUUGUUAGUUGCUUCAUACUUCUGGUCAGAUACUUUUAAUGCUUUCAUUUUCGGUCAUGGCCCAGCUUCCCCCACUCUCGCCGAUGUCCUCAUGCUCACUGGUUUAGACAUUGCAGCUGCCGAUGAUGGCCAGUUGUUCGACCGCAAAGCCGAACGCAAAGUAGAAACCCGCAACAUCGGCGGCUGGUCAGGGUAUAUCUAGAAGUACGAGAGAACAGAGCCGGUCGGUCAGAGGGAACAUGCUAUUUUUCUAAACAUGUGGCUAGACAAAUUCAUCUUCUGCGGUUGAUCAGUAGGACCUACCUCCGUCUACUUAUCGGCAGCUGAAAGGUUAGCCGAUGGUGGCGGAUUCCCUCUUGGCCGAUACCUGCUAGGCUCCGCCUACCAUCUCCUCCAUCAAGUGACUGAGAAACUCCUGUUAGAUGAACCCAUCGCAAUCUAGGAGGCCCCUGGUAGUUCAUCAACAUGUGGCUCAAUGUUCAUAUGCACAAACGCCUUCGGUUUGAGUUCUUUGCAUAGCAAUUCCCCAAAGACAUUGCCGAAGAUUAUGAACUGGCCGACAAUGAAUCGGCAACUCGCUCACCCCUCAAUUAUGGUGAAGCUGCCAUAGUUCUCCCGGGCACCGGCUGCAAUGAAAACCAGAUCGACCGAUUUUUCCAAACCUUGUAUGAUGGCCUCUCCAAAGAUCAGCGAGCAUGGAUGCCUUAUGAAGAUCCAGAAACCAGAUUCCCGCUCACCUUCCACCCUUUCGACGAUGCUCUCAACAAGGAUAAUGACCUGAUGAUGGCAAUCAUUACUCUGAGAGCAAUUCCAGUGAAUACCUUUGGCAGUAGGAAGAACACCAACCCUACCUAUGAGUUUUACAACCCAUCAGCACUAGCUCGCCAACUAGCUUUUGGCCAACUGCCGAUCAGACUUUGUUAUGCCAAUGUGGUGAAACCAAGGGAAACAAAAACUAGUGGACUUGAGUGGAUAAGGGUAGCUCAACUCCAGCCAAAUGCCGAUACGACAUACAUCGAUCUAUCGGCUUGGGUGCUAGCUCUCUUUAUUACUCAGCUGUAUAAACAUUGGUGGGAGGAAUGGAAGGAGCAUCUGUUCAGUGCAUCGGCUCAUACAUACCGUGGCAUGAUUGACUCCGACUACAAGGUCCCCGAUAACAUUGUAAGUCUUUUACCGAUACCUUGGUUCCUUUGUUAUCUUUGAUCCUAUCGACAACUUAUUUGUUUUUUUUAUUUCAAUAGGUCGACAACCGAGCACCGUCAAUCAGCAGAAGUGGAAGGCCGAUCAAACUCCUUCAAUCAAGCCCAAUUUCUCUAAUUGGCCACAAUGCGCCAAGUCUAGCAGCCCUCAUCCAUCGGAACGUGCGCUUCAAGAAGACGACCAACAAAUGAUCGAAAGUAUCCCCAUCAGUUGCUGCUGCUACACUAGCACAGGCUUUUAAGGUAAAACUCUUAAUAAUAAUUUUUUAUACCAAAUUCAUCCCAUACUCACUUCAUCUUUUUAGGGUACAUCGGCUACAAUGGGAACUUCAUCGGUAACUUUUAUCCUUUAGCAAAAUUCCAUCAGUACUCUUUUUAUAUUUUUAAUCAUGAAAUUUUGGUUGUUGUAAUAGCAAACUGGCAAAUCGGCUAAGAUCAAAAGUGCUCAAACAUCAGGUGUCGAUGCCCCCCAGCCCAGUCAAGAUCCAACCAAGAGAAAGGGUCCCAAAAGCACCAAAACCCAGCCGAAGCGCCAGAAGAUAGCACCAUCCUCUCCACCUCGUCCAGUAUCCCUGAUCCAGGUAGCAUCAUCUCCUUCCCCACCGGAAACCCAGACACAAGAAGUACCUUCUCCUCCUCGACCAGUACCCCAGCUGCAAGAGGAAAGCUCUUCUCAUGCAGUGGGAAGUACCUUCUUGAGUAACUCAUCUCCUUCUUUUUCUAGGAACAAGACUCCCCAAAUAGCAUGUUCUCCUUUGCCAUCGACAUCUCUGAUGAUGAAGGCAAAGAAGAAAGCUCUUCUCAUGCAGUGGGAAUUUCAUCGGCAGAGAUUAAAGCUAAGUUGAAAGAUUUGUUAGCCCUGCUGCAUCAAGACACAGCCCUGCUAGUGGAUGAUUCCGAUCCGGCCAAGGUCAUAUUCAAGACCCUCCGUGGCCAAAUUCCAACCGAUGCAGAAGAAAUUCUCUUCCAAGCUGCCACCUAGAAAGUCGCCAACUCCAGUAUCAGAAGGCUACCCAGCGCCUUGCCGAUAGAGCUGCUCAUGUCCGGCUUACAGAGGAUAUUGUGACAGAACCUCCUGGGUAGUUGGGCCCACCGACACCUGUCAUUGUUCCAAGGACCUCUGACGGUGAUGCCAGGGAUCCUUCUACUCUAGAAGCCCCAUGAGCAUCCCAGGACGCCCAUCCCACUGCUACCUGUGGCGUAACAACCAAGCUCGUCCUGACCACCAGUGAUGGUCAAUUAACGAGAACUUAUUCUUCUCGCCAUUUCAGGAUAGCAAGUGGCCACCUUAACACCAGGAUCAUUCGUUGCGAAGACAUUGCAGUAUCAAAAACGAUAUAUAACCAAAAUAGCAUUUCAGAGUAAAACAGCGGAAGCAUUAAAUAACUUAGUUUACAAAAAUAGUUCUUCAAAGUAGGACGAAGAUAAAGUGUUAUUACAAGCCAGGUCUAGCGGAGCAACUUAAACCAUAGUACAAAGAUUACAAAUUUACACACCCUGCCCAUGGGUCACGCUUACUCCUCCUCGUCGUCAACCUCGACGACGGUCACACAACAGGGUCCAAAACAAGUUGGCUCCUGAGCUUCACCGGAAACAGGGGUUAUAAACCCUGAGUAUGGGAGUACUCUACAAGACUUACCCGACAGAUAAAGAGGAGAACUUAGGAAUGCUGGCUUAGUGUAGACAAGGAGUGGCUGAGCAAGGAGCCAAAUUGUUUUGCUAAAAGCUUACUAAUAGUGCAUCCUUACUUUCAAGUUUUACCCAUGAAUUGCUCACCACGAGAGGCCGAGGAAUUCGAGGACAGUCUAUCUAGUUGCUUUUCACAAACAAGUCUGUAGAUUCCUAGUCCUUAAUAAAAGUAUUGUCCAUCCAACGGCCAUAUCUUCAUGUCACUCUGAGUCCGGGAAUUAGAAUCCAAUCCUCAUGAGACAUUUCACCCUUUCUCAUUUCACAGUUUAGUUGCAUAUUUAACUACGAUGAGAGUCAGUGGAUUGAGUCUCCCAAUCGGGGAGCAACGACGAUUAGAACCGCUUAACAAUCUAGUUGGAGUUCCUAACCACCUGUGGGGGUAUAAACCCCUAUACCCUUACGGCUAGACUUGGGUCAGGAGGCUUGGUCCAUCAUGAAGAUAACUCGAGGCAUGAUCCAACUGCUCGGAGUCUCACGCAAGAAAUCGAGACGUGGAGACCAAGCAGGAUUCUAGUCGGUUAGAAUAGGAAUUGAUAUCGUACUAUCUAUGGCAAUUGUAACCGACUAGGAUUAGUUUCUAGAUCUGUAACCCUGCCCUCUGGACUAUAUAAGGAGAGGCAAGGGACCCCCCUAGGACAGAUUAUCUCAACACAAAUCAAUAUAAUUAGACGCAGGACGUAGGUAUUACGCCCACACGGCGGCCGAACCUGGAUAAAAAGCUUGUCCGUGUCUUGCGUCACCAUCGAGUUCAUAGCUUGCGCACCGUCUACCGAUAAACUACUACCGUGGGUAUACCCCAAGGUAGAGUGCCGACUAGCUUUCGUCGACAGUGGUGCGCCAGGUAGGGGGUGUGUGCACAUCUCUCCCGACAAACAAGAUGGUCAUCGUCCCAGCUUCCGCGGCCGUGGCUGAAGGCCUCACGUUCACCGUCGGCCAGAUCACGUGGACUACUCAUGGCAGCGGCUCCACGACCACGACUUCGGAGGAAACCCAGAUUCGAUCUGGGACAGUAGAGGCGCCGACUCUGAUCACGCCGACUCCGAGCACCCGACCACCACUCCCUCGUUACAAGGCAAAGUGGGUCGACAACUUGGAUCUUCUCCAUGCCCUUGAUCGCGCCAACCUCAGGCUCCUCGAAGCCUCUAACUUGGUGGAUUCGAUCUCGCGCAAACCUGAUCGGGCGGUGCCAACAAACUUUUUUGACUCCUGCCGGCCAACUUGUGUUACCACACACGAACAGCUGGAGACGUCCCUGACAAUAACGUCGACCCCCACGGGACGCUCCGUCAACCUCAAGAUAGCUCAAGACCAGGACUACCCUUACGGUCGGAACAACUCGGCCGACCACUAUUCGCGGCACACCCAAUCACUUUUCAGCAGGGCGGGCUUGUCGCCGGGACAGAUCAACCGAGCAGCUCGCCAUUACGUCAACAUGGUAUCCAUCCGAGUUCUGCCGGACGACGAGGCCGCCAGUACGAAGUCCAGCACAGGGUCUGUCCCUACCAAGGUUUUACACUCUGAGGACGAAGAUUACGACCUGGAUCUACCACCAUACCCUCCGAGCUUUUCUCGUUUCCCAGUUUUUCCACCUCGGCGAGGAGAUCUUAUUUUUAACGUCAGCAAUGACGAACCAGUUGUCGACAGCAAAACUAACGAGUAGAAGCAACUCCGUGAGCAGCGCAAUGCCGAUCGUGCUCGGCGGCGCGCGGACGAGGAAUGGCAACUUGCGCCACACAACCUCAGUGAUGCUUUCGACAUGGUCGGGGAUCAGGCAGUCUACAAGCCGCCAAGCGCUAACGUGGCUAUGGCCAUGGCGAACCUGGACCGACUCCCUGAUACCCCAGAGUGCCAGGGCGUCUGAUCCAGCAUACGAGCACAUCUGAUCGCCGCGAUGGGACAGACAGCCACCUUGCUCAAGAGGGUCCAAGCCGUCUCCUACACGGAGGUUUCUUCCGACCAGACUCAUCACAACCGAACUUCACCACGACCCAGCGGGCGCCAUCAUAGCCGCUCCCCCAACGGUCGCAGAAAGGUCGUUGAACGCGACAAUCGUGGUCAGGACACGUGUGGUUACCGUGAGCAGAGGCGCGGGCGCGGUCAGGAAGUAAACCAUAACAGGGAUCUACGCUACAACAUCCCUCCCAAGGACGCCCGCGACCGCAUCAAUAGGCGCGCUACGAAAAGAGAGGUACACGAAAACCUGUGACGCAUCGAGUACGACGCCGCACACGGCCCCCCGGCUUAAGACAGUUUUCCUCACACCUUCGCCAAGUCGUAUGGCCCCGCAACUUUAAGCUCGAGAAGCUUAAGAAAUACGACGGCAAGGAAAACCCUAAAAAUUGGAUCACUCUCUACGAGAUUGCAGUCCGGUUAGCAGCAGGAGACGAGCACGUCAUGGCAAAUUACUUUCCAGUCGUCCUUGACCAGGCCGGCCAUCAAUGGCUCCUCGGCCUACCCGAGGACUCCUUUGACUCCUGGGAAGAGCUCCGCCAGGCGUUCAUUGACAAUUUGAUCACUACCUGCGAACAGCCCGGGAACAAAUACGAUCUCGAGAGAAUAAGGGACAGGAAGAAUGAGCCCUUGCGCGAUUACAUCCGACGGUUCUCGGAUAUGCGCCUUAAGAUUCCAAAAAUUUCUCACGACGAGGCUAUAUCAGCCUUUAUCAAAGGUCUACGCUUUCACGAAGCAUUAAGAAAUAAGCUACUGCGUAAACGGCCGACCACGGUUGCCGAGCUCCUCACCACGGCCAAAAAUUAUGCUGAUGUCGAUGACGUAGAAAAGCUCAUUCGAGAAGAUGCGAGAGGCGCCGACCAGCUUCCAUGACGAGACGACAGUCGUGGAUGCUUCGACAACCGGAACCUCUGUCGCGACCGCGACCACCGAGAAGGAUGGGACACGCGACGUGACAAUCGCAACGAUUUCAGGUGUAAGCGACCCCGUGAUCACGAUCACGAGGUGAAUACAGUCAAGCGCCCAAAUGGGCGACGAGACUACCAGAAAGACUACAACAAGACGCUGAAAGGGCCAUGCCAACUCCAUCCCAAAUCCAAUCACAUGAUGGAAGAAUGCCAUGUCCUCAAAAGCAUCUACACACAACGGGCUGCUCAAGGGGACUCCGCCAAGAAAAACGGGAAACAGGACAGACAUGGCCACGAAGACGAAGACGACGACCAGGAUUGGGACCCGCGACACUAGUAUGUCAGUCCCACUGACGUGGUGCACUCUAUCUUCAGAGGCAAGGUUUCCAUCGAAUUUAAAUGAGAGACAAAGCUCCUGAAGAGAGUCUGCCGCAAUGUGGAUAGCGCAGACGGCCUGGUCGCCGACCUGAAGUUUCCUCCCUGGUCGCACAGGGAGAUCUCCUUCAACAGGAAGGACCAAUGGGCCGCCAUCCCAGAACCAGGACGCUUUCCUCUGAUCUUGGACCCUUGCAUCAACAGCAUCAGAUUCGAGCGCGUGCUCGUCGACGAGGGUAGCUCCAUUGACAUCCUUUUCCGCAACAGUUUGCCUGCUCUCAGGCUAACCCUGGCGCAACUAAAGCCGUAUGAUGCUCAAUUCUGGGGCGUCCUACCAGGCCAAAGUUCAAUACCACUCAGACAGACAACGCUGCCCAUCCAGUUCGGAACAUCAGACCACUUCCGCACAGAGUUCGUCAACUUCGUGGUCGCCGACUUCGACGGCACCUAUCACGCAAUCCUAGACCGACCACCGUUGACAAAGUUCAUGGCAGUUCCACACUACUCGUACCUGGUCCUCAAGAUGCCAACAGAGAAGGGAGUCCUAACUGUCAGAGGCAAUGUCCACACCGCAUACACUUGCGAGGAGGAAAGCUUCAAGAUCACCGAGGCAAUAGAUCUCUCGAUCCGCAUGGCAGAAACCGUAGCCCAAGCUACGUAGAUUCCACCCGACCAGCUUCGACUACCCGAACAGGAAACUCUGAGGAAAAAUUCAAAGUCCAAAGAGCACAAGGAAGUACAGCUGGUCGACGGCAGCCCCGAAAAGACGACCCUCAUCGGGGCCAACCUGGACCCUAAAUAGGAAGACGCGCUCGUCAGGUUUCUAAGGGACAACGUAAGCGUUUUCGCAUGGAAACCCGCAGACAUGCCCGACGUCCCACGAAACCUGAUCGAACACUCCUUAAACGUCUCGAAGACCGCAAGACCUAUCAAGCAGAAACUAUGACAGUUCGCUCGUGACAAAAAGGAGGCUAAUAGGGCAGAAAUAACACGGCUUCUAGCAGCCGGAUUCAUUAAAGAAGUGUAUCAUCCCGAUUGGCUCGCCAAUCCGGUCCUUGUAAGGAAAAAGAAUAAUGAAUGGAGAAUGUGCGUUGAUUACACUGAUCUCAAUAAACACUGUCCUAAAGAUCCUUUCGGUCUCCCUCGUAUCGAUGAGGUGGUAGACUCAACGGCCGGAUGCGAACUCCUCUCUUUUCUAGACUGCUACUCUGGUUAUCACCAGAUUUCACUAAAGGAAGACGACCAGAUCAAAACAUCUUUUAUCACUCCUUUUGGUGGAUACUGCUACAUGACCAUGUCCUUCGGACUCAAAAAUGCUAGAGCUACUUAUCAACGGGCCAUUCAACAAUCCCUCCAUGACGAGAUUCGUGACGACCUCGUCGAGGCCUACGUAGACGACGUUGUCGUCAAAACAAGGGACGCGAGCACUCUAAUCGACAACCUAGACCAAACUUUUAAGGCACUGAAUAAAUACAAGUGGAAGCUUAACCCCAAAAAGUGCAUCUCUGGGGUCCCCUCUGGACUACUACUCGGCAAUGUCGUCAGCCGCGACGGCAUACGACCGAAUCCUUCAAAAGUUAAGGCAGUACUCGAUAUGCGACCACCCAAAAGCGUCAAGGAUAUUCAAAAGCUCACUGGAUGUAUGGCUGCUCUUAGCCGGUUUAUCUCUAGUCUGGGAGAAAAAGGCCUCCCCUUCUUCGAACUUCUAAAGGCGUCGGAAAAAUUCUCCUGGACAGAGGAAGCUGACGCUGCGUUCACCCAGCUCAAAACUUUCCUCACCUCACCACCCGUCCUCACAGCACCUCAACCUAACGAGGACCUGCUCCUUUACAUAGCAGCAACUGAUUGGGUUGUCUCCACGGCAAUGGUGGUCGAGCGGGACGAGCCAGGCCACGUCUACAAAGUCCAGAGGCCUGUUUACUUCGUAAGCGAAGUCUUAAAUGAAUCCAAGACCAGGUAUCCUCAGAUACAAAAGUUAAUUUACGCCAUCCUGAUACCCUCAAGGAAGCUGAAGCAUUACUUCGAUAGUGGGCACGCACCAUGCUAAGGACGUGCGCACCGACAAAUUCCCCGGCGUCCUUGACAAACUGCUGAAGCCAGCCCCACGCUCGUUGCCCCUUCUCGAUCGGGGUCAGUCUCGGUGCGCGGGGCUGGUCUUCGGGAAGCUCAGGGCUGAUCAACUCAAGAACCGGGGGCCACUCCUUUCUAGAUCUUGAUACUUCCAGGCGUCCCGGUCCUUGACCAGCUCGUCAUGGUGUUUCUACGUAUUGACUUUAAGCACUACAGAAAUGCAAGCAAGAGAUCAGUAUAAGGCGAAAGGAAGAAAGUUGUGCAAACAAAAGCCACGAAAUGGCUCCUACCAGCGAACUCUUGACUCCUAUUCUUUAGCUCCUCGUUAGCCUGACGCCCGGCCUCCAGCGCGCCGGCACGCUCCUGGUCGAGCUGUUCCUUUUCUUGUCGGAGGCGUGCAACCUCCUCCUCCAAGUCUGUAGGAGUAAUUACUGGUCAACAAAACCGACCACGCGGUUAUAUACAACUGCUCGGAACGCAUGACUCACCUUUCUUUUCCCGAUCCUUGUCGGCUAGUCGCCGAUUGAGAUCAAGCAGGCGCUCUUCCUGAGCACCCCUGUAACAUCCCGGAUUUUUACGAAAACCAAAAAUACGAGCUUUUUAAAAUUUUUCCUGUAAUCAUGUGAGGCAUAUAGUUUUUAGGUCUAACUCGAGACUAACCGGCUAACAAAUCGUAGCAUACAUGUAGAUUUGUUUGUAGACGAGUGCCUUUGUUCGUGAGUCGAUUUGGAGUUGAGUCUUAAUUAGGGUUUGGAGUGCACAAAUCCGUAGCAAGUCUUUCUGAAUCUCUGUUGAGCCUAUCUCAAAGGCGAAGCGAAUCCCUUCUCAACCUUUUCAUUGGAGUACGUCUCAAACUUCAUUGGAUUAUAUCUGAUCUCUUUUUGAAUCCUUCUCCAUACUCCUUUGUUUUCAUUCCAUUGUGCCUAAUCGAAAAUGGAAAAAUCCAUUUCUUUUAUCUUGGGCCGAAUUUCUCUCUUUCUCUCCAUUCUUUUCUUCUCCUUUUUGGCCCACGGCGGCAUUGUGGCCCAGCCUCACGGCCCAGCUCCCUGCUUCCUCUCCCCGGCCCAGCUCGCUCCCCUCCCCAGCCGGCCUGCUCACGCCUUGCUCCUUUCGGCCCACGUACCCCCCGCAGGCAUGCGCGCGCGGCCCAGCUGGCCUAGGCCGCGGCCUGCCUGGCCCAGCACAGGCGCCCCAGCGCCAGCCCUAGGCGCGCCGCCUGGCUCCCAGGAGCGCCACCGCCGCCGCCAUGGACACGCACCCGCGCGCACCUGCCCCUGCCUCGGCGUCCGUACAAGCAACAUGGGAUCUGCUGCCGCGUGUCUCGGCUGUCGCAUCGAUGGCGCGGACAUCGAGACGACCUCGGAACCCUAGCCCGCGCCCCUAUAAGAGCCAUGGCCGCCGCCGCUCUCUGCUCCGUUCCCAGCGCCGCCACCCUCCCCUUCUCCCUUGCUCGCCAGCGCCGACGCGUCCGCGCCCUCGACCUCGUCGCGCCCAAGGCGCCGUGCGCCCUCGCCCUCGAAGCUGCGGACGCCACCUCGCCGAGCAGCAACAACAUCGGCCGCGACCCCAACAGAGCUCCUCGUCGCGCCCCCUGCUUCAGUCCACGAGCUCCCUCCUCUGCGUCGAGCCUUCCGCACCGAGCAGGAGCCGCCGCGCCUCGCCGUGGCCACGACGUCGCCCCCGCAUCGUCCUCGCCGCGCCGAGCCCCGGCCCCGCAACGCCGUCCUCGCACCGGAGCCGCCCGCCGCGUCGAGCUCCUGUGCGCGACCUCGCCGAGCCGACCACCACGACGCAGAGCACCGCGACGCCGAAGCCACCCACGACCGCGCCGGCUCGGCCCUGCUCCACUCCGUCGAGCGCUGUCGCCCCAGCCUCCGUCCGCGACCUACGACGCCGAGCCACCACAGCAACUCCAACCUCGUCAAGCCCUGCUCCAAGCCGUGAGCCGCCUCCGCACCCACGACGGCGUCGAGCCCCGACGCGUCCACGCCCUCGCCAUGCUACGGUCACCCUCGCGAUGUCCCCGUCCUCGCCACGGUCACCGCGUCGAACUCCUGUGCACGACCUCGCCAAGCUAAACCCCCGGUGAGCCUCGCCCAGACCAAAGUUUUCCCUUUCCCAUUUCGCCUCGCUGAGACCGGCCUUCGUGCCGUGUUCUUCCACUGUCACAGGGAAGCAGUGGCCUCACCGUGCCCUUGCCGAAGAUGUGACGCCGUCCCGAUGCCUGCUGCACAUCCCGGCCAGCAGCAAGCUUGCAGCUGAUCUGCGCCCCUCGUGUCCAGCAAGGUCGAACCUUGAACCUGGCCGACAUCGUCUCCGACGUCGGAAAAACCCUUGUCCUUUCUUGUAUCUUUGUAUAAACUUGUUAUAUGAUAUAUAUCCAUGCCUGUGUCGUGCCUUCGCGCCGGUCUAUUUAUUUAUCUAUCUCUAUCUAUCUCUCGUGCUAUGGAAAUGUGCUACUCUGAGUUGUCAUCGUGUCCCUUGCGUUGUCUUUGGUCGAGUCGUGUUUCUUUAUGUGUUUGUCAUUGCCUGAGGACCGAGCCUUCGAGCCGGUUAGGGAAAUGGUAGUGCGUUCGAUCAUUUCGAUCGUGGGUUCGUCCCGCCGUGAUCGCGAUGCCGAGCGUAACUCAUUCCCUGUGUUUAGUUGACUUCGUUGCGCUACGGUCGUUAGCUCCCAUUCCCGUCCCUCGGACGUGGUCAUCGUGGACUCGAUGUGAUUAACGACGCGGUUCUUACCCGCACACCCGAGACCUAAAUGACCUAGUCGAGUGGGAUACGAAUUAGGGGACAACCGUCGUGGAACUGUCGGAAGCCAACUCGUUAGGUGAAGCUCAUGGUCGCGAGACGCCUCACCAUGGCCAUCGAGCCUAUCCUAUUUUUGUCGCAUGUUUAUCUUAUCUAUCUCGUAUGCUUAUGCCACCUAGACCCGGGCAUUUCCCGUGGUUUCCGCGGUGACAACCGCAUCGCCUGAAACUACGGAAAUGACCUUGUGCCGAUUCAGAAGCACCUAGGUUGAGAAGUGUUAUGAGUUGGAGUAGAUCGUGGGGUCGUAUCUCUUUUAACCAAUCGUCGUUCGUUCCAUGGCGAGUUGGUCGAAAGAGUGUGAUUCAUUCUUCUUCUCUCUUGUUCUCAAUCCCAUCGAUCCAGUAAGAUGUGGAUUAAGCCUCUUUUGCUUGUUUGAUGUUUCGUUUCCAAUCCCGCGAUUCCCGCUGUUGCUAUGGCGAGUGGGUCACACGAAGAUGAAUCUCGUAUCCCUUCCCUACCUUUUUGGUUCUUUGUGCUUAAACUCUUGUAUGCUUGUACUUAAUCAACCGUAGCAUUUCUUUGGUUCUCGCGGUGACAACCGCACCGCUAAGAACCUUAGUGAUGUCUUAGUGCAUUUAGUGCACCUAGGUUGUGGCGCCCUACAAGUAGUUUGAGCACUCGUGUCCUUGGUGUGUCACUCCCUCUUAUGCCCUGUCUUUUGCCGUGGCAUGAGUAUUGGAAGGACUAGACCACUUCCCUUCUUCUUCUCUCUUUAUUCCACCCUCUCUUGGCUCUCGCCAACUACAAUUGCGUAUGGGUUGAGAGAGACCGGAACUUCUCGUGCUCAUAGUCUUUACGAUUCCUGUCGAUCUCUAUGACACUUGGAUCGAAAGACCGUAAGCUGUGGUGUUUGCUUAGAAUGAGUUAGAGUCUAAGCCAUUUAUUAAAGCCGUACAGGUCGACACGAUCGACCCGGGAAGUACCGGCUAGGCUAAGACUCAAGCUUGUACUUGGUGAACAACCAUUUCCGUUUCUUUUAGCCCAGGGAUCGGACACCCACCGAGAGGGCUAAGCCGUUUUCCUUUCGGUGCUCUUUCAGUGUAGUUGUCCUUCAGUGUUUUGUCGCCUCUUUUCACAGUCUUUCUAGGACUCGUGGAUUGAUUGUUUCACCUUGUUUGUCGUUUACGAGGUAGUUGCUUCGGGUAGCGUUGAUCGAAUCGGAACCAGUUGAAGGAAGGACAUGCAGAUAGGAGAAAGACCUUGGAUGAGUACAGCUACAGGUGAACUGAGGAUCUUGGAAAUGUCACUCGACAGGUGCCACGUCCCACCCAACCUCGUAGAAUCCUAUUAGACAUGCAAUAUGUAGAUGCUAGUGCUUUACUUUUAUGCAAAUGAAUUGAGAUAGGUUGCAUGGUAGAAAUGCUUGUGAGCCAUUGCCUUGUUGCAACCUAUAGCCCUCGCACACCUGCUGUUAGGUUAGACGCUUGCAAACUACUUGCUACUGCAUCUACUACGCAUUAUAUCUGUGAUGUGAUGCAUUAUGGAGGAUUGGAUGUGAGUGGAUCAGGCACGUGGUGCCGAUAACUGGUUAAGAAAUGGAUAAUGGAUUUGGGGAGAUCUUGGCGUGUGUCUUGGGUGUGUGGUGAGGGUCGAGUCGACCGAGCAGGAUCUACGACGAGUCUUGGGACAAGUCUUGUCGGAAGACGCUACCUGGGCGUUCUCCACGAGAGAUACCUGUGGCGGGUACAUGUGACAGGGAGAGGUCCCGGAGUGGAGUGUCUUCGUGGGACGAAGCACCGGGAUGGGAGGUGCUGUUUAGCACGGGGUAAUCGGAUGUCCCGUCGAGCGGGGCAUCGGUUGGCCCCUCGUGAAGAUGUCCUGUUCGGUCACCCUAAGGACUGAGAUGUUCUGAGAACCGGUUCGUAGGAAGCCUUGCACCCCACUCGCUCUUAUGGGGAGGAGACGGAUGUACGACCAGUUAGGGCGGUGCCACUACUACUAGGUUGUUGGUAGACAGUGUAGGGAGGUACGGGCAUGAGGACCCACACCCUCCUAAGACAGCGUAGUGACCUUUGGGGGCCCGGUACUACGCCUCACAGUCUCAGCGUACCGGUGGUACUCCGGUAUGGUCCCAGUUCUGAGUGGUAGGGUGGCAUCGUACUUAGUUGGAAGGCAGCCCGACAUCAGCCUAGGUGGGGCGCACCACCGAUGAUGGUGAUCUUGUGGUUAGUGCAAACCUCUGCAGAGUUUCUGGUUGAUCGAUCGAUACAUAUGCCGUUUACGGCUAUGGACCUUUCCUAUGUUUCCGCUUCACUUGACUAGAGAGAGGAGUCCCUUCUACCUUCCCCUGGGUUUGUGUUGGAUCCGGCGUUGGCCGUUGAGGCAAGGCACGAGCGGGAGUCGUACUUGCCGCCUAGAGAGUGAGAGUGUGGUGAGAUGUGUGUGAUGGGAUGGAUGGAUGUGUGGAUGAGAUGGAAUAAAACUUGAUGAAUUAUUAUUAUAAAAUAUUGAUGAACUUGCAUAGGAAAAACUACAGCUAUACAUAGGCCUCUUGAUAUACCCUUUGCAUUUCCACCUACCACAAAGCUACGCAAAAGCAUAGGGUGGGAGCCAAUGGCCAGUACAAAUCGUACUGAAAAUUGUUUAGCAGGUGUUGAACGAGGUCUAUGACGAUAACUAAGGAGAAUAGAAGGAUUAGGUGGUCUCGUUCCUGCGCUCAAGUUUGGUUCGGAGAUGAAGGCUACGCCCGCUGACAAACUACGUCGACUCUGAUGAUUGCACGUGAAGGAGGAGCCUUCACCGGAUACGCGCUACAUCGACUCUGAUAAAGACCCGUGUGUGUUUCCGCUAGAAAGACGAUGUAAUAGGUUUGUUGACAAAGAGUUGUAAAGUAAAUGUGUUGUAAUUUUGUUUCUAACGAUGUAUGACUAUGAUAAACAGCUGAUAUAUGAUAAUGGGAUGGUUCAAUUUUUGAAUUAUCACAUUAUAUUCGAAUCUGAGGAUUUUUCCCUUUUUGGAAAAAUCUAGGUCGUUUCAACCCCUCUCGGCGGACCUCUCCACGGCCUCCAACCGAAGACGGUCUAGUUCCGCGGUCAGGGCCUUAUUCUCGACCACGAUCCCUUCAAUCUGGUCGAAGCACCUUUUCCGGUACUUCGCCAUUUUCAUUGCGCCCUACAGGAAUUACACAUAUUGAAGCAAGCGACAGUGCCUAUACAUUUCGAGCAGAACGCAAGACUACUUACCUUCACCUCGUCAAUGAGCCGCUUAGCUGCGCGCUCCACCCUAGUGGCCUCCUCCAUUUCUGCAAGUUCUUCAUGACCAAUGAAGUGGUCCCCACGUUGGCGCCACACGUAAACGUGCUGGCGACCAUCAUGAGGGUGACCUUGGAUUUCUUCUACUUCAUCGUCGGAGGCCGCCUGGGCCUCCUCGCCCUCUGCGCUACCCCCAGCCAUGGUCACAGGUAUCACUAGACCCUUAUCCCGGCCAGGGGAGCCCUUUGGCGAAGAGGCCUCUGCUCGGGGUGGAGUUGGGGCCCUCCUUUUACAAAAGUUAAUUGUAAAGUGAGUUUCGUCCACUCUGCGAUGAAAUCAGCCAGGGCCUAGGACUUGACGGUAGUGUGACUCUGGAAUUCCAGGGAGAAUGGGCAUAAUUCCAUUGCCCACUUUACAAUUCUGCCGUUGGCGUCCUUGUUGCGCAAAAUGUCCCCCCGAGGGAAACUGGUGGUUACUAAGACCCGAUGGCCAUCGAAGUAAUGCUUCAGCUUCGUUGAGGUUAUCAGGAUGGCAUAAAUUAACUUCUGUAUCUGAGGAUACCUGGUCUUGGAUUCAUUUAAGACUUCACUUAUGAAGUAAACAGGCCUCUGGACUUUGUAGAUGUGGCCUGGCUCGUCCCGCUCGACCACCAUUGCUGUGGAAACAACCCGAUCAGUUGCUGCUAUGUAAAGGAGCAGGUCCUCGUUAGGUUGAGGUGUUGUGAGGAUGGGUGGUGAGGUGAGGAAAGUUUUGAGCUGGGUAAACACAGCGUCAGCUUCCUCUGUCCAGGAGAAUUUUUCCGACGCCUUUAGAAGUUUGAAGAAGGGGAGGCCCUUUUCUCCCAGUCUAGAGAUAAACCGGCUGAGAGCAGCCAUACAACCGGUGAGCUUCUGAAUAUCUUUGACAUUCUUGGGUGGUCGCAUAUCGAGCACUGCCUUUACUUUUGAGGGAUUCGGUUGUAUGCCAUCGCAGCUGACGACGUUGCCGAGUAGAAGUCCAGAGGGGACCCCAAAGAUACAUUUUUUGGGGUUAAGCUGCCACUUGUAUUUAUUUAGUGCCUUAAAGGUUCGGUCUAGGUUGUUGAUUAGAGUGCUCGCGUCCCUUGUUUUGACAACAGCGUCGUCUACAUAAGCCUCGAUGAGGUCGUCAUGAAUCUCGUCGUGGAGGCAUUGCUGAAUGGCCCGUUGAUAAGUAGCUCCAGCAUUUUUUAGUCCAAAGGACAUGGUCGUGUAGCAAUACGCACCGAAAGGAGUGAUAAAAGAAGUUUUGAUCUGGUCGUCUUCCUUUAGUGAGAUCUGGUGAUAACCAGAGUAGCAAUCUAGAAAAGAGAGGAGUUCGCAUCCGACCGUUGAGUCGACCACCUCGUCGAUGCGAGGGAGACCAAAAGGAUCUUUAGGACAGUGUUUAUUAAGAUCAGUGUAAUCAACGCACAUUCUCCAUUCAUUGUUCUUUUUUCUUACAAGAACCGGAUUAGCGAGCCAAUCGGGAUGAUACACUUCUUUAAUAAAUCCGGCUGGUAGAAGCCGCGUUAUUUCUGUCCUAAUAGCCUCCUUUUUGUCACGAGCGAAACGUCGUAGCUUCUGCUUGAUAGGUCUUGCGGUCUUCGAGAUGUUUAAGGAGUGUUCGAUCAGGUUUCGUGGGACACCGGGCAUGUCUGUGGGUUUCCAUGCGAAAACGCUCACGUUGUCCCUUAGAAACCAGACGAGCGCAUCUUCCUAUUUAUAGUCCAGGUUGGCCCCGAGGAGAGCCGUCUCCUCGGGGCUGCCAUCGACCAGCUGCACCUCCUUGUGCUCUUUAGACUUUGAAUUUUUCCUCGGAGUCUCUUGCUCGGGUAGUCGAAGCUGGUCGGGUGGAACCUGCGUAGCUUGGGCUACGGUUUCUGCCAUGCGAAUCGAGAGAUCAAUUUCCUCAGUGAUCUUGAAACUUUCCUCCUCGCAAGUGUAUGUGGUGCAGACAUUGCCUCUGAUAGUUAGGACGCCCUUCUCUGUUGGCAUCUUGAGUACCAGGUAUGAGUAGUGUGGAACUGCCAUGAACUUCGUCAGUGAUGGUCGGCCUAGAAUUGUGUGGUAAGUGCCGUCGAAGUCGGCGAAUACAAAGUUGACAAACUCUAUUCGGAAGUGGUCAGGUGUUCCAAACUAGACAGGCAGCGUUAUCUGUCCGAGGGGUACUGAACUUUGACCUGGCAGGACUCCCUAGAAUUGAGCGUCGCACGGCUUUAGCUGCGCCGGGGUUAUCUUGAGAGUAGGCAGGCUGUUGCGGAAAAAGGAUGUCAAUGGAGCUGCCCCCAUCAACAAGCACGCGCUGGAAUCUGACGCUGUUGAUGCAAGGAUCCAGGAUCAGAGGGAAACGUCCUGGUUCCGGGAUGGCGGCCCAUUGGUCCUUCCUAUUGAAGGAGAUCUCCCUAUGCGACCAGGGAGGAAAUUUCAGGUCAGCGACCAGACCAUCGGCGCUGUCCACAUUGAGGCAGGCUCUUUUCAGGAGCUUUCUCUCUCGUUUAGACUCGAUGGAAACUUUGCCUCCGAAGAUGGAGUGGACCACAUCGGUGGGACUGACAUACUGGUGCCGUGGGUCCCUAUCCUCGUCGUCGUCUUCGUCUUCAUGACCAUGUCUGUCCUGCUUCCCGUUUUUCUUGGCGGAGUCCCCUUGAGCAGCCCGCUGUGUGUAGAUGCUUUUGAGGACACAACAUUCUUCCAUCGUGUGAUUUGACUUGGAAUGGAGUUGGCACGGUCCUUUCAACGUCUUGUUGUAGUCUUCCUGGUAGUCUCGCCGCCCAUUGGGGCGCUUGACUGUAUUCACCUCGUGGUCGUGGUCACCGGGUCGCUUGCCCCUGAAGUCAUCGUGGUUAUCACGCCGCCUGUCCCAAACUUCUCUAUGGUCGCGGUUGUCAGCGCGACGAGGGUUCCUGUUGUCGAAGCUUCUGUUGAUAUUUGGUAACGCAAUAAGGAAAUGAUCCGCAAGCGCACGGAUAUCGGUGAGCAUUUUACCCGGGAGGUUUUCUAGAGUAUCGUAUUUAUAUUUUUACCACUGGGAGAAAGGGUGCAUCUGACUAACCAAAUCUAUUGCUACUAUCCCUUUAGGCUACAAAGAAUGUUUCUCGAUGUGAGUGAUGUAUAGAGAAGACUGCAACCGUAGUCUCGUUCUAACCUUGGUAAGGAUGAUCUACUGUUCUAUUGGGGAAGCUUACAGAAUCUAGACACCACAAAGGAUGUUCGACCCGCACCUAUAAACCUACCCGUCCUGCUAACGAGAUGUGGGAUGCAAAGGUAACUCGGAAAUGUCACGUUCCUCGCUACUACCACGGUCCAGCUAGUUAGGGGAUAUCUAUGAGUACCCUAGCCUAAACACCAUGUUUACGCUAGCAAUGAUUACUCUAAUACUCAACCGGAAGAGGAUUAAAGUAAACUCAUAAACCAAAGAACAAUAAAACAAGAACUUACUAGAAUUAGAAGUCGAAUUACUGAAGAAUCUUAGGAGCAAGCCUCGGGUUAGAAGACUUGAUCCUGCAGGUACAACUCGGAGUAGACACCGAUAGGCCGGCCUUCCUCCGAUCUACACCUCCACUCUAUCUCUCUCAAUCUAGUAGAAACUAGAAGAUCUAUUUCUACUUUACAUUGGAUGCUAAGCCUAAAAAGAAAUAUUGUUUAGAGAAGAGGUUUUCCUUCGAGGGCACCCCUCAAUCUCUAUGAUAACUUCUUAUAUUCUCCAGGGGCCAGGGGGCCUCCUUAUAUAGUCCUCCUCCUCUAUGCAUUUUUGGGUCGGUAGGCGAUGUGGUACUACGUUAUCCUUGAUCCUUUAGGUCGGUGGAACAUUGUGUGCGAAGAGAGUCCCGAACGGAGUCCAGGACAGGGCGGGCGCCCAGGGAAGGAGGGCGGGCGCCCUGGGCCUGGCCCCUUUCGGCCUCUGCUUUCUCCCCGUGGCUUCUAGAGUCUUCUAGAUGGUAGAAAAUUGCGCGGUGCGUUGAUAUCUCUAUGUAAUCCCGACAUGUGGGCCUUUCUUCCAUAUUUCCUGAUAACCCCCUGCAGAAAUAGACAAACACCAAAACUCGUUGAAUUCUGUCAGAUAAAACCCUAAGUCUAGGUGUUGGUUGCAUUUGGAUCCUUUUCUUUAUUUAUUUGAUGAUUAUAUUUGGUACUUAAGGACCGUCAACAACUACCCCAAGCUUACCUCUUGCUCGUCCCUGAGCAAGGAUGAACUCAAGAGUUUCUGCAGUGGUUUCAUGCCUUAAAAGUAAGAUCUCAUCUCUGAGUUAGGGUAAACUGUUAAGACUUAAAACUUACUCAUUUUACCUUUCACCAUGGGGCUUGUAACCGUCACCUGUGUCUUGAGCAGUUAAAAGAUAGAACGGUCAAGUCAAGCGCCAUGUCUCUUAUUCUUGAUCAGCUAUAGCUCUGGAGUUUUUGUAGAUUUUCAAAUAAAACUCAGAGAUUCCUUAUAUGAUUCUCUCAAAUCUCUCUUUUGUGGUAUUUCUGGAUCCUUACCAAGGCAGUAAUGGUAUAUGCCUUCUCUCAAAGUAUGUGGUAUUUUUGGUAUAAUGCAUAGUGAUAUUGCCUUCUCUCUCACCCUACUCUAAUAAAGUUUUGAUAUCUGGAGCUCAUAGGUGGGAGACAGCUAGUACAUACUUACAAGACAUUUAUUGCAUAGUCAAACCAUGGAUCUAGAGAAACAAGUCAAUAAGUCAAAUCAAGAUGUGCAUGUGUGGCGAAUGAAUGGUGUAUGGUGAUGAUGGUGAUAAUACUGGUGAAAGUCUAAUUCUACUUUUGCUCUGUUGAGGGGAUACAUACCUUUCUUGCACUUUGAAGCUUUUUGAGGAGAAUGAGAUGCUCUAUAUUUUCUCUUUCUUUCCUCUCAGGUGGGUAUCUUGUACCCCUAAUUCUACUGUCGGACACUUGUCCAUUUUUACCUCUCGUCUCACUUUUUCUUUUCUUUCGAGGUUUCGGGCACUUGCCCCUUUUUAUUUCCUCGUAUUAUUUUUUUUCUUUUUUUUAGAGCACUCAUCUCCUGAAAUAAUAUAGCAAGUGGUAGUAACCAAAAUAACUGGAGCAUUUAUUUCAUAGGGAAUAACAUGGAUAGGAUAAUGUUUUUGGCUAUUCUCUCCCGGAUUAGGAGUAGAAUAAUUUUGGGUGGAUCUGGAGAUGGAAAUGAGUGGAUUUGUGUGGAUGGUACUUCCGGAGUAGAAGUAGCAUGUAUGAGUGAACGUGCAAGUGAAUCUUGAUUUUAGCCACAUGACAAGCUCCUAAGGGUCUACACAGCUUGACCACACUCAAUGCUUGUUGACACUAGCUAACACCACUUAGAUACUAGGUUGUCAUCCCUAGCAUGGCGCCAGAGUGUACAAAGGUAUUUAUAAAUGUAAAGGCCCUCUAGAAAAUAAUCUAUUCUAUCCGCAAGCGCACAGAUAAAACACCUCAUUGUAGCAUUUCACCAGGAUAAGUAUUCCAUGUAUCGUUAUUUAUAAUUUUGCUCUAGGGAUCUAAAGAAGAUGGAAUUAAAUCAAGGGACAAAAUCUAUCAAGGCAUAGACUAGAGAUAAACUUGCAAGAACAUGAUUACUAAUGAGAAACUCGUCACACAGUCACUUACUUUAGCAAGGGGUAAACCAUAAAGAUAAUGAUAAUAAAGUAUAAGUUCAUGGGAUAAAGAGCACAGCGAUUAGAAAAUAGACUACUCCUCAUAUAUGUAGGUGAUGUUGGAUUAGCUAGAGAAUGGAUUCAAAGUUAUCUACUAACUACUAAGUCAUAAUCUACUCUAGUUAUCUACAGGAUCAUAUAUAGCAUAAAAGACUCUUCAUUCAUGUAUAAGGAACAUUGAUAAAGUAAAUCAGAACAUCGCAUGACUUACUCCACAAUACCGGUUCUGCCUGUCCUAUCAACGGAGGGUGGACUAUAUAAGAAUCAACGAAGCUGUCACUAUCGCGAACUACCACACGAGCCGGCCAAUAGGAUACAUUUGCAGAUAAAUAACAUCUAAGCACCACGCUCACAUGUGAUCUAUCACCUAACUCCCUCGCGUCAACAGCUAAGCGCUUUGCAAACUUAUACAUAAACUCAUUAUCAAUUAGAACUAUAUCAAAUAUAGAACUAGAGCAAACUAAGAACAUAAUAAUUAGAGACAUAAUGCAAUUAGAACAAUAGAAUUAGAGAAAGAUAUGAAUAAUACCAAUCUUUAUUACCGAAGAUCCGAAUCCAGAGCGUAGUGCUCUACUUCUCUAAUUGCUAUCUAAUCAAACCUCUAAACUUGAAGGAUUAGGGAGUAGCUAAUUCUAAUUCUCUGUGGGAGAGAGAUCUAAACCCUAACUUUGAUGGCUACCUCUGAAUAAUGAUUUCUCCUCUCUCCUCCCGGGGCCAGGGGGUCUGGUUUUAUAGUCCCCUCAAGUGAACGUGAGCCAUUGGAUCAAACCGACAUAGACUGUAUGGUUUAGAUUGAUCCUUUAGGUCGGUGGAGCGUAGUCCCGAAGCAGAGUCCUGAUUGGCUUCCUGGCCAGGGCGGGCGCCCAAGGGGGGUGGGCGGCCGCCCAGCUCCCGAGCCCGAAUCGCGUCCCGUUCGUUCCCGUGGCUUCUGGAUCCUUCUAGAUUGAGGAAAAUUGCACGGCACGUAAUUAUCUCGUUGUAAACAUGACAUGUGGGCCUUCUCUCCAUAUUUUCUGAUAAACCCCUGCAGAAAUAGAUAAACACCAAAACUCGUGGAAUUCUGUCAGAUAAAACCCUAAUUCUAGAUGUUUGUUUCAUAUUGAUCCUUUUCUAUGUUUAUUUGAUUAUUAAUUUUAGUACUUAAGGACCGUCAACAAACUCCCCCAAGCUUACCCUUUGCUCGUCCCUGAGCAAAUAGCUAAACUCAGAUGGAUCAGGAGUUGCUUCGAUGUUUUCUUUCCUGACAGGCACACAUGCUUUUACAUAAAAAUUCUUCCAGAUUAAAGUGAAGUGUUAUGGAGUUUAGUACAUGCACUUAAAUCUUAAGUAAUCAAAAGACAAAAUAGUUAAGUCAAGCACUAUCCCUCUUGUCUAUACUUCACCUUUGUUCUAGAGUUUUUCAUAAGUUUUCAAAAUAAAACUUAGAGUUCCCAGCAAUGAUUCUCUCAAGUCUCUCUAUAUGUGGUAUUUGUGGAUCCUUACCAUGAUAUCACUUACCUAUAGCUAAUAGAAUAAUUAAGUGGAGCUCAUAGGAGUGGAAAAUAGCUCAUACAUGUGUUGUCUAAUCGAGCCAUGGAUCCAAAGGAACUCAGCAUAUAAUUAAAUCAAGAUGUGCAUGUGUGAUGGAGUAAAUGAUAGUGAAAAUGCAUAAUGAUAAUAAAACUUAGUUCUCAUUGUUCUUUAUAUUGCUAUCUCUCCUCCUCUUUGAUCUUUGCUUUGGGAGAACAUGGGCUAUCUUUUUUUUUUAGGUGGGUAGUAGAUACCCCUAAUUCUACUGUCGGACACUUGUCCAUUUUUUCCGCUCAAGUGGGCAUCUUUGUACCCCUAAUUCUACUUCGGACACUUGUCCAUUUUUACCUCUCGUCUCACUCUUUUUCUUUCUUUUUUUUUCGAGGUUUCGGGCACUUGCCCCUUUUUAUUUCCUCGUAUAUUUUUGCAUAACCCAUGCCUCUUCUGCAUUGAAUCUUUUUAGAGAGAGAGAAUAACAAUACUUGAUAACAGUGAGUGAUAAUAUUUUUUUAGCAAUUUUAAUGAUGAAUGCUGUGGUAGAUGCGUGCAAGUGAAUAUCUUAAUUUAACCACAUGAAAAGGUCCUAAGGGUCGACACAGCUCGAUCAAACUCAAUGUGAAUAUAGUAAAAGAUGUUAUAGCAAAUAUGGCUGUGGUAGGUAGUUUUGUAUGCUAGGAACUCAUCAUGUGAUUUGUAAGUUUUCAAAAAUAAAUCUCCAGAACUUAGUGUAGUAGAAACAAGAUAAACAGUAGCUCAACUUUAUAUCAUGCCUUUCGCUUACCUAGACUUUAGUUUUAUGCUUCCCAAAGAUAGUAAGUUUAGUUUUAGUAAUUCCUGGAAGAACUCUAGUAUAAAAGCUAGGUACUUGUAAGUAAGCAAACAGAGCAACUAUUCAUCAUUUCCAUCAUGCAUAUUUUUGGUCUUUUUAUUUUUUCUAGAGAUUCAACUUAGCAGAAAAAUAAAGCACACUUAUCUACACACUCUUUUUAUUUUGUUUUCAUGUUUAUAAAGUGCAGUAAAUUAAAGCAAGAAAAAUAUUUAUUUGGUUUUCUAAAUUUUCCUUUUAAGGUAAAUUAAAUACUAGAAUAGAAAUAAAUAAGAAGAGCAAAUAAAAACUUACUUGAUAAAUUUAGGGAGGAACUCCCCCAAGCUGGAUGUUGCCGUCGGUCUUACCCGAUGUUCCAGAACCGCAUCAUGGUUGUGAUGUUGUCGUUCAUUGUUGUUGUCUCUUGUCUCAGCUCUUCUACUGCAGCGGCAUGGUCCUGGUUCCAUUUUUGUUGCUCUUCCAGGAGUCUUCCAUGUUCUGCUUGCGUGUUCUGGAUGUCGAGGAGGGUGUUGUCGGUACGAGUGAAGAAAGCACCGGCCUCUUGAUAGUAGUCAUUCGUAAAAGCGUAGGAGGCUUCGGAGUAUCGUCCUGCAUCAAAUUGGGGCAGAGGUCUGGAUCCUGAAGCUCCAUAUGGAUCAGUGGAAUACCUGCCCGUAUGAAAAGGCGGGUUUGUCCACUGGUGAUCUUGGCUCUCCGGCCAUGUCUCUUCUGUUGGCUCUUGUGGUUGCGCAUGACGAGCCCAAGGGUCUCGAAGGACUCGUGGAUUGUGAUCGCAAUAAUGCAGGUGCGCUGCUUCUUCUGGUCCAGGGUCACCUCCAUACCAAGUGCGUUCUCGGUGAGUGGUUAUCCUUUCAGAUGCCACUCGCUGUGGAGUUCUCUGGUUCACUGGUGUUGCUGCAAUCUCAAUCAAAAAGUUUUGCACAGAGUAGAGGCCAAGGUUCGGGUUAGGUAGCCGAAUCUUGCCUUUAUCAUCAUACAGCAUAUACAUUAUAUUCCCCUCUUUCUUUAACAUCCGAGCUUGUCUAAAUGUGCCAUAGCCAUGAUAAAUUCUUAACUCUUCUAUGAAGUCCAACGAUGAGUUUUCUAGUAAGUGAAGAUUAGUGGCUAGACGAGUGAUAAGUGAAGUACAUCCUACUGGUCCCUGAAGACUAGGUAUACUAAGCCAAUGUGAAACUAAUAAUGUAACAGGUGAAGUAGGUACUUUACUAAUAGCAACAUAUAAAAGUUGUAAAUCUCCUACUCUUACUUUCCUAAUAUCGUCACGAUAGAAAAGAUUGUACCCAAGCCAUUUGUGGAACAUCCUAAGAGUGGGGUGUUCCAUGUCACUGGUUCGGGCUUGACUAUAAAAAUUAUCUCUAGAUAUUUCUCUCCAAAACUGGUGUCUCUCAAAAUUGGGUAAAUCGGAGUCAAUGUUCAGGAUGCAUCUUGAAGAGAAACCAAGAUGGUCGCUCAGCUCUCUCCAAGAUAACAUAAUUUCCGAUUUAAACAUCCGAAAAACAAUUCCCCCCUCAUAAUAUUGUAAGGUGCAAAGAAAUUCGAGGGUGAGAAGACGAGAACCCAGCUCAGUUAUAUUCCAAAAAUUUGUCCAACCCAUCAUCUGAAAAAUUAAGUCAAAUUCAGUGUCCAUACCUAUUUCUCGUAGUAGGAUUGGAUCGAUAGUAGGGGUGUGAAUGAAAUCUUUGUUCUUCAAUUGCUGAUAGACUUCCUUCUCUCUUCGGGUCUUCAGUCCAAGGUCUCCUAUCUUGAGAAGGACCUUAACUUGCUGACCUGAUGAAGAUGAUGGAGCUUGUGUGGGUGUCGGGUCGACGCUCAUCUCUGAUGGCUGUGAGGAGUGUCGGGCGGAACUCCUUGUACCAAUGUUCUUGAGAGCCUUCCCUGCAUUCUUCACCUUCUUAAACAUCCUGCAAACAAAAGUUGGCAAAAACACAACUGGUGGAAAAUGUGAGAUAAAAUGUUAGUGGUCAGCUGUCUGGAGUGUCAGUAGUCCAGGGGUUAAUCGUUCAAGUCAAGUUUCUAUUUUGGUAGAGCCUCCCCCUAAACAACUUUUACUUCCGCAUGGACAGCGGGAACACUAUUUGCUAAGUGACAAUUACUUUCUCAAAAGAACUCCAACCUUCUCUUCCACUCUCCUCUUUCUCUCUACUCUCUUCUCUUUACUACAAGAACUCCUUCUCGGGAAACUGAGACCUGUGUGGUUUUCUGGUGUGUGUGUGUGAAGAGAAGGAGAGCUGGAGGUGGCCUUUUAUAAGCUGAGCAGGGGACAGGGCGGGCGCCCAAGGUAGGUGGGCGGGCGCCCACCCCUGGUGUCCAUCCUGGGUGUGCCUCCUCCACAUGCUUCCUUGCUUUGAUCUCACGCAGAAUAAUGUUGUGUUGGUGGUGGUUGGACGGUGGAAAGAUGUCAAGUGAGUGGAAACAUAUUGGUGGAUGAAAUUAUGUGAUGGGAUAUAUGUGAGGUGAAGUGUAUGACAUGUGGGACCCAAAGAGUGUGGGUCAUGCUUCUAGAAGAUUUAUAUGAUUAAAUAUAAUGCAGGAAAAUCUAUGAGAAUCGAAACUUAUUGAAAAUGAUAUUGGAAAAUAUUUUUGUGCCCCCACAAUAAUUAAUAAAUAUGGGUUGUUACACACCACAAAUAUUAUUUAUCUGGGGCUUUUUUGAUUAUUAUAAUAAUGCUAUGAAUAAAUGUGACUAAUGCAAGAUUUAAUUAUGCAAGAAAUUAAAUAUGAGAAAAAUAAUAAUGCGGGUAAAUACCGAUUUACCUCCCGGUGAGGGUUUGGGAUUUUUAGGUCCCCCAAGCUGGACCUCCAAAUCUUUUAAUCUUCUGAGUUUCCUUCCUCCGGAGAUGGUGUCUCCAGUGGUUCUUCAUGAACUUCCUUCACUGUAGAGUCUCUCUCUGGUCUGGGUUUGAAUGUGAAGUGUUCUUCUUGACCGUUUAUGUUGAACUUGAUUUCUCCUUUUCCGACAUCAAUGUGGGCAUUGGCAGUGCUCAGAAAUGGCCUUCCAAGGAUGAUGGAUACUUUUGAGUCAGGACUCAUGUCCAGUACUACGAAGUCUACUGGCACCAGGAAAUCUCUGAUCUUGACUGGAAUGUUCUCGGCGAUGCCCAGCGGGUGUCGAACCGAUUGAUCCGCUAGUUGCAAACACAUUGAUGUUGGUUCUAAGGUUGCAUGAUCAAGCUUUUUGUAGACUGAUGCUGGCAUCACACUGACACUUGCUCCGAGAUCACAAAGUGCAUUGUUGAAGUGUUGGUUUCCGAUCGAGCAGUCAAUAGUGGGGCAUCCUGGAUCUUCCUUCUUCUUUGGUGGCUUAUUGAGGAUGGCCGCACUACAUUCUUCUGUCAGUUUGAUAACCUCAGUGGUGGGCAGUGGUCUCUUCUUGUUAAGAAUAUCUCUGAUGUACUUUGCAUAUGUAGGUACCUGUAUGGCAUCGAGCAGAGGUAUGUUGACAUAUAAUUUCUGAAUGACCUCUACAAACUUACCAAACUGUUCAUCCGACUGCAGUCCUCUGUUUCUUCUGGGAAAUGGCAAAUAGUUGGUGUCGUAAAAAUCUUUACUCAUUUCUCCAGUUCUUGGUGGUUGGAGCAGAUCUUCUGCUUCAACUGGGCUUUCUUCUUCUAUCACUGCUGGUUGCACUGGUGCUGAUGUUCUUUGUUUGUCUUUUGGGUAUGGUGGAUCUCUGGUGGCUUUGCCUCCUCUAGUAGUUAUAUUCUUUACCUGCUCAAUGUUAGUAGCAACAGGCAGUGCAACAGCUAAUUUUAUUAAUUUAAGCUCUACCCUUUUAUUAAGAGUGUUUUGCUCAUCAAAGGCAGUUAGUAGAAAAUCCAUUUUAUUGUGUAUAUCUUUUAGAGAUGAUUCAUUUGUAUCUAGCCUUUGUUUAACUUCAUCAUUAAUUUUGGUUUGUUGAGCAAUUAUCUCUUUUAAUGAAAGUUGCUUGAAAGUAUUACCUGAAUUCAUACCUUUGCUAUUGGGUUGACUUGAAGUUGGUUGAUAUUUGUAUGCUGUCUCAAUGGCCCUUUGAUCUUCUUUGAACUUGGCCCUAUGGUCAAUCCAAUGGAGCAAAUUUUCCAUUUUAGUUGAUAAUGCAUUUACUUCUUCUGGUAUUUCUUCAGUUUGAUGACAUUGUUGAGCUUUAUCUUGGAACCAGCUUUGGUUUUCUGCUAUCUUAUCCAAAAGUAUCUCUGCUUUUCUAGUUGUAAGCUCCAAGAAUGAUCCUUUAGCAGAUGCAUCUAGGCACUCACGAGCCUUCUGGGUUAAUCCAUGGUAGAAGGUCUGUAUAAGUAACCAUGUGGCCAUUCCAUGGUGAGGACAAUCUGAUAUGUAUCCUUGAAAACGCUCCCAUGCUUCUGAAAUGGCUUCUGUCUUCUGCUGUUGGAAACUGACAAUAUUUCCUCUUAAGGCAGUUGUUUUGCCUAUAGGGAAAAACUUUGAUAGAAAGGCAUCUGACAAGUUCGUCCAGUUGUUGAUGUUAUCUUGAUGUGUGUAAAACCACUUCCUCGCUUUCCCUUCUAGUGAGAAUGGAAAAAGGCGAAGUAGUAUGACGUCUUUGUCAACUCCGUUGAUGUGGAUUGUGCUUCCAAUCUCUAAGAAAUUCUGCAAGUGUGCACUGGCAUCUUCAUGUGCCUUUCCACUGAAUUGUGUAGCUUGCACCAAAUUGAUGAGGCUUGACUUGAGUUCAAACUCAGGUAUUCCUUCUUCUACUGCAAAUCUUGGUCCAGUUGGAAUGUUGUCAAGACUUGGAGCAGAGAAUUCUUGCAAGGUCUUUUGUGCCAUAGCUUCAGCAAUUGGUAGCUAGCUUCUUCUUCUCUUGAUUGCUUUGGUUCUGAUGAUGGAGAGUUGAAUGUACCCAAAGUCAAUCCUGUUAUACCCUGUAUAAAAAUAUAAACAUAGAAAAACAACAGGGUGAACCUGCCAAAGCAGAGGUGCCUUGUUAUGAUUUCUCACUUAGUAGCUGUUUUAUGCAAUUAUUUCUCUAUAGUCUAGUCUAAUAUUUUAUAUGAAUAACCUUGAUUGAUUUUCUGGCUUUCCUUAAUAUUACCCUUUUGUUCCCUUUUAUGACUUAUUCCUGAGACUCGUAUAAUUCCUAUAAGAUCCUAUAAAUUCCUAUAAUUCCCCGACAACGGCGCCAGAAAUGCUUGUUGACACUAGCUAACACCACUUAGAUACUAGGCUGUCAUCCCUAGCAUGGCGCCAGAGUGUACAAAGGUAUUUAUAAAUGUAAAGGCUCUCUAGAAAAUAAUCUAUUCUAUCCGCAAGCGCACAGAUAAAACACCUCAGUGUAGCAUUUCACCAGGAUAAGUAUUCCAGUUAUCGUUAUUUAUAAUUUUGCUCUAGGGAUCUAAAGAAGAUGGAAUUAAAUCAAGGGACAAAAUCUAUCAAGGCAUAGAUUAGAGAUAAACUUGCAAGAACAUGAUUACUAAUGAGAAACUCGUCACACAGUCACUUACUUUAGCAGGGGGUAAACCAUAAAGAUAAUGAUAAUAAAGUAUAAGUUCAUGGGAUAAAGAGCACAACGAUUAGAAAAUAGACUACUCCUCAUAUAUGUAGGUGAUGUCGGAUUAGCUAGAGAAUGGAUUCCAAGUUAUCUACUAACUACUAAGUCAUAAUCUAGUCUAGUUAUCUACAGGAUCAUAUAUAGCAUAAAAGACUCUUCAUUCAUGUAUAAGGAACAUUGAUAAAGUAAAUCAGAACAUCGCAUGACUUACUCCACAAUACCGGUUCUGCCUGUCCUAUCAAUGGAGGGUGGACUAUAUAAGAAUCAACGAAGCUGUCACUAUCGCGAACUACCACACGACUCGGCCAAUAGGAUACAUUUGCAGAUAAAUAACAUCUAAGCACCACGCUCACAUGUGAUCUAUCACCUAACUCCCUCGCGACAAGAGCUAAGCGUUUUGCAAACUUAUACAUAAACUCAUUAUCCAUUAGAACUAUAUCAAAUAUAGAACUAGAGCAAACUAAGAACAUAAUAAUUAGAGACAUAAUGCAAUUAGAACAAUAGAAUUAGAGAAAGAUAUGAAUAAUACCAAUCUUUAUUACCGAAGAUCCGAAUCCAGAGCGUAGUGCUCUACUUCUCUAAUUGCUAUCUAAUCAAACCUCUAAACUUGAAGGAUUAGGGAGUAGCUAAUUCUAAUUCUCUGUGAGAGAGAGAUCUAAACCCUAACUUUGAUGGCUACCUCUGAAUAAUGAUUUCUCCUCUCUCCUCCAGGGGCCAGGGGGUCUGGUUUUAUAGUCCCCUCAAGUGAACGUGAGCCAUUGGAUCAAACCGACAUAGAUUGUAUGGUUUAGAUUGAUCCUUUAGGUCGGUGGAGCGUAGUCCCAAAGCAGAGUCCUGAUUGGCUUCCUGGCCAGGGCGGGCGCCCAAGGGGGGUGGGCGGCCGCCCAGCUCCCGAGCCCGAAUCGCGUCCCGUUCGUUCCCGUGGCUUCUAGAUCCUUCUAGAUUGAGGAAAAUUGCGCGGCACGUAAUUAUCUCGUUGUAAACAUGACAUGUGGGCCUUCUCUCCAUAUUUUCUGAUAAACCCCUGCAGAAAUAGAUAAACACCAAAACUCGUGGAAUUCUGUCAUAUAAAACCCUAAUUCUAGAUGUUUGUUUCAUAUUGAUCCUUUUCUAUGUUUAUUUGAUUAUUAAUUUUAGUACUUAAGGACCGUCAACAAUGCUCAUAAGCAGUAAAAAGUAAAUGUUUGGCUCAAAGUCUAAUAAGCAUGUAUAUUUGGCUGUGGUAGGAUUUUAAACUCUCAUCAUAUAGGAACUCAUCAUGUGUUAUUUUAAAGAUUUUCAAAGAUUAAAUUCUCCAGAAUUCUAGCAUCUCUAGGAACAGAUAAACAGUAGCUCAACCUUCCCAUAUCAUAUCCGUUAACAACUUAGACUUUAGAUCAAAUACUUUUCCCACAAGUUCAGGUUUAGAGCAAGCUUUAAAUUAUAACAGUUAUGCCUAAACUUGAGAGAGAUUUCAAUUUUAAGAACUAUUCACGGCAGAGCAACUAUUCAUCAUUUCCAUGUGAGAGUUUAUCAUGAGGGUUCUUAGCAAACUUUAUUUAUUUAUUUAGCAAACUAAGCAAAGAUAUAUAUAUAAAAGCACAAAAUCUUUAUUUGGGUUUUCAUGAUUAUGUAUCUUUUAUUAUUUGAGUAAAGUAUAAACGCGAGUAGAAACACUUAGCUGGAUAAAUGGGGGUGCUCUCCCCCAAGCUGGAUUUUGAUGUAAUUUCUUCUGAUGUAGCUAGCAGGUGAUGGAGGUGUAUUUGAAAGUCGGCAGCACCCUGACAACGAUUAGGAUGUCCUCCGUCUGCUUGUCUUUUUUUUAUCCUUGAAUCCUGUGGAGCUCAAAUAGACAACAAAGCUUUGUGGAACUGGUUAAGUGUGAGCAUAAAUAUCUAGCCUUUAUCAUGUUGAGCCUCCUCAAUAAAUAUUACUUAUUUAGCAGGAUCAUGCACUUAUUAUUUUUAUAUUUUUAUUUUAAGAUGAAAACUUAUUUAUUUUAUUUCUACGCCACCACAGUGAAUGUACUUAUGGGUUUUAUAUCAUUAGCAUACUCACAUGGGGCUUACUAUUUUUUUAACAUUUUUAUUUUCUUUUCAAGAUAGCAUGAACCUGAUUAGCUAAGCAAACUAUUGAAUGGAAAAAGAUAACUACCAAGUUUACUUGGCAAGGCGUUCGGUAUUUUUAAGUCCUCCGAACGGGACUCUCCAUUUUCUCAGUCGUCCUGGGAUUCGCUGGAUGGCGUAGUCGGUGGUUCCGGCGGCGUCUCCUCUUCGUUUAUAACUAUCUUUUCUCUACACACCUAUCUCGGUGCUACGGUCUCCUCAGGACAGUUCUGUUCAAGUUGUAUGUCUUCAGACCUUAUCACUUCUCCUUCGUAGUCUACCCAUCCGUCCUUAAUGAUUUGCCUCCUCUAGUUGCGGUUGCGUUGUCUUCUUCUUGUCCUGACCUGCUUAGAAUCUUCAACUAUAUAGUUAGAAUCAUUAAAGUAGUGGCGUACCUUCUCAAAGGAGAAGUGCAUGUGGACUUCUUCGGUUUCAAUAUAGAUAAUGGCUUUGAUAUUGCUGAGGAACGGUCUUCCAAGGAUGGUGGGUGGAUCGUACUCGUUUCUCCCAUGUCAAUGACCUAAAAAUCAUCUGGAGCUGAAUGUAUAUUGGUUGUAGGGGCAUGGUUUCAUGCAGGAGCUGAUAAGUGACUGCGGCCAUUAUGUUGUCGUCAGAUCCGGUGUCGUAGAGUGUCUUCUGAAAAGAGUAUCAAUUGAUUGUGCACUCGAUGCUUGGAACACCAGGGUCGUCCUUCUUGAUCAGGAAAGGUGACUUGAGUCGACGAUCUUGACCUCUUUGAACUGCAGUGACCAUCUUAGCUGACUCGGUCCACAUUUGCUUGUUCAUGUUCCUCCUGUUGGUCUUCUUCCUUGGUUCGUGUCGAGAUUGCUCUGAAAUUUGUGUAGUCUUGUUCUUGAAGGAAAGUCUCCUUCUUCCCCUUGAUGUAGAAACUGAUCUUGGCAGCAUUAACGUAAAUGACAGCUCUGGUGUUUAGGAAUGGCCUCCCUAAGAUGAUGGGUGCCCCUCCUCACUACCAGUCUCUAUCACCAUGAAGUCUGCUAGAGCGUACAAGGUACCAACUCGGACGCAGAGGUUCUUCAAUAUUUCCUUUGGGAAACUGAGUGUCCGAUCUGCAACCCUAGGCAUAAUGUUGACGCUGGAGCCAAAGUCGCAGAGUGCUUCUGGGAAGUCCACCAUGCCGAUGGAGAUCGGGAUGACGGGGCGUCCUGGAUCACCUCUCUGAGUAGUUAGGCCUCUGUUGAUUCCAACCUUGAUUUUGUUGAGGGCGGUUGUAGUAGUAGUUGUUAUUGUUGUUGUUGAUGUAGUUUACGUCCUCAAGCAUCUCAGGGCAGUGAUUGCCUGAGUGUCUAGUAUCUCCAGUGUGUUUGUGCUCGUAGAUCCUGGUUCUUCACUUGGUGGAGUCUGGGAGUUGUAAAACUCCUUCAUAUUAUGCUCGAAGUGUUCCUGCUCAUAGAGACAAGGCAGAGAUCAAGUGCAUGGGCCUUGUUGUGGAAAACACCAACAGAACCAAAAGUGUAUUUGUUCUUCUCUAACCUUAAGCAUAGUGAGCAAGACAAAGUUGAUGGAUCAUGAGUGUAGCAUUUGUCAGAUCAGAUGGCUCAACCUAAUGGAAAGAUAAUCUAUCUAUAUUUAUGUUCUGUUUAUAUCUUCCAAAGAUUGAAUGUGCAACAUAUUAGCUUAUAUGAUUAGGAGUGUGGGAUCACGAAGGUAGUACUAAGAACAAAGAUUAAAGAGCUAAACAUGUUGAAUUAAUUAGGUUGGUUAAUUUAGAGUUAUAAAUCAUACAUGUUUGUCUCUUUAUUUAUGUAAAUGCCAGAACCAAGGAGAAACUUAUAAAAGCGAUAGUCACGUACCUUAAGAUGUUACCUUACUUGAAGAGUGAUGGUAUAGUAUCACCUUGUGGAAGCUUUCCUUUCUUAGCGGUUGUGCAUCGUGUUUGUGGCACCCUCCAUGGAUCAUCUCUUUAUGAUGAAUGAGCUAUGUCUUCCUUGUGCAAGUUGUUAAAUUUCAUGUGUCUCCUUUAUCUCCAAUGAGCUUGUAGCUCAGGACUUCCUAGGUUAAUAUUGAAAGUUUUCCUGCAGGGGUUAGUCCGACAAAAUAUACCAAUGCCUACUCAAGCAGUUUUAGUUCAGUAACCAAACUAGACUCCAUGUCUAAUCAGAUUAAGGAAGGCUAUUUAACCUAAGCACCAUGCUUAAUUUAAAUGCCAAUGGAAUUAUGUCGAGUACUUCCAAACCAACACUUGCUAGUAAAUAGAUAAAGGUAGCAUGACAGCAUUUAUAGAGAUCUACUCAAGUGGAGAUGAAGUAGUGUGAUUAGUACUUAACAAAUUGAGCAUGUCUCAAAGGUAGGGACAACCAACAUAGCAACAUGGCAAAGGAUGAUUUUAUGUCAAGUACUCCCCCAAGCUUGAAUUUUGCGAAAUUCAAGUUUGGAUGAAUUUAAUUCAAUGUUGUAUGAUGGUUGGAUGGACAUACCUUGUGCUUGUCAUUCAUCCGAUCUUCUUGCUCCAAUCCUAGAAAGGUUAGUGACAAGACCCGAAGGAAUAUUUUUACAAUUAUCCUUAUAUGCUCAAUACACCAGGCAAUGUUGUAAAUACUUAGAAGUUCAUGUUACGAUCUGAUAAGUGCUUUUUUUGGACACUAAGCUUGUCCUUGGGAAACCAUCAAUUAACUCAACGAGAUCUGCAAUAUUUAUUAUAGACAUAUGCAUCGACAACCGCUCUUUUAAAGUUGUUAUAAAUAGAAAGGAAGAGGGGGUUGGAGAUCUCAAAUGUGGUGAUGUUGGAGAGACCAAUUGAUUGGGGAGAUGUUUUAUAUGAGCAAGGACUUGAUGAGGUAUUUAUGAAAUAACUUCCAUGCUCAAUGUUGUUUCUCUCAUUCUCAAACUCCAAGGAUGAUUCUUCAUGAAUGCUUAAAAUUCCUCUAGGAUUGUCUCUCAAGUUUGUUUUAUCUAUCCAUUCAAUGGUGAUAGCACAUGGAUUUUUAAUGCCCUCUAGCCAUUGAUGUUGCUCUUCUCGAUCCUCCUUGUGGUCUUGGUUACUCUUAUGAAUGGGAUGUCUAGAGAGAUUCAUAGGAUUAUUGGGAGGUUCAAUAGAAAGAGCAUAGUAGAAACUAUUAAGCUCAAGGAUGGGAUGGAUAGCCGAAUCAUGGGAUUGAAAUGUUUGGAAAUUGGCUAUUGAAACUUUCUUUCCUUGUCUGGGAGAUGAUUCCUUCUCUAUCUCUAAGAUUUUCUAUGAAGAGUAGUAUAAGAAGGAUGUCCACAAAUGAAGACAUACCUUCCAUUACUAAUAGAUAAAGAAAGAAAGACUCUACCAAAGGGUAUAUGAUUAAGACCAAUGUGAAAAUAUCGAGGAAAAACAUGGUCUUGUAGGGCUAGGUUUAAACCAAAAUUUAUAGAAAGAUUAAAAUAUUCCCUAGGUGUAGCUAAAAGUGCAUUAUCUUCUUGAUUAAAAGAUAGGACCUCGGCUAUAGAAAAGGGUUGGUUUUGACCUAUUGCAAUCAACUCCAAACUCAGAUCAUAAUUAGGGGCAGGACUUGUUGACUCCCAUGGUCUAUGGCUGGUCUCCGAAGGUGCAAAGAAUUCAAUAAUAGCAGGUAUUGAAUUUAAGUUAUCCAUAAAGAUAAAAAAAUAAAGGAAUAAAAGUAUAAAAGUAUAAUACAAGAUAAUAGCAAGACUCAAAGUUAUCUCAGCAAACCGUCUUUCUCCCUGGCAACGGCGCCAGAAAUGCUUGUUGAUAUUUGGUAAUGCAAUAAGGAAAUGAUCCGCAAGCGCACGGAUAUCGGUGAGCAUUUCACCCGGGAGGGUUUCCAGAGUAUCAUAUUUAUAUUUUUACCACUGGGAGAAAGGGUGCAUCUGACUAACCAAAUCUAUUGCUACUAUCCCUUUAGGCUACAAAGAAUGUUUCUCGAUGUGAGUGAUGUACAGAGAAGACUGCAACCGUAGUCUCGUUCUAACCUUGGUAAGGAUGAUCUACUGUUCUAUUGGGGAAGCUUACGGAAUCUAGACACCACAAAGGAUGUUCGACCCGCACCUAUAAACCUACCCGUCCUGCUAACGAGAUGUGGGAUGCAAAGGUAACUCGAAAAUUUCACGUUCCUCGCUACUACCACGGUCCAGCUAGUCAGGGGAUAUCUAUGAGUACCCUAGCCUAAACACCACGUUUACGCUAGCAAUGAUUACUCUAAUACUCAACCGGAAGAGGAUUAAAGUAAACUCAUAAACCAAAGAACAAUAAAACAAGAACUUACUAGAAUUAGAAGUCGAAUUACUGAAGAAUCUUAGGAGCAAGCCUCGGGUUAGAAGACUUGAUCCCGCAGGUACAACUCGGAGUAGACACCGACAGGCCGGCCUUCCUCUGAUCUACACCUCCACUUUACAUUGGAUCUAUUUCUACUAGUAGAAACUAGAAGAUCUAUUUCUACUUUACAUUGGAUGCUAAGCCUAAAAAGAAAUAUUAUUUAGAGAAGAGGUUUUCCUUCGAGGGCACCCCUCAAUCUCUAUGAUAACUUCUUAUCUUCUCCAGGGGCUAGGGGGGUCUCCUUAUAUAGUCCUCCUCCUCUAUGCGUUUUUGGGUCGGUAGGCGAUGUGGUACUACGUUAUCCUUGAUCCUUUAGGUCGGUGGAACAUUGUGUGCGAAGAGAGUCCCGAACGGAGUCCAGGACAGGGCGGGCGCCCAGGGAAGGAGGGCGGGCACCCUGGGCCUGGCCCCUUUCGGCCUCUGCUUUCUCCCCGUGGCUUCUGGAGUCUUCUAGAUGGUAGAAAAUUGCGCGGUGCGUUGAUAUCUCUAUGUAAUCCCGACAUGUGGGCCAUUCUUCCGUAUUUCCUGAUAACCCCCUGCAGAAAUAGACAAACACCAAAACUCGUUGAAUUCUGUCAGAUAAAACCCUAAGUCUAGGUGUUGGUUGCAUUUGGAUCCUUUUCGUUAUUUAUUUGAUGAUUAUAUUUGGUACUUAAGGACCGUCAAUAGCUUCCACGACUGUCGUCUCGUCGAGGAGGCUGGUCGGCACCUCUCGCAUCCUCUCGGAUGAGCUUUUCUGCGUCAUCAGCGUCAGCGUAGUUUUUUGCCAUGGCGAGGAGCUCGGCCACCGGUGGUCGGCCUUUUGCGCAGUAGCUUAUUCCUUAGUGCUUCGUGGAAGCGUAGCCCUUUGAUGAAGGCUGAUAUGGCCUUGUCGUGAGAGAUUUUUGGAAUCUUAUGGCGCAUAUCCGAGAAUCGUCGGAUGUAAUCACGCAAAGGCUCGUUCUUCCUGUCCCUUAUUCUCUCGAGAUCGUAUUUGUUCCCAGGCUGCUCGCAGGUAGCAAUAUAAUUGUCUAUAAAUGCCUGGCGCAGUUCUUCCCAAGAGUCAAAGGAGUCCUCGAGCAGGCCGAGGAGCCACUGAUGGCCAGCCUGGUCAAGGACGACUGGGAAGUAAUUUGCCGUGAUGUGCUCGUCUCCUGCUACUGAUCGAACUGCGAUCUCGUAGAGAGUGACCAGUUUUUGGGGUUUUCCUUGCCGUCGUAUUUUUUAAGCUUUUCGAGCUUAAAGUUGCGGGGCCAUACGACUUGGCGAAGGUGUGAAGAAAACUGUCUUAGGCCGGGAGGGCCGUGUGCGGCAUCGUACUCAAUGCGUCGCAAGUUUUCGUGUACUGCUCUUUCUAUAGCACGCCUAUUGAUACGGUCGCAGGCGUCCUUGGGAGGGAUGUUGUAUCGUAGAUCCCUGUCCUAGUUUACUUCCUGACCACGCCCGCGCUUUUGCUCGUGGUAGCCGCCGGUGUCCCGACCACGGUUGUCGCGCCCCGUGUCCUUCCUGCGGUUAUUGGGAGAGCAGCUAUGAUGGCGCUCGCUGGGUCGUGGUGAAGUCCUGCUGGGAUGAGUCUGGUCGGAAGAGACCUCUAUGUAGGAGACGGCUUGGACCCUUUUGAGUAAGGUGGCUGUUUGUCCCAUCGCGGCGAUCAGGUGCGCGCGUAUACUAGAUCGGACGCUCUGGCACUCAGGGGUAUCAGGGAGUCGGUCCAGGUUUGCCAUAGCAACAACCACGUUAGCGCUUGGCGUCUUGUAGAUUGGCGGGUCUCCGACCAUGUCGAAAGCAUCACUGAGGUUAUGCGGUGCAAGUUGUCGUUCCUCAUCCGUGCGCCGCCGAGCACGAUCGGCAUUGCGUUGUUUGCGGAGCUGCUUCUACUCGUCUGUUUCUCCGUCGACAACCGGUUCAUCGUUGCUGACAUUGAGGAUAAGAUCUCCUCGCCGAUGUGGACAGACUGGGAAACGAGAAAAACCCGGAGGAUACGGUGGUAAAUCUAGGUCGUAAUCUUCGUCCUCGGAGUUUAGAACCUCGGUAGGGACAGACCCUGUGCUGGAGUUCAUACUAGUAGCCUUGUCGUUCGGUAGUACUUGGAUUGAUACCAUGUUGACGUAGUGGCGAGCUACUCGGCUGCUCUAUCUCGGCGACCAGCCCGCCCUGUUGAAAAGGGAUUGGGUAUGCCGUGAGUAGUGAUCGGCCGAUUUGUUUAGUCCAUAAGGAGGACUCUGGUCUUGAGCUGUCUUGAGCUUGACGGACCGCCCCAUGGGGGUGGACGUUGUUGUUAGAGACGUCCCUAGCUGUUCGUGUGUGUUGACACGAGUUGGCCGGCAGGAGUCGAAAGAGUUUGUGGACGCUGCUUGAUUAGAUUGGCACGAGAUCCAAUCUACCAGUUUGGAAGCUUCGAGGAGCCUGAGAUCGGCGCGAUCAAGAGCUCGGAAAAGAUCCGAGUCAUCGACCUUUUUUCUCCUGUAACGAGGGAGCGGAGGUCGGGUGCUCGGUGUCGGCGUGGUCGGAAUCGACACCUCUGCUGUCCCAGAUCGGAUCUAGGUUUCUUCCGAAGUCGUGGUCGUGAGACCGCCGCUAUGAGUUGUCCAUGUGAUCUGGCCGACGGUGAACGUGAGGCCUUCAGCCACGGCCGCGGAAGCUAGAACGAUGACCAUCUUGUUCGUCGGGAGAGUUGUACGCACACCCCUACCUAGCGCGCCACUGUCGACGAAAGCUAGUCGGCAGUCUACCUUGGGGUAUACCCACGGUAGUAGUUUAUCGGUAGAUGGUGCGCAAGCUACGAACUCGAUGGUGACGCAAGACACGGACAAGGUUUUUAUCCAGGUUCGGCCGCCGUGUGGGCGUAAUACCUACAUCCUGCAUCUGGUUGUAUUGCUGUAGAUUGUGUUCAGUUGAGAUGAGUUAUCUAUGGGGGGUCCCUUGCCUCUCUUUAUAUAGUUCAGAGGGCAGGGUUACAGAUCUGGAAACUAAUCUUAAUCUUAGUCGGUUACAAUUGUCAUAGAUAGCACGAUAUCAAUUCCUAUUCUAACCGACUAGAAUCCUGUUCGAUCUCCACAUCUUGUUUCCUUGCGUGAGACUCCGAGCAGUUGGAUCAAGCCCUGAGUCUGCCUCGUGUUGGACCAAGUCUCCUGGCCCAAGUCUAGCCGUAAGGGUAUAGGGGUUUAUACCCCCACAAUCGGGUCUUAGUAACCACCAGUUUCCCUGUGGGGGACAUUUUGUGCAACAAAGACGCCAACGGCAGAAUCAUAAAAUGGGCAAUGUAAUUAUGCCCAUUCUCCUUGGAUUUCUAGAGUCACACUACCGUCAAGUCCCAGGCCCUGGUCGAUUUCAUUGCGGAAUGGACGGACCUCAACGAGCCCCCCCUUCGGAUACCUCCGACCACUGGUCAAUGUUCUUCGACGGGUCCCUAAACAUCAAUGGCGCCGGCGCCGAAAUACUCUUCGUGUCGCCUAACAAGGACAAACUACGCUACGUCCUUAGGAUCCUCUUUCCGGUAUCUAACAACGUCGCCGAAUACGAAGCAUGCCUACAUGGCACACGACUGGCUGUUGAACUAGGAGUCAAACGCCUUUACGUCCACGGUGACUCUGCCCUAGUCAUCAACUAGCUAAACAAGGAAUGGGACACAACCCACAAAAAGAUGGACCUCUACUGCAAAGAAAUUCGGAAAUGGGAAUCCAAUUUCUACGGCAUAGAAUACAUCCACGUCGUUGAUGGUAAACUUAUGCGAAAGAAUGCAAGCUCAGAAAUGUUGCUGAAGUGCAUAUCCCAAGAUGAUGGCAUCAAGCUCUUAGAUGACAUACACGCCAGGUCCUGCGGCAACCACGCUGCCUCUAGAACACUGGUCGGGAAGGCCUUACGAGUAGGUUUUUACUGGCCAACCGCGGUCGCCGAAGCCGAGAAACUGGUUCGACACUGUGAAGGAUGCCAGUUCUUUGCCAAGAGGACCCACGUGCCUGCUCACGAGAUUCAAACGAUUCUGUCGUCGAGGCCUUUCGCCUGUUGGGGCCUUGACAUGAUCGGGCCAUUUAAGCCGGCCCCCGGCAACUUCAAGUUCGUCUUCGUGCUAAUCGACAAAUUCUCGAAAUGGAUCGAGUACAUGCCACUGGUCAAAGCAACCUCCGAGAAGGCUGUGGAGUUCCUCAAUCAAAUCAUACACAGAUUCGGGAUCCCCAAUAGCAUAAUCACCGACCUCGGCACUCAGUUCACCGGCACUACAUUUUGGGACUUCUGCGAUAACAGGGGCAUAGUCAUAAAGUACGUGUCGGUAGCUCACCCACGGGCCAAUGGUCAAGUAGAGCGAGCGAAUGGAAUGAUUAUCGAUGCUCUAAAGAAAAGACUGUACACUGAAAAUGAUAGAGCACCAUGACGAUGGACGAAAGAGUUACCGGCUGUGGUCUAGGGUCUCCGGACACAGGCCAGCCGCAAUACGGGUGUAUCACCCUACUUCAUGGUUUACGGCACUGAAGCAGUGCUCCCUUCCGACGUGACCUUUGGAUCUCCAAGAGUCGAAAACUUUGACCAGUCUUCGGCCAACCUCACCAGAGAGCUCGAAAUCAACUGCACAGAAGAAAAGCGCCUAACCUCGUGCCUUCGGACAGCAAAGUAUCUCGAAGCUAUUAGACGGUACCACAACAGGAACGUCAAAGACCGCUCCUUCGUUGUCGGUGAUCUAGUACUCAAGUGGAAAACAAGCCAGGAAGGGAUGCACUAGUUAUCUACACCUUGGGAAGGACCCUUUAUGGUCGCCGAAGUCACAUGCCCUACGUUUUACAGACUGGCGUACCCAGACGGGACACGCUUGCCCAACUCCUAGCACAUAGACAAGCUGCGCCGUUUCUAUGCCUAAGUUCUAGUACAUUUUGUUUGUAAAUCUCUUACGAUCAGUAGUAAUAAAUUUUUUCUUUCUUGCUAUAUACUUCUUUUAUAUGCAGAACUUUCGACAAGUGCCACAAUCUCCUUUUAGGACGAAGGUCCUUAGGUGUUAUCAACCCGACUCAGUGAUACAUCACUUAGACAACAUUGCAGCGCUCAAAACCAUGGUUAUGAUAAAUCAACCUUUAAUACAAACUUUGUACACAAAGUUUACAAUAAACACCCCUCUGGGCGGUUUCUAGUCUACUUCUACAGACUACUUUACAGGCCUACUGCUCGGGCUGAUCACCCGCACGGCCCUGCUGUCCAGUCGAAGGGGUCGGGGCCACCGGCGUCUGGCUGGUCGAGACCGCAGGCGUCGACCGCCCAUCUCCUUCAAUGGACGCCCCCGACAACUCCCUGGCCGACCUGUCUGAUCCGGGCUGGUUAGGGGGAGUUGCUGUCCCACAGAGGUUGAUGUCGCCGAUCACUGUCGACGACAGAUCAAGCAGACCAACACGAAGGUCGUCUGCCUCCUGCGGACCAACCUCCUUGGGAUACCCCCUCUCCAGCCGGGACAAGUCGACCAAGGGGUAGUGGGCAUGCACCAAGGGGUAGUGGGCAUGCACCAGAUGUGACCUUGAGCUCUUAUAACAACGGCUUCGCCUCUUCCACUUCCUGCAUUUUUGGGAAGUGGGCGGAUACUGCGGCGGAUGCGGCGUUUCGGUUUUCAAUAAUUACCGUCAAUUAAUAUGGUGGCUUUUCUGCAUAAUUGGUCUUUUCCUUUUCUUGAACCACGCAAAGAGCGGCUGCACAGUUACCAGGCACACCUUUUUACGCAACAGUCUGACAAUGCCUCAGGAUGCCUUGUCACUUCACGCAUUAAUGUAGCAAGAUGAUUUUUCCAAAAGACAAGCGGAUCUGGUGGAGGACCGCGCAUGACAUACUCGGGGACUGGUCGACCAGCUCUCCCACUUGAAGUUCUGGGGAUUGUACCGACCACCGAGCAUUAUAUGCUCGGGGACUGGUCGACCAGCCUGCCCACUUGAUGUUCUGGGGACUGUACCGACCACCGAGCAUUAUAUGCUCGGGGACUGGUCGGCCAGCCUGCCCAUUUGAGAGUCUGGGGACUGUACCGACCACCGAGCAUUAUAUGCUCGGGGAUUGGUCGACCAGCCUGCCCAUUUGAGAGUCAGAGGACUGUACCGACCACCGAGCAUUAUAUGCUCGGGGACUAGUCGACCAGCCUGCCCAUUUGAGAGUCAGAGGACUGUACCGACCAUCGAGCAUUAUAUGCUCGGGGACUGGUCGACCAGUCUGCUCCAUCGCAGACGAGCGUGAUAUGCUCGGGGACUCGUAAAUUCAAUUGCAUAACUUUCAGCUUGGUAAUUUUAAUUUUUUAGACCUUGUUACAAGGCUCAUACUUCGCCUUCCAGCAAGCUCGGGGACUACAUCGGUACGAUGCAUCUGGUGAUGCAUGUUAGUAUCAGAAAUUUUAAGAUGAUUUUUAUUUUUAGACCCUGGCACCACGUGCCUACGUCACCUACUACUAGGCUCAGGGACUAAGUGAGCACACUUCACCUUGCGGUGAACAUGCUUGCUUUUUCAAAGUCUGUACUUUUUAGAAAAGUAAUGUGGGCACACUUCACCAGGAAAGAAAUCCUUUUUGUUAAGAGCACCAUGCAUUCUUCGAACAACCUGCUUCUUCGAUGUCAAUGUUGAUCAACUAUCUUUUAAGAUUGGUUAAAAUAUCGUUGCAACUUUUCGGGCGACUUUCCUCACUGGUCGAAGAAGCUCAAGACGGCGUGUUACAUCAUAAUACAUGGUGCUCGGGGACUAGCUGUGGGGGUAUAAACCCCUAUACCCUUACAGCUAGACUUGGGCCAGGAGGCUUGGCCCAUCACGAAGAUAACUCGAGGCAUGAUCCAACUGCUCGGACUCUCAUGCAAGGAAACGGGACGUGGAGACCAAGCAGGAUUCUAGUCGGUUAGAAUAGGAAUUGAUAUCGUACUAUCUAUGGCAAUUGUAACCGACUAGGAUUAGUUUCCAGAUCUGUAACCCUGCCCUCUGGACUAUAUAAGGAGAGGCAAGGGACCCCCCUAGGACAGAUUAUCUCAACACAAAUCAAUACAAUCAGACGCGGGACGUAGGUAUUACGCCCACACGGCGGCCGAACCUGGAUAAAAAGCUUGUCCGUGUCUUGCGUCACCUUCGAGAUCGUAGCUUGUGCACCGUCUACCGAUAAACUACUACCGUGGGUAUACCCCAAGGUAGAUUGCCGACUAGCUUUCGUCGACACCACCCGACAUAUGUAGAACCGAAUCUUCCUUAUGUCAACCCAAAUCUAGCUCUCCCAAGAUCUGACCGGGUUCGCGGCACCUGAGAGAACAGUACUCCACCGUCCAGCCCAUUUGCCAGGAGGGUACACGCUACUCUCGCCAUCACUUCACGCCCAGUGCGCGAGUAGCCAUUCUCGUCGAGGAAUCACAAGACCGGGCUUACCGAGGGCAAGUGGCUAGUACUAUAAAUUCUCAACCCAGCAGGCCAUCGACGGACCGGUCCUUAAUCGACACAGUUGGAGACACUACUUUAAGACUCUAUUCUUAAAGCAAGUCCACCGACCAGUCUCAAGUUGAAACAUCACUGACCAUAAAAGUAUUCCACAACAACCCUUCAAACUUUUCUUAUAUGAAAACCUAUCUAGUAGCAGGGCUAAGCAUCACUACGCAGUUUUAAAAUAAAAUAGGUGCCAAGGACAAGAUAACAAAUAUCAAGGUAGUAAAUGCAACAGGAAGGUUAUACCCAAUUCUUGUCUACGUAAUGCAGCAUUUUUAAUUCAUCUCCACUACUAUAUAAUGCACCACUUAAAACUUUCCUAAAUCCACACAGCAAACUACACCCCACAGUCAUUGUCUAAUCUAAGUACACCCAACUAAUGCACACAGUAAUGUCUAANNNNNNNNNNNNNNNNNNNNNNNNNNNNNNNNNNNNNNNNNNNNNNNNNNNNNNNNNNNNNNNNNNNNNNNNNNNNNNNNNNNNNNNNNNNNNNNNNNNNNNNNNNNNNNNNNNNNNNNNNNNNNNNNNNNNNNNNNNNNNNNNGCCACGGCGCCUCGGCCCGCGAGCGAGCCGCCACCAGGGGGGCUCUGGCCGCCACAGUCGUGGCUAGGGCGCCCCUGCCCGCUCCCGCCGCCGGCAGAGCGCCUCUGCCCACGACCGAUGCCGCCAGGGAGCCCCUGCCCGCGCUGCCAGGGCGCCCCUGCCCGCCACCGCCGCCGCCAGGGCACCCCUGCCCAUGACCGCCCCCGCCAGGGAGCCCCUGCCUGCGACCGCCGCCGCCAGGAUGCGCCUAGCCGAGGACGCCGACACCGGGGAACGCCGCCGCCAGGACGCCCCUACCCGCGAGCGCCGCCGCCAGGACGCGCCCAGCCGAGGACACUGACACCGGGGAGCGCCACCGCCGUCACAGGAGCAGGAAUUUCCAGCACUGUAGGUACAGGGUCUUCUCCUCCCCUCUCCGUUGCUGUGUCAUGCGAUUUGAUUCCGGCCGUUCACUUUUAUUUCUGGUAUCCUCAGAUUCCUGGUAUUAUGUGUCAUGUUGUUCUAUACUAUCCAUGUCUGCUAGAAACAAUCUCUGCCAGCAGGCUAUGGUUUUGUCAAAGUUGAGUAAGUAUUAGCAUCUCAGUCAUUAUAUAGACAAAAUUCAUCCAAUAGACAAAAUUAUAUGGGAUUUUGUUCUCCCAUGCUUGACCUGAUAGACUUGUAUCUGAUUUGCAUUUAGCAAAAAUAAGUCAUUAUAUAGACAAAAUUCAUCUGAUUGGCUUUUGAAAAAAUAUAUAAAGUCCUCUCUGAAUAGCAUGUAUGAGCGUGAUAACUGAACCAGUAGCAGUUAGUAAAUGUCUGUUAUCCUGUUAAUAACUCCUUUGUCUCUAAUGCAUCUCACGCAUUGCACACUGGACAUGAGGAGAUAGAACAGGCAAGUUUGCAGAAAGUAGGCCUUCAAGAAGAUGUCAGAACAGCAGGGGAUCCGCGACCGGAUCAUUCUCCGUCAGUUCACUCAGUGCCUUCAGGCCAUGGAGCUUGUAAUCCAGAGCUGUUUUUGUGAGGCUUAUCGUGAUUUCAGAAACGUCAAAAAUAUAGUUGGUACCUAUAUUUUUGGUUGCUGCUUUCUGGCGAGAUUUAUCUACUUGGGAGAAAUGUCGAGAACCGGAUUGUAUUUCAGUAAGUAUGUUUAAUGUUCUGUCAUCUAAGAACUCCAUAAGUGACUUAUCUCUAACGGUUAAUGCUGUAUGUUGUUUUUGUAUGUUGUGAAUAUUUUGUAUUCUAUCACUCUAACAGAAAUUUUGGGAGGCUAAUGGAAACUGCAAUUUAGCCAUUGCUGCAGCUAGGCUUGGGUAUAUGAAAAUUUUCUUCUUGAUGUGCUUCAAGUAGAGGGCAUUAAUGUUGCUGGAUUCAUUGAAAAUACCAAUGCUAUUGCAUGCAACCAGGUCUUUGAAACACUUCUAUGCUAGGUUCUUGGCAGGUUAAAACUUGCUUUUCUCGAACAAAAAUCUUAUUCAUGUUUCAAUUACAUUUACAAAAUUCAUGUCAGCCUAAUCCUUUAUUUUUGUUUAUUGUGCUUGGUCAUUUAUAUGUUUUGCUUUCUUUGCAAUGCCAGCCAUGCAGACUUCAGUGGAGGCCAGCUUUUCUUUCCUUUUUGAAAUGAAUUCGCGAAGAGAGCUGCGGACUAUAUUAAAUAAUGAAGAAUCUAGACCAAGCAAUACAACAGAGCUACAACAACGAGGACGACUGAAAGCAAUAAAACCUAGAAAACGGUUGGCAAUGGCAUCAUGUUGUAUUUUAAUGGCAUGCUGAAUCUCCUUUUAUCAUCUUUUUAGGAUAAUAAUCGUGGGAGGAGCGUUGCAAGGGGCCAGAACCAGGAUAGAAAACGGGGAUCGGCACAGAAAACAUGAAAGACAUCAGAGGUAUGCUCCUCAUGAACUACACUAGCUAUUUUUAUUUACUGAGUUUGUUGUUGAAUUAUUCAGAGUGUCCGCUCAACUGUGUGUCUAGCAUCGAUGUUGUUUCUGUGAAAUUAAGAAUUGUUUGUCAUCAAGGUCAAAAGAAUAGAGUUGAUUUAGCCCAAUCUGGUAGUAGACUUUGAUUUAUUGGUCUCUGAAAAUUUAAGCCAACAAUAACAUUUUGCACUAUUGUCAAGAUUUUUCAACAAUAAUAUUUCUGUUCUAAUUUGCAUAUACCUAAAUAUUACCAUAGCGUUAACACGGGCAAUAUACUAUGUAUAUAAAUAUAAUACAAAGUGGAUACCAGGUUUCUUGUUGAGACGAGGGAUGCAUUCAUGGUCCAGGUUCUUGAAAAGAACAAUGAUUCAGUUGUUUGGAGUAAAUUGGUGAAACUGAAAAAAUUGCUUCCUGUUGCCUUGGUUCAUUAAUGAAAAAUUCAAAAGUCUGAUUUGACAAGUAGUUGGGUCCUGUAACCUGCUUGUCACAUGAGCACUUAAUAUUUAAUAUAUGGAAUUGUCGUUAGAAGUUUUGAUGAAUAUAAAGGUUUUGAUAGUUGCAUCCAGAAUGGACCUUAAGUUAGUAAUGAUGCAUAAAAGGAUAUGCAGCUAAUGCUUGUCUCUUCUACUACUCACUUACAUGUUGUGAUCCUUCUGUACUAAAAUCCCCCCAUCCAACUUCUCACUUCUCACACUGGCUUGUUGAUCCUUUUGUAUAUUUCUUUGGUUGCAGCUCCAUAAAUAAAGUUGUGUUGGCAUUCAGGCAUAUUCUGAAAUUUAUGAGGAACUGAACCUUAAGAUCACUGGGUAGCCAUGUUGUGAAUUAUAAUCACUGUGUCUGUGUACCAUAAGCAUCUAUUCUCAACACGGAUACAACUAUUAUGAAUUUUCUUUGGGAUCUUGGAGCAGCAUGAUUCUAAUGUGAUCUCUAAUUCAACCUUUUUUCCCAAGAAAUUCUACCUAUAAGGUGCAUUGUGAUUUUGAACUAACAAGUUCAGACAAAGAUCAAGAAGAGACAGACUUAUGUCAUUUAAAUGUCAGUCCCUUUUUUAACGAACAAGCUCAAGGCCAUCCAUAUGAGUUUUUUUUGUAUAAAAGGUAUUGACAUAGAUAAAGUUGUUAGAUACUCUGCACCCACUAUCGCCAAAGUUCAUGCUUGAACCCUAUCCUCUUGAUUCCAGCCUAUUUUUUUUUCUGGUCUUGCUGUUUUUUUGUUUCUCUACUUAUUUUAACAUGUAGCUUUAAAAAUAUUCAGUUCAGUAGCUCUACGGGAUUUGUAGAAGCUAAGAAAUAACUUAUACUUUUGGAAUGAUGUUUGGACUCCCUGAACUGAUUUAACCAGUGGUUUUCAGUUUUUCUUCGGAAGCAGCAAACUCUAAGACCUGAGAUAAUUGAGAUGGAUGGUCCUUGAUCAUGCAAGGUUUGACUCUGGGUAACAUAGUGGAGUUGGCUCCGAAUUGGAUCAGUUCAUGUACUCAGCUAGGUGAAUGGAUGAAGCUGAGAGAGGCGGGUGCUGAAUCCACUCUAGGCAUGGUAGGCCAAGAUACGUACCUGGACUGAGGAUGACAAAUGUGCUUCGAGCUGCACCUACACACCAAUGUUGUCCCUAUAUUAUAAUAUAGUUCUUCUUUUGUUAUUUGACCGGAGGAGUCUAGGGACAUUGAUGAUACUUGAGGUAGGAUGUGCUUAGUUCAGUGCUAAGAAACAGCUUUGACAAAGCUCAGUAAGCUAAGUAUUUCAAAUUUGAUAGAAUUAACUUUGAAUUUAAUAUAAUCCGUAGCGUUAGCACGGGCAUUAUACUAGUAAGUGAUAAAAGAUUUAAAACAUUCAACGAAGGGUUAAAUGCAUCGGGGGCUUGCCUUGGUUGCAGAGCUGAGUGGGUUCUUCGGAGACUUCCCAAGUCUCGGAUCCUACUUCCUCGAAUGGAAUACCAUCCUCGGGGUUCGGUUCAAUGGUCGCUCCUUCGGUCACAUGCACUAUACGUAAAAUGAUGUAUGCUCAUGAUAUGCUUAUGACAAACAUAUAAGAAGGACCGAAUCGGGUACCACUUUUCUUCUCGGUGCAAGGACCGACGAAACAGUAAUUAAAGUUGUUUAUUAUUUUAGUGUUUUUACCUAAGAGAUUGCAUCAGUAAGCUAAGACUUCCCUUAAUUUACAAUUAUUCUUAAUUAACUAAUUAUUAAACAUUUUUAUCUUAAUUAAUUCUUAAUUAAGUAUUAAUGACAGUAAUUAAGCAUUAGUACCAAACAAUAAUUAAAUGCCAAAGGUCAUUAAGGUUAAUGACCUUAGGUCAUCAUACAAUCCCAAAAACACUCAAAUCCUAAUUUCAGAGAUUAAGCUAAUUAUUAGUUAAUUAUUUUGGGAUUAUUAAUAAAUUACUAAUUAAGGGUAUAUUAAUAUUUUAUUCAAACAUUAUCCAAAUUCCACCAAAUUUUGUGUAUAGCUAGAGAAUAAUAUUCAGAGACAUCCCACAAAUUUUGGUGAUUUUUGGGCAUAUCAAUAAAGUACUAAAAUUCAUGGAAGUUUUAUUUACUAAAUAAGGAUACAAUUUUUAUAUAUAUGUAAAAUACCAGAAAAUGUAACCUAGCAUUUUUCCUAUGUUCUACUCAUCUUACAGAGCCUACACAAAAAUUUUCACUAUUUUUGGAUCAGCACAUAAUUUUCUAUACAAAUUCAAACACCAAUUACUUUUAUUUCUAGAAGGAAAAAGAAAAACAGUAUGUUUCUAAGGUCGGCCCGCUCACGCUCGGCCCAGGCCGGCCCACGCGCUGUGCGCGCUGUCCCCCUCCUCGCGACAUCGCUGACAGCAGGCCCCCGCUGUCAGCUUCGUCCCUCACCUAGCCGGUGGCUCGGUUAAGCUCCCGGCCGUCGCUGGUGGGGUUCCAGCCCUUGCGACGAAGCGCAGCGGCUUUGCCUCGCCUUUGCGACUCCGCUGACCCUACCUACGGGCAUGCUAUCCCCCUCUCCCUACCCUGACCACACACAUGGCGGACGGCGACACUAGCCGCACGUAGACCGGUCGCGAGAGCUCAGUAGAGAGUGAGCUAGCGCGCUAGGGAGCUCCCAGGAGGGAUUAGGAGUGUGGUGCUCACGUUGCAGGGCUCGGAGAGGUGGCCUAAAGCGCUGGCGACGGUAGCAGGUCCUCCAGGCGGGCGCUCUGAGCUCAGCGAGGUUGUUCCAGUGAACCUGUUCAUGUCCGAAGAAGAAGGGCAAGCGCAUGAGCUUCUGGGAAAUGAGAGGAACCGGAAACAACUGCUAACAAGGUGUGUUACCCUCUGGAACGGCGUGGCCACGGAGAAGGCGCACGGCGGCGGUCCCGGCCAGAGUUCAGGAAGAAAGACGGCGCUCGGGCAAUUUAGAGGGGCAGGGAGGGUUCCUGGGCAUACACUGGGUUUGCAAGGAUAUGGCGAAGGUGUUGGACAACUCGAAUUGGUCAGAGGGGUUGCGUGUAGAGUGUAAUGGACGGUGGAGCUUCACUAGGUGCUUUUGGUCGCUGGAGUGAGUGAGCUCGAGGUCGGCCGCGCUGGCGCUUAAGAGGUCGAGGCACAGAGGUCGCGGGUGUCCACAUCGCGCGGUGACGCAGUUGGCAAGCAGCUGCGAGGCAGCGAAAACGCGCGCGCGGCGCUGCACGGCCUGCGGCCACGCGGGACUGGAGCUCGUGAUCCAUAUCGGGACACUAUAGCAAGCUCUAUCCCUCCCUUUCCUGUCUUUUGCAAAUUACUUUCAAAAGUUCAACUGAAGUCAAAAAUCUGUUAAAACAAAAGUCGUGUAGCAUAAAAUUUCCUACAACAUUCCUUUAAGGCUCAAAUUCAAAUUCUGAAAGGAACCAAGUGAAUUUAACCAAAACAGUUUGAAAUUCAAAUUCCCAUUUGGGGAAAAUUCCAAUUUUAAAUUUGACUAGAACAGAGAUUCCAAAAUUACUUUUGAUUUUCCAUAAUAACUUGAAAAAUUCCCAAAAUAAAAGUUGUUCAAUUUGUUGAGCUCUACAACUUUCAUGUUGGUCACUUUCCAAGAUUCCAAACAGAUUUUGAAUUAGGGAUUCAAUUUGGAAAAGGGGACAAUUUCUAGAAAUCUGUAUUUUCAAAAUUACUUUGAAUUUUGUAUUGAAACUUCAAAAACUCAAAACACCAAAGUUGAACAUCUUGACAAGAUCUACAACUUUCCUUUUGAACUCAACCUCAAAUUUUUCUCAGUUUUUAAAUUGCACAAAAGGGGGCAAAACUAGGGUUUUGAAAUCAGGGUCCCCCCCCAUUUUCUCGGAAUCCUCCAACACAAGGGAUUUCACAACCACGCUAGCAUCAUUGCACUAUAUAAGCACACUUUAGUUCCCUAAGCACAAGCAACCAAAGUAAACUUGUUUUAAGUUGAUGCAUCAGGUCGUGCUUAAUCAAUGUGCUAUGCAAUGCUUAUGAUGACAUGAUCCAGUUUUAGUAACCGUAACAUCAGGGAUGUUACAGCCCUUCCCCCUUAAAGAAAUCUCGUCCCCAAGAUUUAAAACCUUAGGGUCAGUAAUGGAGAAGGAAAUUUGUCAAGUUAAUUUAUCAUUAGCUUUUUCACACGACAAGCAGUUGGGGAAGAAUAUUUCAUUAUAAACAUAUAUGUACAUUAAGUACAUGGCUACGGCUACCCUUUUUCCCCUCUAGAGUACACUUCUUUUUAUUGGAUGUUAUGUUAAAGAGAAGCGUGAAACUCAGGAAAAUUCUCCAUUAGAUAGUCUUCAGAUUCCCAUGUGGCUUCUUCCUCAGAGUGUUGACUCCAUUGUACCUUGUACCAUUUGGUAGUUGUUCUUCGGGUAACUCUAUCUUUUUGGUCCAAUACUCGAAUGGGAUAUUCCGCAUAAGUCAGAUCUGGUUCUAGUUCCACAUCUUCAAUAUCCUGGACCCGGUCCGGUACUCGAAGACACUUCUUUAAUUGAGAUACAUGAAACACAUUGUGUACCCCGGAUAAUGGUUCGGGCAAUUUAAGGCGGUAGGCUACCUGUCCACACCGGUCAAUGAUUGGAAAUGGACCAAUGUAGCAGGGUGCCAACUUGCCUUUAACCCCAAAACGAUUCACUCCUUUCAUUGGGGAUACCUUCAAAUACACAUGGUCACUCUUGGUAAAUCUUAAGGGUCGACAUCUUCUAUCAGCAUAGCUCUUUUGUCGGGAUUGGGCAACUUUUAAGUUAUUUUGAAUUUGUCUAACUUUGUUUUCCGUUUCCUUCACCAAGUCAACCCCAAAGAACCAUCUUUCACCUGGUUCAGACCAGUGUAGUGGAGUCCAACAUCGACGGCCAUAUAGUGCCUCGAAUGGAGCCAUUUUAAUGCUUUCUUGGUAGCUAUUGUUGUACGAAAAUUCUGCUAGAGGCAGGCAGUCAUCCCACUUGUCUGGAAAAUUUAGGGCACAUGAUCUCAAUAGAUCUUCUUGUGUUUGAUUCACCCUUUCAGUUUGCCCACCUGUUUGAGGGUGGUAGGCUGUACUGUAUAAAAGCUUGGUGCCCAAGGAUUUAUGUAAGCAUUUCCAAAACUGGGAGACAAAUUGAGUGCCUCUAUCAGACACUAUUGUCUUCAGCACCCCAUGCGGACUCAAGAUACGAUCAAAAUAGAUCUUAGCAUAAGUAGCAACGGUGUAGGUUGCUUUUACUGGCAGAAAAUGUGCAGACUUAGUGAGACGAUCAAUGAUAACCCAAAUGGUAUCAAAACCUCUUGUCGUCUUGGGCAAUCCCACUAUGAAAUCCAUACUAAUAUCAUCCCAUUUCCAUGCUGGAAUAGGCAAGGGUUGCAACUCUCUAGCAGAUUUGAGAUGAAUGGCUUUGACCUUUCGGCAACUGUCACAUUGGGCUACAUAGCGGGCUAUUUCUACCUUCAUCUUCGUCCACCAAAAUCUCUGCUUUAGGUCCUGAUACAUCUUAUUGCUUCCUGGGUGAAUAGAAUACCUUGUGGUAUGAGCUUCAUCCAGGAUUUGCUGACGUAGCUCAGGUACCUUUGGAACUACUAUCCGGUUUUUGAUCCAGAUUACCCCUGCAUCAUCCACCUUAAAGUCUGUGGGUGCUCUAUUGGAAAUUUUCUCUUUGAGGUAUUUCAUGCCCUUAUCUUCUUUUUGUGCCGCAAUGAUUUGAGCUUCGAGAUUGUAGUCAAUCUUUAGAUUGGCAAGGCUUCCUUGGGAAGUCAUUUCUAUUCCCAAGUUCUCUAGCUCUUGGCAUAGAGUUAUAUCUCUAGGCGUCACUGUUAAGCAAUUACAGUGAGCCUUACGACUGAGGGCAUCAGCUACUACAUUCGCCAUGCUAGGGUGAUAAUGCACCUCAAGAUCGUAAUCUUUGAUCAAUUCUAGCCACCUUCGCUGGUGCAUAUUAAGUUCAGCUUGAGUAAAAAUAUAUUUCAAGCUCUUAUGAUCUGUGUACAGAUGACAAGUGUUUCCCAACAGGUAAUGGCGCUAGAUUUUUAAGGCAUGCACUACAGCGGCUAGCUCAAGAUCAUGGGUUGGGUAAUUCUCUUCGUGUGGCUUAAGCUGCCUAGAAGCAUAUGCAAUUACUCGACCCUCCUGCAUUAGCACACAGCCUAUCCCUAUUCUUGAUGCGUCACAAUACACAUUAGGGCUUCUCAAUAUUCGGUGAGGCUAACACAGGUGCAGUAGUCAACAACCUUUUCAGGGUUUGAAAGGCCUGCUCACAUUCAGACGACCAAACAAAUUUUGUUUGAUUCUUGAGCAAGGCUGUGAUUGGCUUGGCAACCCUAGAAAUGUCCGGUAUGAAGCGGCGGUAAUAUCCCGCCAUACCCAAAAAGCUACGGAUCUCAUGCACCGUAGCAGGGGGCUUCCAAUUCAAAACAUCUUCUACUUUACCUGGGUCUACAGCGACUCCCUCCUCUGAUAGUACAUGACCCAGGAAAUGAACUUUGUCCAGCCAAAAUUCACACUUGCUGAACUUGGCAUAUAACUGAUGGUCCCUCAGACGGGUCAACACAAUCCUCAGAUGUUCAGCGUGUUCUUUCUUUGUUUUGGAGUAGAUCAAGAUGUCAUCGAUGAAGAUGACUACAAACUUUUCUAGCUUCGACAUGAAGACGGAGUUCAUCAAGUACAAAAAGUGAGCUGGUGCAUUGGUUAAACCAAAGGACAUCACCAGAUAUUCAUAUAGCCCAUAACGGGUUGUAAAAGCCGUCUUGGGGACAUCUUCCGGCUUAAUCUUGAUUUGAUGGUACCCAGAUCUCAAAUCAAUCUUUGAGAAUACUUUAGCCCCGGCUAACUGGUCAAAUAGCAAGUCAAUACGGGGCAACGGGUACUUGUUUUUAAUCGUCACCUCAUUUAAGGGAAUAUAAUCAACACAUAGCCUUAACGUUUGAUCUUUCUUUUUCACAAAUAAGGCUGGGCAACCCCAUGGAGAUGAACUGGGUUGAAUAAAACCUUUCUGCAACAUCUCUUGUAAUUGGGUUUUUAAUUCAGCCAGUUCAUUUGGUGCCAUUCGAAAGGCUCUUCGAGAAAUUGGGGUUGUCCCUGGUUUCAAUUCUAUACUGAAUUGAACAUCCCGGUCUGGUGGCAGACCUGGUACAUCCUCAGGAAACACAUCCGAAAACUCCCGAAGUACCGAGAUAUUUUCAACCUCUUUCACUGUGGUCGCAUGAACUUGUUCAAUUGCCCGUUUUGGAGUGGCUAGUUGGAUUAGAAGGUAAGAAUUAUCGUUGGGCAAUGGCAUCUUGACGGUUCGAUGCAGGGUGUCUAGCACAACCCCUCGUUGUGCCAUCCAGUUCAUGCCUAGUAUAACAUUAAUAUCUUGGUCUUUAAGAACAAUCAUACUGGUGGGAAAACUAUGCCCACCAAAUUCGAUGGGUAUCUGAUAAACCAUUUCCUUAGAACUCAGUCGUCCUCUUCGCGACUGUAUAUAGAAAUGAUCCUUAGUUUCCCGAUGGGUAUGUCAUACUUUAUCACAAAGGUGCAAUUGAUGAAAAUAUGAGAUGCACCAGAAUCAAAAAGCAUUAAGGCAGGGUGAUUAGCAACAGGGAACGUACCCAUCAUCACCGGCUCUCCUUCCGGUAUUGUUUCAACCUCUGUAUGAAAAACUUGUCCCACCUUCUUUGCAGGUUUACCCCUUUGUGCAUUCUGCCCUUUCUGAGCCCCAUUUUUAAACUGGCUCGGUUGGGGUUGGCCGGUGGGCGGCCUUUGGAAAGUGGGGUUAUUUUGUCGAGGGUAGGGGCAUUCUUUAGAGAAAUGCCCGAGUUUACCACAAUUAUAGCAAGGGUAAUUCUGGUUUGGCGGAGUAGUAGGAUGAACACCUGGGGAGUUCGGCUGGCGUGGUGCUGUGGUGAUGGCAGUAGGUCGAGGAUAAACCUGCUGCCCGGGUCGAUACUGUAGAGGAGGGAAGGAACCACGAAAAGGUGGCUGCGCUGGAAAGCGCCCGUGGCUCUAUGGGUGAUAAAUGAUUCUCUGGCGCUUUUGGCCGCGACUAGAGAAAGAGGAAGAAGUGGCCUUCUUCUUUGCUUCUUUAUGCUUUCUGUUUUUCUCUUCUGAGGUGAUGACAAUGUUAACCGCCUCGUAGUAAGUGACAUUCUGGCAUGUGGUCAUCAUUGUUUGAAGUUUUGUAUUGAGGCCGCACAUAAAGCAGGCCUUCUUCUUCCGAUCAGUAUUCACGUAAUCCGUGGCAUACUGAGAAAGGUGAUUAAAUUUGGCCAUGUAUUCCAUCACACUUUUGUCGCCUUGACGCAAGGCGAGGAACUCUUCGGCUUUCAUUGCCAUAAGUCCUUCUGGAAUAUAAUGGGCGCAAAAAGCGUCCUUGAAUUCUGUCCAGGUAAACUGGUGUCCUGGAUUCUCGAUAGCAAGGAAAUUUUCCCACUCCCCGAAGCUGUUGGGCGGCGAAGAGGGGCUUUUGAGUUUCUGAACAACGGAUCAGGCUGAAUUUGUGCUCCAUUGUUCGGAGCCAGUCGUCAGCCUCCAAAGGCUCAUCUACCUUGGUGAACAUUGGUGGCCUUAUUUCAGUGAAAUCCACAUAAAGAGUUUCUCCCUCCGGAUUAUGCUGUGCUCAGAGGUUUGGGAGAGGGUGGGGUUGGCGCUGCGCUAACUCGCGCAACAGACGAGCAUUGUCUGUGGUAGCGCUCAGAAGAACAGCAAUUGCAUCAGCCAGGGAAGGUGGAGCAGGUGGAGGGUUGGGGAUGUCCUCCCCUCCCUGGGAAGAUCCGGCUCCAUCAGAUCCGCGAGUGCGCAUCGGCAUCUGCUACAACAGUUAUAUUUACUCAUUACCACUUGGAACCCAUAACUUAGAAACAUAUUUUACAUACUUCAACUUAUUUAUCAUACAACAGUUCAGCAUACCGAAAACAAACGAGUACAACUUUUAACUUAAAGAAAAACACUUCACUACGGACCCAACCCAACUAUGGUAGUCUAGGAAACUCUAUAACGACAUCGCCCGCAACUCCACCGAACUAGUCGGUGUGGUCAGAGCCAUAGCCCGGGUCGUCGUCGUUAUCGCCAUGCUCGUCCCCCGAGUUGUCGUCGCCGGAGUUGGGUUCCUCCUCACUGCUGGGGUCUUGGUCAGUAUCCAUCUGCCAGCUCUCCGUCAGUAUCCCCCAUCUGCCAGCUCUCCGUCAGUAUCGAUCUCCCCUUCCCCUGGAGGUGGAUGAAGCUGAUGGUAUAAGUCGAAUGCAAUAUCCCGGUAUUGCAUCGCCAUAUCGCUGACGGUGUCCAGAUGGUGCGCCAACUCAAGCUUCUCCAGCUGCAGCUGAUCCUCCCGUUGCCCUGCGACGUCCCUCUGUGCGGUGACAGUGGCCGCCAUCUUCUUGUAUAAAUUUUCAGUGUACUUGCUUUUGGUCAACUUGGCCUUCAUUCGGGUCAGCUCGUGCAUAUGUGUGCUCUUGGCCUCCUCUUCCCGAGCAAUAGCUGCAUUUCACUCUUCCACCAUGCGGGUCAGCAUCGCCUCGCAAUUCUCUGUGGCUUGUUUUUGAUUUGUUAACUGAGCUUUGAGCUCACCAAUCUCCAUAACGUUAUACAUUCUCUCUCCAGUUACUUUGGCCAACUCCGCUGACAACCUCUCCAUCUCCUGCUGUGGUUGGGAGCGGCUACUACUAGCUUGAUCAUUUCUUGGGGCCAACUGAUGUCGAAGCACCCCCUUGGGACCUGUUCUCUUGCGAGGAGUUUGCUUCCAACGGCCCAUCCUGUAGAGGGUAAGUUUGGAUUAGUAAGGGAGACCUUAAAGUUUAGCAAGAAUGGGAUUGAUCCUAUACAACCCAACCCGAAUAAAGAGGAAGGUAAUUAACCAAGUGACAUAUCAUGAUGCAUGCAUGUACUUACGAUUCGCAAUAGAAAUUCAUAACUAUAACACUUAAAAUUUUACAACAUAGGGCUAUACUUUACGUUGCUCCUCCACAUGACCUCAAAAAUUCUAAUAAAGCCUACAGACAAGGGUAAGGUAGAGCUAAAGCACUUGGACUCAAAAUAGGCAAUUUUAUAUUAUUGGAUCCAAAUAGGUUUGAAGUUUUUCAAAGGAUACAGUAGUCAUCUUAGCAACGAAUGCUCUGAUACCAGCUGUGACAGAACCUCCUAGGUAGUUGGGCCCACCAACACCUGUCAUUGUUCUAAGGACCUCUGACGGUGAUGCCAGGGAUCCUUCUACUCUAGAAGCCCGAUGAGCAUCCCAGGACGCCCAUCCCACUGCUACCUGUGGCGUAACAACCGAGCUCGUCCUGACCACCAGUGAUGGUCAAUUAACGAGAACUUCUUCUUCUCGCCCUUUCAGGAUAGCAAGUGGUCGCCUUAACACCAGGAUCAUUCGUUGCGAAGACAUUGCAGUAUCACAAACGAUAUAUAACCAAAAUAGCAUUUUAGAGUAAAACAACGAAAGCAUUAAAUAACUUAGUUUACAAAAAUAGUUCUUCAAAGUAGGACUUAGAUAAAGUGUUAUUACAAGCCAGGUUCAGCGGAGCAACUUAAACCAUAGUACAAAGAUUACAAAUUUACAGACCCUACCCAUGGGUCACGCUUACUCCUCCUCCUCGUCAACCUCGACGACGGUCACACAACAGGGUCCGAAACAAGUCGGCUCCUGAGCUUCACCUGCAACAGGGGUUAUAAAACCCUGAGUACGGGAGUACGCAACAAGACUUACCUGGCUAAAAAAGAGAACUUAGGAAUGUCGGCUUAGGAUAGACAAGGAGUGGCUGAGCAAGGAGCCAAAUUGUUUUGCUAAAAGCUUACUAAUAGUGCAUCCUUACUUUCAAGUUUUACCCACGAAUUGCUCACCUUGAGAGGCCGAGGAAUUCGAGGACAGUCUAUCUAGUUGCUUUUCACAGACAAGUCUGUAGAUUCCUAGUCCUUAAUAAAAGUAUUGUCCAUCCAACGACCAUAGCUUCAUGUCACUCUGAGUCCAGGAAUUGGGAUCCGAUCCUCAUGAGACAUUUCACCCUUUCUCAUUUCAUAGUUUAGUUGCAUAUUUAACUACGAUGAGAGUUAGUGGAUUGAGUCUCCCAAUCGGGGAGCAACGAUGAUUCGAACCGCUUAACAAUCUAGCUAGAGUUUCUAACCACCCGACAUAUGUAGAACCGAAUCUUGCAUAUGUCAAACCAAAUCUAGCUCUCCCAAGAUCUGACCGGUUUCGCGGCACCCGAGAGCACAGUACUCCACCGUCCAGCCCAUUUGCCAGGAGGGUACACGCUACUCUUGCCAUUGCUCCAUGCCCAGUGCGCGAGUAGCCGUUCUCGUCGAGGAAUCAUAAGACCGAGCUUACCGAGGGCAAGUGGCUAGUACUAUAAAUUCUCAACCCAGCAGGCCAUCAAACGGACCGGUCCUUAAUACACACAGUUGGAGACACUACUUUAAGACUCCAUUCUUAAAGCAAGUCCACCGACCGGUCUCAAGUUGAAACAUCAUUGACCAUAAAAGUAUUCCACAACAACCCUUCAAACUUUUCUUAUUUGAAAACCUAUCUAGUAGCAGGGCUAAGCAUCACUACGCAGUCUCGGAUCAAGUUAACAAAUAAAACAGGUGCCAAGGACAAGAUAACAAAUAUCAAGUUAGUAAAUGCAACAGGAAGGUUAUACCCAAUUCUUGUAUACGUAAUGCAGCAUGUUUAGUUCAUAAGUGAUAAAAGAUUUAAAACAUUCAAGGAAGGGUUAAAUGCAUCCAGGGCUUGCCUUGGUUGCAGAGCUGAGUGGGUUCCUCGGAGACUUCCGAAGUCUCGGUUCCUACUUCCUCGAACAACACACCAACCUCGGGGUUCGGUUCAACGGUCGCUCCUUCGGUCACGUGCACUAUACGUAAAAUGAUGUAUGCUCAUGAUAUGCUUAUGACAAACAUAUAAGAAGGACCGAAUCGGGUACCACUUUUCUUCUCGGUGCAAGGACCGACAAAACAGUAAUUAAAGUUGUUUAUCAUUUUAGUGUUUUUACCCAAAAGGUUGCGUCAGUAAGCUAAGACUUCCCUUAAUUUACAAUUAUUCUUAAUUAACUAAUUAUUAAACAUUUUUAUCUUAAUUAAUUAUUAAUUAAGUAUUAAUGACAGUAAUUAAGCAUUAGUACCAAACAAUAAUUAAAUGCCAAAGGUCAUUAAGGUUAAUGACCUUAGGUCAUCAUACAAUCCCAAAAACACUCAAAUCCUAAUUUGAGAGAUUAAGCUAAUUAUUACUUAAUUAUUUUAAGAUUAUUACUAAAUUACUAAUUAAGGGUAUAUUAAUAUUUUAUUCAAACGUUAUCCAAAUGCCACCAAAUUUUGUGUACAUCAAGAGAAUAAUAUUCAGAGACAUCCCACAAAUUUUGGUGAUUUUUGGGCAUAUCAAUAAAUUACUAAAAUUCAUUGAAUUUUUGUUUACUAAAUAAGGAUACAAUUUUUAUAUAUAUGUAAAUUACCAGAAAAUGUAACCUAGCAUUUUUCCUAUGUUCUACUCAUCUUACAGAGCCUACACAAAAAUUUUCACUAUUUUUGGAUCAGCACAUAAUUUUCUAUACAAAUUCAAACACAAAUUAAUUUUAUUUCUAGAAGGAAAAAGAAAAACAGUACUGUUUCUAAGGUCGGCCCACUCAGGCUCGGCCUAGGCCGGCCCACACGCUGUGCGUGCUCGCCCCCUCCUCGCGACGUCGCUGACAGUGGACCCCCACGCUCAGCUUCGUCCAUCACCUCGCCGGUGGCUCUGUUGAGCUCCCGGCCGUCGCUGGCGGGGUUCCAACCCUUGCGACGAAGCGCAGCGGCUUUUGCCUCGCCUUUGCAACUCCGCUGACCCUACCUGCAGGCAUGCUAUCCCCCUCUCCCUACCCUGACCACACACAUGGCGGAUGGCGGCACUAGCCGCACAUAGACCGACCGUGAGAGCUCAGUAGAGCGUGAGCUAGCGCGCUAGGGAGCGCCCAAGAGGGAUAAGGAGUGUGGUGCUCACGUUGCGGGGCUCGGAGAGGUGGCCUAAAGCGCUGGCGACGGUAGCAGGUCCUCCAGUUCGCGUCCGAAGAAGAAGGGCAAGCGCAUGAGCUUCUGGGGAAUGAGAGGAACCGUAAACAACUGCUGACAAGGCGUGUUACCCUCUGGAACGGCGUGUCCACGGAGAAGGCGCACGGCGGCGGUCCCGGCCGGAGUUGAGGAAGAAAGACGGUGCCCGGGCGAUUGAGAGGGGCAGGGAGGGUUCCUAGGCGUACAUUGGGUUUGCAAGGAUAUGGCGAAGGUGUUGGAGAACUUGAAUUGGUCAGAGGGGUUGCGUGUAGAGUGUAAUGGAUGGUGGAGCUUCACUGGGUACUUUUGGUCGCCGGAGUGAGUGAGCUCGAGGUCGGCCGCGCGGGCGCUCAAGAGGUCGAGGCGCAGAGGUCGCGGGCGUCCACGUCGCACGGUGACGCAGAUGGCAAGCAGCUGCGGGGCGGCGAGAACGCGCGCACGGCGCUGCACGGCCUGCGGCCACGCGGGACUAGAGCUCGUGAUCCAUAUAGGGACAGUGUAGCAAGCUCUAUCCCUCACUUUCCAAUCUUUUGCAAAUUACUCUUACAAGUUGAACUGAAGUCAAAAAUCUGUUAAAACAAAAGUCGUGCAGCAUACAAUUUCCUACAACAUUCCUUUAAGGCUCAAAUUCAAAUUCUGAAAGGAACCAAGUGAAUUUAACCAAAAUAGUUUGAAAUUUAAAUUCCCAUUUGGGGAAAAUUCCAAUUUUGAAUUUGACCAGAACAGAAAUUCCAAAAUUACUUUUGAUUUUCCAUAAUAACUUGAAAAAAUCCCAGAAUAAAAGUUGUUCAAUUUGUUGAGCUCUACAACUUUCAUGUUGGUCACUUUUCAAGAUUCCAAACAGAUUUUGAAUUAGGGAUUCAAUUUGGAAAAGGGGACAAUUUUUGGAAAUCUGUAUUUUCAAAAUUACUUUGAAUUUUGUAUUUAAACUUCAAAAACUCAAAACACCAAAGUUGUACAUCUUGACAAGAUCUACAACUUUGCUUUUGAACUCAACCUCAAAUUUUGCUUAGUUUUUAAAUUGCACAAAAGGGGGCAAAACUAGGGUUUUAAAAUCAGGGUUCCCCCCCCCAUUUUCUCGAAAUCCUCCAACACAAGGGAUUUCACAACCACGCUAUCAUCAUUGCACUAUAUAAGCACACUUUAGUUCCCUAAGCACAAGCAACCAAUGUAAACUUGUUUUAAGUUGAUGCAUCAGGUGGUGCUUAAUCAAUAUGCUAUGCAAUUCUUAUGAUGACAUGAUCCAGUUUUAGUAACCAUAACAUCAGGGAUGUUACAGAGAUGCUGUGAGUAAAGCAUGCUAUCGAUGAGAAACACAAAAGCAUCAGCGUUCUGCAGUCCUCUGGGGAUGAGUUGAAGCAAAAGAUCUCCGAUUUAUCGGCUAGAAGGGAAGCCUUGUUAGCUGAACUCAAGCAAGUGGAAGAGGCCCUGACUCAAGCUCAGCAAGAAGAAAGCCAGCUGCCCGAAGUGCUCAAAACUCUUCAGCAAGAGAGAGAUGCCCAAGCCCGCAAGGCGCUGCACAUGAGGAAGAAGCUGAAGCCAGUUGAGGGUUCUGCCGAUGAAGAUACUCAAGAAAUAGAAGAGGCCAACCAGGUUCAUCUGCGCGCCAUAUCAGCCAUCCAAGCUCUGCUGAAUCUGUGAAUUCUUCAUCGACAACUUGCUUAAUUCUGCUAUCAAAAACUCUAAUCAUUUUGGUCUAGCCGAUAGGGCUGUUAUCGGCACUUAAACACUUAUGCAUGAUCCUAGAUACAUUUUAUCCAGCCGAUAGGAUUAUUAUCGGCAUUUGAACUUCUAUGCAUCAAUCUAGAUACUAGGAUAGUAUCUCUUUAAAUAUUUUCCAUUUAAUGCUCUGGGAAAUUCAACUCCUUCAAGAGUUUCUAAAAUAUAAGCAUUACCAGGAGCAGAUCGACUUAUCCGAUAAGGACCCUCCCAAUUAGGAGACCAUUUUCCAAACUUUGAACUUUUAGUCCCAAUCGGUAGAAUCAGUUUCCACACUAAAUCUCCAUCAGCAAACUCCUUGGCCUUUACUUUCUUAUCGUACCAUUUAGCAACUCUCUUUUUAUUUUCUUCUAUGCUAAUUAAAGCCCUCAACCGAUGCCCUACUAAAUCAUCCAACUCAUCUUUCAUCAAGGUGGCAUAGUCAUCGGCAUUUAGCUGAUCCUGAGAAAAGAUCCGCCUAGAACCAAUUUUUAUCUCCCAUGGUAGUACCGCAUCAUGCCCAUACACCAAUUGACAAGGUGAGACUUUGGUCGAGCCAUGACACGCCAUCCGAUACGACCAUAAAGCUUCAUUUAACACCGUGUGCCAUCUCCUAGGAUUUUCUUCAAUUUUUCGCUUGAUGAGCUUAAUAAUCCCCUUGUUAGAAGCUUCAGCCUAUCCGUUAGCUUGAGCAUAGUAAGGAGAAGAAUUCAACACUUUAAUCCUCAUACCGAUUGCAAAUUCAUCAAACUCUCCCGAUGUAAACAUGGUACCUUGAUCGGUGGUGAUUGUUUGAGGUAUGCCAAAUUGGUAAACAAUGUGCUCUUUUACAAAAUCAAUCAUGAUAGCUGAUGUUACUUUCUUUAAAGGAAUAACCUCAACCCAUUUGGUGAAAUAAUCAGUGGCAACUAAGAUAAAUUUAUGCCCUUUGCUUGAUGGUGGAUAAAUCUGGCCGAUGAGAUCAAUAGCCCAACCUCGGAACGGCCAAGGUUUAAUAAUGGGAUUCAUGGCCGAUGUGGGUGCCCUUUGAAUAUUGCCAAAUUUCUAACAUCCUUGACAUCAUUUGAAAUAUUUAAAGCAAUAAUCAAGUAUAGUCGGCCAAUAAUAUCCGUUUCUCCUAAUCAUCCACUUCAUUUUGAAAGCCGAUUGAUGUGCCCCACACACUCCUUCAUGAAUUUCACCCAUCAAGCUUCUAGAUUCAUCAUUACCCAAACACUUAAGGAAGACUCCAUCUAUCGUUCGAUAAUACAACUCUUCCUCAAGGAGUACAUACUUUGUAGCUUGAAACCUAACACGCCUUUCAACUUUCUUGGAUGGAUCCUUUAAAUAAUCAAUAAUCUCCUUUCUCCAAUCAUCAGCACUGACUGCCGAUAAUAUGUCUAAGAUGGGUUGAUAUCCCAAGGGAUGUUGAGCCAGUCGGUUGGCUUCUUCAUUAUGUAACCAAGGAAUAUGCUCUCAUCGGAAAUCCUUGAAUUCCUUUAACAGUUGUACACAUAUUUCAUAAUAGGCUAUCAAAACCUCAUUUCGGCAUUCAUAAAUUCCAGCCAACUGGUUUAUAACAAGCAUGGAAUCACUGAAAAUUUUAACAGCAUCGGCAUGAACCUCCUUUAAUAAUUCUAAUCCUUUGAUCAAAGCUUGGUACUCAGCUUGAUUAUUUGUUGACGUGACAACAAUUGGCAAAGAAAACUCAUACUUCUUUCCCCGAAGAGAAAUUAGCACUAUAUUGAUUCCUGCCCCCGGUCACAUGUAGAUCCAUCAAAGAAAAGCGUCCAAGGAACGAUUUCCAAAGCAUCCACCACACCACAAUGCUGAGUUACAAAAUUGGCCAUAAUCUACCCUUUAACCGCUUUAGCCGAUUCGUAGCGUAGAUCAAAUUUCGACAAUGCUAAUAUCCACUUGCCAAUUCUACCACUCAUAAUCGGCAUUGAUAACAUGUAUCGGACUACAUCAUCUUUGCAUAUGAUAGUGCAUUCGGCCGAUAGCAAGUAAUGUCUCAAUUUAAUGCAAGAAAAGUAUAAGCACAAGCACAACUUCUCAAUUGCCGAAUACCUUGUUUCAGCAUCCACCAAUCUUCUACAUAAAUAAUAAAUCACACGCUCCUUCCUCUCAAAUUCCUGAAUGAGAGCCGAGCUGAUGACAAUACCAUUGGUAGACAAAUAUAAUCUGAAGGGUUUUCCUUGUUGCGGUGGAACCAAAACUGGAGAGUUUAUCAAAUAGUUCUUGAUUUCAUCCAAGGCUAACUGUUGCUCUUUUCCCCAUACAAAUUCUUGAUCGGCUCUUAACUUAAGCAAAGGACUAAAAGCAUGAAUUUUACCUGACAAAGUAGAAAUAAAUCGUCUGAGAAAAUUAAUCUUGUUGAUCAAUGAUUGAAGUUCGGUUUUAUUGGUAGGAGCAACUAUUUUGUUGAUGGCAUCAAUAGAUCUCCCACUAAUUUCAAUCCCUCUUUGAUGCACCAUGAAACCAAGAAAUUGUCCUGCUGAUACACCAAAUGCACAUUUAUUAGGGUUCAUUUUUAAACCAUGCUUCCUUGUGCACUCCAACACCUUUCGUAGAUCGGCCAGAUGUUUUACAAAAUCCCCAAAUUUAAUGUUGGCGAUGCUUAUUAUAUAAAAAUAAAUAUCUUUUUAUAUAUAAAAAUAAACAGAAAAUAGGGCUUUGAUCUAAUCUUUCCACGAGUUUUGGUAUAUAUGCUAUUUUCAGGUAUGACACGUGGAAAAGUGCAAAACAUACAAGAAAUGCGCAAUGCAAGAAUUCGUAUUUAGAAAAGACACAAACCAACUCCAAUAGAGAAAAGCCCACAAAAGAUGAACUGGACCCAUCCGUAACCACGAGGAGGAUCAGGGCCCAGAGCACAACCGACCACGUGAAGGUGGUGGCUAGGGGGGCCCACCCAGGUUGCGGGCGCAACCCUGGUGGAGGUUCCCUGGCCCCACCUUCUUCUGGCGGUUGCAUGGCAGCAUGCAUAGGACGGUUUCACCUACUACUAUAUUUAGAUCCCGCAAUACGUCCUAGUUGAGCUAUAAAUAGAUGGCUCCCCUCUCAUUUGUAAGACACACCACCAUUUGGAGCAACACACCUCACAUUCUACACUUGUUCUCCUUAAUUUAGUACAAGUAGUAGAGCAAGGCAAAGCUAGCAAGGAGAUCUUGUCUCCUUGGAGGAUCAAGAGUGUCUUGGUAUGAAUACAAUUAUGCCUUCCUCCAUGAUCAAGUUCUUAUAUUCUUUAUACAGUUAUGCUUUUGAUCUAGAGUAUAGUCUUGUUCGUAUCAUGAUCAUAGUUUAUGAGCUAGUUCAUAGUUCUAGCUCUAUGUUCUUGAUAUGUUCAUAUAGUUCUUCAUCGUUCAUCAAGUUAAUAUGAAUAGAGGAAGAACUAGGGAUGAGAUAAUGGUUCUCUGGGCUGUAAUGGUCACCCUUAGCCGAUCCUGUCAAUCCGAAGGGUUGGUGUCCCGGGAGGCUAGGGGGUGUUUCCAAGUACACGGGCAUGGUGCCCGGGUAUGCUGAGACCCGAGGAUAUGAGGGUAUCCCACGUGCAGAGGGGUAGGUGGUAGGGUGGUGACAGCCCUGUCAUCCUUCGUAUUCCCCCACGUUCAGAUAUUCGGUAGGAGUCAUGUAAAGUCCCUAUUUUCUGGCAGACCAGCUAUGGAGAUCUCCCUAGUAUCUCAGACUUAGCUCUAACUUGUUCUUAUUAGCUAGAUGACCUGCUAACAGAUCUGUUGUAUAACGUGUAUACGACCAUGCCUGCUCGCGUAGUUGUUCUUUUAUUCUUUGUUUUCCCUUUAUUCCUUGCGGUUGCUCCGAUGUGUGUCCGCUAUCAAAUCAACUACAUACUUACCCCUGUUUAUACUAUGUCUACCAUGCAUUUCAAUAAGUAAUCAUGUUUAUAACCAAAGCUAGAUGCAUUCACAAUGCCUUCCUAUGGGAAAUUAUAAAUACGACACCCCUGAAUACUCACGGGUUGAAAUGCUACAAUGAUAGUUCUGUGCGCUUGCAGAGUAAUUUAUUCCUAUAACUGAGCUAUCGAUUGGCGUAACUAAGUACCUUUACUUAAGAAUGUAAUCCUUGUGCACCCACACGGCGCCGGGCCACAGCUUUGCAUAUCGUAAGUAAGGAUGGUUAGGAAGGCCAAACUGGCAAUUCUAAUCAUCAGUACCAGACUGCACUGCCUAGGCCAGCGCCGUAAAAGGCCUUGGUUUAUCUUUCUGAAGUGAUGGUGGUUAGGAUAUGCCAAGAACGUUUCUAGUGUUAUUAUUAAGGAUGGACUAAAACUCUAUCUUUAAUAGUUUCGCUAAGAAACGCCAACAUUUAACUACCACAUCAUUAAUAUAGAUUUCCACCAACUUGCCGAUGAACUCGUGGAAGAUAAAAUUCAUGGCUCUCUGAUAAGUAGCACCAGCAUUUUUCAAUGCAAAAGUCAUGACUAUCCAUUCAAACAUUCCAACAUGACCACGGCAUCUAAAUGCAGUCUUGGGAAUAUCUUCUUCAGCUAUGAAUAUUUGAUUGUACCCUGCAUUGCCAUGCAUAAAGCUAAUGAUCCGAUGUCCAGCUGCAGCAUCAACCAACAGAUCGGCAACUGGCAUUGGAUAACCAUCCAUCAGCGUAGCCUUAUUGAGAUUCCUAAAGUCAAUGCAGACACAAAGCUUUCCAUUCUUCUUAUAAACAGGGACAACAUUAGAAAUCCAUUUGGCAUACCGACAUUGCCGAAUAAACUUAGCUUCAAUAAGGUUGGUUAUUUUGGCUUUAAUUUCAGGAAGAAUAUUAGGAUUGCAUCGGCGUGCUGGCUGCUGAUGCGGCCGAAAUCCAGACUUAAUAGGCAACCGAUGUUCAACAAUUGAUCGUUCUAAACUAGGCAUCUCGGUAUAAUCCCAAGCAAAGCAAUCUUUAUAUUCCUUUAACAAAAUGGUUAAUUGUUGCUUACACUCAGAAUCUAACUUAGCACUAAUAAAAGUAGGUCUUGGUCUAUCACCAUUACCUAUAUCUACUUCUACUAGAUCAUCAGCCGAUGUAAACCCCUGACCUAACUUUCCAUCAUCGGCAAACCUAUCCAUUAAAACUCUUUAUUAGAACCGACUGCUUGGAUCGGUGGAAUUUCAUAAUCAGCAACCCUGAGAAAAUCCUUCUCCCAAACUUCCCCUGAAAUACAUCUGGUCCUCUCAUAAGUAUCUGACUCUGCCGAUGCAAUGACAUAUGAAGAAUCUCCCGGGACAAAUUUCAAUCUUGUCACCUACCCACUGAACCAGGCAUUGGUGCAUUGUAGAAGGAAUACAACAAUUGGCCUAGUCUCAACCUAAUAGCAAAUUGUAUGCACCUUUUCCACUGAUGAUAAAGAAAGUUGUCAGCAAAGUUUUGCUGCCGAUGGUCAAUUCAACACAUAUAGCCCCCUUGACUGGAGACACAUUCCCUUCAAAAUCUUUCAACAUCAUAUCAGUCUUGGUCAAAUCCUGAUCCCCUUUGCCAAGCUUCCGAUAGACUGUAUAUGACAUAAUGUUGAUAGCAGCUCCACCGUCAACAAGUAUUUUGGACAUCGGCUGUCCAUCAACCCUGCCUUUAACAAACAAAGCUUUGAGAUGCUGUAUUUCAUCAUCAGAAGGCUUUUCAAACAUAGCUGUCAUCGGAUCAAGAGCCAACUGAGCUAUCUGAUCAAGAAAAUCUAUCUCUUCAUCAUCAUGGAAAGGCGCAAGAAACUCCAUCGGUAACAUAAACACCAUAUUAAUAUCUGCUGAUGGUCCUUUUCCCCUAGGAUCUGACUGCUGCCGAUCUCCAGACUUAGCAGAAUUUUCUUCCCUACUUAAUUCUUCAUGCCACUCUCACUGCAUCAUCCUUUUCUGUGUCCUUGUCAAUCCUUGUGGACACCAUUGGGGAAGUUGUGUCCUCCGCACUUGUUGAUCGUGAGCCUCCCUUGAUUCCACCCGAUAAGUAUUAGCAUCCCUGCAAAAUAUAAACUCAUCGAGAACUCGUGCAUUUGCCAUCUCCUCAAGCUCCUAUUGGUUUCUUGGAAAAUAGCCAACACGUUCACCAAGCCUGUCAUGCACACUGAGCCUGCCCCCCAGCCGAUUAUGAACUGACAUCCUUCCCCUAGUCGGCCCAUUAAAUUGCCGAUCAUCGUUCUGAUGUCGCCGACUUGAUCGAUCAUACUGAUUAUAACGAUUGCACUCAGGGCAGUCUCUGACAGAUAGUUUGAUGUUUUGCUCCCAACAGUGGAUGAAGAACGUGCAAUUCCAAUGAUCUUUAUGCCGAUUCCACUCUUGUCGGCGUCUUUCUUCUUCUCGGCGAAGAUCCUCUUGUUGGCGGCGAUACCGAUCUUCACGCUGCUGCCAUGUUUCCCGAUGCCGCCUAUGAGUGAUCACAAUGCCAUUGAGGAGGUCUCCUAGAACUGGUGCCUUCUUGGAUUAAUCCUUUACCCUUGGCGUCAUCGGCAGUGAUCUGAUGCUGGGGGUCUACCGAUGCGCUCUUCUCAGCUGCUUUCGAUGUUAAGACUUUGGUCUUUCCUUUGGCAUCCAUCAUGUUUGUAGGGAAAGGAUGCUGAUCAAUCUUCAUCGGCUUCUAAGCUUUGGAGUUAUCAAAUUUAAUUCUCCCAGAUUCUAUAGCCGAUUGCAAUUGUUGCCUGAACACCUUGCACUCAUUUGUACUACGAGACAUUGCAUUAUGCCACUUGCAAUACUUGAUCUUCUUCAACUCUUCUGCCGAUGGGAUCACAUGAUUUGGUGACAAUUUAAUCUGCCCCUCCUAAAGCAGAAAGUCAAAUAUCAUAUCGGCUUUUGUAAUAUCAAAAGCAAACUUUUUCGGCUCUUUAUGGCCGAAAGAACAGGACAUCAUCUUUUUGUUUUUCACCCAUUCUGUUAAGCCGAUGACUGGUUCUUCAUCAGAAUCUGAACUUGUUGCCUCAUCAACAAAUGACACCUUCUUGUUCCAAGCCUUCCUAGGUUCAAAAGUUUUGAUAUCUAGAUUGAAAAUCCUCUGCACCAAAUGACUUAGACUUUCAAACUCUUGAGAAGCAUACUUGUCAUUAAUGUGUGGCAACAAUCGUUGGAAAGCCAAAUCGGCUAGCUACCGAUCAUCCAGAACCAGACUAUAGCAUUUGUUUUUGACAUCCCACAACCUCUGCACAAAACUUUCAACCGAUUCAUCAUUGCGUUGCCUCAGCCUGACUAAAUUGGUAAUUUUCUUCUCAUGAACCCCAGAAAAGAAGUACUUAAGGAACUGCUUCUCUAGAUCGGCCCAAGUAAUUACUGAAUUUGGAGGUAAUGAAAUGAACCAAGUAAACGCCGAUCCCGAUAAAGAUGAUGAAAACAAUCGAACUCUCAAUUCAUCUCUGUUAGGAGCCUCUCCACAGUGGACGAUGAACCUAUUGACAUGUUCCAUAGUUGACGUGUUAUCUUGUCCAGAGAAUUUAGUGAAAUCUGGUACCUUAUACCGAUUUGGAAGUGGGAUCAAAUCAUAUGCAGGAGUGUAUGGUGUCCGAUAAGAAUAAGUAUUGACUUUGGGUUUUAUCCCAAACUGAUCUCUCAUUACUUCAGCUAUCUUAUCGGCCCAAUAGGCAUCGGCAUCCUGCCGAUGUGCGGGUUGAGGUUCUGGCACCUGCUGAUAAGCUUCCACGUGUCUCUAAGGUGCACGAUCUCCAGGGAACAUAGCAUUUGCCAUAGCCUGUUGACCACCCAUCUGCUGAGCAAGAUUCAUUGGCUGAUUGGCUGGUCCUUGAUUCUGAAAACCAACCUGCAUUUGUCCUUGCUGGAAUCCUGCAGCCUGAUGAUUCUGUUGUGUCAUUUGUGGAAUGUCAAACUGCCUAGUCCACCCAUUGUUGGCAUUCAUCAGCACCGGACCUGCCGAUGGCUGAUAAUUGGGUGUCAUCAUUGCGUUGACAUACCCUGUCUGAGUCAUAAACCUUUGGUGCGUCGGUAGUGGAUCCGCCUAUGCAUUAGGCAUUUGGAAUGUUGGCAUUUGAAAAUUCCCAGUAACAGGCCUUAUAGUAGUAGUUGUAGAAUAUUGAGGAAUCUGAGUCAUCGGCGAUACUGGAGGUGUCAAUGUCAUAGGGGCCUUGCCUGUCAAAUCAACCACCUGUGAUGUUCCAGAGCUAUUUGUAAGAAAAUCCAGAGGAAUAACAUAUCCCCACCAAUUGGGAGGAACUUGACAAUUCUGGAACAUAGACCAUGACAUUGCUGAUGUCGAUAGAUCUGUAUUGAGUUGAAUCCGCCCAUCUGAUGCUGCUGGAUUAGUCCUCAUCGGUGUAGAUUGCCCAUUAGUCAUCCCUAAUGUGCCUGGAGGGGAUGUAACUUUUGUACCCACAACGGCCGGAGGCGCCGAUGGAGCUGUAACCGAUGACAACCUAGGCUGGUGAUAGGUUGGGCCAACAUAUAAUGGUGGUGCCUGUCCCUCUUUGAAAGUUCUAGCCACAUCAUUGAAUACAGUAUCAGACAACACACUGGAUUGAUUGAUCAAAGCACGAUUAAUAGCAUUGUCAACCAUACCUUGCAAUUUACCAGGGUUGGCUUCAAAAGUGAUUUGCCGAGGCAUCGGCAAUGCUUCCUUCUGGAUCACUUCGCUGCUCCUGUUGACACUGAAGGACUUCAAACAUAGCUACUUGUACUCCUCCAUAGCUUUUGCCAUAGCUUGCUUUUGCUCAUCCGUGAGAUCAGCCUCCGUCACAAUAAUGAUGAUCUCUGUGUCGAACUCAGUAUUAGACAUGUUGAUCCUAUUGAUAGAUCUGUCCCUCCAGGCGUGCCAAAAGAUGUGUUGAUGCAAAAGUGGAUCUGCAAACACAAAGGGAUAAUAUCCAAUUCAACGUUAAGGCGUGCCAACCGAUUUGACCUUACAACCGACAAAGGUGAUAACUCGAAUACUUUGGUCCCGAAAAUAGCGAUGCGCCCGGAUGCCAUGGCCAAGAGGUAUUCAAGUGAAACUUGAGAACCCAUUGAGUUUGACUCGAUGGAUUCCUAAGAACUCGUAAGUAAAAAAGAAAAUAUGCAAAUUGACGAAGUCGUCGAAAGUAGAUGUGAGAAUAGAUGUAAAAACUUUGUGUAUGAUUGAUUGGAUUGUUUCUUACAUCGCUACUAGGUCUAUAUUUAUACCCUGUCUUAAAGAGUUACAAUCAGGUAUGACUAGGAUUUUAAUUCCAACCUAAACGAAAUCUGUAUACAAAACAAACUCUAAUAAUUAUGGAAAACAAUAAUUUAUCAAUCCUAGGUGAUCGACACACCAUCAUCAUCUUCCCGAUGAUUCCCACGCCUUCCUCCACCAUCAUCGGCAUAUCAUCCUCCAUCGGCAUCGGCAACCGUCAAUAUCAACCAUCGGCAAAAGAUCAACCACCAUCCCUGGACUUGGUCAUAUCAUGUUGCUUUAUCAUUGGCAUCAUAAUCCAUCAGCAAUUCCUUUGUCACCAGUCAUUACUUUUUCGCCUGCCGAUCCAAGUUCCAUUAACUUUCCAGAUACGUGUGCAAAAACGGUGUCAACAUAGAAUUAACUUAUGAAUUUUUUUACUAUGGUUGAGGGGAAUUUCAAUGGCAGAUGACAAACAAUCUGACAGUUAGGAAGGCAGAGGCAUCUACGAGGGAGGCAUCGAGGCGUAACAUGUGUGUAUGAUUGGCGGACCCAUAUGCACCAUAACGCCUCCCGACGCCUCCAAAAUUGAGGUAAUUAGAACCCAAAAAAGGAGUGGUAAUUUCUUUUUCCAAAUUGUUAAUCAAGGAUAAAAUUGUAAAUUUAGAAUAAAAUCAUAAUGUUUUGAGUAGUUGUUGACACCGUUUUUUGGACACGUGCACAGAAACCGAUAGAGUACAAGAUCGGCAGGUGGAGCAAUGGUAACUAGACUAUGGAAGCGUUGCCGACGAGGAAAGUUGCCGAUGAAGGGGCGGUUGGAUAUGGCUAAGUCCGAGAGUGAUAAUGCAUUCCUAACCGAUGACUAGUAUCAAUGUUUGCCGAUGGCGACAGCAGGGAGGUUGCCGAUGGCUCUGCAGGAGUUGCCGAUUGACCCGUGGUGGUGUCCUGAUCGGUUACGGGAAGAUAAUUUUGUAUACGGGCUCUGUUUAAUUUGGAAUUCGAAUCCUAGUCGUGUCUGAUUGUAGCUCUUUGAUCAGGGUAUAAAUGUAGACCCUAGGGCCUUGUAAUGAAUAAUCUAUCAAUCAAUCAAACACAAGUUUUUACUCAUAUUCCAGCAUCUACUUUUUCGACGACUUCGUCAUAUUUUCCUUUUACUACGAGUUCUUAGGAGUUCGUCGACUUAAGCUCGGCGUAUUCUCAAGUUCUGUGUGAAUACCUCUUGGCCGUGACAUCCGGGCGCAUCGCUGUUGUCAGGACCAAAGUAUUCAAGUUAUCACCUUUGCCGAUAGUAAGGUCAAAUCGGCUGGCACGCCUUGACGUUUGAAUCGGGUAUUAGCCCUUUGUGUUUGCAGAUCCGUUUUUGCAUCUGUUGGGUAUUCUUAAUAUCAUUACCAAAAGUAGACUAAGUUCUCUAAAUCUAGUAACGGUGCCUGUUGACGGUCCUUAAGUAUCAAAUUUAAUUAUCAAAUAAAUAAAGAAAAGGAUCCAAAUGAAAUCAAGAUCUAGACUUAGGGUUUUAUCUGACAGAAUUCCACGAGUUUUGGUGUUUGUCUAUUUCUACAGGGGGUUAUCAGGAAAUACGGAAGAAAGGCCCACAUGUCAGGAUUACGUAAAGAUAUUAACGUGCUGCGCAAUUAUCUUACAUCUAGAAGACUCCAGAAGCCACGAGACCGAAGCGGAGGCUAAACGGGGCCAGAGACAGGGCGCCCGCCCUGUCCUACUAGGCGCCCGCCCUGCCCCUGAGUCCAAUCAGGACUCUGCUUUGCGGGAGAUUUCCACCGACCUAAAGGAUGAAUCUAAACCAUACAAUCUAUGUCGGUUUGAUCCAAGGGCCCAUAUUCACUUGAAGGGACUAUAAAACCAGACCCCCUGGCCCCUGGAGGAGAGAGCCUCUCAACCCUAAUUCAUUGUUCCAUCAAGGGAGAAGAAGCCUCUGAUCAAGAUUAGAGCCACCACAUCAAUUAGACAUCUAGAUUAGCAUAGCUACAUUGGAUUAGAACUAGAAGGAGUCAAUCUUCGAUUGGUUUCCGGAUCUGUCAACAGGAUUCUUGGUAAUUCUCUAAUUGUGCUUCUAAUUGCUUUCUAAUUAUCUUUGUUCUUCAAUAUUAUGAAUAUGACUUUGUUCUACUUCAAUAUAUUGCUUAUGACUUUGCUCUACUUGCUUAUAUUCAAGAUUAUAUUGUUCUUAGUUUAUCAUAGUUAUGUACUUGCCUUAGUUAGAUUCGAUCUAUAUACAUGCUUAGGAUCGUAUAGCGUUUAUCCAUCAGAUCCAUGGGUAAAUGAUAGAUAUUGUGUAGGCGUGGUGCUUAUACCGUAUUUAUCUGCGAUUGUACCCAAUAUACCAGAUCGUGGGGUGGUUCGUGAUAGUGACAGCUUCAUUGAUUCUUAUAUAGUCCCCCUCUCGUGUAUUGGGCUGGCAGAGCAACAUUAUUACAGGGGAGUGAUUGCUAUGUUUCUCAUAUUCCUUGCUAAUAUCACUAUGCAUGGGCGUAGUCUUGUCUCGCGAUGAUUGCUAAGUAUGCUUGCACUAAUUAUGAUAAUGCUAGACUAUAUAGUUGAGAAUAACUUAGGGAAUAUUCUUGUAGUUCGUUCUAAUACCAUGCUAAUGACUUUCUAGAGUAUCUAAUUGAGGUGCUUAUCAUAUUUAUUAUGUGGCUAGAUCAGAUUAGUUAUCCUUGUCACCAUUAUUAUUUCAUAUAUCUUUUAUGUGACACUUAUCCCUGUAUGAAGAGUUAGAUAUAAUGUUCUCAAUUAUACAUGCAAUGAUAGAUGCUCAAUUUCAUAUUCUAUUCUGUAAUCAAUAUUGAUGAUUUCUAAUCCCUUCCCAGUGGUAAAAAUAUAAAUAACGAUACCUGGAAUACUUUUCGGUUAAAAUGCUGCAUCGGUAUUAAUCUGUGCGCUUGCAGAUCCCAUUCAUUAUUUAUUUAGAAGAGCAAUUGCAUAUUUCAAUACGGCGUCUCUUAUAUCAUGCUGGGGAUGACAACUUGGCUUAAGUGGUGUGAGGGAUAGGUUUGGCAUUUUUGGCACCGUUACUAGAUUUAGAGAACUUAGUCUACUUUUGGUAAUGAUGUUAAGAAUACCCAACAAGCAUUUUUGACGCCGUUGCCGGGGAAGGUUGAUUACCAAUCAGGAAUGGAAUAAAAGAUUUUGAGUUAUCAUUCGCAUCACUAAUAUGAUUGAGCUUAUCUAUUCUCUCAUACAGUUUUACCCCGAUAUUUUUCUAUUUUAUCUUAUGCAGGGGAAUGUAUGAAUAGAAGACAUCUUCCAGGGAAUUUUGUUGACAAUCCUGAAGCAUUAUUCAAGAAGAUGAGAGCCAAGCUAAAGAGAUCAUCAACACUUCACGAAGAUGCUUCAUCCAAUCAAGAAGAUCACCGGAACUUGUCUUCAGAAUUCGAAGCCAUGGCGAACAAAUCAAUCCGCGAGUUCUCAGCUCCCACUACGGACAACAUCCGCACUGGACCUGCUGCAGAGAUCGAUGGCAACUUUGAGCUCAUGCCUGGACUUAUCAACAUGGUGCAAUCCAACCAGUUCUGUGGGAAGGCACACGAAGAUGCUAGUGCUCAUUUACAACACUUCCUAGAGAUUUGCAACACAUUCACCAUAGCAGGAGUUUCCAAAGACGCUAUACUACUUCGCCUCUUCCCAUUCUCACUGUUAGGAAGAGCGAAGCAGUGGUUCUACGCUACAAAGGAGAAGAAUACUACGUGGGCACUCUGCUCAACAAACUUCCUGGCUAAGUUCUUUCCCAUGGGCAAGACCAAUGCUCUCCGUGUGAAGAUUACAAGUUUUCAGCAACAAAAUGAUGAAUCUGUUCCAGAAGCAUGGGAGCGCUUUCAAGACUACAUCCUAGAAUGUCCCCAUCAUGGAAUGGAGAGUUGGCUAUUGAUGCAGACGUUUUAUCAUGGGCUCAGCAACAGUGCCCGAGAGACCAUGGAUGCUGCAGCUGGAGGAGCAUUCUUAUCACUUACUAUACCACAAGCCACAGCUCUUGUGGAGAAGAUGGCGUCCAAUCUAAGCUAGAAUGAAGAGAGGACCCAGACACGCAAGAGAGGUGGAGGUAUACAUCAGCUGAAGGAGGUAGACAUGCUGUCUCCAAAGCUAGACCUGCUCAUGAAGAAGCUCGACGAUAGAGCUGGAGAUAAGAAAGAAGUUAUGCACAUCUACGAGUCUCACAUGACUUGUGAGGAGUGUGGAGACACUGGACACUCAGGCAACCACUGCCCUGAGAUACUUGAGGAUGUGAACUACAUCAACAACAACAACAACAAUAACUACUACAACCGUCCUCAACAAAAUCAAGGUUGGAAUCAACAGAGGCCUAACUACUCAGGUAAUUAUCAAGGUAACAAUUCUUACAACAAUAAUAAUAAUUUUCCACCUUUGAGAGAGUUAGUGUCUAAUCAAGAAAAGCUAAUGGAUAAUCUAUCUAAGAAAUUGGCAUCUAAUGAUAAAAUGCUAGAAAAUAUAAAUAAUAGAAUGGAUAAUUUUUCUACUGCCAUCAAGAAUCAAAUUAGCUUUAAUAAAAUGAUUGAAUCUCAGUUAAAUCAAAUAGCUGCUGCUGUUCCUACUACUAACCCCGGUAUACCAUCACAACCGGAAGGAUUAGAAUCUGCAAAUCUUGUAGACAUGUUUGAUGCAGGAAAUUGGAGUAACGCCAUCACUGAAUUCUCUACUGACCUUAUGCCGGUCAAGAGAGGCGAUCCAGGACGCCCCGUCAUCCCGAUCUCCAUCGGCAUGGUCGACUUCCCAGAAGCACUCUGUGACUUUGGCUCUAGCGUCAACAUUAUACCCAGGGUACUCUAUGAAAAAUUCUUUACAUAUCCUUUAUUAGAGACAACCAUGUGUUUGCAGUUUGCAGAUCAGACGAUAACUUUUCCAAAAGGAAUAGUGUGGAACCUUUGUGUCCGUGUUGGUACCUUGUAUGCCCCAGCAGACUUCGUAGUGGUAGAGACCGGAAAUGAUGAGAGAGCACCUAUCAUCCUAGGAAGGCCAUUCUUGAACACCACGGGAGCUAUCAUCUACGCUAGUGCUGCCAAGAUCAGUUUCUACGUCAAAGGGAAGAAGGAGACAUUUUUCUUCAAGAACAAGACUACGCAAAUUCCAGAUCAAUCCAGACGUAAAUCAAGGAAGAGGACCAACAGGAGGAACAGGAACAAGCAAGUGUGGACCGAGUCAGCUAAGAUGGUCACUGUAGUUCAUGAAGGCCAAGAUCAUCAACUUAAGUCACCGUUUUUGACCAAGAAGGACGACCCAGGAAUGCCAAGCAUUUACUGCUCCAUAAAUGGAUACAACUUCUACAAGACGAUUUGCGACACCGGAUCGGGCGUCAACAUAAUGGCCGCAGUCACCUAUCGGCUCUUGUUCGGAACCAUGCCACUAAGACCAACAUACAUUCAGCUCCAGAUGGCAGAUCAGACAUUUCGAGAAGUUCAAGGAAUAGUAUCUGAUGUCCCAGUCAAAAUAGACGAUCACUUUGUCUACACAGACUAUCAAGUUGUUGACAUGGGAGAAGACGAGUAUGAUCCACCCAUCAUCCUUGGAAGACCGUUCCUCAGCACUGUUAAAGCAAUUAUCUACAUUGGAACCGGAGAAGUCCAUAUGCACUUCUCCUCAGAGAAGGUACGCCGUUAUUUUACUGACCCUAACUAUAUUGUUGAAGAAUCUAAGCAGGUAAGGAAAAGACGCAACCGCAACCAGAGGAGGCAGAUCAUCAAGGACGGAUGGGCAGACUACGAAGGAGAAGUUGUAAGAUCAGAAGACGUUGAGUUUAAACAAAAUUAUCCAGAGGAGAUUGAAGCACCGAGUCAGGUAUGGAAAAUGAAGAUAACUAUACAAGAAGAAGAGGCGCUGCCGGAAGUACCGACUACGCCACCCAACGAACCUCAGGACGAUUAAAGAAAAUGGAGAGUCCCGUUCGGAGGACUUAAAAACACCGAACGCCUUGCCAAGAGGUAAACUUGGUAGUUACCCUUUCCUUUUCAAUUAUUUUACUUAGUUAAUCAUAUUCAUACUAUCCUAAAAAGAAAAUAAAAAUUUGAAAAACAGUAAGCCCCAUGUGAGUAGACGAGUGACAUAAAACCCAUAAGUACAUUCACUGUGAUGGCAUAAAAAUAAAUAUUUUUCUGCUUUAUAAAAUAAAAAUAUAAAAACAGGGAGUAAUAAUUAUUAAGGAGUCUCAUGAUAAUAAAGGCUAGAUAUUUAUGCUAACACUUAAUCAGUUCCACAAGCUUUGUUGUCUAUUUGAGCUCCGCAGAAUUUAAGAAUCAAGAAGACUAGCAGACGGAGGACAUUCUAAUCGCUGUCAGAAUGCUGCUGACUUUCAAAUACACCUCUGCCACCUGCCAGCUACAUCAAGAGAAAUUACGUCAAAAUUCAGCUUGGGGGAGAGCACCCCCAUUUAUCCCAAUAAGUAUUUCUAUCUAUCUAUCUAUCUUUAUACUUAUAUUAUUUUAGAAUAUUAAAAUACAUAUAAACUAUGGAAAACCAAAUAAAGUUUUUAUGCUUAUAUAUAUAUAUCUUUUGCUUAGUGUGUUUAAUAAAUAAAUAAAGUGGCUAUGCUAAUCUGUAUCUAAAUAAAACUUAAGCAUGGAUAUGAUGAAUAGUUGCUCUGCCUAAUUUGCACAUUUUAAGUUCCCUCUCAAGUUUAGACAUAACUGUUAUAAUUUAAAGCUUGCUCCAGACCUAAACUUGUGGGAUGAAAACUUGAUCUGAAGUCUAAGUUGUUAACGCAUACGAUAUGGGAAGGUUGAGCUGCUGUUUAUCUGUUCCUAGAGAUGCUAGAAUUCUGGAGAAUUUUAUCUUUGAAAAUCUUUAAAAUGUUGCAUGAUGAGUUCCUGUAUGAUGAGAGUUUAAAUUCCUACCACAGCCAUAUAUACAUGCUUUUUAGACUUUGAGCCACACAUUUAUUAUUUACUGCUUAUGAGCAUUGAGUGUGGUCAAGCUGUGUUGACCCUUAGGAGCUUGUCAUGUGGUUAAAUCAAGAUUUCACUUGCACGUUCACUCAUAUAUGCUACUUUUACCCCGGAAGUACCAUCCACAUAUAUCCACCCAUUCCAUCUCCGGAAUCACCAAAAAAUAUUCUACUCCUAAUCCGGGAGAGAAUAACCAAAAAUAUUUCUGUUUUCCCCUUGUGAAAUAAAUGCUCAAGUUAUCUUGUUACUACCACUUGCUAUAUUAUCUCAAGAGAUGAAUGCUCUGAAAAAAAAGAGAUACGAGGAAAUAAAAAGGAGCAAGUGCUCGGAACCUCGAAAGAAAAGAAAAAAAAAGUGAGAUGAGAGGUAAAAAUGGACAAGUGUCCGACAGUAGAAUUAGGGGUGCAAGAUACCCACCUGAGAGGAAAGAAAAAGAUAGAGCAUCUCAUUCUCAUCAUAAAGUUUCAAAAGCAAGGAAGGUAUGUAUCCCCUCAAAGAGCAAAAGUAGAAUUAGACUUCCACCUCCAUUGUUUUCACCAUUGUUUCCACCAUUGUUAUCACCAUCAUCACCAUACACCAUUCAUUCACCACACAUGCACAUCUUGAUUAAACUUAUUGACUUGUUACUUUGGAUCCAUGGUUUGACUAUGCAAUAAAUGUCUUGUAAGUAUGUAUACUUUAUUUCCCACCUAUGAGCUUCAGAUAUUAAAGCCUUAUUAGAGUAGGGUGAGAGAGAAGGCAAUGUCACUAUGCCUCAUACCACAAAUACCACAUAUCUUGAGAGAAGGCAUAUACCAUCACUGCCUUGGUAAGGAUCCAGAAAUACCACAAAAGAGAGACCUGAGAGAAUCAUACAAGGAAUCUCUGAGUUUUAUUUGAAAAUCUGCAAAAACCCCAGAGCUAUAGCUGAUCAAGAAUAAGAGACAUGGCACUUGGCUAGACUGUUCUAUCUUUUAACCACUCAAGACAGAAGUGACAGUUACAAGUCCCAUGGUGAAGGUAAAAUAAGUAAGUUUGAAGUCUUGACAGUUUAUUCUAAAUCAGAGAUG